This 230981-nucleotide long non-coding RNA is filed under the name Triticum aestivum (bread wheat). RNAcentral describes it as "long non-coding RNA (TAES_LNC016888)". The stretch from base 165639 to 165711 matches the Rfam family "tRNA". Lineage: Eukaryota; Viridiplantae; Streptophyta; Magnoliopsida; Poales; Poaceae. The record is from RNAcentral.
UGUGAUUGUAUGCUUGAUUAGGUAAGCAAUAAAUCUCUUUCACUCACAAAAAGGUAGAAAUUGCAAUGCGGCCAUCCCAGCAUAUCAAAACAUUUCUGGUUGUGGCGAUGACCUUUUUUCCCAUAUGAUCCUAGAAAAUGGAUCGGGUUCCACUAUCAAGGGAUAACGAAACAACAAAUGCACAAAAAACAUCCCAGUGCAAGAACAUAGCCUAAAACUGGUUUCAACUGCUAACAACAAAAGCUAAUGGAUCCAAAUCUACUGCAAGUUGACUUGGGGUUCACAAUCAUCCCAAGCAAAAUGUUUUCGAUCACUAGCAUCAUCAUUCAGAAAACUCCAUUGCAUCGUUCCUCGUCCAGUAUUUCUCCAUUAGUUCACCUUCACCCACUUCUUGCUCCUCAUUUUCUCCAGCAUUACUCGCCUCGAUCCUCAACACAAGAUUUCUUGGCUCCGUGCGCCCACCAACAUGAUGUGCCAAUGCUUCUCGCUUCAAAGCAACAACACCUUGUUCCAGAAUCGCACACUCUUCAUUAUUUUGUAGAUUUGCCCAAUAAAGGAUAAACAUGCAUGCAUAACAAACGAAUUCAGCAAGAGAUCUAGUAAUUUUUUUCUCAAAACAAUAUCUAUUACAUAACUUGGAUGGGAAUGUAGUGGCUUAUCGUGAAGGUGAUGCACUCAUGGACUUGUAGUAGAGCUGGUAGCUGCCACAACAGCUUCCCUAUAUGUGGGUGGCCUUGAGGCAGGCGUCGCAGAGGGGCAUCUCUCCUCCAUCUCCUAUUAGGUCACAUCUGUGGAGUCCCUCGGUGUCUACCAUGACGUUGCUAUCAGGUCCCAUGGCUAUGGCUACUUUCAAGUUCCACUCACAGAUUGAUGAUGAGAUCUGAUCUAUUAGAUCCCAAAAUACCUAAAGCAUUAUAUCUCUGUGAGCAUGCAUGCUAAAGGUAGCAGAUCAAACCCAAACAAACAAGUAAAAAAGACCAAGACACUCACCGUCCUCUUGGGGUGGAAAUUGAUGUAGUCAUAGCCACACGACCUGUAAGCAAAUUUGUGGCAGAUGCGCAAGGAAGCCACGGGAGCGACCUGGUCAUCGAUCUAGAAGAGUUGGCCCUCCGUAACACCUGUCUCUUGGUCAUCAUUGAGGCCAGGAAUGGCUGGUUUGUCAUUGCUACCGAUGGUCGCCAAACCAAUGGAUCUAGGAGGUGGCGACGUCAUCAGAGCCAGGGUGGAACGCUUGCCAUUGGUAGUCGUUGUUCACUAACCCGAGGAGUGAAGAUUACUAUACUAUGGGUAACCGGCUGGUCUAGUUGUAUCGACUAUAUAUUGAGUCCUCUCUUAUCGACAUCGAGUCCUCUUGUCCGCCGGAUGCUCUCUCCGGUAUGCUUUUGUAUAGGUGCUAAUUAAUGAAAUUUAUUUGCUACCUUUUAGAUAGGCUUCAGGUGUAAUUGUUAGAGACGCGUAUUUUUUGUGUAUCUGCAUGCUGGAGAGUUGCGGCAAUUGGGUCCACAUUCUAGUCUAUAUGCGUGUGAUGGGCUGCUGCAUGUAGGUAGAUAUGGACUACAAAGUUCUUCUAUCUAUUUAGUGCGAUAUCACUACUAAUUAAUGUUUGAGAUAGAGUAGAUAUCACUACAAAUUAAUGUUUGAGAUAGAUUAGAUCAACUUUUACCACAUCGUGGUCAAUGAUCGUUGACUCGUGAGGGGUCCCUCGCCGCCUUUCUUGGUCAAGGCAUCUCCAACACCGACCCUCAAGCCUCCUGCAUCCGCCCGGACAGUGAAAGCUAUCCAACGUGCUCCUGUAUCGGUACGAGGCGCGGUCCAGAUGUAUACUUUCUCCUGCAAAUGGGAGACAAACGUGGGGAGUGGGAGGGGGGCUUUGCGGGAGUCUGCACCGCUCCCACGCCCGCUUCUGACCACCCUGGCCCGCCCAAACCUCCUUCUGCAUCCCGCGCGCUUCCCGCCCGACGCCAACUGCCCACAUUCACGCCGCUGUAGAGCGCGGCGCCCCACAUAUUGAAGCGGCGCACCCCCCGAUGACGCCGGCCACUGCACGCCCGACUGAACACGUCUCCAUUAAACCCGUGUGAAAGCUGAGGAACCUACUCCAGCCACACGUUCGUUCACGAGCGGGCCGACAUUAAAUGCAACGCCGGGAAAGCUCCUCCCAUGUGCCCUCUAUUUAAACAAGGCCAGACGUCGGGCAAGAAACGCACCACUCCGCCGCUCCCCAUCUCAUCCUUCCACAAUUUUCUUCGCCCUUUUGAUGGCAUCCGGUGAGCACUAAGAGCAUUUCCCCCGCAUAAAAGCCAGCUAGGUGUCCCACCGAGCCCGCCGAAUACGAGUGAUGCCGCUCACUGCUCCACCUCCCUCGUCUGGCCCGACGGAGCAAGUUGCCACCCCAAACUGACGCAUGGUUCACCACCUCGCCGCUCCAAGCCAGCUCACAAGGGAGCGGCCAUUUGCUCUAGGACGACACGACGACAUAGGCAUCGUAGCACCCAUGGUGACGCUGCGUCAUACUGCGUCUCUGAUGCCUAGGACCGUGCCAUCCGCCAGCAACGCGUGUGUAGCCGUGCGCUGCUGGCAGAGAAAGAAGCUGGCAGCAUAGAGAUCGAUGAGUCGGUGGAUGGCACGUCCACGUCCGCCGCCAACAUCGAGGGAAAGUAGAACACGGAGUAUAGCUGAUGACCUGUCCGGUUCUUCUUUAUCUCAGACCAUCAUUGGCCCCGCCUAGGCUCCACGAAAGCGGAGCCCCCCCUUCCCUCCAGCUGAAGCACCCUCUUUGCCACCGCGAUGAGUGGCGCGACCAAACAUAGGGAAGAUACGAGGGAAGAAUAUACCUCUGGGGCUCCCGACAGUCCGGGUAGUGGGCUGCCGGACAUGGAGAAGACAAAGGGAUCCUUCGCGUCCAGCCGUAGACUAGUGUAGUGUUUCUGUGUCGUGGGAGUGGAGCUCCACGCGACUGUAUGUGCACAUAGUUUUAUCUUUUUUGUUAAAAAUAUGUCCAAAUUGUAACUGUUUUCGUCCAGUUUGAAUGAAAUCCAUCAUGUUUAUAUGAAAUCCACCCAUGUUUGCAUGAAUUUCAUCCGGUUUGCUGAAAAAAUGUUUGCAAUGUAUGCGGCUACGAUUGGAUAGCGGCCUCCCGCAUCCGUUUGCUGGCUGCUAUUGGAGAUGCCCUCAAGCCAGCGUUUGGGCGGGUGUAAGGUGUCCCAUCAUCGGUACAGACAAAGUAUUGUAGGAUUUCUGAUCAAUAGAACUGGAAAGUCUCCGGGUGUGGAAACAUCCUCAUAAUCUUUACUACUCCAUCAUGAUUUAUAUGCCUCGCACAUAUUUCAAUAUAAACAUUGAAAAUUAAUUUAUUCAACAAAAUAUUAGUUAUAUGUCACAAAAACAAAACGUUAGAUUCACAUUCUAAACAAGUUUCCAAUGGUAUAGUUUUUGUGACAUAUAACUCAUAUUUUAUUGAUAAAUCAACGUACAUUUUUUUAUUGAAAUGCUUAAGACUUAUGAAUCAUGUUAGAGGUUAGACUCCACGAAUGACGAAAUUUAUCCCCAAGGUAUCUCUGACAAAAUUGUUACUCUAAUGUCACUUAUCAACAUGUGAUCCAAGUCAUAGCAAUAUCCAACCAAUAAUCCAAUGAAUAACGUAAUCAUAUCAUUUCCACUUACUCCGUAAGCAAUAAUAUCAAAUAUGAUCAUAUGAAAAUAUAGCUAAUGACCCUACUAAUCCGAUGGUAACAUGCCAAUAUCCAACUUGUAAACUACUCUACUAGUCACAAGAAAUCCAAGCAAUAACACGGCAAGAGAUAAUUCUAAUAAUUCCUCCAAGAUUGCCAUGAAUAAAUCAUCAUCAAGUAAUUCAAAAUAAAUCGAGUUUUAUUAUAUUAACCAUGGAAUUUCAUUGCAAUUAUGCAAGUGGAGGUUGUGGCUUGCCUUGCUCCAAGCGAGUGUUGCGAGUACUCUUGGUCUUCAUCAAACAGUGCUAACACUCUGGAAAACAAUAUUAACAAGCAAAAUAAAUUCUCUAUCUAGAAAUUCUAGACAACAAAGAAAAGUGUGAAACUCUACCAGAAAAUAAAGGAGCUCACAAGAGAAAAAAAUGCAAAAAGAAUCAACUCAUUUGGACUUGUAGUUUAGGAGCAAUGGAUGGUGAAAGUUGUGGUCAAACUGGAUUAAAAUAGCGUUAAAAUGGAUUUUCUGGAAUCUCCAUGGGCCGACGUCGAAGACUUAAACAAGGAAUACACUUUGACUUAAAUAUUUGGAUAUAUCUUCAAACAUGAUAUUUAAGAAUAGGAGAUUAAAUUGAAGAAGCCAUUGUUAACAAUGACAAAAGCAACAUGUGGGCAUGGAUCAAAACAAGGGAUAUUUACUUUGACAGUCUAAAAUUUGUGAUGUAUCUUGAGUCCAAACUGUAACGACUCUCAUGUUUAACGACGAUUGAGGUGUUUGGAAGUAUUGUUUGAAUACAUCCUCAAACAUAAUAUUUUUUAAAAAUUAAGUGAACAAAACAAAAAAAAUAUUGUGUGGGUUGGGGUGAAGUGUGUGUGGGGGAGGGGGUGGGGGGUGGGGGGGAUUAUUAUCGGAUAGUAUAUUUCACCUAAUUUUGUAACGCAAGCAUCCUGGUCAAUAUGUCCUCAAGAUACAUUCACACCUUUCCCCUCCCGGGCCGCUCGCGCGGGCGGCUCCGGAAGAAAAAACCUAGAUCCAAGCGCCCCUCCUCCCGAAGACAUCCUGGCCGCCGCCGUCGCCGCCGGCGGCGGUGGCGGCGCCCGGCUGCCAAAGGCAGCGGGCAAGAUCUGCACGCCCUGACAUGGCUCCUUCGCGCGGGCGAGCACCGUCUUGUGGGCGUCGUGACCGCUGGCGGUUCUGGUGCGGUGGCGCGCGGCAGAGAGCACUGGAGGAGGAGGAGCACGGUCGCGAGGUGGAGAGGGGUGGCGGUCUUCCUCGGGCGCCGGCGUGUGUGUCGGAGGCCGCGGCGCGGGGUCCCUGGCGGCUGCAGAUCUUGGAAUGGAGUGGUGACCGGGCGCGGCGGCCGGGAGUUGCGGUGGUGUCCGGGGCGUGCGGUGUGCUUCCUGCCGGCGCUAGAGUGGCUCGGGGAAGGCAGCGCCUUGGAUUGCUAGUGGCAGGGAUGUAGCUGGCAUGUAGGCAUUGGGGUCAAUUGACCCCAAUGGAUUUACUAAAUCCUUCAUUAUCUUAGUACUAAUCACUGUUGAUUUAUAGAAGAUGACCCCAUUGCCAUGGAUAUGACCCCAUCAAGCUUUUUUCUAGCUUCGUCCCUGGCUGGUGGUGGCGCGGUCAGGAUCUGGCCAGAGCUCGGUUCAGGAAAUCGCAAAGGGAGCACCUUGGUGGUGCGUGCGUUCGCUGGAGGCGCAGUGCGCUGGCUCCUCCCGUCCGUGCCCCUGGUCGCAGCGGCUUGGCUGGCUGCCAGAGUGGUUUGGCCAGCCCACGCCUGUGGUGCCGGCGGGUCUUGGCAGCGCCAGGGAGGGUGGCUUGGAGCUGGUGACGUUUGUCUUUCGACCGUGCAGGAGCUGGAGGUUGGCCGGCGUGGUCUCGGCUGUGUGAUGGGUCGGUGUUCCGCGACGGUUUUGGCCAUGAUGGCAAGGCGCUGCUGCAACGACGGUGUAACCCUGACAGAUUAGCCCAAUCCUUGGAUAGGGGUGGGAGGUGUGCGACUGUUGGAUGAAAAUCCUGCUCGUGUCUUCGGCCGGAGCUGGCGGCGACGGUGCCUGAGGGAGUCGUUUCCCUCCUUGGAGGUGUCGCUGAGGUGUGUCGGCAUCUCCCCUUCUUGAUCGGGAUGUGGUCUCCAGGCGAAAGCCUUGGUCUAUUGUAGGACUGGCGAUGGCGACGGUAUAACGUCGUUACUCUAUUGAGAGCAUCGUAGGCGGAGACUUGGCUUGCUGAUUCUGUCUGGUGGUUCUCCGGUGCUUGCCGCUGGUUCGAGUCGAUCUUUGUGGGCGCUAUGUACGUAGCCGCCGGUGAACUGAAGACGAUGGCUUUCUCGGGACCGACCGAGUCCCGCUACCCACCCGCCGUCUCCUCUUAGGCAUUCAAAGGUGGUAGUGCGUGUUGGAAAUAUGCCCUAGAGGCAAUAAUAAAAGGGUUAUUAUUAUAUUUCCUUGUUCAUGAUAAUUGUCUUUUAUUCAUGCUAUAACUGUAUUAUCCGGAAAUCGUAAUACACAUGUGAAUACAUAGACCAUAACAUGUCCCUAGUGAGCCUCUAGUUGACUAGCUCGUUGGUCAACAGAUAGUCAUGGUUUCUGACUAUGGACAUUAGAUGUCAUUGACAACGGGAUCACAUCAUUAGGAGAAUGAUGUGAUGGACGAGACCCAAUCCUAAGCAUAGCACAAGAUCGUGUAGUUAGUUUUGCUAGAGCUUUUCCAAUGUCAAGUAUCUCUUCCUUAGACCAUGAGAUCGUGUAACUCCCGGAUACAGUAAGAGUGCUUUGGGUGUACCAAACGUCACAACGUAACUGGGUGACUAUAAAGGUGCACUACAGGUAUCUCCGAAAGUGUCUGUUGGGUUGACAUGGAUCGAGACUGGGAUUUGUCACUCCGUAUGACGGAGAGGUAUCUCUGGGCCCACUCGGUAAUGCAUCAUCACAAUGAGCUCAAAGUGACCAAGUGUUUGGUCACGGGAUCAUGCAUUACGAUACGAGUAAAGUGACUUGCCGGUAACGAGACUGAACGAGGUAUUGGGAUACCGACGAUCGAGUCUCGGGCAUGUAACGUACCGAAUGAGAAAGGGAAUUGUAUACGGGGUUGUUCUAAUCCUCGACAUCGUGGUUCAUCCGAUGAGAUCAUCGAGCAGCAUGUGGGAGCCAACAUGGGUAUCCAGAUCCCGCUGUUGGUUAUUGCCCGAGAGCCGUCUCGGUCAUGACUACGUGUCUCCCGAACCCGUAGGGUCUACACACUUAAGGUUCGGUGACGCUAGGGUUGUAUGAAUAUGAGUAUGCAGUAUACCGAAUGUUGUUUGGAGUCCCGUAUGAGAUCCCGGACGUCACGAGGAGUUUCGGAAUGGUCCGGAGGUAAAGAAUUAUAUAUAGGAAGUGGUAUUUCGGCCAUCGGGAAAGUUUCGGGGUCACCCGGUAUUGUACCGGGACCACCGGAAGGGUCCCGGGGGUCCACCGGGUGGGGCCACCCAUCCCGGAGGGCCCCAUGGGCUGAAGUGGGAGGGGAGCCAGCCCAUAGUGGGCUGGUGCGCCCCCCUAGGCCCACCCCCUGCGCCUAGGGUUGAAACCCUAGGGUGGGGGGCGCACCACAUGCCUUGGGGGGCACUCCUCCCCCCUUGGCCGCCGCCCCCUUGGGAGAUUGAAUCUCCCAGGGCCGGCGCCCCCCCUUGGGGGCCUAUAUAAAGGGAGGGGGGAGAGGGGCAGCCGCACCCUGAAGUCCUGGCGCCCCCUCCCCCUGCUACACCUCUUCCUCCUCCGUCACGUGCUUGGCGAAGCCCUGCCGGACUGCUGCUGUUCCACCACCACCACGCCGUUGUGCUGCUGCUGGAGCCAUCAUCAUCAACCUCUCCUCCCCCCUUGCUGGAUCAAGAAGGAGGAGACGUCACACGCACCGUACGUGUGUUGAACGCGGAGGUGCCGUCCGUUCGGCGCUAGGAUCUCCGGUGAUCUGAAUCACGGCGAGUACGACUCCAUCAUCACCGCUCCCUCUAACACUUCCGUAUGGGAUCUACAAGUGGUAUGUAGAUGCAAACUCACUCCCUUGACUCAUUGCUUAGAUGAACUCAUAGAUGGAUCUUGGUGAAACCGUAGGAAAAUUUUUAAUUUUCUGCAACGUUCCCCAACAGUGGCAUCAUGAGCUAGGUCUAUGCGUAGUUCUCUAUUGCACGAGUAGAACACAAUUUUGUUGUGGGCGUAGAUCUUGUCAACUUGCUUGCCGCUACUAGUCUUAUCUUGCUUUAGCGGUAUUGUGGGAUGAAGCGGCCCGGACCAACCUUACACGUACGCUUACGUGAGACCGGUUCCACCGACUAACAUGCACUAGUUGCAUAAGGUGGCUGGCGGGUGUCUGUCUCUCCCACUUUAGUUGGAGCGGAUUCGAUGAAAAGGGUCCUUAUGAAGGGUAAAUAGAAGUUGACAAAAUCACGUUGUGGUUAUUCGUAGGUAAGAAAACGUUCUUGCUAGAACCCAAUUGCAGCGACGUGAAAGAUGCAACAACAAUUAGAGGACGUCUAACUUGUUUUUGCAGCAAUUGUCAUGUGAUGUGAUAUGGCCAGAAGUUGUGAUGAAUGAUGAAUGAUAUAUUGUGAUGUAUGAGAUCAUGUUCUUGUAAUAGGAAUCACGACUUGCAUGUCGAUGAGUAUGAAAACCGGCAGGAGCCAUAGGAGUUGUCUUUAUUUUUGUAUGACCUGCGUGUCAUUGAAGAAUGCCAUGUAAACUACUUUACUUUAUUGCUAAACGCGUUAGUCAUAGAAGUAGAAGUAGUCGUUGGCGUGACAACUUCAUGAAGACAUGAUGAUGGAGAUCAUGAUGAUGGAGAUCAUGGUGUCAUGCCGGUGACAAGAUGAUCAUGGAGCCCCGAAGAUGAAGAUCAAAGGAGCUAUAUGAUAUUGGCCAUAUCAUGUCACUACUUUAUAUAAUUGCAUGUGAUGUUUAUUAUGUUUUAUGCAUCUUGUUUACUUAGAACGACGGUAGUAAAUAAGAUGAUCCCUUGCAACAAUUUCAAGAAGUGUUCUCCCCUAACUGUGCACCGUUGCUAAAGUUCGUCGUUUCGAAGCACCACGUGAUGAUCGGGUGUGAUAGAUCCUUACGUUCACAUACAACGGGUGUAAGACAGUUUUACACAUGCAAAACACUUAGGGUUAACUUGACGAGCCUAGCAUGUACAGACAUGGCCUCGGAACACGGAGACCGAAAGGUCGAACACGAGUCGUAUGGAAGAUACGAUCAACAUGAGAAUGUUCACUGACGAUGACUAGUCCGUCUCACGUGAUGAUCGGACACGGCCUAGUCAACUCGGAUCGUGUAACACUUAGAUGACUGAGGGGAUGUCAAAUCUGAGUGGGAGUUCAUUAAAUAAUUUGAUUGGAUGAACUUAAUUAUCAUGAACUUAGUCUAAAAUCUUUGCAAAAUAUGUCUUGUAGAUCAAAUGGCCAACGCUCAUGUCAACAUGAACUUCAACGCGUUCCUAGAGAAAACCAAGCUGAAAGAUGAUGGCAGCAACUAUACGGACUGGGUCCGGAACCUUAGGAUCAUCCUCAUAGCUGCCAAGAAAGCAUAUGUCCUUGAAGCACCAUUAGGUGACCCACCUACUCUCCCAGCACUGCAAGACGAUUUGAACGUUUGGCAGACACGUGCUGAUGAUUACUCCCUCGUUCAGUGCGGCAUGCUUUACAGCUUAGAACCGGGGCUCCAAAAGCUUUUUGAGCAACACGGGGCAUAUGAGAUGUUCGAGGAGCUGAAACUAGUUUUCCAAGCUCAUGCCCGGGUCGAGAGAUAUGAAGUCUCCAACAAGUUCUAUAGUUGUAAGAUGGAGGAAAACAGUUCUGUCAGUGAGCAUAUACUCAAAAUGUCUGGGUUGCACAGCCGCCUGUCCCAGCUGGACAUUAACCUCCUGGAUGAGGCGGUCAUUGACAGAAUCCUUCAGUCGCUCCCACCAAGCUACAAGAGCUUUGUGAUGAACUAUAAUAUGCAGGGGAUGGUGAAGACCAUUCCUGAAGUAUUUUCAAUGCUGAAGUCGGCAGAGGUUGAAAUCAAGAAAGAACAUCAAGUGUUGAUGGUUAAUAAGACCACUAAGUUCAAGAAGGGCAAGGGUAAGAAGAACUUCAAGAAGGACGGCAAAGAUGUUGCCGCGCCCGGUAAGCCAGUUGCCGGGAAGAAGUCAAAGAAUGGACCCAAGCCUGAGACUGAGUGCUUUUAUUGCAAGGGGAAGGGUCACUGGAAGCGGAACUGCCCCAAAUACUUAGCGGAUAAGAAGGCCGGCAACAGUAAAGGUAUAUUUGAUAUACAUGUAAUUGAUGUGUACCUUACCAAUACUCGUAGUAACUCCUGGGUAUUUGAUACCGGUGCCGUUGCUCAUAUUUGUAACUCAUAGCAGGAGCUGCGGAAUAAGCGGAGACUGGCGAAGGACGAGGUGACGAUGCGCGUCGGGAAUGGUUCCAAGGUCGAUGUGAUCGCCGUCGGCACACUACCUCUACAUUUACCUACGGGAUUAGUUAUAAACCUUAAUAAUUGUUAUUUGGUGCCAAGUUUGAGCAUGAACAUUGUAUCUGGAUCUCGUUUGAUACGAGAUGGAUACUCAUUUAAAUCCGAGAAUAAUGGUUGUUCUAUUUAUAUGAGAGAUAUGUUUUAUGGUCAUGCCCCUAUGGUCAAUGGUUUAUUCUUAAUGAAUCUCGAGCGUAAUGUUACACAUAUUCAUAGCGUGAAUACCAAAAGAUGUAAAGUUGAUAACGAUAGUCCCACAUACUUGUGGCACUGCCGCCUUGGUCACAUUGGUGUCAAGCGCAUGAAGAAGCUCCAUGCUGAUGGACUUUUGGAGUCUCUCGAUUAUGAAUCAUUUGACACAUGCGAACCAUGCCUCAUGGGCAAAAUGACCAAGACUCCGUUCCCCGGAACAAUGGAGCGAGCAACCAACUUGUUGGAAAUCAUACACACCGAUGUGUGCGGUCCAAUGAGUGUUGAGGCUCGCGGAGGAUAUCGUUAUGUUCUCACUCUCACUGAUGACUUGAGUAGAUAUGGGUAUGUCUACUUGAUGAAACACAAGUCUGAGACCUUUGAAAAGUUCAAGGAAUUUCAGAAUGAAGUAGAGAAUCAACGUGACCGAAAGAUAAAAUUCUUACGAUCGGAUCGUGGAGGAGAAUAUUUAAGUCACGAAUUUGGUACACACUUAAGAAAAUGUGGAAUCGUUUCACAACUCACGCCGCCUAGAACACCUCAGCGAAACGGUGUGUCCGAACGUCGUAAUCGCACUCUAUUGGAUAUGGUGCGGCCUAUGAUGUCUCUUACCGAUUUACCGCUAUCAUUUUGGGGAUACGCUCUAGAGACAGCUACAUUCACUUUAAAUAGGGCACCGUCUAAAUCCGUUGAGACGACACCGUAUGAAUUAUGGUUUGGGAAGAAACCUAAGUUGUCGUUUCUAAAAGUUCGGGGAUGCGAUGCUUAUGUCAAGAAACUUCAACCUGAAAAGCUCGAACCCAAGUCGGAAAAAUGUGUCUUCAUAGGAUACCCUAAAGAAACCAUUGGGUAUACCUUCUACUUAAGAUCCGAGGGCAAGAUCUUUGUUGCCAAGAACGGAUCCUUUCUGGAAAAAGAGUUUCUCUCGAAAGAACUAAGUGGGAGGAAAGUAGAACUCGAUGAAGUACUACCUCUUGAACAGGAUAGUAGUGCAGCUCAGGAAAAUGUUCCUGUGAUGCCUACACCAACUGAAGAGGAAAAUAAUGAUGAUGAUCAAGGUACUUCUGAUCAAGUUACUACUGAACUUCGUAGGUCCACAAGGACACGUUCCGCACCAGAGUGGUACGGCAACCCUGUCCUGGAAAUCAUGUUGUUAGACAACCGUGAACCUUCGAACUAUGAAGAAGCGAUAGCGGGCCCAGAUUCCAACAAAUGGCUUGAAGCCAUGAAAUCCGAGAUAGAAUCCAUGUAUGAAAACAAAGUAUGGACUUUGACUGACUUGCCCGAUGAUCGGCGAGCGAUAGAAAACAAAUGGAUCUUUAAGAAGAAGACGGACGCGGAUGGUAAUGUCACCAUCUAUAAAGCUCGACUUGUCGCUAAGGGUUAUCGGCAAGUUCAAGGGAUUGACUACGAUGAGACUUUCUCUCCCGUAGCGAAGCUUAAGUCCGCCCGAAUCAUGUUAGCAAUUGCCGCAUACUAUGAUUAUGAGAUAUGGCAAAUGGACGUCAAAACGACAUUCCUUAACGGUUAUCUUAAGGAAGAGCUAUAUAUGAUGCAGCCGGAAGGUUUUGUCGAUCCUAAGAACGCUAACAAAGUAUGCAAGCUCCAGCGAUCCAUUUAUGGGCUGGUGCAAGCAUCUCGGAGUUGGAACAUUCGCUUUGAUGAGAUCAUCAAAGCGUUUGGGUUUAUGCAGACUUAUGGAGAAGCCUGCGUUUACAAGAAAGUGAGUGGGAGCUCUGUAGCGUUUCUCAUAUUAUAUGUAGAUGACAUACUUUUGAUGGGAAAUGAUAUAGAUUCUUGGACAGCAUUAAGGCCUACUUGAAUAAGUGUUUUUCAAUGAAGGACCUUGGAGAAGCUGCUUACAUAUUAGGCAUCAAGAUCUAUAGGGAUAGAUCGAGACGCCUCAUAGGUCUUUCACAAAGCACAUACCUUGAUAAGAUUUUGAAUAAGUUCAAAAUGGAUCAGUCCAAGAAAGGGUUCUUGCCUGUAUUGCAAGGUGUGAGAUUGAGCUCGGCUUAAUGCCCGACCAUGGCAAAAGAUAAAGAAGAGAUGAUCGUCAUCCCCUAUGCCUCAGCCAUAGGAUCUAUUAUGUAUGCCAUGCUAUGUACCAGACCUGAUGUAAACCUUGCCGUAAGUUUGGUAGGAAGGUACCAAAGUAAUCCCGGCAAGGAACACUGGACAGCGGUCAAGAAUAUCCUGAAGUACCUGAAAAGGACAAAGGACAUGUUUCUCGUUUAUGGAGGUGAUGAAGAGCUCGUCGUAAAGGGUUACGUCGAUGCUAGCUUCGACACAGAUCUGGAUGACUCUAAGUCACAAACCGAAUACGUGUAUAUGUUGAAUGGUGGAGCAGUAAGCUGGUGCAGCUGCAAGCAGAGCGUCGUGGCGGGAUCUACAUGUGAAGCGGAGUACAUGGCAGCCUCGGAGGCAUCGCAUGAAGCUAUUUGGGUGAAGGAGUUCAUCACCGACCUAGGAGUCAUACCCAAUGCGUCGGGGCCGAUCAAACUCUUCUGUGACAACACUGGAGCUAUUGCCCUUGCCAAGGAGCCCAGGUUUCACAAGAAGACCAGGCACAUCAAGCAUCGUUUCAACUCCAUCUGAGAAAAUGUUCAAGAUGGAGACAUAGAUAUUUGCAAAGUACAUACGGAUCUGAAUGUCGUAGAUCCGUUGACUAAACCUCUCUCGCGAGCAAAACAUGAUCAACACCAGAACUCUAUGGGUGUUCGAUUCAUCACAAUGUAACUAGAUUAUUGACUCUAGUGCAAGUGGGAGACUGUUGGAAAUAUGCCCUAGAGGCAAUAAUAAAAGGGUUAUUAUUAUAUUUCCUUGUUCAUGAUAAUUGUCUUCUAUUCAUGCUAUAAAUGUAUUAUCCGGAAAUCGUAAUACACGUGUGAAUACAUAGACCAUAACAUGUCCCUAGUGAGCCUCUAGUUGACUAGCUCGUUGGUCGACAGAUAGUCAUGGUUUCUGACUAUAGACAUUAGUUGUCAUUGACAACGGGAUCACAUCAUUAGGAGAAUGAUGUGAUGGACGAGACCCAAUCCUAAGCAUAGCACAAGAUCGUGUAGUUCGUUUUGCUAGAGCUUUUCCAAUGUCAAGUAUCUCUUCCUUAGACCAUGAGAUCGUGUAACUCCCGGAUACCGUAAGAGUGCUUUGGGUGUACCAAACGUCACAACGUAACUGGGUGACUAUAAAGGUGCACUACAGGUAUCUCCAAAAGUGUCUGUUGAUGCUAGCUUCGACACAGAUCUGGAUGACUCUAAGUCACAAACCGAAUACGUGUAUAUGUUGAAUGGUGGAGCAGUAAGCUGGUGCAGCUGCAAGCAGAGCGUCGUGGCGGGAUCUACAUGUGAAGCGGAGUACAUGGCAGCCUCGGAGGCAUCGCAUGAAGCUAUUUGGGUGAAGGAGUUCAUCACCGACCUAGGAGUCAUACCCAAUGCGUCAGGGCCGAUCAAACUCUUCUGUGACAACACUGGAGCUAUUGCCCUUGCCAAGGAGCCCAGGUUUCACAAGAAGACCAGGCACAUCAAGCAUCGUUUCAACUCCAUCUGAGAAAAUGUUCAAGAUGGAGACAUAGAUAUUUGCAAAGUACAUACGGAUCUGAAUGUCGUAGAUCCGUUGACUAAACCUCUCUCGCGAGCAAAACAUGAUCAACACCAGAACUCUAUGGGUGUUCGAUUCAUCACAAUGUAACUAGAUUAUUGACUCUAGUGCAAGUGGGAGACUGUUGGAAAUAUGCCCUAGAGGCAAUAAUAAAAGGGUUAUUAUUAUAUUUCCUUGUUCAUGAUAAUUGUCUUCUAUUCAUGCUAUAACUGUAUUAUCCGGAAAUCGUAAUACACGUGUGAAUACAUAGACCAUAACAUGUCCCUAGUGAGCCUCUAGUUGACUAGCUCAUUGGUCGACAGAUAGUCAUGGUUUCUGACUAUAGACAUUAGUUGUCAUUGACAACGGGAUCACAUCAUUAGGAGAAUGAUGUGAUGGACGAGACCCAAUCCUAAGCAUAGCACAAGAUCGUGUAGUUCGUUUUGCUAGAGCUUUUCCAAUGUCAAGUAUCUCUUCCUUAGACCAUGAGAUCGUGUAACUCCCGGAUACCGUAAGAGUGCUUUGGGUGUACCAAACGUCACAACGUAACUGGGUGACUAUAAAGGUGCACUACAGGUAUCUCCGAAAGUGUCUGUUGGGUUGACACGGAUCGAGACUGGGAUUUGUCACUCUGUAUGACGGAGAGGUAUCUCUGGGCCCACUCGGUAAUGCAUCAUCACAAUGAGCUCAAAGUGACCAAGUGUUUGUUCACGGGAUCAUGCAUUACGGUACGAGUAAAGUGACUUGCCGGUAACGAGACUGAACGAGGUAUUGGGAUACCGACGAUCGAGUCUCGGGCAUGUAACGUACCGAAUGACAAAGGGAAUUGUAUACGGGGUUUUUCUAAUCCUUGACAUCGUGGUUCAUCCGAUGAGAUCAUCGAGGAGCAUGUGGGAGAAAACAUGGGUAUCCAGAUCCCGCUGUUGGUUAUUGCCCGAGAGCCGUCUCGGUCAUCACUUCGUGUCUCCCGAACCCGUAGGGUCUACACACUUAAGGUUCGGUGAUGCUAGGGUUGUAUGAAUAUGAGUAUGCAGUAUACCGAAUGUUGUUCGGAGUCCCAGAUGAGAUCCCGGAUGUCACGAGGAGUUUCGGAAUGGUCCGGAGGUAAAGAAUUAUAUAUAGGAAGUGGUAUUUCGGCCAUCGGAAAAGUUUCGGGGUCACCCGGUAUUGUACCGGGACCACCGGAAGGGUCCCGGGGGUCCACCGGGUGGGGCCACCCAUCCUGGAGGGCCCCAUGGGCUGAUGUGGGAGGGGAGCCAGCCCAUAGUGGGCUGGUGCGCCCCCCUAGGCCCAUCCCCUGCGCCUAGGGUUGAAACCCUAGGGUGGGGGGGGGCACCACAUGCCUUGGGGGGCACUCCUCCCCCCUUGGCCGCCGCCCCCUUGGGAGAUUGAAUCUCCCAGGGCCGGCGCCCCCCCUUGGGGGCCUAUAUAAAGGGAGGGGGAGAGGGGCAGCCGCACCCUGAAGUCCUGGCGCCCCCUCCCCCUGCUACACCUCUUCCUCCUCUGUCACGUGCUUGGCGAAGCCCUGCCGGAGUGCUGCUGUUCCACCACCACCACGCCGUUGUGCUGCUGCUGGAGCCAUCAUCAUCAACCUCUCCUCCCCCCUUGCUGGAUCAAGAAGGAGGAGACGUCACACGCACCGUACGUGUGUUGAACGCGAAGGUGCCGUCCGUUCGGCGCUAGGAUCUCCGGUGAUCUGAAUCACGGCGAGUACGACUCCAUCAUCACCGCUCCCUCUAACGCGUCCGUACGCGAUCUACAAGUGGUAUGUAGAUGCAAACUCACUCUCUUGACUCGUUGCUUAGAUGAACUCAUAGAUGGAUCUUGGUGAAACCGUAGGAAAAAUUUUAAUUUUCUGCAACGUUCCCCAACAGUGCGUUGGCAAGGAAAAUCCGGUUGGAGUUGUUGCUUUUCGAGGUGACCGGUGUUUGUGGUGACGUGACUAGAUGAUUGGUUUAGGGCAGACCCUUUUGCUUGUGUUUGUAACUGUCGUGGUGGCUAAUCUGUUGAUUAGCUUCGGUGUGGAGUUGUGCUACACUUGUUGUUCGCAGCAAGAUGUAGUUUCUUGUACUUGAUUUCUGCCUUCUAUAAAAAUAUGGUACGCCUAGGCGUACUCUCGAAAAAAAAUAUGUCCUCAAGAUUAGAUCAAGUUACAUAAUCAUGUUGAAGUUAAAUCAUCUUGUUGAAUUAAAAAAUGAUAAUAUUUUUUGAUGUAUGUUGAAUCAAACCUCACUCAAAACGGUGGAGAACAGUUGAAUUGUUGAGAUAUGUGAAUAAUUAUUCCAACUAUAUUUGAAAAUCCAGCAAAUAAUAUGGAGCACUGGUAGAAAAAGAGGCUUCCGUCUAGCCCCAUUAGUCGCGAAACUGUAGGAACCGCGACUAAUGAAGUCUUUAGUCGCGGUUCGGCAGACGAACCGCGACCAAAGUCUUGGGCCAGGGCGCUCGGUGGCCAGCUGGUGCACGUGAGGGGCUUUAGUCGCGGUUGGGCAGGCCAACCGCGACUAAAGGUGCCCAAAGGCCUUUAGUCGCGGUUGGCCUGGCCAACCGCGACUAAAGCUCCUCCCCUAUAUAUACCAGUUCAGCGCACUCACUUAGCCAUUUGGUGCCACUUCUCUUCACAAGGGGGUGUAGGUUUGCUUUUGGUUCCUCUUAUGCACACAAGGUGUUUGAUGAAAUGCCCAACAGCGUGAAACAAACAUGAUAUGAAGUGUUGGAGCCACACUUGAGGUUCCUCCUCGAUCGCGGUUAGCAACUUGAACCUUUCAUGCAUGUGUGUCAUUGAUAAAAUAUGCAUGUGUGUUGUUCAUUGUUUAAUUUCUAUUGUUUAUAGCUAGUUACUUUAACAAAUGCAUGAUGGUUAAUUAUAUAUUUUAUAUUAUAAUAAUGCAGAUGAAUCGGCAAUGGAUGUACGGUAACCGACUCUCCCGCGAGUUCACUACGGGUUUGAAAGAUUUCCUCGUAGUGGCUAAUGCGAACAAGCAGAAGGGUUUUGUUAUCUGUCCUUGUGUUGACUGUAAGAAUCAGAAGGGUUACUCUUCCUCAAGAGAAGUUCACCUGCACCUGCUUCGGCACGGUUUCAUGCCAAGCUAUAAUUGUUGGACCAAGCAUGGAGAAAGAGGGGUUAUAAUGGAAGAAGAUGAAGAAGGGGAUGAUUUCAUCGAUGAAAGCUAUCUUGCUCAUUUCGGUGAUACUUUCAUGGAGGAUGCUGAAGGUGAAGGGGAAGGUGAAGGGGCAGGUGAAGGGGAAGGUGAAGGGGAAGGUGAAGGUGAAGGUGAAGAAGAGGCACGUGAUGAGACCGUUGAUGAUCUUGGUCGGACCAUUGCUGAUGCACGGAGACGCUGCGAAACUGAAAAGGAGAGGGAGAAUUUGGAUCGCAUGUUAGAGGAUCACAGAAAGUCGUUGUACCCUGGAUGCGAUGAUGGUCUGAAAAAGCUGGGCUGCACACUGGAUUUGCUGAAAUGGAAGGCACAGGCAGGUGUAGCUGACUCGGCAUUUGAAAACUUGCUGAAAAUGUUGAAGAAUAUGUUUCCAAAGAAUAACGAGUUGCCCGCCAGUAUGUACGAAGCAAAGAAGGUUGUCUGCCCUCUAGGUUUAGAGGUUUUGAAGAUACAUGCAUGCAUCAACGACUGCAUCCUCUACCCGCGGUGAAUACGAGAAUUUGAAUGAAUGCCCGGUAUGCACUGCAUUGCGUUAUAAGAUCAGAGGCGAUGACCCUGGUGACGAUGUUGAGGGCGGGAAACCCAGGAAGAGGGUUCCCGCCAAGGUGAUGUGGUAUACUCCUAUAAUACCACGGUUGAAACGUCUGUUCAGGAACAAAGAGCAUGCCAAGUUGUUGCGAUGGCACAAAGAGGACCGUAAGUCGGACGGGGAGUUGAGACACACCGCAGAUGGAACGCAAUGGAGAAAGAUCGACAGAGAGUUCAAAGAUUUUGCAGCUGACGCAAGGAACAUAAGAUUUGGUCUAAGUACAGAUGGCAUGAAUCCUUUUGGCGAGCAGAGCUCCAGCCAUAGCACCUGGCCCGUGACUCUAUGCAUCUACAACCUUCCUCCUUGGUUGUGCAUGAAGCAGAAGUUCAUUAUGAUGCCAGUGCUCAUCCAAGGUCCGAAGCAACCCGGCAACGACAUCGAUGUGUACCUAAGGCCAUUAGUUGAUGAACUUUUACAGCUGUGUGGCAGACCUGGUGUUCGUGUGUGGGAUGAGCACAAAAAAGAGGAAUUUAACCUACGAGCGUUGCUUUUCGUAACCAUCAAUGAUUGGCCUGCUCUUAGUAACCUUUCGGGACUGUCAAAUAAGGGAUACAAUGCAUGCACGCACUGCUUACAUGAGACUGAAAGUGUACAUUUGCCAAAUUGUAAGAAGAACGUGUACCUUGGGCAUCGUCGAUUUCUUCCGAAAAUUCAUCCAGUAAGAAAGAAAGGCAAGCAUUACAACGGCAAGGCAGAUCACCGGCCGAAGCCUGCGGAACGCACUGGUGCUGAGGUAUUUGAUAUGGUCAAGGAUUUGAAAGUCAUCUUUGGAAAGGGUCCUGGCGGACAAUCAGUUCCGAAGGGAGCUGACGGGCACGCAGCCAUGUGGAAGAAGAAAUCUAUAUUCUGGGAGCUAGAAUAUUGGAAAGUCCUAGAAGUCUGCUCUGCAAUCGACGUGAUGCACGUUACGAAGAAUAUUUGCGUGAACCUCCUAAGCUUCUUGGGCGUGUAUGGGAAGACAAAUGAUACAAAGGAAGCACGGCAGGACCAGCAAUGUUUGAAAGACCCUGAUGACCAGCAUCCGGAAUGGUUUCAAGGUCGUGCCAGCUACGCUCUGACCAAAGAAGAGAAGGUCAUCUUUUUUGAAUGCCUGAGCAGUAUGAAGGUCCCGUCUGGAUUCUCGUCCAAUAUAAAGGGAAUAAUAAACAUGGCGGAGAAAAGUUCCAAAACCUGAAGUCUCACGACUGCCACGUGAUUAUGACGCAAUUGCUUCCGAUUGCUUUGAGGGGGCUCCUGCCGGAAAAUGUUCGAGUAGACAUUGUGAAGCUAUGUGCAUUCCUCAAUGCAAUCUCUCAGAAGGUAAUCAAUCCAGAAGAUCUACCACGGUUACAGAACGAUGUGAUCCAAUGUCUUGUCAGUUUCGAGUUGGUGUUCCCGCCAUCCUUCUUCAAUAUUAUGACGCACCUCUUGGUUCACCUAGUCGAAGAGAUUUUCAUUCUCGGUCCUGUAUUUCUACACAAUAUGUUCCCAUUCGAGAGGUUCAUGGGAGUAUUAAAGAAAUAUGUUCGUAACCGUGCUAGGCCAGAAGGAAGCAUCGCCAAGGGCUAUGGAAAUGAGGAGGUAAUUGAGUUUUGUGUUGACUUUGUUCCUGACCUUAAGCCGAUUGGUCUUCCUCGAUCGCGGCACGAGGGGAGACUAAGUGGAAAAGGCACGAUCGGAAGGAAAUCAACGACAUGUAUGGACGGCCAUUCUCUGACUGAAGCACACCACACUGUACUGACCAAUUCCAGCUUGGUGGCUCCGUACUUUGAGAAACACAAGAAUAUUUUACGCUCGGACAACCCGGGGAAGCCUGAAUCCUGGAUUAGGAAGGCCCACAUGGAGACUUUCGGCAGUUGGUUGAGAAAACAUUUAAUGAAUGACAAUGAUGUUGUAGAUCAGCUGUACAUGUUGGCCAAGACACCAUCUUCGACUAUAACGACUUUCCAAGGGUACGAGAUAAAUGGGAAUACAUUUUACACGAUCGCCNNNNNNNNNNNNNNNNNNNNNNNNNNNNNNNNNNNNNNNNNNNNNNNNNNNNNNNNNNNNNNNNNNNNNNNNNNNNNNNNNNNNNNNNNNNNNNNNNNNNNNNNNNNNNNNNNNNNNNNNNNNNNNNNNNNNNNNNNNNNNNNNNNNNNNNNNNNNNNNNNNNNNNNNNNNNNNNNNNNNNNNNNNNNNNNNNNNNNNNNNNNNNNNNNNNNNNNNNNNNNNNNNNNNNNNNNNNNNNNNNNNNNNNNNNNNNNNNNNNNNNNNNNNNNNNNNNNNNNNNNNNNNNNNNNNNNNNNNNNNNNNNNNNNNNNNNNNNNNNNNNNNNNNNNNNNNNNNNNNNNNNNNNNNNNNNNNNNNNNNNNNNNNNNNNNNNNNNNNNNNNNNNNNNNNNNNNNNNNNNNNNNNNNNNNNNNNNNNNNNNNNNNNNNNNNNNNNNNNNNNNNNNNNNNNNNNNNNNNNNNNNNNNNNNNNNNNNNNNNNNNNNNNNNNNNNNNNNNNNNNNNNNNNNNNNNNNNNNNNNNNNNNNNNNNNNNNNNNNNNNNNNNNNNNNNNNNNNNNNNNNNNNNNNNNNNNNNNNNNNNNNNNNNNNNNNNNNNNNNNNNNNNNNNNNNNNNNNNNNNNNNNNNNNNNNNNNNNNNNNNNNNNNNNNNNNNNNNNNNNNNNNNNNNNNNNNNNNNNNNNNNNNNNNNNNNNNNNNNNNNNNNNNNNNNNNNNNNNNNNNNNNNNNNNNNNNNNNNNNNNNNNNNNNNNNNNNNNNNNNNNNNNNNNNNNNNNNNNNNNNNNNNNNNNNNNNNNNNNNNNNNNNNNNNNNNNNNNNNNNNNNNNNNNNNNNNNNNNNNNNNNNNNNNNNNNNNNNNNNNNNNNNNNNNNNNNNNNNNNNNNNNNNNNNNNNNNNNNNNNNNNNNNNNNNNNNNNNNNNNNNNNNNNNNNNNNNNNNNNNNNNNNNNNNNNNNNNNNNNNNNNNNNNNNNNNNNNNNNNNNNNNNNNNNNNNNNNNNNNNNNNNNNNNNNNNNNNNNNNNNNNNNNNNNNNNNNNNNNNNNNNNNNNNNNNNNNNNNNNNNNNNNNNNNNNNNNNNNNNNNNNNNNNNNNNNNNNNNNNNNNNNNNNNNNNNNNNNNNNNNNNNNNNNNNNNNNNNNNNNNNNNNNNNNNNNNNNNNNNNNNNNNNNNNNNNNNNNNNNNNNNNNNNNNNNNNNNNNNNNNNNNNNNNNNNNNNAAAUAACUUAAAACUUGAUAAUUAACAAAAAAACCGUAAAAUUUGAUAAUUAACAAAAAAAACGUAUAUACGGAGAGGGGGCGGCGAGGGGGGCGGCGAUGCGCGCGGUGUUUUUUUAGGGAUCGAGAGGGGACGGCGAGGGUUAUAAAUGUGUUGUCCUCGCCUCCCUCUCCGUGACGCCGUCGUCUGCCUCCCCGUCUCGCGCUCUACCGCGACACCCUCUCCCACCCCUUCCUCGCCCCCUCCUUUUGCCACUGCCCUUUCGCCACCGCCACCGCCACCGCCCCCCUUCUUCACUUAAUUAAUUUGUUUUUACUACAUGUUUUCAGGACUGACAUAAUGGCGGACGAUAGAGCUGACCCGAUUAUGGACAACUAUGAUCCGGACGGUGAAGCACAUAUGUUCGGCAUCAUAAACGGCGAUAUUCUAUAUGUGCCGACCGGACAAGAAGAAGAUGAUAUCUCUUCUUAUCUGAACCUUGACGGUGAAGAUGAAGGGCGCCGUCAGCAAGAUGAUGCCGAACAAACGUCGAUAAACGACGAUCUUCAAAUGGAAGUAGCAACCACCUCCGGCGCCGAGGUAUAUAUAUAUACAUUGAGCCUCUGGUGAUACAAACUAACUGAUUUGAAUAAAUAUGUUUGGACUAACGCGCGCGACUCUCUUUCUUAUUUUAGCCCUCGGCCGGAUCGUCGAAACAAUCGAGUACGUCGUCAAAGCGUGGCGCAACCAAGACGAUGAAACAAGGAGAAACAUGCACCAUCGAGGUUGUCGACAGUGCAACCGGCAGGCCGCUGGAGCCCCGCAAGAACGCCACCAAGUUUGUCAACCAAUGCGGAGCCAUUGUUAGAGACAACGUCUCGAUCACCGUCCAGGAGUGGAAUAAGCCAAAGAAGGCACGAAUUGCUGGUUUCACUUUCGUCGAUAAGAGAACAAAAAGAGAUUGCUUCAAAAAGCUUAUGGAACAUUUCGUUCUACCUCCGGAAUACAACAAAUUCGAUGAGGAGGGUAACAAGAUUGAGGAAAACAAGGAGAGGAGGAGGCUAGUCAAACAGUUCGCUCUUCAUAAGAUGGCCGACGCAUUCCGGAAAUUCAAGCAAAAUCUAGCCCAUGACUUUGUCAAGCAGAACAAGACUCCGGAUUUCAAAGGACAAUAUGAGAAACUGAAACAUGAUUGCCCAGAAUUUGUGAAGCAAAAGAAAUCGGAGCAGUUCAUUCAAAUAUCGAAAAAAAUAAGGAAAAUGCGGCUAAGAAGGAGUACAAUCAUAUUAUGGGGCCAGGAGGGUAUCGCCUUUGGGAGCCUAGGUGGGAGAAGAUGGAGAACGAGCUGAGAGCGCGAGGAAUCCGUCCAGGUACGGAGGGAUGGGACCCAAGGGCCAAAAGCUGGUGGUACGGGCAUGGGGGAACGCUGAACCCGGAGACAGGGGACUGUGUUUACCGGGGCAAAAUAAUUAAACCCACCCAAGCCCUUAUUGACGCAAUGAGGGAUGCUCAAGAGGGGAAGAUCAAGUUCAACAGAGAGAACGACGCACUGACAAAAGCCCUCGGGAAUCCUGAACACGGAGGACGUGUACGAGGCAUGGGGCACAUUCCGUGGAAAAUAGGGUUCCCCCAGAAUGAUGACCCGUACGGUUACAGAAGCCGGAAGAGAAAGAUGGAUCGGGAAGCAGAUGUUGUGGCGCGGUUGGCAUCGGAAAUGGAUGUGAUGAAGAAAACCGUGAGUGUACUAGUAGCCGAACGAGAUGCAGCUCGGGCGCAGCAUGAAGAUCAUCCAGCGGAUCUCAGAAGCCAGCAGCGGAGAAGCAGUGUGGCUUCCACGGAGGCCCCACCGGCUGGUGCAGAUGCACCGACGAUCGAAAUUACUGCACCUGAGCCUCUGGUGGUCGAAAUUACUGCACCGGAGCCUCUGGUGGUCGAAAUUACUGCACCGGAGCCUCCUCGCUACCCCGUGGAUGAUAUAAAGGAGAUGAAAGAAUGUCAUCUGUAUUAUCCUAUCGGGAACAUGUCCGUGAAGGUAGCCAUCGGCAGUGCUUUACCAUGUUUACCUGGAGCACUCCACCACAACACCCCCAUUCAAGAUGGCUAUGCUCGUGUCACGGUGGAGGACAUAGUCCAAGGGUUUGAGGACCUGGAGAUUGACAUUGCUACACCUGAAGGGGAGAAAAGACUUGGAGAUGUCAAGCGCCAUUUCAUUCUAUGGCAAAAGAAGUUUAUCAAGUUUCCAGGCGAGGCGCCAAGGACAACAAGUCCACCCCCCUACGGUGGUGGCGGUUCACCUACACCUCCGUCACGUCAGCCGACGCCCCCCAGUCCACAACGUCCGGCGGGUGAUCAGACGCCGCCCCCCAGUCCUCGUCCGGCGGGUGAUCAGACGCCGCCCCCCAAUCCACCUCCGGCAAAGAAGCAGAAGCAGUCCUGGAUUAUUUACCCGGACCCUUAUGUACCUAAGACCACAAAGGUACCGGAGCCAUCAUUGAAGCCUCUCCCCACAAGGCCUUGGGAACGUAGUGCCGAGGAAACUGCCGCGGCCGCGGCUGCUGAUCAUGAGAAAUGGAAGGCGGACUGCAAGAAGAAAAGAGAGCCCGAGCCCAAGCCAGUAUUUUCUGAUGAGCAAAAGAAGUGGGCUAAGUCAUUUUUGAGCACACCGUCCCAAGCCGCGAAGAAUCUGCCUGACGACUAUGCACGUGAACUUCGUAGGCAGGCACUCAUGUUGAAGGAGAAGAAAGAGCGGGCGGAGAACCAGGAGAACAAAGCCUUGGAGGAGGCCGAGAAAACGGAAUUAGAAAGUAAAAAAAGCGGGAAACGAGUUGCCCAGCUCGGGGAACAAAGUAAACAAUCGAUUGCCCCGCUUAUAGUGAAAGCCGCCGGUCCGGAUGACCCCGAUAUCAUAGCAGCUGCGGCAGCACAUGGAUUGACUGUAACGAGUGCCAGAGAACAAGCGGCCAACUUAGGUAUUACUCUUCGUGAACUGUUAGGCCUUGAUGAGGCACCAGUGAAGGAGGUAGUAAUUACAUAUGUGAAAAAUGGGCCUCUCGUCGAGCCUGCGCAGGAACAGGAUCUACCUCCACAAAUGAAAGGUCUGCUGAAAUGGUACAAGGGUUACAUAAAAAAUAAAAACGCCAAAGAAUAUAUUUAUGCGGAAGUUAGAUAUGAGCAUCACUUCAAACAUUACUAUGUACAAAUUCAUCUGAGUGAAUUGUUCCAGCUUUUCAAUCUGCGCGAGCUCGACAAAUCUAUCAUCAGUUGCUACGUUCUGUAAGUGAUUUAUUUCUACCCCAUCUCGUUCAUAUUGCCUGCACUAUAUAUAUGUCCUAACUAUAUUGUUGUGUCCGCUAUUAUACAUGCAGAAUGAAGAUUAAGGAAUGCAGAGUAAGGAACAUCCAUAAUGUUGGGUUCAUUGACCCACACAUCGUUAAUGGAUAUGUGUUGGAGCAUCACCCCGCCGACAUGGAGGCAGACCUGUGGCAGUUUCUUACAAAGCAGGAACUCAAAAGUGAUAUUCUAUUUCCUUACCAUUUUGGGUGAGUGUUUCUGUCUUGAGCACAUUCUCUUUUGUUUACUCCAUGCAUGGUAUGUGGCCGGCUAAUCGAUGAGUUAUGCAUGACGUACUGUGCAUGUAUCGUGUCCGCAGGUUCCACUGGAUUCUGCUAGUAAUUAAAGUUGACACCUCAGAAUGUCUCGUCCACGACUCUCUGAAUAAGGAUCCAAAGCUUUGGGUCGACAUGAGAAGAAUGCUGCAGAAAUAAUUAUUUUCAUUCAUUUGCGCUCUAUAUCGAUCGGCCUAUUUCGUUCAUUUCCUAAUAUCAAGUAACUAAUAACUCUCUUGUUCAUUUAAUUUUCUUUGCCUCGUAGGGUUUGGAGACGGUUCGUAGAUACAAAGGUCGGUGAAUUCAAAAAAGAGCUAGAAUUCAAAAGGGCAAAGGCUAAGAAUGGUGAGGAUAUUCAGCCAGCGGGGACCAAUCUAUGUGCAUACUAUGUCUGUGAGAUGAUCCGGAGAUACACCUCUGAGCGGGUUCCGAGUGAUACCAAUGCUCAGAGGAAUAACCUCCGGAUGAUGCUUAGUCCAGAAGCUCGCUUCCGACCACUUCAAGAGGAACUUGCUGGAUGGUUCAGGAGGGAAGUCCUCCAUCCUAAAGGAGAACACCAUUACGAGGACGUAGAACUUUAUAUGCAUUAAAUUAUGUAUGGAAACUUGUUCAAAAUUGUAUAUGGUCAUCCGAUGAUAUUGAAUAUAUAUUGUAUAUUCCUCUUGAAUUCUUUUUGGUUCUAAUUUCAAAUUUGUUUGAAAUUGUACAUUCAUAUGCAUGUAUGUAGUACCGUAGAAUAUGUGAAACUCCUUCAAAAUUAAAAUAAAGCACAAAAGAAAUAAAACAAUACAUAUUAAACAGAAAACAGGUUUAAGGGGGGAGGGGGGGCUAAAACCCUAAACCUGCGGCGGCCUUUAGUCGCGGUUGGCCAGAAGAACCACGACUAAAGGUCCUCCGCCCCGACGGCCACCUGGCGCCCACGUGGACGGGCCUUUAGUCGCGGUUCUUAAGCAACCGCGACUAAAGGGUGGGGCCUUUAGUCGCGCCCGUUCGGUCGCGGUUGCGCAACCGCGACUAAUGGCAGUUGCGAACCGCGACCAAAGGCCCUUUUCCCACCAGUGGAGUGAAAAUAAGAAAAAAACAAAUGGGAAAAACCAAAUGUGGCCAUGGAAAAAAAAACUGGCGCUCUAACAAAUGACGAGAUAAGGGAGGCAGAAGAAAAACCAAAUGUGGAUCGAACACGCGACCUUCAGAUCUUCAGUCUGACGCUCUCCCAAGUGAACUAUCCCCGCUUGAUGUUAUUUCAGUUAGUUCCAAUUCUCUUUUUUUGAUUUCUGACUCACUUCAUAUUUGACUCUACACUAACGCUCUUCAAACUAACAUAAGGCCUCAGAAUCUCCACGUAGCAGCGAUCAGUAAAUGUAUUAUAUUACGCAUCUCGUACAACCGUAGCAUAGACUUCUCAACAUAUUUUUAUACGUACUUGAUGAUGUUCUUUCUUUACAUGGAAGAAGGAAAUCCAUGAUCUAUGGAACAAUCCAUGAUCUAUGGAUCACCAGCGGCAGUGCCGCGCAGCACGGAUGGAGAUGGAGGUCCAAGCUCUUAUUGGCGGCGCAGUGGUAGUACAGUGUGAGCACCAUCCCGCCACAGCUGCCGCAUGUCUUGCCACUGCAGCGCGGGUGCUCGUGGCAGAGCUGGAACUCCUUGCCCUUGAACAAUGGGUGCACCAGCAUGCCCUCUGCGAGGGCACAGUCAUUGUGGAGGUCGGAGUCACAGGGUUGGCACGUGUACAUGUCCCCGGCGCCUAGAUCCAUGCAGACGUUGCACUGGAACUCCGCGGCGCCGGUGGCCAUCAGCGCUCCCGGCGGGCGGGGUGGGACGUGGGAGAUUUCCGCAGGAUGUGGCAAGGUUGUCAAAAAACGGUAUUUUCCUUUUUCGGAGGCGGACGUUUUAAAUUGGAUGUAUAUACUACUGGAAUUAUGAUGUACACCGGGUGUCAUGUUCUUCGCCGAGUACCAAAACACGGACACUCGACAAAGAAAAUAACAACGAGAGUCACUUUUGGCAAACCUAGCUUUACGACAAACUGCCUUCUUUGCCGUCACUGCCUCGCGGCAAAGAGGCACCGCACGGCAAACCCUACAGACGUCGAGAGCUGCUCACGACAAAGAGGAGCCACGUGACAUGCCCGUCCGAAACACGACUCCGUCGGUUACUGUGUAUAUCACCGAGAGCGACACUCGGCAAACUAUAUGCCACAUCCUAUUUUCUUUUUUGAGUGUGUUCUUUCUAACUGACAUGUGAUCCCACUGGUCACAUUUAUCAAUAAAAGUUUCAAAUAAUUUGCUAAAUAUUUUUGAACAAAAAUGACGAUAUCUUUCCCGAGAGCUGCUCUCAGCAAUUCUCCUGACCAGUAAGAUAGCGUGGCCACAUGGCAGCUGACAGUUUACAUAUCUUUGUCGAGAGUUGGUCUCGGCAAUGCUCGCCAUCUUUUUCGAGAGCUGCUCUCGGAAAAGGUAUGGCACAACAGUAGUGUCUCCCAGACGACCAAUUUUCUGAGAGGAGCUCUCGGUAGUAUAUCGUUUUCCGAGUGUAGCUCUUGGAAAUCUUUCCCAUCCAUUCUACUGUUAAGCUAUUUCUUUUCUGAUCCCUGCAGAUGAAAACAACUACAGUGCAAUUUGGAGUAGUCCACACAUAUAUAGGCAUAAUUUGAUCUACUCCAUAUAUAUAUACAUACAUAUAUAUAUAUAUAAUUAGGGAUAGUCCACAUAUUAUCACACACAAAUCGAAUGUAGUAUCCUAGUAGAUGUCACACACAAGUCGUAAAUUUAUAUAUAUUGUCACUACUUGCAAAACAUGUGCACGUUACAAUAGAAGUACACUUAUUCAUAUAUAGAUCAGCUUGAGGAGGAGAGGCCAUCGGGUUAACAUUCCAGAGGAGGAGGGGCAUCACUUGCACUGCUUCGAGAUUGCAUAAGAACCUAUAAGAGUAGAGUCACGUGAGGAUGGUUCGUCCCUAUGUAAUGAAUCUUCUACUCUAGUUUAGAUAAUGUUCUACCUGUAGUUGAUUCUCAAGUAGCUUCAACCUAUUGUUAGUGUCUUCUCGUUCCUUUUCUUUGGACUCCUCAGCCUUCCGCCUUUGCUCCUCUUCAACAGCCUGCUGCUUCAUUAAAUUCUGUAACAUGGCAUUAGGCUCAUAUAGGUUGGACCGGUGCUAUUUCGAGGCAUGGACAUAAAUGAAAGGUUAGAAUGCUAACCUUGAGACUUGUGGUGCAUCUAUCUCGCAGCGCCGUGAAUGAUGUGAUCUUCAGUGACGUGGAGGUUUCAGGAGGUAUUGCUGUCUACACCUACAAAGAAGAGAAUGUUGACAGAUUUUGCCGUGUAACCGUGCCACUGUUCAACUCUGAAUAUAGUAUGUUGUCUGAACAAGUUAGCAGGAGCAUAGUCUGCACCAGAGGAUUUGGCAAAUAACUUCAGAAUUUUUAAUUGAACAUGGAUAUAUUAUUCUUGGAAGGAAAGUCUACACCAGUAGAUAUUGUGAUCUUCAAGGAUAACCCAACAUUUUAGGUGCUCUACAAGGAAUGGAUAUGAGAACGUUGCAGCGUCACAAUAGUCAAGAACCUCCACAGAAGGGUUCCAAUACUCAAGGUUUAUUUCUAGUGCUUCUUUUUUCCAGUGUAAAGAAGGGAGUAACCACAGUUUCCCCAAUUGUUGAAUCACAGAUGUAUCACCACAUAAACAGAGCAUAUGACAAGUUCAAAAUUCGAGUGCAAAACAUAUGUUCUUGUGCAACACAAAACGUCCGAAGUUUAAGCGCACAAACAUCGGCAACUCGAUUGCAACUACUUUCACUGAAUAAUGUAUCUCUCAUAACAGUAAAAAAACUAUUUCCUAGCCCAAAAAGAUGUUUUCUCGGAUCACAAUCGAUACCCCUACUUUAUGGCUGAAAACCCUUCUUUAUCACCCAAAACCCUAGCUUUAUUACGCCGCCCAAACUUACCAAACCCUGUUCUGACUUGAAUCCGACCGAUCAUCACAACAUUACAUCCCACCGGUGAUUUCCGCGGUGGUGCAGAAGAAUAGAGGCGGAGGGGAUUUCGAGAACUUGUCAUAAUCCGGAGGGAAGAUCCUGUGCGGGCGGACAAGAUGCACGGAGACGGCGGCUCCAUACCGCUGCUGAUCACCGAUGACGUCGCCAAGAGGAGGCGGACAUCAUCAAGGGAACGUCGACACGACGAGUUCUCCGAUAGAGGAGGCAAAGAGAUGUGUUAGAAGUGAGUGCUUUGAUUUAAUUCAAUUUUUUUUUAAUCUCCACCGAUGUGCUCGAGUUGGAGUGCAGUUUUCCCCCCGCAAAACGCAAUGACCGGCUUGGCCCCUCCGCCGCUAACGUGCCGCUAGAUGUCGCGUGCUGAUUGGCUCGACUAAUUUGCACAUCGGCAACAAGUUCCUGGGUGGCAGGGCGAGCAAUCGCAAGUUGUGUCACCGGCCAGAGUCCAGACAGUUUGUGGGUGUGCAGUGUUGUUACAUCUUUUUUAUGUUUUUUUAGAAUCAUCUUUUUUAUGUGAGAGGCUUUCACAAAUCUCUAAAUAAAUAAAGGACGCGUCUAGUGGGCGGCCGGCUGCCCACUAGCGCGAUCGAGCAGCUGGCCAUAAAAAGCAACUUCCUGUCCCCCACGUGGUACAGAAAAAGCAGGAUCGAGCUGCCACCAAACCGAGUGAUUCCAGCGCCCAAUCCCGAACAAAAAGCGACCCCCCCACGUGGCCAGCUGUCCACAAACUCGCUCGCCCCCACGUCCCAACCCCUCCCACGCCCGCUCGCCCAGGCAAUCCCACGCUGCUUUCUUGACCUGCAGGAAAGAAAGGGAUCCAAAGCUCCUUCUUCCUCCUCCUAUAUAGCCGCCAUGGGAGCAGAAAGAUAGAUGAAUCUGCUUCAACAAAUUGAUCUAAAAUGCAGGGUGAUCAGACCCAUACCAGGCAACAAACAUCAGGCAAGUACUUCCUCUCUAACCCUCUUCAGUUGUCCCCUUUCUUGUACUGCAUCUAUAAAACACCCUCCUCCAUGGAUCCAUCAGCAAAUCCAUGAAGAAUCUGCUUCAAAAAAAGAGUACAUUUGAAACAUCACCUUAUUGUGAACAUCACACCGGCCGCACCCCCCCCCCAUGAGUGCAUCUGCACACUAACUUAGGGUUCCCAGAUCGAAACUGAACGUGUUUUUCUAAACAUGCAUGCUAAGCAAGUUUACCCUGCCCCUUUUAUGUGUUCAACAAGUCAACUAAGACAUAUUUACUGGCCAACAAAUACAUGAUUCUAGCCAACUGAACAUGCAUGCUUGCCAACUAGAUAUAUGCAUCCUGGCCAACUGAAACGUCUAUUCUAGCCAGCUGAACACAUUGACUGUGCAACGGAACAUGCAUGCUGGCCAACUGAUAUAUGCAUCCUAGCCAAUUGAAAUGUCUAUUCUAGCUAGCUAAACACAUUGACUGUGCAACAGAACAUGCAUCCUGGCCAAGCUGAUAUAUGCAUCCUGGCCAACUGAAAUGUCUAUUCUAGCCAGCUAAAUACAUUGGUUGUGCAACAGAACAUGCAUUCUGGCCAAAAUGAUAUAUGGAUCCAUGAAAAUUCAAACAUCUAUUUUAGCCAACUAAACACAUUGGCUGUGCAACUGAACAUGCAUGCUGACCAACUGAUAUAUGCAUCCUAGGAAAAUUGAAACAUCUAUUCUAUCCAACUGAAUACAUGGACUGUGCAACUGAAUAUGCAUGCUGGCCAACUGAUAUAUGCAUCCUGGGAAAUUGAAACAUCUAUUCUAGCAAAAUUGAACACAUUGACUGUCAAACAAAACUUGCAUGCUGGCCAACUGAUAUAUGCAUCCUGGCCAACUCAAAGAUCUAUUCUAGCCAAAACCAAAAAACUGCAGUACGGCAACUUCUGCAGCAAUAUGUGCAACAGAUAAAUAAACAAGGUUAUUGAAGCCAUAAAACCACAUUAAAGUAGUCACACAUAUAUUCUGGUAGCACACCUAUUGCAAAGCUAUAGUGUAAAAAUAUGUUCAAAUAUACUGAAAGUAGAAACAGAAACGGCGACGAAAAACAUAUAUCUAUAGUCUGUCAUCAAAUUCUUCUUUCUUCUUUCACCUGGAUUUUGCAUCUGAAAAAGUAGCAUCAAAUUGUGUCCCUAUUAUGUGCAGCAAAAUUUGAAUAAGCUCCUUGCCAACGGAACCCUGCGGAUCAUUGCAAUAAAAGCAGAGGAAAAAGUCAGAAAACUCUAUGGCAAAAAGAAGUCAAGUUCUUGCCAACUAUUUACUACAAACUGUGCAACUAACAUAACAACUCUGUGCAAAAACAAAAAAUGCAUGCAUGUUAUAAUAAAAGAUUCUGCUACAGACAUGUUGCUUUUGGAACUAAGAUUGUCAUAAAAUGGUGUGCAACUGCCUAUUUACUAAGUUUUUUGGUUGUUUGAAACACUCUUUUCUAUGAUUAACAACUGAUGACAUCACUUUCUUCUUUUUUAUAUGUGCAGUGAGUGUGUGGCAGCAUCCAAAAAAAGGAAAAAAAUGCUUGUUUUCAAUGAGCUUCCUCAUGAUACGGAUCAGCAGCAACCCAGCAUACCACAAGGAAACUGGACAGAAAAUGUACGAUCUGUUUACUACACACAGGCUAGUCAUGGUGGAAACCCUAUGGGCCAUGACAAUGUGGUAGACCAACCAUCAACCCGUGGUGCCCCUGUAGUGGUGUCUUUGCAGUCAGAGAGCCAUACUCUAGAUGACAUGGGAACCGAGGCAAAUGUUCCUCAUCCAACCAGGACUGAGCUAGGAGCUGGGGCUGUUGACGGAGCUGUGCAAGAAGAAGAAGGAGAGGAUGAGGCUGGUUCUCAACGUAUGGAACCCUAUGUUGGCACGAGGUUUGACAGCCUUCAAAUUGCUAAGGAUCACUACAACAGCUACGCACUACGGAUGGAUUUCUCUAUCAAUAUGAACACAUCUAGACGGACACCCCGCACCAAUGAAUUGAUAAAACAACAGUUUUGCUGCAACAAGUUCAAGAAGCCCAAAGCUGAUGAUGGAGGAGCUGAGGCUCCUCCUGUUUUGGACCCUAUUCCAGAUCCAAAAUCUGUUGACAGUGAUGAGGAGAUGAAAGAAGAACCUCCAAUAUUUGCUGAAGAGGAGGCUGGUACUAGUAAGAAGAAGAAGAAGCGCAAACGUGAGACAAUAAAGCAGACUCAGUGCAAAGCAAAAAUGUUGGUGAAGCUGAUAGAUGGGCGAUGAGAGGUGACACACUUUGUUCGUGACCACAAUCAUCCGCUCGUGAACAAACCUUCAUUGUCCAAAUACUUGAGAUCCCACCAAGGCAUCUCACCUGAUGAAAAGGAGUUUCUGCGCAUCUUGUAUAACUGCAACUUGACUACAGGUGUGGUGUUUUUCUAUAUCCCUUAAAGAAUUAAGUUUUCCUCUAGGCAGUCUAGUGUGCAACUUUUAUGGUAGUACUGUGCAACUGAAAUGACUUAACUGUGCAACUGGUGUCCAACUGGUGUGCCACUGAAAUGACUUCACUUUUGGUGCUUGUUGUGCAACUAGAUUGUCUUUACUGUGCAACUAGACGAUGUCAUGUAUGCAAAAAGUGCAAAAGUGUUUUUAAAAAGAUGCAGCUAGGUGUCCAUUUCCUGCGAUUAUCUUUUGUGCCAACACAUUUCCUAUUACUGUGCAGCUGGAUGUGCGCAUUCGUGCAACUAAAAGAAGGAUAUACUAUUUUUUUGUAUUAUGCAGGACGUAUGAUGCAUGUAAUGGCAGAGUUUUAUGGAUCUAAGAUGAUGGUGCCAUUCGGACCAAAGGCAAUAACUAAUAUUUGUACAAGUUUCUGUAAAGAUGACACAAAGGAGGGUGAUCUGAUUGAGACAAUUGCGCACUUCAAGGAUAUUAAAAAACCGAUCCAGACUUCUUCUAUAAGGUGAAAUAUGAUGAAGAGGACAGAGUUGUCAACAUAUUUUGGGUGGAUGGCUUAGCUCGAAAAGCUUAUGCGGAGGCGUACCACGAUUGCAUAUCGUUUGACACCACCUACAUGACCAACAUGUACAAUAUUCCGUUUGCACCCUUCAUAGGAAUAAACUGACAUGGCCAAUCUUUCAUGUUGGGUUGCGCGUUUGUGAGGCAGGAGUUGGCAUCGAGCUUUGAUUGGGUCUUUGGAGCAUUCCUAGAGGCUAUGGAUGGCAAACCUCCUGACAACUUCAUAACCGAUCAGGAUGGUGCAAUGAGGCAGUCAAUACAGAGCAUCUUUCCAAACCACAGUGCACCGCUGUUGUCGAUGGCACAUCAUGAAAAAGGCUCAGGAAAAAGUUAGUUGGCUGCUGUGCCGGAAUCCAGGACUCUCUGAUGAUUUCAACAAGUGUGUUGACUUCAGCUUCACUAUAGACGAGUUUGAGCAGAAUUGGGCUGGGUUAAUGGUGAAGUACGAGGCUAUGACACACACACACACACACUUUGAGAAGUUGUACGAAUACAGGUCAACUUGGAUGUCGUGCUACUUCAAGCACAGGUUCUUCCCGUUCCUACAAUCUACAUAGUGUAAUGAGGGGUUCAACACCGUCCUGAAAAGAUAUGUGAACCCACACAACUCAAUGCUGAACUUCGUCAAGCAAUAUGAAAAAAAUCCAGAACCACAUCCUUGCCAAGGAAGGCUGCAAUGAUUAAAGGACAGAACACCUUGAGAUUGAGCUGUGGUCCAACUUCCCAAUAGAGAAGCAAGUUUACAAAACCUAUACUAGGGACCUUUACCGCAAGUUCAGAGAAGAGUUUGAGCUGAUUGGAUGUUAUAAUGCAUUCCAAGUUGGUGCUGAUAUAGAGCUCAGACCGAACCAGGAAUUUGUUGCCAAAUAUGGUUCUCGAAACUACUUGGUGUAGGCAAGGGUGGAGGAGGGCUCCUAUUUGUGUGAGUGCUGUAAAAUGGACAAAGACGACAUCCUCUAUUGCCACAUCCUCAAGGUGUUCACCCAUAUUGGAGUUGAUGUCAUACCGGAAAGGUACCUGCUAAGACAGUGGACACCUACUGCUAUACCUAGUGCGCCAGGGACUGGUUAUGAGCAACCGGAUGAAAUGCCUCCUCAGUCAAAGAAGCAGAUAAGGGAGAGGAACAUGAUAUACGAUUUUUGGAAACUAGCAAAGUUUGUGAGUGGUUCUGAUCCAGCACAAGCUAUUGUACACAAGCAUAUGCGUGCAACACGUACCGAGAUCGGCCACAUGAACAAGUCCAAGAAAAAGAAAAAACCGACUGCUGCCACGGGGCCAUCAGAUGAUGGCAACCCUCGAGGACCUCCUCCACCUCCACGCAGCAAUCAGGGUGCUCAUUAUCCAGCUAAUUAUCUGCCCCAACUCCUGAUCUAAAUAGGUGUGUAACUUCAGUUGCACACAUCAUUGUGCCUAGUUGCACACAUCAUGGUGGCCAGUUGCAUAGAAACAGGCUGCCUAGUUGCGCAUACUGUGUUAGUUCAAGCAUCGAGAUAACAUAACUAACUUGUUUUUCCUGUUCUGGAUAUAGAUGAUGUCAACCCUCAAGGACAUCCUCCACCUCCUGGCCCUAUAGGUAGCACUCAGGGGCCUCAUCGUCCAGGUAAUUACCUGCCCCAACUCCCAAUCAAACUAGGUCUGUAACUCCAGUUGCACACAUCAUGGUGCUCAGUUGCACAGAAAACAGGCUACCUAGUUGCGCACGUUGUGUUAGUUCGAGCAUCAAAGAUAACACAACUAACUUGUUUGUCCUGUUCUAUCUAUAGGUGAUGCCAACCCUCAAAGACCUCCUCCCCCGCCUGGCCCAACUAGCAGUGCCCUGCGUGCUACUCCCAAUGGACCUACAUGCAGGACUCAGGGGGCUCAUCACCCAGGUAAAAUACCUUCCCCAACUCCCAACAAAACUAGGAUGUGUGACUUCAGUUGCACAUAUCAUUAUGCCAGUGCAACGUCUUGAGCUUGCAUUGGUUUUCCUCGAAGAGGAGAGGGUGAUGCAUCAAUAGUAGCGUAAGUAUUUCCCUCAGUUUUUGAGAACCAAGAUAUCAAUCCAGUAGGAGGCUCCUCAAAAGUCACACGCACGUACACAAACAAACUGAGAACUCGCAACCAACGCGAUAAAGGGGUUGUCAAUCCCUUCACGGCCACUUGCGAAAGUGAGAUCUAAUAAAGAUGGUAAGCUAAGAUAAAUAUGUUUUUGGUAUUUUAUAAUAUGGAUGCAAAAAGUAAAGAUGCAAAUAAAAGUAGAUUGAAAGCAAAUAUGAUAAGAGAUAGUCCCGGGGGCCAUAGGUUUCACUAGAGGCUUCUCUCAAGAUAUCAUAAGUAUUACGGUGGGUGAACAAAUUACUGUCGAGCAAUUGAUAGAAAAGCGCAUAGUUAUGAGAUUAUCUAGGCAUGAUCAUGUAUAUAGGCAUCACGUCCAUAACAAGUAGACCGACUCCUGCCUGCAUCUACUAUUAUUACUCCACACAUCGACUGACUCCUGCCUGCAUCUAGAGUAUUAAGUUCAUAAGAACAGAGUAACACAUUAAGCAAGAUGACAUGAUGCAGAGAGAUAAACUCAUGCAAUAUGAUAUAAACCCCAUCUUGUUAUCCUUGAUGGCAACAAUACAAUACGUGCCUUGCAACUCUUUCUGUCACUGGGUAAGGACACCGCAAGAUUGAACCCAAAGCUAAGCACUUCUCCCAUGGCAAGAAAGACCAAUCUAGUAGGCCAAACCAAACUGAUAAUUCGAAGAGACUUGCAAAGAUAACUCAACCAUACAUAAAAGAAUUCAGAGAAGAUUCAAAUAUUAUUCAUAGAUAAACUUGAUCAUAAACCCACAAUUCAUCGGAUCUCGACAAACACACCGCAAAAAGAGUUUACAUCGAAUAGAUCUCCACAAGAGAGGGGGAGAACAUUGUAUUGAGAUCCAAAAAGAGAGAAGAAGCCAUCUAGCUAAUAACUAUGGACCCGUAGGUCUGUGGUAAACUACUCACAACUCAUCGGAGGGGCAAGGAUGUUGAUGUAGAGGCCCUCCGCGGUCGAUUCCCCCCCCGGCAGAGUGCCGACGAAGGCUCCAAGAUGGGAUCUCGCGGAUAUAGAAGGUUACGGUGGUGGAAAUUGUGUUUCAUGGUGCCCCUGGAUGUUUUCGGGGUACGUAGGUAUAUAUAGGAGGAAGAAGUACAUCGGUGGCCGCCCGAGGGGCCCACGAGACAGGGGGCGCACCCUAGAGGGGGGGGGGCUCCUAUCUCGUGGAGCCCUCAGCUGCUUCUUGACUUGCAUUCCAAGCUCUCCGGAUCACGUUCGUUCCAAAAAUCACGCUCCCGAAGGUUUCAUUCCGUUUGGACUCCGUUUGAUAUUCCUUUUCUUCGAAAUAUUGAAAUAGGCAGAAAAAACAGCAAUACGGGCCGGGCCUCCGGUUAGUAGGUUAGUCCCAAAAAUGAUAUAAAUGUGUAAAAUAAAGCCCAUAAACAUCCAAAAGAGGUAAUAUAAUAGCAUGGAACAAUCAAAAAUUAUAGAUACGUUGGAGACGUAUCAAGCAUCCCCAAGCUUAAUUCCUGCCCGUCCUCGAGUAGGUAAAUGUAAAUAAGAAAUUUUUGAUGUGGAAUGCUACCUAGCAUAAUUCUCAAUGUAAUUUUCUUUAUUGUGGCAUGAAUGUUCAGAUCCAAAUGAUUCAAAAUAAAAGCUUAUAAAACAUAAAAAUAAUAAUGCUUCAAAGCAUACUAACAAAAAAUCAUGUCCUAUCAAAAUAACAUAGCCAAAGAAAGCUUAUCCCUACAAAAUCAUAUAGUUAGGCCAUGCUUCAUUUUCAUUACACAAAAUACUCCCAUCAUGCACAACCUCGAUGACGAGCCGAGCAAUUGUUUCAUACUUUUUAACGCGCUUCAACUUUUUCAACUCUUACGCAAUACAUGAGCGUAAUCCAUGGACAUAACACUAUAGUGGUAUAUGGUGGUGGUUGUGAGGACAAAAAGAGGGAGAAGAUAAUCUCACAUCAACUAGGCGUACUAACGGGCUAUAUAGAGGUGCCCAUUAAUAGAUAUCAAUGUGAGUGAGUAGGGAUUGCCAUGCAACGAAUGCAGUAGAGCUAUAAAUAUAUGAAAGCUGAAAAAAGAAACUAAGUGGGUGUGCAUCCAACUUGCUUGCUCAUGAAGACCUAGGGCAUUUUGAGGAAGCCCAUUGUUGGAAUAUACAAGCCAAGUUCUAUAAUGAAAAAUUCCCACUAAGUAUACGAAAGUGACAACAUAGGAGACUCUCUAUCAUGAAGAUCAUGGUGCUACUUUGAAGCACAAGUGUGGAAAAAGAGAUAGUAGCAUUGUCCUUUCUCUCUUUUUAUCUCAUUUUAUUAUUUUUUCUUUUCUCUUUUUUUCUUUGGCCUUUUUUUUUCUUUUUGGCCUUUCUCAUUUUUUUUCUUUUUUUUAUUUCUCUUUUUUUUCUUUUUGUAAAGUCCGAAGUCUCAUCCCUACUUGUGCGGGAAUCAUAGCCUUCAUCAUCCUUACCUCACUAGGACAAUGCUCUAAUAAUUAAGAUCAUCACACUUCUAUGGAUUUACAACUCAAGAAUUACAACUCAAAGCUAGAACAAGAUCUGACUCUAUAUGAAUGCCUCCGGCGCUGUACCGGGAUAUGCAAUGAAUCAAGAGCGACAUGUAUGAAAAUUAUGAAGGUGGCCUUGCCACAAAUACGAUGUCAACUACAUGAUCAUGCAAAGAGCAAUAUGACAAUGAUGGAACGUGUCAUAAUAAAUGGAAUGGUGGAAAGUUGCAUGGCAAUAUAUCUCGGAAUGGCUAUGGAAAUGCCAUAAUAGGUAGGUAUGGUGGCUGUUUUGAGGAAGGUAAAUAAGGGGUUUAUGAUACCGACAAAAGUUGCGCGGUAAUAAUAAAGGCUAGCAACGUAAAAGGAUGAGUGUGCAUAUGUCCAUGGACUCACAUUAGUCAAAAGAGAACUCAUAUACUUAUUGAAAAAGCCUACUUAGCCCUCGAAGCAAAGUACUACUACGCAUGACCCAAGAGGGAUAGAUUGGUAGGAAAAGACCAUCGCUCGUCCCCGACUGCCACUCAUAAGGAAGACACUCAAAAGAGCACCUCAUCCAACAAAUUUGUCACACAACUUUUACCAUACGUGCAUGCUACGGGACUUGCCAACUUCGACAAAAGUAUUUCUCAAUUUCAUAAUUACCCACUAGCAUGACCCUAACAUUACUACCUUUAUAUCUCAAAACAACUAUCAAGCAUCAAGUUGAUCAUAGCAUCCAAUUCUUAUUCUAUGAUAGUUUUUAUUAUACCCAACUUGGAUGCUCAUCAUUCUAAGACCAACUUUGUAACCAUAGCAAAUACCAUGUUGUUCUAAAAAACUCUCAAAAAUAUAUAAGUGAAGCAUGAGAGACUAGAAAUUUCUUCAAAAUCAGGACACCACCAUGCUCUAAAAGAUAUAAGUGAAGCACUAGAGCAAAAACUAUCAAGCUCAAAAGAUAUAAGUGAAGCACAUAGAGUAUUCUAGCAAAUUCUAAUCAAAUAAGCUUCUCCCAAAAGGUGUGUACAGCAAGGAUGAUUGUGGUAAACUAAAAAGCAAAGACUAAUAUAAUACACGAUGCUCCAAGCAAAACACAUAUCAUGUGGCGAAUAAAAAUAUAGCUCCAAGUAAAGUUACCAAUGAACGAAGACGAAAGAGGGGAUGCCUUCCUGGGGCAUCCCCAAGCUUAGGAUUUUGGCUAUUCUUGAAUAUCUUGGGGUGCCUUGGGCAUACCCAAGCUUAGGCUCUUGCCACUCCUUAUUCCAUAGUCCAUAAAAACUUUACCCAAAACUUGAAAACUUCACAACACAAAACUCAACAGGAAAUCUUAUAAACUCCGUUAGUGAAAGAAAACAAAACCACUACAUAAGGUACUGCAAUGAACUCAUUAUUUAUUUAUUUUGGUGUUAAACCUACUGUAUUCGAACUUCCUUAUGGUUUAUAAACUAAUUUACUAACCAUAGAUGCAUUGAAAUAAGCAAACAACACACGAAAAACAGAAUCUGUCAAAAACAGAACAGUCUGUAGCAAUCUGUAACUAACGCAAAUUGCUGGAACUCUAAAAAUCCUACCAAAAUAGGAAGUCCUGGACAAUUUGUUUAUUGAAAAGCAGAAAAAAGAAUCAACGCAAAAUCACGUUCCUGUGAUUUAACAAAAUUAUAUUCGUGCCCGCAAAGUUUCUGUUUUUCAGCAGAAUCAAAUCAACUAUCAUCGUAGGUUAUCCUAUAGGUUCUACUUGGCACAAACACUAAUUAAAAGAUAAAACACAUCUAAACAGAAGGUAGAUGCAAGAUUUAUUACUAAACAGGAGCAAAAACAAAGAACAUAAAGAAAAUUGGGUUGCCUCCCAACUAGCGCUAUCGUUUAACGCCCCUAGCUAGGCAUAAAAACAAAGAUAGAUCUAAGUAGUGCCAUAUUUGGCACUAGAUUCGUAAGUAGCACGCAUGAUAGAUUCAUAAGGUAAUUUGACUUUAUUUCUUGGAAAGUGCUCCAUGCCUUUCUUUAAUGGAAAUUGGAAUCUAAUAUUCCCUUCCUUCAUAUCAAUAAUCGCACCAAUCGUUCUAAGAAAAGGUCUACCAAGAAUAAUAGGGCAAGAAAGAUUGCAAUCUAUAUCAAGAACGAUAAAAUCUACGGACACCAAAUUUCUAUUUGCAACAAUAAGAACAUCAUUGAUCCUUCCCAUAGGCCUUUUAAUGGUGGAAUCCGCAAGGUGCAGAUUUAAAGAGCAAUAAUCAAGAUCAUGGAAACCUAGAAUAUCACAUAAAGUUUCGGAAUCGUGGAAACACUAGCACCCAAAUCACACAAAGCAAAACACUCACAAUCUUUAAUUCUAAUCUUUAUAGUAGGUUCCCACUCAUCAUUAAGUUUUCUAGAUAUAGAAACUUCCAAAAUUAAGUUUUUCAUCAUAAGAUUGCAUCAAGGCAUCAACGAUAUGUUUGGUAAAAGUUUUAUUUUGACUAUAAGCAUGAGGAGAAUUAACAAUGGAUUGCAACAAGAAAAUACAACCUUUUAAAGAGCAAUUAUAAUAAUCAAAUUCCUUGAAAUCCGAGAUAGUAGAUUCAAUAUUAUUAGAAGUUGAGGAUUCUCCAAUCUCACUUUUACCAAAUUUAGCAAUAAGAUCUAAAGAUUCCGAAUUCUUGGGACGCCUUCUAGGCAAAGUUGAUUCAUCAUCAGUCCCAUUAUCAUCAAAAUUCAUAUUGCAAAAUAUAGAUCUAAUAGGAGACACAUCAAUAACUUUAAGAUCCUCAUCAUUAUUUUCACCUAACUUUUCUGGUUCAGCGGCCAUCUUAUUGACUAAGGUGGCUUGCUUAUCAGAAAUUUUGGCUAUAGUAUUUUCAAGACGGGUAAUUUGAGCAUUAACACCAUAAAAUUCUUCAUUCAUAUCAUCAAGCUCUUUGUUCCUAAACCCCAAAAAACCUUUUUGUUCCUUAAGCUCUUUUCUAAAGAAGUUAUUAUGCUAAAAUUGCAAAUUCAUAAAGCUUCUAAUAUUUGAUUCAAUCUCUUCCAUCCUUCUGAGAAGGUGGUCAUGACCCUUAGGCGAAGCCAUAAGGACAAACAGGCACACAAGCAAACAGAGAAGGGCAAGCGAAAGAGAGGAGGAGAUUGCGAAAGAGAGGGCGAAUAAAACGGCAAGGGUGAAGUGGGGGAGAGGAAAACAAGAGGCAAAUGGUAAAUAAUGUAAAUGCGAGGGAGAUGGGUUUGUGAUGGGUACUUGGUAUGUCUUGACUUGAGCGAAGACCUCCCCGGCAACGGCGCCAGAAAUCCUUCUUGCUACGUCUUGAGCUUGCGCUGGUUUUCCUCGAAGAGGAGAGGGUGAUACAUCAAUAGUAGCGUAAGUAUUUCCCUCAGUUUUUGAGAAACAAGGUAUCAAUCCAGUAGCUGGCUCCUCAAAAGUCCCACGCACCUACACAAACAAACUGAGAACUCGCAACCAACGCGAUAAAGGGGUUGUCAAUCCCUUCACGGCCACUUGCGAAAGUGAGAUCUAAUAAAGAUGGUAAGAUAAGAUAAAUAUAUUUUUGGUAUUUUAUAAUAUGGAUGCAAAAAGUAAAGAUGCAAAUAAACAUAGAAUGAAAGCAAAUAUGAUAAGAGAUAGACCCGGGGGCCAUUGGUUUCACUAGAGGCUUCUCUCAAGAUAGCAUAAGUAUUACCGUGGGUGAACAAAUUACUGUCGAGCAAUUGAUAGAAAAGUGCAUAGUUAUGAGAUUAUCUAGGCAUGAUCAUGUAUAUAGGCAUCACGUCCAUAACAAGUAGACCGACUCCUGCCUGCAUCUACUACUAUUACUCCACACAUCGACCGACUCCUGCCUGCAUCUAGAGUAUUAAGUUCAUAAGAUCAGAGUAACGCAUUAAGCAAGAUGACAUGAUGUAGAGGGAUAAACUCAUGCACUAUGAUAUAAACCCCAUCUUAUUAUCCUCGAUGGCAACAAUACAAUACGUGCCUUGCAACCCUUUCUGUCACUGGGUAAGGACACCGCAAGAUUGAACCCAAAGCUAAGCACUUCUCCCAUGGCAAGAAAGACCAAUCUAGUAGGCCAAACCAAACUGAUAAUUCGAAGAGACUUGCAAAGAUAACUCAACCAUACAUAAAAGAAUUCAGAGAAGAUUCAAAUAUUAUUCAUAGAUAAACUUGAUCAUAAACCCACAAUUCAUCAGAUCUCAACAAACACACCGCAAAAAGAGUUUACAUCGAAUAGAUCUCCACAAGAGAGGGGGAGAACAUUGUAUUGAAAUCCAAAAAGAGAGAAGAAGCCAUCUAGCUAAUAACUAUGGACCCGUAGGUCUGUGGUAAACUACUCACAACUCAUCGGAGGGGCAAGGAUGUUGAUGUACAGGCCCUCCAUGGUCGAUUCCCCCUCCAACAGAGUGCCCGGCGAAGGCUCCAAGAUGGGAUCUCGCGGAUACAGAAGAUUACGGUGGUGGAAAUUGUGUUUCGUGGCGCCCCUGGAUGUUUUCGGGGUACAUAGGUAUAUAUAGGAGGAAGAAGUACGUUGGUGGCCGCCCGAGGGGCCUACGAGACAGGGGGCAUGCCCUACAGGGGGGCGCAGCCUCCUAUCUCGUGGAGCCCUCGACUGCUUCUUGACUUGCACUCCAAUCUCUCCGGAUCACGUUCGUUCCAAAAAUCACGCUCCCGAAGGUUUCAUUCCGUUUGAACUCCGUUUGAUAUUCCUUCUCUUCGAAAUACUGAAAUAUGCAAAAAAAACAGCAAUACAGGCUGGGCCUCCGGUUAGUAGGUUAGUCUCAAAAAUGAUAUAAAUGUGUAAAAUAAAGCCCAUAAACAUCCAAAAGAGGUAAUAUAAUAGCAUGGAACAAUCAAAAAUUAUAUAUACGUUGGAGACGUAUCACCCAGUUGCACAGAACAUGCUGCCUAGUUGCGUGCGCUGUGUUAGUUUGAGGAUCAAGCUAAAAAUCUAACUUGUUUUUCCUGUUCUACCCAUAGGCAAUUACAAUCCAAGUACCAUGACGGGACGUGCUACUCCAAGUGUUUUUUCAACUUAACCUGCACACAUCAACCAGUUAGGUGCACAGCAUGGGCUGCGUGGUUGCAGAGAACAUUAGUGCUGGUUGCACAACAAAAAAAGUACUAAAUUUUUUAUAUGAUUAUUACACAGGUGAUCGUGAUGGUCCUACUGCCCCGUUGGAGGAUGCAUCCCCUGCACAAGCUUCUGAUGACUUUGUGCCCAGGGAUCCUCCAAGGUCUACUACAAAGGGUAGGGCAAAAAGUUGACGGUACAAAUCGGCGCUGGAGCUACACCCAAAGAAGAAAAACAAAUGCAACCAAUGCCAAUCUACAGAGCACACUGCUGGUGUGUGUGUCCACUCAGGCUACUGUGAUUCUGUUUCACCAUUUGUAACUUUGAGACAAAAAAGGAAAAGAAUGAUGUUUUUUAGCAAUGCUGGGACCAAGUAGACACAUUCAGCAUCUAUGAUUUCUCUUUAUCUAAUUUAUGCUCCUUGAAUUAUUUCAUGCACUGUGUAAAAAAUGUUGCUAUUUGUACCUUUGUUGGCAACUGGUUAAAUAUUUAGUUGUUGAACAAUUGUAUGUCAAGUGCUCCUAAUAUAUCAACAAAAGUGAUGAUAUUGACUUGCAAACGGAAUUGCUACUAGUGUGCAACUACAAAAUCUGCUUAAAAAUUGUGCAAACCAGCAACUACCUCCAUGGAGCAGAGAAAGAAAAAGAGUACUGACCUAGUCCUUGUCGUAUCUCAGCAACUUCCUCCAUGGGGCGGUGUUGUGCACGCUGGUGACCCAGUCAUAUGCCAUCUUCUUCCUGAUGUUGAGUACUUCCUUGGGUUCGUAGUUGGGCAGUUGGCUAUCGUUCCACUCGGUGGCGUUAAGCAGUGCGAACAACCCACACUCAUUACUGCGAUGGGCAAGAAAAGAAAAUUUGUCACAUAAAAUUAAAACCAAAUAAAGAUAAUGCACUCUGUGCAACUGCUUAUGUUCUACUGUGCAACUGUUUAUGUUCUACUGUGCAACUACUUAUGUUCUACUGUGCAACUUCUUAUGUGCCACUAUGCAACUGCUUAUGUGCCACUCUGCAACUGGCUAGAUAAUCCAUUAGAAACUCAUAAAAAUGAUAAACAGAUUGCAGACUAGUACUGUGUCUUAAAAAACUAAAGAUUGCACAUGUAGAAAAAUUUAAAAACUACAAAAUGAUGGUAAGAAAUUGAGAAGAGAGCCAUGCUUAUUGUCUUACUUGCCGAGCUGCUUCGGUACGUCAAUGUAAAUAAUCUGAAAGUGCUCGAUGCUGAAAUUUGGGUAAUGCUUCCUCCAUAGCUGGCGUACUGCCCCCGCGAUGGUAGAGGCGGUGGUCAUCAGCUCAAUGUCAUCUAGCGUCCUGCUUGAAUCAAGAACUUCGAAGCGUCCGUCCCUCAAGUUGACAUUGAAGACCCAAUAAUGCCUCCCUCCCUCCUUAUCGGUUACAUCAGUGCACUCGAGCACUGGCAGCAUGACCUGCAAGUGUGAACGAUUUCAGACAUAGAUACAGGCUGUAGCUAAGAAAAAACAGUAAAAGACUUGGUCAAGUUAAAACAUGUUGCAACAAGUAUGUGCCAACUAACAGAUGUGCCAUGUGCAACUGAACAUGCUGUGGGUGUCAACAAAAAGAGAUGGAUCAUGUGGGCACAACACUCACCAAGUCCUUCUUGUCGAGACGGUUCUUGUAAUCAAACUUCUUGUUUAUCUCUUUCACGUUGUGGAUACCUUGCUGUAAAUUCAUCUGCAGAGAUUAUAAAGCAUGGCUCAAACUCCUUAGUAGAUGAAAGGCCUCCCUCAAUUGGUCAACAAAAAAGUGCUACAGAACAAAGAUGAGGGUAAGGAAGGUUUUGGAAAAACUUACCGAAAAACUCAGUGGCAUAACAACCUUCUUUGACCCUUCUAGUAAGCUCUCCAUGAUGUGUAAGAUUCCAGUCUCAAUAACAAUUUUUGACAGCCAUUGAACCGGCUUCAUCGAAUCAACUAACUCCUUUAAAGAAAUGUAGAAAUCACCAUACCUGAUUAUCUCAGGGCUGAAUUUUUUUUGAAAGCAAUAAAAAGACAAGUUAGCUCGAAGGGUCAUAGUAGCAAAAAAAAUGUGCAUGAAAUUGAAAAACAGAACAGUGUGCAACUAAAAGCCCUGUUCUGUGCAACAUGCUAUGCUUUCUGUGCAACUAAGUGGCUGGUCUUGUGCAACUGAAAAAGAUAUGUAUGUAGGCUGUGGGGAGUUAGUUUACCUGGUAGCUUCAUCAUUUGCUCCUUCAUGAUGCCUGGCCCAACACAAGAGGGCAGCGUAAAGCUUGUUCACUGCCUCAUUGGAGCUGAAAGACUUCUUCUUGUUGUAGUCAAUGAAUGGAGACCUUUGAGAUGCCGCGAGCCUUAUUACCGUCCUCUGUCUUCAUGCAAUAGGUGGUCCUGAAGAACAGCUCGUGUCAGCUUCUGGUUCUGCGCAUAUCGGGGUGUGGCAAUUCUCUGGUGAUCCAACAUCUAGCUCUUGAGCUAUUGCCUUGCCAGCAUCAGCAGCAGCGCAUCCUUCAUUCACAGCUGCUGGGUCCAACUCACACUCAUCAAUACUAAUCACACCGGCUUCCGCUGUUUCUGCUGCUGGAGCAGGUGCUGGAGCAUGACCAUCUAUGCCGAGGUCAAAAGAUGGUGCAUCACAGAACCCGUCACCAUGAUAAGACUUUAAUCUUCGUAUGGGUUCAAGGACUAGGGCAUCUCCUUGCGGCACAAACAUGGGUGCAUCAUUCACUGACUUGGUUCGUGAUAGUGUUGUAGUUGGCAGCCUUGGAGGCUUGCACCUACUUAUAAUCUUGAACACCUCCUCUUGUGUUAAUGGUUGCUGAAAGUCAGCUCUUGGUGAUGCAGGCUUGCUUGGCUGUUGUGUGCUGGCUCUUGGGGACGGCAAUUUGGUAGUAGGAUCACCUCCUUUUGUGUUUGGCAUUGAAGCAUCUCUAUGAGUAGGCACUUUGGGGCUUGCAGUUGCAGUGGUGCCUUCCUGAGCAGAUGUGGUGGUUUUGACUAUGACCACGCUGCUAACUGACACAUCAGUUGGCACACUGGUAUCUGUAGUUGGCAUCUUUCCAGUCUGAGUUGGCAGCAACCUAGCAGAACUUGGCACCCCUGCAUCAAUGGUUGCAGCUCGCAGUUCUCUCUCGUCUCUGAACCCCAAAUCUUUUGUGGCCUGUUCCCCCUUUGUGCCGCUGGCAAACUUGACAAUCUUUUGUUGCUUAGGUGGUUUUGGUGGGACUGUUGAAAGGGGAGUCUUCCCCUUGAUCUGUUGAACUCCUGUUAUGGUGGUUGGCUCUCUGCUCACUACAGUUGGCAUAUCAGUUUGAAGCACAGCUUUCUUGACCAUAUUUACUUCAGCAUCUGCACUCACCAUCUUCUCCUUGGUUUGAGGCAAAUGUAGAUUCUUCUUCAUUGAAACUUCUUUACGCUUCUGGACCACGUGAGGGUUUGCCAUGGAUGCUACCUUGCUCUUGCCGGAGCUUAGGUCUCGAAGCUGCUUCAAAUAUUCCUUGUAUUUUUCCUUUGAAUGAACCCAGUCAAGACCCUUUCCUGCUUUCUCCAUGUCAAUUUGAUUCUUUUCAGCAACACUUGAUAAGAACGGGCUCUUGUCAAUGGCAACGUUGAUCUUCUCACACAUAUCUUGGUCGCUAAAAUAUGGCACAGGAAAGGUGGUUGGCAAAGCUGGCUUCAAGUUGCAGAGCUUGAACAUAUCAAUGCUGCACUGGGACUCUGCUUCGUCAUUUUUCUUUGACUUCGGCAAAUCCUUGUCUUCCAGCAAGUUUUGUCAAUUAGCAUCUGUAGUGUGCUCCUGCUACUCAGUGAAUUGCUGCUGCUGGCAGGAGUGGCAGAAGUGCUAGUCCUACUGGAUGUGUUGCCGCCUGUACGACCAGAACCAGGGGCAUUGUCAUCAUCAUCAUCAUCGCUGCUGUCGCUGCCUCCACUGGAUCCCCCUUUAUCAUCACCAUAACCCACCUCGUCUUCUUCUUCAUCAUCUUCUUCCCUCUCACUGCCAUCAACUGCUGCACCUUUGUCCCCGUCCACCUCUUUGGCCUCACCUUCUUCUUCCUCCUCCUCUGCCUCACUAUCUUCUUCCUUGUCCUCCUCCUCUCCUUUGUCCUCUUCUUGUUUGUCCUCCUCCUCCUCCUCCUCCUCCUCUUCCUCCUCCUUCUCCUCCUCUUCCUCCUCCUCUUCCUCCUCCUCCUCUGCAUCUUCUUCAUUGUCAUCCUCAUCCUUGUCCUCAUCCUCUGAUUCAUCCGCAUUUGUGUCGUCGUCAUUGUCAACAUCUAUCGCUGCUUCCAUUUCCUCAUCUUCUUCUGACUCAUCCUCAACAAACUCUUCUUCUUGUUGUAUAAUUGACCCCCGUCUCUUUCUUUUUGGAGCACGGCGUGACGCCCCGGUUUGCAUUGAUGGCUGCUGUACGUAAGGAUCAAUAUCCGGUUCCUCAUCAUCAAUCUUGGCAACUGCUUCAAUGAAGGUGCCAACCUGUUCAGUUACAGCCUUGCACAGGUCAUUGACCACUUUCGCAAUCUUUGCCUUUUUCUGCAUCAACACAAAAAAAAGAUUCAAUAUUGAUUCAGUUAGAAAAAAUUAAAAAGUAAAAUGUUUGUAACUGACCAUGAUGUGAUAAGCAAAAACCGACUAAUACACACUUUUUGGCCAACUAAAAACAUGAUUCUAGCCAACUACACAUGCACUGUGGCACAAACUAAAAACAUGCAUUCUACCCAGUUGAUGUCAAUGGUUGUAAACGAACACUUUGACUGUCAAAAAGAACAUGUGCAACUAUAGAAGCUUAUAUGUGCAACUGAACAUACAUCACAACCAACUGAAUCCUUUAUUCUCGCAACUACAAAAGUUAUACAUGUCCAACUGAACAUACAUCCCAGCCAAAAGAAAAUGUUGGUAAGUGGUACAAAUUUAUGUAUGCAAAACACUAACCUGCGGAUUGUAGGUUAUUGGUAACUUGGAUGCCACGAAUGCUUCAGCUUGCAAAAUUCCACCAAACAGUGGUGUCUGCUCCGUGCCUCUAUACUCCUCUUUAAGCUGAUGUAAAAAAACAGAAAAAGAAAAGAACAAGGUUAUCAAAACAAAUUUUUGUGUUAAACAAAACCAAACAUUAUAACCUGUGCAACUACAACAAGAUACUAUGGUAGACAAUUCGACUAUACAUAUAUGCAACUGAACAAAGAUACAAAAACUGUGCAACCCACAUGGCACCUAAAUUUUUUUUCUACCAACUGAUGCCACACAUCUAUGCAACAAGAUUAGUAAAACUGUGCAACUUAAAAAAGAUGGUGUGCCAAUUUAAAAUGAACAUGUGUGCAGAUGCCAAACUUAAAGCUACAAGCUGUGCAACUACAUGAAUUGUUGUGCCAACUGAUGACAGUUUUUGUGCAAUUUCCAAAAAAGUGACUAGACAUCAAAAGAACAUAAAAAAAGAGACUGUUGGAAAAAAACAAAGAGAACUCACUUGUAAUUUGCCGAACACACCAGGAGAGACGGUAUCAUUCUUCAUCACCUUGGCAAUUAGAGUACCAUCCCAUGCAUUCGGUCGCAUCGCGCAGUUGCUUACUGGGAUGUCAUGGACAAGCGCAUCAAGGUAUAGUAUCUUCACCAGACCCAACAAAAGAAAAGCCAAGUUCAGUUAUUAUUAUGAGUAUUUCAGCAAACUAUAACUGCACAAAAAGAAAAAGAACAGAUGGAAGUGGUCGUUUUCACUAACCAUCAAGUGAUACAAGCAGCAGCAAACAGUUUGCUUCUCCUGGUCCAUGUUCCGGAAAGCUUCGUUAAUGUGUUCUGCUACAAAAAGGCAGAUGUUUGUGUUCUUGAGGUUUUCAUGAUCAAGGCCGUGGUUGGUGCUAAGAAAGUGUUGAAGGCAACUACAAGCCAGGCCAUAAAGAAUGUGUCAUCCGUUCUUCCCCCCAUAUCCUUAAUCAUCGUGGUCCAUGUACUGAUCUGGGGAUGAGAAGUUCCAGUUAUGUUGAAGGUCUCUCUGAAUCUCCUAGUUGUUUCCUUGUCAACUUUGUAACAGACUUUUAGACCCCUGUUAGGAAGAUCAAAUACCCUUUGAACACUGUCAGCAUCGACACGGAUCCUUCCCCUUCCUAGGAAAACCAUUUCAGAGGUCUGUGGCUGGUAGGACUGCACCAGGAACUUAGUGAGGUCUGCUGGAAGUGUGUCUGACAAGUUCAAUAGCCCCCCGAACAAACUCUAAACUAGCUCUGACUUCUGUGGUGGGGUUAGAGAGGCGUUGAAAUUUGCAAACCGCGCUGGUGAUGCCCUUAUCCUGCCUGCUUGUGAUGGUCGCUCCACAUCUUCCCCUGCAGCCACCUCAACUCCUUCACCGCUGGCCUGUUAAUGAGAAUAUAAAAACAUUAAGGAAACAUUAAAAACAAGAGAAAAAAUAAGAAUGAAAAAAAAAUCUAACAAUCAUCAUUUGGAUCAGUAUUGGAAAAAGCUAUAUAUUCAUAAAAUGGAUCAUGCCAACUAAUAUGGUGUAUUUGUGCAACUAAUAAAGACCAUGAGGACAACUAAAGACUGCCAGUGUGCAACCUUCAAAAAAAACUAAGAAAAUAUACGAUACCUGGCAACUACAAAAAGUUCUAACGGAUGUGCAACAAUAAGAAAUGAUAUUGCAACAAGAUAACAACAACUAAAAAAAGGUUUGCAAGGAACUGUUCAAUAGCUCAUAAACACACAAAAAAACCACAUACCUCAGCAUCCGUUGCGGAAGAUGCGACAGGUCCUCCAGCAACUGUUGCCUGCACAAAAAAAUGACCAGUGAUGUCAACUAUAAAGAAGCCAACUUGUCAACUACAAGAUGCCAACUAAUGCCAACUAAUGUCAACUGUAUUUAGAUCAAGAUGGCUAGAGAUGUCAACUACAAGGUUGUUAUUGACAAACUAAAAACAAAAAUGGUGGUGAGACCUGCUGCAUAAUUUCAUCAGCGUCUAAAAAGCGAGAAACACUUAUAUUCGAGAAUUUACUUGCCCUAGAAGAUGACUCAACUCCCUUUCCAACUGUUGCACGUCUAGUCCGCUUUACAACACGGAACUGAUCAGCAUCCUAAGAAAAAAUAAAAAACCAAAAAAUGGGCUUGUGUCAUCAGCAUGCCACUUACCUCAACAUCCUCUCCUUGCUCAACACUCCGCGCAAGUCGUGCCUGGCGAUUAGGAGGACGCUUCGACCUCCAGCGAAGCGACUGACUUCCAGAACGCUGAUUAAGCAACCCAAAAAGAAAACAUGAAAAAAGGACAUUAGCAUACAUGCAUAAGUUGAAAACAACUCAAAAACACAGAAAAAGUGAAAAAAAAAGACAUCUUCUUCAUUGCCAUCCGCUUCUCCUCCUAUUAUAACCAUUUUUGCCCUGCAGGAGGAAAUAUAACAAAAGAAAACAUAGUUAGAAGAUGCGGAAACAAACUAGGGAAAUCAUAGAAGGUUGCUUUGAUUUGCAGACAUCUACACAUAAGCAGGACACAAAAAGCAAAAAACCAAAAAACAUGUGGACAACCAACUACUACAAUGAUGUAGCCAACUGGGCAGUAAACCUUGUGCAAACUAGACAACAUAUAAACCAACUAACUAUUUUCUGCCUAGGUCUUACUUGCCAACUGUGACAAGUAAUAACUAGGCAGAAAAUAGUUAACUAAAGGCAACAAGCUCAGUAAGAUAACUUGUGCAAACUGGAACAAGCAAAAAAUGCAAAGCAAAAAAUCCAGCAAAACAAUUGGGCAUACUAUAUUGAAAAAUUAGCAACCAUUCAGUGCUAAUUUGCAAAAAUAAUUGUCCCUAGUUGCACAUGAGGGGAACGCAUGAAAACAACCACAUCCACAACAAAGACUUGCACAUUGAGAAAAAUUAAAUUGGAAAAUUGGCAAGUAUUGGUACUAAUUUGCACAAUCAAGGGGCCCCUAGUUGCACAAAGCAGGAGAAAGCACAUGAACCACCACAGCCACCAUAAUGCUGGUGGAUAGGGUAGACUAUAUUGGAAAACUGGCAAGCAUUGAUGCUAAAUUGCACAGACAAGAGUCCCUAGUUGCACACAGCAGAGGGGGGAAAACAGCAAAGCCAACUAAGUAGAGCAACUAGCACAAAGUGUAUAACAUAUGAACAGUCAACUAGUAAAAGUGAUGCAGCCAACUGAGCAGGCAACUUGUGCAAUUGAAUACCGUAUAGACAACCAACUAGUACAAACAGUGAGCCAACUGACCAAAACAACUGCUGCAACUGCAGAGCAUAUGGACAGCCAGGUACUAUAUGGACGCAGCCAACUGAGCAGAAUUUUGUGCAACUAACCACUUGAAUUACUGAAUCAUGAACUUGCAGGAUCAGGGAAAAUCAGCCAAUGCAUUGCACAUUACAUUGCGCGCAUCUAAUACAACUUGCAGGAUGACUAAGAAUCAUGAACAGAUCUCAAACCUCUGCAAAAUUGAACAGAACAUGAACUAAACAGCCAAAUCGCCCUAAAAUCGCAACGGGCGCCAUGGACAUGCAUCCCUUCUACCUAACGACUACCACGUACCCUGGCCAACUACACGUUGACCCUGGCUAGCCACCCCCGUGCCGUCAAGGGAGUACUAAUUUGCACAAGUGAUGAUAUCUAUUUGCACACGGCAGAAUAAAAAAACACGUGGACCACCACAUCCACCACAAGGCUGGCAGAUUGGGUACACUAUAUUGCAAAAAAUGGCAAGCCUUGGUGCUAAAUUGCAAACAAGGGUUCCUAGUUGCACACAGCAGCGGGAAAACACACGAACCACCAGAUCAAUCACAAAGGAUGGCAGCUUGGCUAGUUAAUGUUGGGAAAUUGGCAAGCAUAGAUACUGAUUUGCACAAAAAAAUGGUCCCUAAUUGCACACAGCAGGGAAAAACACAUGACCCAGGAGAACCACCACAAGGCUGACACAUGGCUAUAUUGUCUCAAAAAUUGUCUACUGCUGCUCCUAUUUUGCACGCAAGGGGCAACACAGUUGCACACCGCGGGGGGAAAACACUCAUCAAAAACACCAGAUCCACCGCGAGGCUACAAUCCACAAACGAACCUCUAUGGCCGCUAACCAAUCAUCCUCCCUGAACCACUCAUCCCGUACGUAUAUACACGAACUCUCCCCCUAUUGCAAUGCAAAAACGACGGGAUGAGCACGACCCUAGCCCAUCCCUGCCAAUCCGGCGGUUUCCCAAACGAAGUAGUCCGCGGGGGUGACCUCAACCUCGCCGGAAAAUGAGUUCGACCUUCCUACCCCCGACCGUGACCUCGAGUUCGACCUUUACCUCGACCUCACCGAAAAAUGUGGGACCUCACCGGAAAAAAGGAGGGGAUGGGGACGAGUACCGGGGAACGCAUGGUAGGAGCAGUACCUGUGCCGCCGCGGACAACGACCCUCGCGGUGCGCCCCGCCGUUGACCACAACCAAUGGCGGAUUUGGAGCCGCCUCCGAGCACCAACCAGCGGCGAGAGCAGGGGGAAAGAGGAGGAAUGGGCGGCGACAGGUGCGGGGUGGACGGGGUAAUGGCACGAAAUUCGAAACCGCCACCCACUACGCACGACGGCUAUCACGCUGGGGAACUGCCUAAUCCUCUAUGACGUGUGGGUCCGUCGGGAAGUUUAUCUCGCGCGGCGCGGCUCGAUCGGACCAGGCGAUCGGUCCACGCGCGGUCCGAGCGGCGCGGCUCCACCACCCGACCAGGGAACACCUGGACAUCGCGCGCCGUCGAUCGGAACGAGAUCGAGCGGCUCUCGUUCGGCCGCUCGUUCUCUCUAGAUAGUGCGCGUGUAUUUUUUAGGUUUUGGGAUAAAUAAACUGUGAGAUGCUUUCACGGUGGGCCUUUGCCCAUCCCGUACUAUUCCACUCCACCGCCGCCAUCCAUCUCUCAUCCCAACCUACCUAUUCCAGCCGCCUCCAAGCUAUGGAGAAGCCAGUGAAGGUGCCGAUGUCCAGGCUCACCGACGACCUAAUCGCGGAGAUCCUCUCUCGGGUGCCCUACAAAUCACUCUGCAUCUGCAAGUGUGUGUGCCCGGCCUGGCGCGACCUCAUCGCCGACCCCGCGCACCGGAAGAAAGUUGUGCAGACCCUGGCCGGCUUUUUCUACCGCAUCACCGGCGAGGUCACGGCCGUCAAGUACGCCGACCUGUCCGCCUUCCCCUGGUCGAGCGUUCCCAAGACCUACCCACGCCUGCCACUGCCAACUGACAACAAUUUCUUCUCUCUUGAGGAUUCCUGCGAUGGAUUGUUUCUUGCCCGCAUUCGGACGGGCACCCCUGCUGGAAAAUUUCGCUACAUGGUCUCCAAUCCGGCCACGAAUGAGUACACUGUGCUGCCUGACUCUGGCUCCGCCGGCAACAUCUGCCUUGCUUACCUGGGUUUCGACAGUGAUGUUUCCACUCAAGAGUUUCAUGUGUUCGAGUUUGUACUGGUCCUCCGUGAGCCAUCCCUGGUUGUGAGGGGAGUGAAUAUUUACUCUUCAAAAACUGUUGCAUGGGUAGCAAUGGAACCCAAAUGGGACAUCCAAGUUACGUUGUGCUGGCGUAAACCAGGAGUUUUCCGUAAGGGGUUUCUGCACUUGCUGAUAGGUCAGUUUGGGUUGGCAAUACUUGAUGCAGAAGGGCUAACAUGGAGAAUUAUCCCGCUUCCAGUUGUAGAAAGUGUUAAUCCGUGUUUCUCCGGAUUCAUUGGAAAGUCUGCCGGACAGCUAAUUUAUAUCGACCGCGGUGCUAUUGAAGGACACGGCUCUAAUGCAUUGUUGACUAUAUCAGUUUACGUUCUUGGUGCUGAGAUAUGUCAGUGGGAUGUGACUCACCUGGAUGACAAGUGCAUGCGUUGGAAACUCUUGCACAAGCUUUCAAAUGUACUCCGAAGAAGAUGUUUCGGCUCUGUUUCAACCUCGAAGUCAUUGCAGUACACCCACAUGCCAAUAUAAUCUUCUUUGUAGCUCAUUGGAAGAAUGAACUGGUUGCAUACGAUCUGGAUCGUCAUGAGAAGCACAAUUGUGUAUCACAUUCACAUUGAGCCUAACUACUGGCAGUUUAUGAAUUUUUUCCCAUAUGUUCCAUCGUUGUCCCGCUUACCACUGGAUGGAGGAAUACAGCUGGCAACUCCAAAUCAAUGAAUGUUCUGCUCAUUAAAAGUUGGGCAGUCAGCGGUGAGGUGCUCCGGUGUGUUCUCAAGAGUAAUCUUCACAGAGAUUCAAAUACAGAUGAUAUUGUUUUGGAAAAUGCUAACUUCAGUUUUCAGUUCAGUUGGAAAAUGCCAACAAGUAGAGCUGCAUGAGAUACCUUAGUUUGUUAUAUUUUGACAUGUACUACUACUACCUUGUAUUUCUAUUAGAAUCUUAUGUUCUGAUAUGAAAAGGCAUAGUCUGAUAUGUGCACAUUCAAUCUGCAUUGGUUGGUUCUAUCUUGGUGUUUGCACUAAGNNNNNNNNNNNNNNNNNNNNNNNNNNNNNNNNNNNNNNNNNNNNNNNNNNNNNNNNNNNNNNNNNNNNNNNNNNNNNNNNNNNNNNNNNNNNNNNNNNNNNNNNNNNNNNNNNNNNNNNNNNNNNNNNNNNNNNNNNNNNNNNNNNNNNNNNNNNNNNNNNNNNNNNNNNNNNNNNNNNNNNNNNNNNNNNNNNNNNNNNNNNNNNNNNNNNNNNNNNNNNNNNNNNNNNNNNNNNNNNNNNNNNNNNNNNNNNNNNNNNNNNNNNNNNNNNNNNNNNNNNNNNNNNNNNNNNNNNNNNNNNNNNNNNNNNNNNNNNNNNNNNNNNNNNUUAUAUUCAUAGAAGUUUGCAUACGUAUGAAGCAUAUAUUGUGAUCACGCUGUCUCAAAAGGCUGAGAAAUGUCAAUGUUGAUGAUCCGUAAUCCUAGCUGGUUUAUAUCUGUCUCACAAAAUGGUCAAAAUCUCCUAAUAGGACUUGGAACCGUUUCUUGCUCCAUUUUUUCUUCUUCUAAUGGCUCCAAAUUCCAUGUCUAGAGUAUGUAGUUACGUUUUCCUGUCCUCUUUCGAUCUUUCAAUUUUGUUGGUCUGUGAUAUGAUUCCACUAUGAGAGGCACUAAUAUCUUCCCCCCUGUAAUUAACUAGUAUGUUCCAGUUCCAUCAGUUUGAGAUGAAAGUGUAUCCCUGAUUUGAAGCUUUUUACUAUUCACCAACCAAUAAACUAAAUAUUUUAGCCCUCACCUAUGGAAUCUUCGUCUAUAUCUGAACCUGACUGUUUUUGCUAGCAGCUUUCAAGAUUCUAUGUGCAAAAUGAAAGGUCCUAGUCCAUCUUUCUUUGGCUAACCAGAGUAGUUGCCUUGUCUCUACCAGUAUCAAAACAGACAGUGUAAUUUGCACUAUGCUGAUCACUCAGAUGUGGAGUAGAAUUAAUCAUUUCAGGGACAUGUUUAGUACAAUGAUAGAAUUAUUUUUUCCCAGUAGAUAAGCAUGUCAAUGUGUAUUCCGCUGAAUAAUGUGAAGCAUAUUGGCUGCUAAACCUUGCAUGCCCUCUAUUCCCUCUAGUAAUUAUCUACGGUUAUAUCCUCACUCGGACAGAAUUUUGUUAGCUCUAUGCUAAUUCUGUAUAAAUAAUGGUUACCAAUAUUCAUGUGAAGUUCUUAAAAGUCUUCUGUUGAGUCAAUUCUUGAGUAACGUAUAUAUACAAAUUUAGAGAAUCAUUACCUGUUCUUCUGUAGCCAUCUCUGCCUUGCUGUGAGGUGGCAAGAGGCAGUUUUCUUUAUGUUGGGUUGUUAUUCUGUUUUGCAGACUCAAAUAAGCAGCGUAUCAGUUACACGAAACCUCAGAUUUGACGCAGACCUCAUUGGUUGGCUGCCAAAGCCGUGGGGUUAGUUUGCUUAGUACACUCACUACAUAGUUUUUAGCUUUCUCUGCUGUGCUUUUCUCGCCUUUUUCUAUACAGAUCAAAUGUCUCAUACCUUAUCUGUUUUUUCUAAUUAUUUGCUAUCGCUGCAGUGCAGCGAUUUUAGACUGAUCUAAGCCCAGAUUAUGCUGUGGAAGACAGAUUCAUCAGAGGUUGCCUGAUCUAAGCCUAAUCUUCUACCCCUUUCAAGCACAGUUAGUGUUCGGAUGCCAGUCGGCGGAUGCAUCGGCCAAGCAUCAAUCAGUUCACUUCCAUCAGCAGGCUACGUUAGCACGGCGACUUCGUCGAGAUUGUUGGAUGGGUACCCACAGACUACGAAGCCCAAGAAACAAUGGGUAAACUCAAAGUCUGUAUAAUGUUGGUGAAAUUUGGGGACAUAAAUAAACUUAAGCAAGGCGAGUCGGCCAGGCAGUGGAUGACUAUCACCCCGCAGCAGCUAAGCAGGAAACGCUGGAUGGACCGCACCAUGCCGCCGUUUCCGUAUAUACAGAUGCAGAGCAAGAUGAAAGCUGCAGCCUCUCGUUCUGGCUACAUCGCAGAUUCAGAGAAAUAUUUGCUGGCUCUUAAUACGACACCUCAUAUUUGGCAAUAGUGACAACUUUAGAAAGACCUGUUGUUGGUGACGACGCUGAAUAGGUGCCAUCUGAUCCACGGCGUUCUUCGUGGCAAACACCGCAGCGCCGGACACGAGUCAGGUUUGAAGACCCUGUGUGCAUGCCUACGAGCUGCAGAUGCUUCAUGUGGCUAGCUGCCAAUAUUAGAUGCUGGACAGCGGAUAUGCUUCGACGCCGUGGGCUUUCAGCGACCAGCUGCCGGAGACGAUGUCACAUUUGCUGCUUGGCUUUGUCGUCGUGCGAGAGGUCUGGCAUUCCGUCCUCCACGAACGGCAGCAUAUGGAGUCGAUGUCUGACCACGACUAUAAGCUGAUUUACAUGGUGAACAACACAGUCAACGCGACGAAGGGAUGCAAGAGACAUGUGGAUAGCCGUCCUGUCUGGCAGUGCGGUGAAUGAUGUGAUCUUCAAUGACGUGGAGGUUUAAGGAGGCAUUGCUGUCUAUACCUACAAGAAGAGAAUGUGGACAUUUUUGUCUUGAGGAACUGGGUUUAGCUUUGACAGAUUUUGCUGUGCAACCGUGCCACUGUUCAACUCUGAGUAUAGUCUGUUGUCUGAACAAGUUAGCAGGAGCAUAGUCGGCACCAGAAGAUUUGGCAAAUAACUUCAGAAAUCUUGAUUGAACAUGGAUAUAUUAUUUCCUGGAAGGUAAGUCUAUAUAUUCAACAAGUUAGUAGCUGCAUGAUUGAUAAAGAGAUGUGGGCAUAUACUAUUGUUAUCCUGAUUCUAAGUUCUAGACAAUAUACUUCAACAGCUGGAGCCAUAUCAUUAUGUACAUAUAGCCACACUUCACACAUGCAAAUCAAGCUGUUUGGUUACUGCUCAGACAAGUCAGUCAAGCUCUUGCUCUACAACUAUGUCCCUGAUGGUAAUCUACAGGAGCUCCUCAGCGAGAACAGGAGCCUGGACUGGGAUUCAGGGUGGACACGGUCCGGGCCGGUCCGGUCCCUGACCGAGCCACCGUUUGGACCGGCCGCCGGCGGUCCGGACCGGACCGGACCGACCAGCCUCGCGGUCCUGGUUUCAAGGACCGGACCGGCGGCACUGAAGCCCGGGCCGGACCGAGCGGACCGGCCAACCACUACCAGCGACGACGUGCACGGGUGCACGGGUGCGCUGGCAAGGUGGGCGACGUGCGCACGACUGUGGCGAGAUGGGCGACAUGCGAUAGCGCGGGCGUCGAAGGGCGACCUGCUAUGGAAAGUGAUCUGGGUGGCGCGGCUGUUAGCCAUUAUUUUCUCUGUACCGUGAUGUUUCUUCCUUUGGCAGUUUUUCUACAGCAUGCAAGCAAUAUAGCACCUGCAUGAGCCCGUGAUUUUCUCUGUGAGGGCCUCGCCGUGAUUAGAGGAUCAAAUUGAACGUGGAGUUGAUCGUCAAAUGGCGCCGUGACUUUCGGAUCAGAUCCUUUUUCUCUCUUACUUUCUAUUUUCUGUUCGACUGAAACGGCAGCACGGGAUUGAUGGCGCGUGAUAAUAGGAAGAGGGCCCUAGUAUUAAAUCUUGGGCCUUCCAAAACAAUACUUUCCUGAUUUAUUGGAUGUGAAAAUCAUGACCGAGUAUUUCCCCCACGAUUCGAAAAUCACGAGAGAGUGUUUCUCCCACGAUUCGACUGGGCUGAAACGGCUGCUAUGGCACUUCGUCUGCACUGCAAAAAGCGUUGCCAUGGCAGGAAUUGCUGCCACGGUUGGGUCGAUGACAUGGUCGAGAACUCGAGAUCGGCGGCAGUUCACGCAUGGCAGCGAUGGCGAGCGGCAGCAAAAGGCUACGUCGCAAGGGUACGAGAGGAAGGAAGAAGAAGGGAAGCUCAUGGACAUGGUGGUUCAUCCAGGGGCUGCCGGUGGCCGCGAUGGCGAGGAACGGUGACUGCGGUGAUCGCGUUUUCUCGGUCCGCUCGGUCGGACCGGUUAAAGACCGGACCGGACCGAGAUUUUUUCGGGCCGAAUAUGGCAGCCCGGACCGCCCCUUUUCGCUAGCGGGCCAGGACCGAGCGGGCCAAGACCGAGCGGGCCACGAGCGGGCCAGAAAGACCGCUCGUUACGUCCACCUCCGACUGGGAUACACGGUACAAGAUCGUGGUCGGGGCAGCACUGAUACUCUACCGGGAUGUCAAGUGCGACAACAUCCCACAUAACCGACAUCAACACACAUACGAAAGUAAGCACGUCGAUAGAAAGUAAAGUCAUACAAGACCGAGCUUGCCCACAUGAAAAAAAAACCGAUGCCAUCGAAACAACGAUUGACAAAAUGCAACAACGACCUAAUUGAACCGGGUGCUUAUCUCCACUGAUCUUGGUUUCUCAGUUGGUUUUGCUGAUCAGGCAUGGUAUUGUUUGGGCAGACUGGGUGAUGAUGUAGAGGGUGGUUAAAGGGAGUGGAUUCGCGAAAGUGCUCUUCUGAUCCCGAGCUUCAUGUGAGCUCGGGUGAACAGUAAAUGGAAAAAAAAUCUGAUUUUUUUGUUCCAAACAUUGGCAAAUGUUUUCAUUGCUUGCAAAAUUUUAUCAUGAAAUGACAUUCUUGAAAUUUGUGUAAAAAAUGAUGCUCCAAAAUACUUUUGAAAAUGAAAUUGCUGCUCAUAACAAAGCUCCAAAUUAGGGAGGUAGAAAAAUAGAUUGCGGUGAGUGUGGAUCGAACACAUGACCUUCAGAUCUUCAGUCUGACGCUCUCCCAACUGAGCUAUCCCUGUUAUAGCCUGUUGUCUAGGUGCAUAGUCUGCACCGGAAGAUUUGGCAAAUGGCAUAGAAAUUCUUAUUGAACAUAGAUAUAUUGUUCUUGGAAGGAAAGUAUAUAUAUUCAACAAGUUAGUACCACCGGUUGCCCCAACACAUGUGCAUCUGUAGCACCAACAGCUGCUCAUCUGUUGUCAUGCCAUCUCGCAACGACUAUAUGCAUCUGUAGUAAUUCUGACAGAAGAAGCAAUACAUUUUUAUCAACAUGAAAUUUGUUUGGUAAAAUCCAUGAGAACUUCAUCAGUAACCAAUUGAUUGAUACCCCACAUAUGACAAGCAAGCGUGUUCCUUUCCAAAAAACUUCAAAAUGGACAUCACUUUUUCAUGAGUUCUUUCGGGAGUAAAGUAAGGUAAGGUCUUUGGUCACCAUUUACCUACCAUUUUAGUUAGUUCUACAUGUACAACUGAUUCAGCAACUCGAAAGGAAUUCUUUAAAAGGAAAUCAGUUAAGCAACUCGAAUGAAUCCAUCAUGCAUUGGUCUCAAAUCCAAGGAAAUAUGAGCAAAACCUCCCAAAUCUAAACAAAGCACCGAACAUCUUUCAGACGGAAAUUAACUCUUUCAGAACCUUUCAAAAGAUGACAUAUCAAGGAUCAAAAUCGACCACAUAGAUUGAUGACCAAGACUUUAUCCAUUAGUCUGGAUGCCUCAUAUGAUGAUAAUUCCAACCAUGGAACCACAGGUGUGGUGAUCCGUGAUAGCCCACGUACUCUUAUUCAUACACAUGCCCUCUGGUAUGAUUUUGCUGCUAGUCCAAUGGCGACGGAAGCUGUGGUGAUGUGCAAUGGAGUGCACAUGCCUCUUGAGAGGGGGUUAUGUAGAGUAAUGAUUUAGAGUGAUGCACAAGCUGUCAUCAAGCUAUGGGAGUCAUGCGGCUUUGAUCGAGAUUGCUGGAGCCUUGCGGAUUGAAGAACUGAGUGUGCAUUUUGAGAGUUCUAUGCCGAGCUUUGUUGGACAAGAUGCUAGUAUGGCAGCUCAUCUAUGUGCUAAACUGGUGGCCAAGUUUAGGAAGAGAUGUUUAUGGCUUAAUUUUACCCCUCUACUCCUAAUGAACAUAUUGCAUUGUGAUUGUAUGCUUGAUUAAGUAAGCAAUAAAGCUCUUCACUCACAAAAAAGGUAGAAAUUGCAAUGCGGCCAUCCCAGCAUAUCAAAACAUUUCUGGUUGUGGCGAUGACCUUUCUUUUCCAUAUGAUCCUACAAAAUGGACUGGGUUUCACUAUCAAGGGAUAACGAAACGACAAAUGCACAAAAACGUCCUGGUGCAAGAACAUAGCCUAAAACUGGUUUCAAUUGCUAACAACAAAAGCUAAUGGAUCCAAAUCUACUGCAAGUUGACUUGGGGUUCACAAUCAUCCCAAGCAAAAUGUUUUCGAUCACUAGCAUCAUCAUUCAGAAAACUCCAUUGCAUCGUUCCUCAUCCAUUCUUUCUCCAUUAGUUCACCUUCACCCACUUCUUGUUCCUCAUUUUCUCCAGCGUUACUCGCCUUGAUCUUCAACACAAGACUUCUUGGCUCCGCGCACCCACCAACAUGAUGUGCCAAUGCUUCUCGCUUCAAAGCAACAACACCUUGUUCCAGAAUCACACACUCUUCAUUAUUUUGUAGAUCUGCCCAAUAAAGCAUAAACAUGCAUGCAUAAUAGACGAAUUCAGCAAGAAAUCUAGUAAUUUUUUUCUCAAAACAAGAUCUAUUACAUAACUCGGAUGGGAAUGUAGUGGCUUAUCGUGAGGGUGAUGCACUCAUGGACUUGUAGUAGAGCUGGUAGCUGCCACGACAGCUUCCCUAUAUGUGGGUGGCCUUGAGGCAGGCGUCGUGGAGGGGCAUCUCUCCUCCAUCUCCUAUUAGGUCACAUCUAUGGAGUCCCUCAGCGUCUACCAUGACGUUGCUAUCAGGUCCCAUGGCUAUGGCUACUUCAAGUUCCACUCACAGAAUGAUGAUGAGAUCUGAUCUAUUAGAUCCCCAAAUACCUAAAGCAUUAUAUCUCUCUGAGCAUGCAUGCUAAAGGUAGCAUAUCAAACCCAAACGAAUAAGUAAAGAAGACCAAGACACUCACCAUCCUCUUGGGGGUGGAAAUCGAUGUAGCCGUAGCCACACGACCUGUAAGCAACUUUGUGGUAGAUGCGCAAGGAAGCCACGGGCGCGACCUGGUCAUAGAUCUAGAAGAGUUGCCCCUCCGUAACACCUGCCUCGGGGUCAUCAUUGAGGCCAGGAAUGGCUGGUUUGUCAUUGCUGCCGAUGGUCGCCAACCCAAUGGAUCUAGGAGGCGGCGGCGUCAUCGGAGCCACGUGGAACGCUUGCCAUUGGUAGUGGUUGUUCACUAACCAGAGGAGUGAAGACUACUGUACUAUGGGUAACCGGCUGGUCUAGUUGUAUCGACUAUAUAUUGAGUCAUCUCUUAUCGGCAUCGAGUCCUCCUGUCCGGUGGAUGCUCUCUCCAGUAUGCUUUUGUAUAGGUGCUAAUUAAUGACAUUUAUUUGCUACCUUUUAGAUAGGCUUCGGGUGUAAUUGUUAGAGGAGACAAGUAUUUUUUGUGUAUCUGCAUGCUGGAGAGUUGCGGUAAUUGGGUCCACAUGCUAGUCUAUAUGCGCGUGAUGGGCUGCUGUAUGUAGGUAGAUAUGGACUACAAAGUUCUUCUAUCUAUUUAGUGCGAUAUCACUACUAAUUAAUGUUUGAGAUAGAGUAGAUAUCACUACAAAUUAAUGUUUGAGAUAGAUUAGAUCAACUUUUACCACAUCGUGGUCAAUGAUCGUUGACUCAUGAGGGGUCCCUUGCCGCCUUUCUUGGUUAAGGCAUCUCCAACACCGAUCCUCAAGCCUCCUGCAUCUGUUCGGACAGUGAAAGCUAUCCAACAUGCUCCUGUAUCGGUACAAGGCGCGGUCCAGAUGUAUACUUUCUCCCGCAAAUGGGAGACAAACAUGGUGAGUGGGAGGGGGGCUUUGCGGGAGUCCGCACCACUCCCACGCCCGCUUCUGACCGCCCUAUCCCACCCAAAACCCCUUCCACAUCCCGCGCGCUUCCCGCCCGGUGCAAACUGCCCGCAUUCAUGCUGUUGUAGUGCGCGUCACUCCACAUAUUGAAGCGGCGCACCCCCCGAUAACGUCGGUCGCUGCACGCUCGACUAAACACGCCUCCAUUAAACCCGUGUGAAAGCUGGGGAACCUACUCCGGCCACACGUUCGUUCACGAGCGGGCCGACAUUAAACGCAACACCGGGCAAGCUCCUCCCAUCCGCCCUCUAUUUAAACAAAGCCAGACGCCGGGCAAGAAUCGCACCACUCCGCCGCCCCCAUCUCAUCCUUCCACAAUCUUCUUCGCCCUUUCGAUGGCAUCCGAUGAGCACGAAGAGCAUUUCCCCAGCAUAAAAGCCAGCUAGGUGUCCCACCGAGCCUGCCGAAUACGAGUGAGGCAACUCACUGCUCCACCUCCCUCGUCUGGCUCGACGGAGCAAGUUGCCACCCCAAGCCGGCGCGAGGUUCACCACCUCGCCGCUCCAAGCCAGCUCAUAAGGGAGCGGCCAUUUUCUCUAGGAUGACACGACGGCACAGGCAUCGUAGCAGCCGUGGCGACGCCGCGUCAUACCGCAUCUCUCAUGCCUACGAUCGUGCCAUCCGCAGACAACGCGUGCGUAGCCGCGCCCUGCCGGCAGAGAAAGAAGCCGGUAGCGCAGAGAUCGACGAGUCGGUGGAUGGCGCGUCCGCGUCCGCCGCCAACGUCGAGGGAAAGUAGAACACGAAGGCCUCCGCCGCUUGGGUCACAGGAAGGCCACCGCUGGCACGUCAACGGCUUGUAUAGCCGGUGACCUAUCUGGUUCUUCUUUAUCUCAGACCAUCAUUGGGCACGCCUAGGCUCCACGAAAGCGGAGCUCCCCUUUCCCUCUAGCUGAAGCACCUCUUUUGCCACUGCGAUGACCGGCGCAGCCAGACAUAGGGAAGAUACGAGGGAAGAAUAUAUACCUCCGGGGCUCCCGGCAGUCCGGGCAACGAGCUAUCGGACAUGGGGAAGACAAAGGGAUCUGCCGCGUCUGGCCGUAGGCUAGUGUAGUGUUUCCGUGUCGUGGGAGUGGAGCUCCGCACGACUGUAUGUGCACAUAGUUUUAUCUUUUUUGUUAAAAAUAUGUCCAAAAUGUAACUGUUUUCGUCCGGUUUGUAUGAAAUCGGUCAUGUUUAUAUGAAAUCGGUCCAUGCUUGCAUGAAUUUCAUCGGAUUUGUUGAAAAAAUGUUUGCAAUGUAUGCAGCUACGAUUGGAUGGCGGCCUCCCGCAUCCAUGUCCGUGGAUGGAUGCGGGAGGAAAUUUGCUGGCCGCUGUUGGAGAUGCCCUCAAGCCAACCUUUGGGCGGGUGUAAGGUGUCCUGUCAUGGGUACAUACAAAAUAUUGUAGGAUUUCUGGUCAAUAGAACGGGAAAGCCUCCGGGUGUGGAAACAUCCUCAUAAUCUUUGCUACUCCAUCAUGAUUUUUAUGUCUCACGCGUAUUUCAAUAUAAACAUUAAAAUUAAUUUAUUCAACAAAAUAUUAGUUAUAUGUCACAAAAACAAAACGUUACAUUCACAUUCUAAACAAGUUGUGAAUGGUAUAAUUUUUGUGACAUAUAAUUUAUUGAUAAAUCAAUGUACAUUUUUAUUGAAAUGCUUGAGACUUAUGAAUCAUGUUAGAGGUCAGACUCCACGAAUGACGGAAUUUAUCCCCAAGGUAUCUCUGAAAUAAUUGUUACUCUAAUGUCAUUUAUCAACAUGUGAUCCAAGUCAUAGUAAUAUCCAACCAAUAAUCCAAUGAAUAACGUAAUCAUAUCAUUUCCACUUACUCCAUAAGCAAUAAUAUCAAAUAUGAUCAUAUGAAAAUAUAGCUAAUGACCCUACUAAUCCGAUGGUAACAUGCCAAUAUCAACCUUGUAAACUACUAGUCACAAGAAAUCCAAGCAAUAACAUGGUAGUAGAUAAUUCUAAUAAUUCCUCCAAGAUUGCCAUGAAUAAAUCAUCAUCAAGUAAUUCAAAAUAAAUCGAGUUUUAUAAUAGUAACCAUGGACUUUCAUUGCAAUUAUGCAAGUGGAGGUUGUGGCUUGCCUUGCUCCAAGCGAGUGUUACGAGUACUCUUGGUCUUCAUCAAACAUUGCUAACACUCUGGAAAACAAUAUUAACAAGCAAAAUAAAUUCUCUGUCUAGAAAUUCUAGACAACAAAGAAAAGUGUGAAACUCUACCAGAUAAUAAAGGAGCUCGUAAGAAAAAUAAUGCAAAAAGAAUCAGCUCAUUUGGACUUGUAGUUUAGGAGCAAUGGAUGGUCAAAGUUGUGGUCAAACUGAAGGAAAUAUGCCCUAGAGGCAAUAAUAAAGUUAUUAUUUAUUUCCUUGUUUCAUGGAAAAUGUUUAUUAUUCAUGCUAGAAUUAUAUUAACCGGAAACUUAGUACAUGUGUGAAUACAUAGACAGAAUAUAUUGUCCCUAGUAUGCCUCUACUUGACUAGCUCGUUAAUCAAAGAUGGUUAUGUUUCCUAACCAUAGACAUGUGUUGUCAUUUGAUGAACGGGACCACAUCAUUAGGAGAAUGAUGUGAUGGACAUGACCCAUCCGUUAGCUUAGCAUUAUGAUCGUUACAGUUUCAUUGCUACUGCUUUCUUCAUGACUUAUACAAGUUCCUCAGUGUAACGCCCGGAUAAUCUUGCUACAGUAAUCCCACGCUAAUCAUGGCACGUCAUCCUGAUUACUGUUGCUAACCUCGCAAUAAUUCGAAACCGUUCAAAUUCAAAAUUCAAAUUGAUGAAAAUAAUUAAAGUUUUCAAAAUUUAAAAUAAAAUUGUUCGGUGGUUGACGAAUAUUACAAGGGUAAAUAUUAUGCAACAAACAAAUUUUUAUUAAAUGCCUAAGUGUUUAUAGAUAAAUAAAAAAAAACAUAAAAGAAAAUAAAUAAAUAAAUAAAAAACCCUGGGCUUCGGCCCAGCUGACCACAGGCCAACUGGGCCACCACCAGGCCCGGCCGGCCCCCACCCCUCUCCCCUUAUCCCCCACGACGGAAACCCUAGCCCACUCCCGAUCCCCACUCUCCCCUCACUCCCCCGAUCUGGAUCGACAUCGGGGCGACCACGCCACCGCCCCGGAUCGNNNNNNNNNNNNNNNNNNNNNNNNNNNNNNNNNNNNNNNNNNNNNNNNNNNNNNNNNNNNNNNNNNNNNNNNNNNNNNNNNNNNNNNNNNNNNNNNNNNNNNNNNNNNNNNNNNNNNNNNNNNNNNNNNNNNNNNNNNNNNNNNNNNNNNNNNNNNNNNNNNNNNNNNNNNNNNNNNNNNNNNNNNNNNNNNNNNNNNNNNNNNNNNNNNNNNNNNNNNNNNNNNNNNNNNNNNNNNNNNNNNNNNNNNNNNNNNNNNNNNNNNNNNNNNNNNNNNNNNNNNNNNNNNNNNNNNNNNNNNNNNNNNNNNNNNNNNNNNNNNNNNNNNNNNNNNNNNNNNNNNNNNNNNNNNNNNNNNNNNNNNNNNNNNNNNNNNNNNNNNNNNNNNNNNNNNNNNNNNNNNNNNNNNNNNNNNNNNNNNNNNNNNNNNNNNNNNNNNNNNNNNNNNNNNNNNNNNNNNNNNNNNNNNNNNNNNNNNNNNNNNNNNNNNNNNNNNNNNNNNNNNNNNNNNNNNNNNNNNNNNNNNNNNNNNNNNNNNNNNNNNNNNNNNNNNNNNNNNNNNNNNNNNNNNNNNNNNNNNNNNNNNNNNNNNNNNNNNNNNNNNNNNNNNNNNNNNNNNNNNNNNNNNNNNNNNNNNNNNNNNNNNNNNNNNNNNNNNNNNNNNNNNNNNNNNNNNNNNNNNNNNNNNNNNNNNNNNNNNNNNNNNNNNNNNNNNNNNNNNNNNNNNNNNNNNNNNNNNNNNNNNNNNNNNNNNNNNNNNNNNNNNNNNNNNNNNNNNNNNNNNNNNNNNNNNNNNNNNNNNNNNNNNNNNNNNNNNNNNNNNNNNNNNNNNNNNNNNNNNNNNNNNNNGGCCGCCGCGGCCGGCGACUCCCCUGGCCGGCGACCUGCGGCGCUGGGUCAGGGGCUCGACCCGCUAACGUGCGCCCCGUAGCCCCCUGCACCCGCGCGCCCAUGCGCCCGCACCCGUUAAGGCCCCCCCAGGGCCACUGACAUGGGGGCCCCCACCCCCAGAACGCAAAAAAAAGAAAGAAAAAAAUAAAUAAAUAAUAAUAAUAAAAAUAAAAAAAUAAUAAAUAAAUAAUAAAUAAUAAAAUAAAUAAAAAACAAUAAAUAUAAUUAAUGAAAUUAAAAUGAUUUAAUAAAAUUAUUAAUUAAUUAAUUAAUUAAUUAAGUUAAUUAAUCCGGUUUAAUUAAAUUAAUUAACUAGUUAAGUUUAAUUAAACUGUAAUUAGAUUAACCUAAACCCUAAUUAAUUUAAAUAGAGAAUGACAGGUCGGUCCCACUGGACCCACAUGUCAGGGUUGACUCAGUCAACCCCUGUUGACUGCUGACGUCAGCAUGACAUCAUGCUGACGUCAUAAAUCCAUUUUUUCGAAUUAAUUAAAUAAUUAAUUAAAUUCCAGAAAUUGUUAAAAAUCUUUUAAAAAUCAUAUCUUUUAAUCCGUAACUCGGAUUAAAAUAUUUUCAACAUGAAAGUUGCUCAGAACGACGUGACGAUUCCGGAUACGCAGUCCGUUCGUCCGCCACACACCCCUAGCAUACCGAACACGCAACUUUCCCCUCCGGUUCGCCAGUCCGAAAACGCGAAACACCGGGAAUACUUUCCCGGAUGUUUCCCCCUUUCGUCGGUAUCACCUACUAUCGCGAUUGGGCACACCUAGCAUCGUUACUUGUCAUGUCAUGCAUCGAUAUGCAUUUGUUUGCAUGGUAUUCAUUGUUUCUUCCCCCUCUUCUCUCCGCUAGACUACGAGACCGACGCUGCUGCUGCCCAGUUCGACUACGGAGUUGACGACCCCUCUCUCUUGCCAGAGCAACCAGGCAAGCCCCCCCCUUGAUCACCAGAUAUCGCCUAUUCUCCUCUAUACUGCUUGCAUUAGAGUAGUGUAGCAUGUUACUGCUUUCAUUAUUCCUAUUCUGAUGCAUAGCCUGACAUUGUCGCUACAUCUGUUGAUACCUUACCUGCAAUCCUAAAUACUUAGUAUAGGAUGCUAGUUUAUCAUUGUUGGCCCUACCUUCGUGUCAGUCUGCCUUGCUAUAAUAUUGGGCCGUGAUCACUCAGGAGGUGAUCACGGGUAUAUACUAUACAUACAUACAUACUAUACAGAGGGUGACUAAAGUCGGGUCAGCUCGAAGAGUACCCGCGAGUGAUUCACGGAUUGGGGGCUGAAAGGACCUUGUCCCGACGGCCCUCUGUGUGGAUCUUUGUGGCGGAGCGGCAGGGCAGGUUGAGACCACCUAGGAGACAGGUGGGCCUGGCCCUGUUCGGCGUUCGCGGAUACUUAACACGCUUAACGAGAUCUUGGUAUUUGAUCUGAGUCUGGCUACGAGCCUAUACGCACUAACCAUCUACGUGGGAGUAGUUAUGGGUAUCCCGACGUCGUGGUAUCAGCCGAAGCACUUCAGACGUCAGCGACGGAGCGGCGCGCGCCGGAUUGGAACGUAAGCCUGCUCUUGUAUUAAGGGGGCUAGUUCUGCUUUCGGCCGCGUACACAACGUGCAGGUGUGCUAUGGGCGAUGGGCCCAGACCCCUUUGCGCUUAGGUUUAGACCGGCGUGCUGGCCUCUCUGUUGAGCCUAGGUGGGGCUGCGACGUGUUGAUCUUCCGAGGCCGGGCAUGACCCAGGAAAGUGUGUCCGGCCAAAUGGGAUCGAGCGUGUUGGGCUAUGUGGUGCACCCCUGCAGGGAAGUUAAUCUAUUCGAAUAGCCGUGAUCUUCGGUAACAGGACGACUUGGAGUUGUACCUUGACCUUAUGACAACUAGAACCGGAUACUUAAUAAAACACACCCUUCCAAGUGCCAGAUACAACCGGUGGUCGCUCUACCUCAGGGAUAUGAGGAGGGGAUCGCCGGGUAGGAUUAUGCUAUGAGAUGUUACUUGGAGAUGCUACUUGGAGGACUUCAAUCUACUCUCUUAUACUUGAUGCAAGACGAAGGUGACCAGAAGCGUAGUCUUCGACAGGAUUAGUUAUCCCCCUCUUAUUCUGGCAUUCUGCAGUUCAGUCCACUGAUAUGGCCCCUUUACACAUAUACCCAUGCAUAUGUAGUGUAGUUCCUUGCUUGCGAGUACUUUGGAUGAGUACUCACGGUUGCUUUCUCCCCCCUUUUCUCCCCCUUUCCUUUCUUUCUGGUUGUCGCAACCAGAAGCUGGAGUCCAGGAGUCAGACGCCACCGUCGACGACGACCCCUACUACACUGGAGGUGCCUACUACUACGUGCUGCCCGCUGAUGACGACCUGGAGUAGUUUAGGAGGAUCCCAGGCAGGAGGCCUGCGCCUCUUUCGAUCUGUAUCCCAGUUUGUGCUAGCCUUCUUAAGGCAGACUUGUUUAACUUAUGUCUGUACUCAGAUAUUGUUGCUUCCGCUGACUCGUCUAUGAUCGAGCACUUGUAUUCGAGCCCUCGAGGCCCCUGGCUUGUAUUAUGAUGCUUGUAUGACUUAUUUUAUUUGUAGAGUUGUGUUGUGAUAUCUUCCCGUGAGUCCCUGAUCUUGAUCGUACACAUUUGCGUGCAUGAUUAGUGUACGAUUGAAUCGGGGGCGUUACAAGUUGGUAUCAGAGCCGACUGCCUGUAGGAAUCCCCCUUCCACACUCCUUGGCCGAAGUCGAGUCUAGUCACUACAAAACUUUUACUAACAUGGUUGUGUGCCUUACGGGCCCACGUCGCCAUCGGGUGGUACUAGGAUCUUUUACUCCUCGACCUUUGCUCUGGGACUCUGAACUCUUUUCUACUCGGGUUAAACGAAUUUACUAACUCUAACAUUAGGAUCCCGUUACCACGUUCACCCCGAAGUUGGAUAAGCCAUAGUUAUUCUGUAGGAUAGCAUUUUGAAUAGUGCCCAUAUUGUCAUUUGACUCCAUUGAAACAUCUUUGUUUUCAGAUGGAACCCACGAGGCAGGUCGUGCGCCACACUGCGGCCAUUGGUGCCUCAGGAUCACCUGCUGUGCUAGCUGAUAUGAUGACCUAUCUGGGUUAUCGCUGGCACCCUGAGUACACCGUCUACGAGGAGUACCAGGACUUUAACCAGGAGCAGUACCGUGCCAUCGUCCACCUCUACUCUCGGGAGUAUGAGUCCACUACCGUGCUGCACACCGCUCAUGGUGUUGGAGUGACCAUCGAGAUGGCAGUCCACGAUGCGGCUCAUGCUGCUCUGACACGUCUUCGUGGAGAGUAUCAGGCAUUGGACACUUCCCCUUUCAGGCACAUUCCUAUCGCAUCUGACGUUGGUGCGGAGGGAUACUACACUGCCGCCUACUCCACCGUCACCCGAGAAGCCGUUCCACCAUCAGCGCCUGGUUCUGCAUGCUGAUGGGCUGGACCGAGCUAACAGAGCUCUUCGCCACGAGUUGUACACCACUCGUCAGCACCUUUACAGGGCUCUGACGCGGUUGCACCCCUUUGUCCGGUCUGGACAGCUGCCGCGUUCUGCGAUCUACCCAGCCAGGACCGUGAUGCCCCACGGUGUCGGAUGGCCAGAGGUGGGAGGCUACUCUCCCGCACUUGGUCCUCUUCUGCCACCUGAGCGUCGGGUUCUACACCAGAGUAUCCGCGGCCCCCAGGCCACUGACGUGGAGGACUAUCCGUUGCCUCACUACCAGCUGUCAGGUUACAGCUACCUUCACAGUACCUCCUGGGACUGAUGUAGUCUUGCUCAUUAGUCUUAGAUGCACUCGCGAGCCUGCGUGCCGCCUAUGAUGACUUAGUCUAUGUACGGAACUCUGUGUACUGAACUCUAUGUCCGACCCCUUUUGUAAGUUAUGCCGACUAUCUAUGUGGUAUCUGUCGUGCUCCUUUCAUUGUGCAUGUUUCAUCAUGAAUGACUCUUGUCUAUGCAAAUUCUCAAUACUGAACUACCCCUGUUAUAUAUUAGCAGGAUGGUUAGACCAGCUGGUCGUGGUCGUGGUGGCAACUUCCCACCACCGCCUGAGUACAUGGCUGGUAUGAUCCAACAGCUUGAGAUGAAUCGCCAGUUCAUGGAAAACAUGAUGGCUCAGUUUCCUCGCCCCAAUAUGAACCAGCAUCCAAACACAACAACUCUGCAGGAUUUCAUACGCCUCAACCCAAGUGUGUACCGCAGCUCAACCCAGCCGCUGGAUGCUGAUGACUGGCUCCGUGACAUCACCUAUGAGAUGGAGUCUGCUGAUGUAGCCCCUGCCAGCUAUGUCACUUUUGCUUCCUUCUUCCUGAAGGGACCCGCAGCUCAAUGGUGGGACAGCCACAGGCGUACUCUGCCAGUUGGGACAAUCAUCUCCUGGCCAGACUUUCAGGCUGCCUUCUGUGCCCGCUUCAUUCCUCAGGGAGUCAUGGACCGGAAGAAGCGUGAGUUUCGCAACCUCACCCAAGGCAACAAGACUGUUGAAGCUUAUCAGCGGGAGUUUCUGGACUUGUCUCGCUAUGCUGAAGAGGACAUUGCAACUGAUGCACGUAGGCAGGAGAAGUUCCGUGACGGCCUUCAAGCUGACAUCAAGCUCGCACUUCUAGUGCACGACUUUGCUGAUUUCGCCACCUUGGUGAAUAAGGCCAUCAAUGUUGAGACUGGUCUUCAAGAACACCAUAGCUCUCAAAGGCGCAACCGUGACACGGGCUCAUCUUCGGGCCCGCCCUCGCAGAAGCGUAAGAUAUGGAUCCCGAACAGCAUGUACCGUCCAAAUGCACCAGCCCCAAGGCAGUCUUACGCUGCACCUCGUCUGCCUACUGCUCCAACUAGGCUGCCAAGGCUUCCAGCUCCGCCACCCCAAGCUCCUGUUCCCACUCCCAAUAAUGGCCUGUGCUACAAGUGUGGUCAACCAGGUCACCGUGCUAGGGAUUGCAUUCAGAAUCAGAAUCAACUGGCCCUUCCAGCAACUGGCCGUGGGAACAACCAGGCCCGCAACAACAUUGCCAAGUCUUAUGGCCGUGUUCAUGCCAACCACAUUGAUCUGAAUGAAGCUCAAGACCAGCCUGCUACUGUGAUGGGUACACUCCUCGUAAAUUCAGUACCAGCAUCCGUUUUAUUUGAUACAGGUGCAUCGCAUUCAUUCAUGUCAGAAGAAUUUGCAUACAAGCACGAUGUUAAAUUUGAGCAGAUGAACACUUCGGUAGUGGUAAAAACCCCCGCGGGACAAUGUCAGACCUCCAUGGUUGGCAUUGACGUCCCUGUGGAAAUCGAAGGGUUGGAGUUUCGUGCCUCGCCCAUUAUACUGAAGUCGUCUAACAUUGACCUCAUUCUGGGAAUGGAUUGGUUAAAGGCGCAUACUGCUUCUAUCGUUUGCGCCACUAAGACCGUCCAUCUGCUACACCCUUCUGAUGAAAUAAUUAGCUAUGAUGCUCAUCUGGUUCGGAAUGCCGAGGCCAGGCUUUAUGCCUUAAACGCAUUGAACGUUACACCACUCAAGGGCAUUGAAAACAUUCCCGUCGUGCGUGAAUUCCUAGACGUCUUUCCUGAAGAACUCCCAGGGAUUCCCCCUGCUAGAGCUGUCGAAUUCGUCAUCGACUUGAAACCGGGCACCACUCCUAUAGCCAAGCGACCCUAUAAGAUGCCGCCGCAUGAACUCCUUGAGCUUAAGGAGGAAAUCGAUAAAUCUCUUCAAAGUGGUUUCAUUCGCCCAAGUUGCUCUCCUUGGGGAGCACCUUCUCUCUUUGUCAAGAAGAAAGAUGGGACAAACCGAUUGGUCCAAGACUACCGUCCUAUAAAUCAAGCUACCAUUCAGAAUAAGUAUCCUCUUCCUCGGAUCAAUGAUCUGUAUGAUCAAUUAGCUGGAUCAUCAGUGUUCUCUAAACUCGACUUGAGGUUGGGUUACCACCAGAUCCGUGUUCGUGAGGAAGAUAUCCCCAAGACCGCAUUCAUGACUCGUUAUGGUUCAUACGAGUACACCGUCAUGUCUUUCGGCUUAACCAAUGCUCCAGCCACCUUCUCUCGCCUGAUGAACUAUAUAUUCAUGGAUUACCUCGACAAGUUCGUCGUGGUUUAUCUGGAUGAUAUUCUGGUAUUUUCCAAGAACGAAGAGGAACAUGCUGAACAUCUUCGCCUCGUGCUGGAAAAGCUACGAGAGCAUCAACUUUAUGCCAAGUUCUCCAAAUGUGAAUUCUGGCUUCCCGAAGUAACCUAUCUCGGGCAUGUCAUCUCUAAGGAUGGUAUUGCCGUCAACCCUGAACGAGUUCAGGCUAUUCUCGAUUGGACUCCUCCGAAGAACGUUAAGCAAGUCAGAAGUUUUCUCGGUCUCGCCAGCUACUGCCGUCGAUUCGUCGAGAACUUCUCCAAGAUUGCCAGGCCUCUGACUAACCUAUUGCAUAAGGGUGUCAAGUUCCAAUGGACAGACAAAUGUCAGGAAAGCUUCCAGGCACUCAAAGACAAGUUGACUUCUGCCCCAGUACUAGCUCCACCUGAUACUAAGAAGGACUUCGUCAUUUACUGCGACGCUUCCCGUCAAGGAUUAGGCUGUGUCCUAAUGCAAGAGCGCAAAGUGGUUGCUUAUGCCUCUCGUCAAUUGCGCCCUCACGAAGAGAACUACCCAGUUCAUGACCUCGAACUUGCUGUUGUCAUUCAUGCACUAAAACAGUGGCGACAUUACCUACUCGGUAAUCGUUGCGAGAUCUUCACUGACCACCAAAGUCUGAAGUAUCUAUUUACUCAGCCAGACCUGAACCUCCGUCAGCAGAGAUGGAUGGAGACUGUUGCAGACUUUGAUUUGGGUAUUUCCUAUACCCCAGGCAAGGCUAAUGUAAUGGCUGAUGCCUUGAGCCGCAAGUCUUACUGCAACCACCUCCAGGUUCACAAAGUUCAGCCCUCACUUGUUGAAGAAUUCAGAAAGCUAAACCUCCAUAUUGUUCCUCCGGGUGCACUCGCUCCCCCUCCCCCGGAGUUCCGCAAGAUGAAUCUCCGUGUUGUUUCCCAGGGUUCCCUCUAUACCCUGGCUGUUGAACCCGAUCUCGUGGGCACCAUAAAGACAAUGCAGGGAUUUGACUCUGAAGUCUACAAGAUUAAGCAAGACCUCAAAGAAGGAGGUUCCUCAUCCUUCACUAUUGCUGAUGAUGGCGCCUUGUACUUCAAAGGCCGCCUAGUGGUGCCGUGUAAGAAGGAAAACCUGAAUAUGACCCCGGAGGUUAUGAAAGAAGCUCAUGAUACGCCUCUAUGUAUCCAUCCUGGUAGUACGAAGAUGUAUCAAGACAUUCGUCAGAGAUUCUGGUGGUCUAACAUGAAGCAAGACAUUGCUCGUUAUGUUGCUGAAUGUGACGUUUGCCGUCGUAUCAAAGCAGAACAUCAAAGGCCUGCUGGAACUCUGCAACCUAUAACUAUUCCUGAAUGGAAAUGGGACCAUGUCGAGAUGGACUUCGUUACUGGGUUCCCCAAAUCGCAGAAAGGUAAUGAUGCUAUUCUUGUCGUCAUUGACCGACUUUCUAAGGUUGCACAUUUUCUGGCGGUCAAAGAAACGAUCACUGCUAGUCAGCUUGCAACUCUCUACAUGUCCAGAAUUGUUUCGCUUCACGGUAUUCCAUUGGUUAUCAGUUCAGACCGUGGCAGUUUAUUCACUUCAAGAUUCUGGGCAAGUUUCCAAGAAGCUAUGGGCACUCAUCUAUCUUUCAGCACUGCUUUUCAUCCUCAGUCACAAGGGCAAGUUGAACGUGUCAACCAAGUUCUCGAAGACAUGCUUCGAGCUUGUGUUAUUUCCUUCGGCAAGAAAUGGGAGGAAUCUCUUCCGUAUGCCGAGUUCUCUUAUAAUAAUAGCUAUCAGGCUAGUCUGAAGAUGGCCCCCUUCGAAGUGUUAUAUGGACGAAAGUGCCGAACCCCUCUGAACUGGUCAGAAACUGGGGAACGUCCACUCUUUGGUCCGGAUAUUAUCCAACAUGCCGAAGAGCAAGUCCGCAUUAUUCGCGGGAAUCUCAAGACUGCUCAGUCACGCCAGAAGAGUAAUUAUGACCGUCAUCAUAAAGACAUGGUCUAUCAACCUGGCGAAAAGGCCUAUCGUCGCGUUACACCAAUGAAGGGUGCUCACCGCUUCGGGAUCAAAGGGAAGCUAGCUCCCCGCUAUAUUGGUCCUUUCACUAUCCCCGAGAGGCGUGGAAAAGUGGCAUAUCAACUGGAGCUUCCGCCGAACCUUUCUCAGGUUCACGAUGUGUUCCAUGUGUCGCAACUCCGCCGUUGCUUCAAGGACCCAAUCCGAGCUGUGGAUCAUGAAGUGCUCGAAUUGCAACAGGACCUCUCCUAUAAAGAGCAUCUGGUCUGUAUUCUCGACCAAGCUGAACGCCGCACACGCCAGAGGGCGAUCAAGUUCCUCAAGGUCCAGUGGUCGAAUCACUCUGAAGACGAAGCCACCUGGGAACGCGAGGAUCGCCUGCGUGAUGAAUACCCCGCACUGUUUCCUUCUACCUCCUAAAAUCUCGGGACGAGAUUUCUUGUAGUGGAGGAGAUUUGUAACGCCCGGAUAAUCUUGCUACAGUAAUCCCACGCUAAUCAUGGCACGUCAUCCUGAUUACUGUUGCUAACCUCGCAAUAAUUCGAAACCGUUCAAACUCAAAAUUCAAAUUGAUGAAAAUAAUUAAAGUUUUCAAAAUUUAAAAUAAAAUUGUUCGGUGGUUGACGAAUAUUACAAGGGUAAAUAUUAUGCAACAAACAAAUUUUUAUUAAAUGCCUAAGUGUUUAUAGAUAAAUAAUAAAAAAACAUAAAAGAAAAUAAAUAAAUAAAUAAAAAAAACCCUGGGCUUCGGCCUAGCUGACCACAGGCCAACUGGGCCACCACCAGGCCCGGCCGGCCCCCACCCCUCUCCCCUUAUCCCCCACGACGGAAACCCUAGCCCACUCCCGAUCCCCACUCUCCCCUCACUCCCCCGAUCUGGAUCGAGAUCGGGGCGACCACGCCACCGCCCCNNNNNNNNNNNNNNNNNNNNNNNNNNNNNNNNNNNNNNNNNNNNNNNNNNNNNNNNNNNNNNNNNNNNNNNNNNNNNNNNNNNNNNNNNNNNNNNNNNNNNNNNNNNNNNNNNNNNNNNNNNNNNNNNNNNNNNNNNNNNNNNNNNNNNNNNNNNNNNNNNNNNNNNNNNNNNNNNNNNNNNNNNNNNNNNNNNNNNNNNNNNNNNNNNNNNNNNNNNNNNNNNNNNNNNNNNNNNNNNNNNNNNNNNNNNNNNNNNNNNNNNNNNNNNNNNNNNNNNNNNNNNNNNNNNNNNNNNNNNNNNNNNNNNNNNNNNNNNNNNNNNNNNNNNNNNNNNNNNNNNNNNNNNNNNNNNNNNNNNNNNNNNNNNNNNNNNNNNNNNNNNNNNNNNNNNNNNNNNNNNNNNNNNNNNNNNNNNNNNNNNNNNNNNNNNNNNNNNNNNNNNNNNNNNNNNNNNNNNNNNNNNNNNNNNNNNNNNNNNNNNNNNNNNNNNNNNNNNNNNNNNNNNNNNNNNNNNNNNNNNNNNNNNNNNNNNNNNNNNNNNNNNNNNNNNNNNNNNNNNNNNNNNNNNNNNNNNNNNNNNNNNNNNNNNNNNNNNNNNNNNNNNNNNNNNNNNNNNNNNNNNNNNNNNNNNNNNNNNNNNNNNNNNNNNNNNNNNNNNNNNNNNNNNNNNNNNNNNNNNNNNNNNNNNNNNNNNNNNNNNNNNNNNNNNNNNNNNNNNNNNNNNNNNNNNNNNNNNNNNNNNNNNNNNNNNNNNNNNNNNNNNNNNNNNNNNNNNNNNNNNNNNNNNNNNNNNNNNNNNNNNNNNNNNNNNNNNNNNNNNNNNNNNNNNNNNNNNNNNNNNNNNNNNNNNNNNNNNNNNNNNNNNNNNNNNNNNNNNNNNNNNNNNNNNNNNNNNNNNNNNNNNNNNNNNNNNNNNNNNNNNNNNNNNNNNNNNNNNNNNNNNNNNNNNNNNNNNNNNNNNNNNNNNNNNNNNNNNNNNNNNNNNNNNNNNNNNNNNNNNNNNNNNNNNNNNNNNNNNNNNNNNNNNNNNNNNAAUUAAAUUAAUUAACUAGUUAAGUUUAAUUAAACUGUAAUUAGAUUAACCUAAACCCUAAUUAAUUUAAAUAGAGAAUGACAGGUGGGUCCCACUGGACCCACAUGUCAGGGUUGACUCAGUCAACCCCUGUUGACUGCUGACGUCAGCAUGACAUCAUGCUGACGUCAUAAAUCCAUUUUUUCGAAUUAAUUAAAUAAUUAAUUAAAUUCCAGAAAUUGUUAAAAAUCUUUUAAAAAUCAUAUCUUUUAAUCCGUAACUCGGAUUAAAAUAUUUUCAACAUGAAAGUUGCUCAGAACGACGUGACGAUUCCGGAUACGCAGUCCGUUCGUCUGCCACACACCCCUAGCAUACCGAACACACAACUUUCCCCUCCGGUUCGCCAGUCCAAAAACGCGAAACACCGGGAAUACUUUCCCGGAUGUUUCCCCCUUUCGUCGGUAUCACCUACUAUCGCGAUUGAGCACACCUAGCAUCGUUACUUGUCAUGUCAUGCAUCGAUAUGCAUUUGUUUGCAUGGUAUUCAUUGUUUCUUCCCCCUCUUCUCUCCGGUAGACUACGAGACCGACGCUGCUGCUGCCCAGUUCGACUACGGAGUUGACGACCCCUCUCUCUUGCCAGAGCAACCAGGCAAGCCCCCCCCUUGAUCACCAGAUAUCGCCUAUUCUCCUCUAUACUGCUUGCAUUAGAGUAGUGUAGCAUGUUACUGCUUUCAUUAUUCCUAUUCUGAUGCAUAGCCUGACAUUGUCGCUACAUCUGUUGAUACCUUACCUGCAAUCCUAAAUACUUAGUAUAGGAUGCUAGUUUAUCAUUGUUGGCCCUACCUUCGUGUCAGUCUGCCUUGCUAUAAUAUUGGGCCGUGAUCACUCGGGAGGUGAUCACGGGUAUAUACUAUACAUACAUACAUACUAUACAGAGGGUGACUAAAGUCGGGUCAGCUCGAAGAGUACCCGCGAGUGAUUCACGGAUUGGGGGCUGAAAGAACCUUGUCCCGACGGCCCUCUGUGUGGAUCUUUGUGGCGAAGCGGCAGGGCAGGUUGAGACCACCUAGGAGACAGGUGGGCCUGGCCCUGUUCGGCGUUCGCGGAUACUUAACACGCUUAACGAGAUCUUGGUAUUUGAUCUGAGUCUGGCUACGAGCCUAUACGCACUAACCAUCUACGUGGGAGUAGUUAUGGGUAUCCCGACGUCGUGGUAUCAGCCGAAGCACUUCAGACGUCAGCGACGGAGCGGCGCGCGCCGGAUUGGAACGUAAGCCUGCUCUUGUAUUAAGGGGGCUAGUUCUGCUUUCGGCCGCGUACGCAACGUGCAGGUGUGCUAUGGGCGAUGGGCCAGACCCCUUUGCGCUUAGGUUUAGACCGGCGUGCUGGCCUCUCUGUUGAGCCUAGGUGGGGCUGCGACGUGUUGAUCUUCCGAGGCCGGGCAUGACCCAGGAAAGUGUGUCCGGCCAAAUGGGAUCGAGCGUGUUGGGCUAUGUGGUGCACCCCUGCAGGGAAGUUAAUCUAUUCGAAUAGCCGUGAUCUUCCGUAACAGGACGACUUGGAGUUGUACCUUGACCUUAUGACAACUAGAACCGGAUACUUAAUAAAACACACCCUUCCAAGUGCCAGAUACAACCGGUGGUCGCUCUACCUCAGGGAUAUGAGGAGGGGAUCGCCGGGUAGGAUUAUGCUAUGAGAUGUUACUUGGAGAUGCUACUUGGAGGACUUCAAUCUACUCUCUUAUACUUGAUGCAAGACGAAGGUGACCAGAAGCGUAGUCUUCGACAGGAUUAGUUAUCCCCCUCUUAUUCUGGCAUUCUGCAGUUCAGUCCACUGAUAUGGCCCCUUUACACAUAUACCCAUGCAUAUGUAGUGUAGUUCCUUGCUUGCGAGUACUUUGGAUGAGUACUCACGGUUGCUUUCUCCCCCCUUUUCUCCCCCUUUCCUUUCUUUCUGGUUGUCGCAACCAGAAGCUGGAGUCCAGGAGUCAGACGCCACCAUCGACGACGACCCCUACUACACUGGAGGUGCCUACUACUACGUGCUGCCCGCUGAUGACGACCUGGAGUAGUUUAGGAGGAUCCCAGGCAGGAGGCCUGCGCCUCUUUCGAUCUGUAUCCCAGUUUGUGCUAGCCUUCUUAAGGCAGACUUGUUUAACUUAUGUCUGUACUCAGAUAUUGUUGCUUCCGCUGACUCGUCUAUGAUCGAGCACUUGUAUUCGCGCCCUCGAGGCCCCUGGCUUGUAUUAUGAUGCUUGUAUGACUUAUUUUAUUUGUAGAGUUGUGUUGUGAUAUCUUCCCGUGAGUCCCUGAUCUUGAUCGUACACAUUUGCGUGCAUGAUUAGUGUACGAUUGAAUCGGGGGCGUUACACUCAGACUAUGAGAUUAUGCAACUCCCGAAUACCGGAGGAACACUUUGUGUGCUAUCAGACGUCACAAGUAAAUGGGUGAUUAUAAAGAUGCUCUACAGGUGUCUCCGAAGGUGUUUGUUGGGUUGGCAUAGAUCGAGAUUAGGAUUUGUCACUCCGUGUUUCAGAGAGGUAUCUCUGGGCCCUCUUAGUAAUACUCAUCACUAUAAGCCUUGCAAGCAUUGUGACUAAUGAGUUAGUUACGGGAUGAAGUAUUACAAAAUGAGUAAAGAGACUUUCCGGUAACGAGAUUGAACUAGGUAUGAUGAUACCGACGAUUGAAUCUCGGGCAAGUAACAUACCGAUGACAAAGGGAACAACGUAUGUUGUUAUGCGGUUUGACCGAUAAAGAUCUUCAUAGAAUAUGUAGGAACCAAUAUGAGCAUCCAGGUUCCGCUAUUUGAUUGACCGAAGACGUGUCUCGGUCAUGUCUACAUAGUUCUCGAACCCAUAGGGUCCGCAUGCUUAAUGUUCGAUGACGAUUGGUAUUAUGAGUUUAUGUGAUUUGAUGUACCAAAUGUUGUUCUGAGUCCCGAAUGAGAUCACGGACAUGAUGAGGAGUCUCGAAAUGGUCGAGCCAUAAAGACUGAUAUAUUGGAAGACUAUAUUCGGACACCGGAAUAGUUCCAAGGUGUAUCGGGUAAUUUCCGGAGUACCGGGNNNNNNNNNNNNNNNNNNNNNNNNNNNNNNNNNNNNNNNNNNNNNNNNNNNNNNNNNNNNNNNNNNNNNNNNNNNNNNNNNNNNNNNNNNNNNNNNNNNNNNNNNNNGGAGACAGGCCAAGGUGUGGCACGCGCGCCCCUAGCCCAAACCGAAUUGGACUAUGGGGGCCGGGCCCCCUUUCCUUCUCUCCACCCCCUCCUUCCCCCUUCUCCUUGUUGGAAUAGGAAGGGGGGCGAAUCUUACUUGGAGUAGGAUUGCCCCCCCAUGGCGCGCCUCCUUCCCUGGCCAACCUCCCACUCCUCUCGUCCUUUAUAUACGGGGGAGGGGGCACCCCAUAGACACACAAGUUGAUCUUUAGCCGUGUGCGGUGCCCCCUCCACAGUUUUCCACCUCGGUCAUAUCGUCGUAGUGCUUAGGCGAAGCCCUGCGCCGGUAACUUCAUCACCACCGUCACCACGCCGUCGUGCUGACGGAACUCUCCCUCGGCCUCAGCUGGAUCUAGAGUUCGAGGGACGUCACCGAGCUGAACGUGUGCAGAUCGCGGAGGUGUCGUGCGUUCGGUACUUGAUCGGUUGGAUCGCGAAGGCGUUUGAAUACAUCAACCGCGUUAUUUAACGCUUCCGCUUUCGGUCUAUGAGGGUACGUGGACACACUCUCCCCUCUCGUUGCUAUGCAUCACCUAGACAGAUCUUGCGUGAUCGUAGGAUUUUUUUUGAAAUUACUGCGUUCCCCAACACAAACUAGAUUAAAAUAGCUUUAAAAUAGAUUUUCUAUAAUCUCCAUGGGCUGAUGUCGAAGACAUAAACAAGGAAUACACUUUCACUUAAAAAUGGUUCGGAAUGGGCUGGAGUGGUUGGUUGGUGGGACCACCCAGUCAAACAUGAUAUUUGAGAUUGAAGUGUUUGAAAAUAUUUGGAUAUAUCUUCAAACAUGAUAUUUGAGAAUAGGAGAUUAAAUUGAAGAAACCAUUAUUAACAAUGACAAAAGCAACAUGUGGGCAUGGAUCAAAACAAGGGAUAUUUACUUUGACAGUCUAAAAUUUGUGAUGUAUCUUGAGUCCAAACUGUAAUGACUCUCAUGUUUAAUGACGAUUGAGGUGUUUUGAAGUAUUGUUUGAAUACAUCCUCAAACAUAAUANNNNNNNNNNNNNNNNNNNNNNNNNNNNNNNNNNNNNNNNNNNNNNNNNNNNNNNNNNNNNNNNNNNNNNNNNNNNNNNNNNNNNNNNNNNNNNNNNNNNNNNNNNNNNNNNNNNNNNNNNNNNNNNNNNNNNNNNNNNNNNNNNNNNNNNNNNNNNNNNNAACGCAAGCAUCCUGGUCAAUAUGUCCUCAAGAUUAGAUCAAGUUACACAAUCAUGUUGAAGUUAAACCAUCUUGUUCAAUUAAAAAAUGAUAAUAUUUUUUGAUGUAUGUUGAAUCAAACCUCACACAAAACGGUGGAGAAUAGUUGAAUCGUUGAGAUAUGUGAAUAAUUAUUCCAACUAUAUUUGAAAAAUCCAGCAAAUAAUGUGGAAUGAAGAUAAGAAAAAAACAAAUGAAAAAAACCAAAUGUGGCCAUGGAAAAAAAAAACCUGGCGCUCUAACGUGAUGUAUCUUCAAUCCAAAUAAUAUUGACCCUCUAGAUAAUGCCACAAAAAGUAAUGACAAGAUAAGGGAGGCAGAAAAAGGAAGAUUGCGGUGAACGUGGAUCGAACACGCGACCUUCAAAUCUUCAGUCUGACGCUCUCCCAUCUGAGCUAUCUCCGCAUUAUGUAAUUUUGGUUAGUUCUGUUUAUGUAUCUUGGAUUUCUGACUCACUUCAUAUUUGACUCGACACUAACGCUCUUCAAACUAACAUAAGGCCUCGGAAUCUCCACGUAGCAGCGAUCAGUAAAUGUAUUAUAUUACGCACCUCGUACAACCGUAGCAUAGACUUCUCGACAUAUUUUAUACGUACUUGAUGAUGUUCUUUCUUUACAUGGAAGAAGGAAAUCCAUGAUCUAUGGAACAAUCGUAAAGGUCCAGAACAAACGCAGUUUAAUUAGGCAGUACUAUAUACAUACUAUGGACUAGCCCAUUGGCUCAUUAGCAAAUUGUUUAAUUAACCUCUGAAUUUCUUCUUGGCUUUGGGCGGUAGACGGUCUGCAGCGCCGCUUUCUUGUCAGAAGCGAAUGCAUCAGUACAAGAGCCGCCGGUGCCACAGCUCCGGCGAGCAAUCUCUCCUGCCGCCGCUCGCUGCACGAGUGGGAAGCCCAUCUCCUGCAUGAAGCCAACUACCCGGCGCCGCGCGCGCUGGGACGGUGGAGGCUCAGCNNNNNNNNNNNNNNNNNNNNNNNNNNNNNNNNNNNNNNNNNNNNNNNNNNNNNNNNNNNNNNNNNNNNNNNNNNNNNNNNNNNNNNNNNNNNNNNNNNNNNNNNNNNNNNNNNNNNNNNNNNNNNNNNNNNNNNNNNNNNNNNNNNNNNNNNNNNNNNNNNNNNNNNNNNNNNNNNNNNNNNNNNNNNNNNNNNNNNNNNNNNNNNNNNNNNNNNNNNNNNNNNNNNNNNNNNNNNNNNNNNNNNNNNNNNCCCAUGCCCGGCGUCACGAGCCCCGACAAGUUCCGGACCGAGAUUGGGCGUGCGCGGGCGUCUCUGUCAGAGUAGCAGCGGGCCCCCCCGCAGUACAUCGCCGGUAACCACGAGGCGUGGGCGGCGUACUUUGAACGCCGGCAAGCGGAGCGGUUGGCCUCUACCAACAACGCGCCGGUGGGGCGGGGGAGCAAGAACAGGGACGGCCGCCGCCUGUGGUGGGGCGCCCUCGGCCGCACGCUCCACGCCGUCCUCGAGUAUCUUGAGGGCGACAACGACUCUCCGUUGACGUACCCGGCCGCCCUGGUCCCCGCCGGAGUGGCGGCCAAUGGAUGCCGAGGAGGACCAGCUCCUCUUCCUCCUCCUCCCGAUCCUCCUCCCACUCCUCUGGGUCGCCGACGCUCUUCAGUAUCAAGGCUGAGCCCGCGGAAACCCAUCUCGGCAGCGCCGGCAUCAUCAUCGACGAGGAUGGGCAUCCCUCCUCCUCGGCUCCUCCCUGCUUCGUUAAGCCCAAAACGGAGCCGGGGCUCACCGCCGUCAAGACGGAGCCGGGGCUCGCCGACGUGAAGACGGAGCCGGGGCUCGAGAUCGACGACGAUGCAGCCAUGAAGUGGGUGCGUGAAGACUGGGCGCGGCUGGAGAUGGAGCGCCAGCACCGCGCCCUGGAGGAGAUCAUCACGCGUUGCCGUGGGCGCGACAAAGGGGGUGUGGUCGUGCUUGAAGACAGCGACGACGACGCGCCACUACCGGUCCGCCUAGGCGACCCCGGGCAAGGGUCCAGCGGCGUGAAUAAGGAGAAGGACGACGACGACGGCGGUGGCGACGACGGCGACUACGCCGCGUUCAGCGAGUUCUUCGGCCUGUAGUCACGGUGCACUGUUUUUUUAGUGAGUUUCUUGUUUUCUAUGUAAAAACAUGUUGAACGCCGAAGUUUAUGUCCUGUUCGCCGAAACUUUGUCAUGUUUGCCGAAUUUUAGCCGUUUUCCUUUUCAAAACAGUAUUAAAAGAGGCGUCGGGGGCGACCCUGGGGGUGGCGGCUGGGAACCCGAUCGUCCCCAAGCCGAUUUUUAGCGUCGGGUCGCCCCCAGGUGGCGAUUUUAAGAACCCCCUGGGGGGCCAACGGCUGGGGUUGCUCUUAGCGCAAGACCUUUUAUAACGCUAUAUCGUGCGCUAUUGAAAACCAUGGUGUAUAUGUUAGGGAACGUAAUAAUUUCAAAAAAAUUCCUACGCACACGCAAGAUCAUGGUGAUGCAUAGCAACGAGAGGGGAGAGUGUUGUCCACGUACCCUCGUAGACCGAAAGCGGAAGCAUUAGCACAACGCGGUUAAUGUAGUCGUAUGUCUUCACGGCCUGACCGAUCCAGCACCGAAAACACGCCACCUCCGAGUUCUUGCACACGUUCAGCUCGAUGACGUCCCUCUAACUCCGAUCCAGCCGAGUGUCGAAGGAGAGUUCCGUCAGCACGACGGCGUGGUGACGAUGAUGAUGUUCUACCGACGCAGGGAUUCGCCUAAGCACCGCUACAAUAUUAUUGAGGUGGAAUAUGGUGGAGGGGGCACCGCACACGGCUAAUAGAUCUCAAGGAUCAAUUGUUGUUGUGUCUAGAGGUGCCCCCUGCCCCCGUAUAUAAAGGAGCAAGGGGGAGGGGGCGGCCGGCCAGGAGGAGUCCUACUCCCAUCGGGAGUAGGACUCCCUCCUUUCCUUGUCCAAGUAGGAGAGGCGGAAGGAAGGGAGAGAGGGGAGGAAGGUAAGGGGGGCGCCCCCCCCCCUCCUUGUCCUAUUCGGACUAGAGGGGGAGGGGGCACGCGGCCUGCCCUGGCCGCCCCUCCUCUUCUCCACUUUGGGCCCAUGAGGCCCACUAACCCCCGAGGGGGUUCCGGUAACCCCCCGGUACUCCGGUAUAUAUCUGAUAACCCCCGGAACCAUUCCGGUGUCCGAACAUAGUCGUCCAAUAUAUCAAUGUUCAUGUCUCGACCAUUUCGAGACUUCUCGUCAUGUCCGUGAUCAUAUCCGGGACUCCGAACUAUCUUCGGUGCAUCAAAACACAUGAACUCAUAAUAUAACUGUCAUCUAACUUUAAGCGUGCGGACCCUACGGGUUCGAGAACUAUGUAGACAUGACCGAGACAUGUUUCCGAUCAAUAACCAAUAGCGGAACCUGGAUGCUCAUAUUGGCUCCUACAUAUUCUACGAAGAUCUUUAUCGGUCAAACCGCAUAACACCAUACGUUGUUCCCUUUGUCAUCGGUAUGUUACUUGCCCGAGAUUUGAUCGUCGGUAUCUCAAUACCUAGUUCAAUCUCGUUACCGGCAAGUAUCUUUACUCGUUAUGUAAUGCAUCAUUCCGUAACUAACUCCUUAGCUACAUUUCUUGCAAGUCUUAUAAUGAUGUGCAUUACCGAGAGGGCCCAGAGAUACCUCUCCGACAAUCGAAGUGACAAAACCUAAUCUCGAAAUACGUCAACUCAACAUGUACCUUUGGAGACACCUGUAGAGCUCCUUUAUAAUCACCCAGUUUCAUUGUGACGUUUGGUAGCACACAAAGUGUUCCUCUGGUAAACGGGAGUUGCAUAAUCUCAUAGUUGUAGGAACAUGUAUAAGUCAUGAAGAAAGCAAUAGCAACAUACUAAAUGAUCAAGUGCUAAGUUAACAGAAUGGGUCAAGUCAAUCACAUCAUUCUCCUAAUGAUGUGAUCCCGUUAAUCAAAUGACAACUCAUGUCUAUGGUCAGGAAACACAACCAUCAUUGAUCAACAAGCUAGUCAAGUAAAGGCAUACUAGUGACACUAUGUAUGUCUAUGUAUUCACACAUGCAUUAUGUUUCCGGUUACUACAAUUCUAGCAUGAAUAAUAAGCAUUUAUCAUGAUAUAAGGAAAUAAAUAAUAACUUUAUUAUUGCCUCUAGGGCAUAUUUCCUUCAGUCUCCCACUUGCACUAGAGUCAAUAAUCUGGAUUACACAGUAAUUGUUCUAACACCCAUGGAGCCUUGGUGUUGAUCAUGUUUUGCUCGUGGAAGAGGCUUAGUCAAUGGGUCUGCAACAUUCAGAUCCGUAUGUAUCUUGCAAAUCUCUAUGUCUCCCACCUGGACUUGGUCCCGGUUGGAAUUGAAGCGUCUUUUGAUGUGCUUGGUCCUCUUGUGAAAUCUGGAUUCCUUUGCCAAGGCAAUUGCACCAGUAUUGUCACAGAAGAUCUCCAUUGGUCCCGAUGCACUAGGUAUGACACCUAGAUCGGAUAUGAACUCCUUCAUCCAGACUCCUUCAUUUGCUGCUUCCGAAGCAGCUAUGUACUCCGCUUCGCAUGUAGAUCCCGCCACGACACUUUGUUUAGAACUGCACCAACUGACAGCUCCACCGUUCAAUAUAAACACCUAUCCGGUUUGCGAUUUAGAAUCAUCUGGAUCAGUGUCAAAGCUUGCAUCGACAUAACCAUUUAUGACUAGCUCUUUGUCACCUCCAUAAACAAGAAACAUAUCCUUAGUCCUUUUCAGGUAUUUCAGGAUAUUCUUGACCGCUGUCCAGUGAUCCACUCCUGGAUUACUUUGGUACCUCCCUGCUAAACUUAUUGCUAAGCAUACAUCAUGUCUGGUACACAGCAUUGCAUACAUGAUAGAGCCUAUGGCUGAAGCAUAGGGAACAUCUUUCAUUUUCUCUCUAUCUUCUGCUGUGGUCGGGCAUUGAGUCUGACUCAACUUCACACCUUGUAAUACAGGCAAGAACCCUUUCUUUGCUUGAUCCAUUUUGAACUUUUUCAAAACUUUAUCAAGGUAUGUGCUUUGUGAAAGUCCAAUUAAGCGUCUUGAUCUAUCUCUAUAGAUUUUGAUGCCUAAUAUGUAAGCAGCUUCACCAAGGUCUUUCAUUGAAAAACUUUUAUUCAAGUAUCCUUUUAUGCUAUCCAGAAAUUCUAUAUCAUUUCCAAUCAAUAAUAUGUCGUCUACAUAUAAUAUCAGAAAUGCUACAGAGCUCCCACUCACUUUCUUGUAAAUACAGGCUUAUCCAAAAGUCUGUAUAAAACCAUAUGCUUUGAUCACACUAUCAAAGCGUUUAUUUCAACUCCGAGAGGCUUGCACCGGUCCAUAAAUGGAUCACUGGAUCUUGCACACUUUGUUAGUACUUUUUGGAUCGACAAAACCUUCUGGUUGCAUCAUAUACAACUCUUCUUCCAGAAAUCCAUUCAGGAAUGCAGUUUUGACAUCCAUUUGCCAUAUUUCAUAAUCAUAAAAUGCGGCAAUUUCUAACAUUAUUCGGACAGACUUAAGCAUCACUACGGGUGAGAAAGUCUCAUCGUAGUCAACUCCUUGAACUUGUCGGAAACCUUUUGCAACAAGUCGAGCUUUUUAGACAGUACCAUUACCAUCAGCGUCAGCCUUCUUCUUGAAAAUCCAUUUAUUCUCGAUGGCUUGCCGAUCAUCGGGCAAGUCAACCAAAGUCCAUACUUUGUUCUCAUACAUGGAUCCCAUCUCAGAUUUCAUGGCCUCAAGCCAUUUUGCGGAAUCCAGGCUCAUCAUCGCUUCCUCAUAGUUCGUAGGUUCGCCAUGGUCAAGUAACAUGGCUUCUAGAAUAGGAUUACCAUACCACUCUGGUGCGGAUCUUACUCUGGUUGACCUACGAGGUUCGGUAGUAACUUGAUCUGAAGUUUCAUGAUCAAUAUCAUUAGCUUCCUCAUUGAUUGGUCUUUCCUUUAGAUCUGUGAUAGAAGGUGUACCCAAUAGUCUCUUUUGGGUAUCCUAUAAAGACACAUUUCUCCAAUUUGGAUUCGAGCUUAUCUGGUUGAAGUUUCUUCACAUAAGCAUCACAGCCCCAAACUUUAAGAAACGACAACUUUGGUUUCUUGCCAAACCAUAGUUCAUAAGGCAUCAUCUCAAUGGAUUUGAUGGUGCCCUAUUUAACGUGAAUACAACCGUCUCUAAAGCAUAACCCCAAAACGAUAGCGGUAAAUCAGUAAGAGACAUCAUAGAUCGCACCAUAUCUAGUAAAGUAUGAAUACGACGUUUGGACACACCAUUACGUUGUGGUGUUCCGGGUGGCGUGAGUUGUGAAACUAUCCCGCAUUGUUUAAAAUGCAAACCAAACUCGUAACUCAAAUAUUCUCCUCCAUGAUCGGAUCAUAGAAACUUUAUUUUCUUGUUACGAUGAUUUUCCACUUCACUAUGAAAUUCUUUGAAUUUUUCAAAUGUUUCAGACUUAUGUUUCAUUAAGUAGAUAUACCCAUAUCUGCUCAAAUCAUCUGUGAAGGUGAGAAAAUAACUAUACCCGCCACGAGCCCCAAUGUUCAUUGGACCACAUACAUCAGUAUGUAUGAUUUCCAACAAAUCUGUUGCUCGCUCCAUAGUUCCGGAGAACGGCGUUUUAGUCAUGUUGCCCAUGAGGCACGGCUCGCAAGUACCAAUUGAUUCAUAAUCAAGUGAUUCCAGAAGUCCAUCAAUAUGGAGUUUCUUCAUGCGCUUUACACCAAUAUGACCCAAACGGCAGUGCCACAAACAAGUUGCACUAUCAUUAUCAACUCUACAUCUUUUGGCUUCAACAUUAUGAAUAUGUGUAUCACUACUAUCGAGAUUUAAUAAAAAUAGACCACUCUUCAAGGGUGCAUGACUAUAAAAGAUAUUACUCAUAUAAAUAGAACAACCAUUAUUCUCUGAUUUAAAUGAAUAACCGUCUCGCAUCAAACAAGAUCCAGAUAUAAUGUUCAUGCUCAACGCUGGCACCAAAUAACAAUUAUUCAGGUCUAAAACUAAUCCCGAAGGUAGAUGUAGAGGUAGCGUGCCGACAGCGAUCACAUUGACUUUGGAACCAUUUCCCACGCGCAUCAUCACCUCGUCCUUAGCCGAUCUUCGCUUAAUCCGUAGUCCCUGUUUCAAGUUGCAAAUAUUAGCAAUAGAACCAAUAUCAAAUACCCAGGUACUACUGCAAGCAUUAGUAAGGUACACAUCAAUAACAUGUAUAUCACAUAUACCUUUGUUCACCUUGCCAUCCUUCUUAUCCGCCAAAUACUUGGGGCAGUUCCACAUCCAGUGACCAGUCUGCUUGCAGUAGAAGCACUCAGUCUCAGGCUUAGGUCCAGAUUUUGGUUUCUUCUCUUGAGCAGCAACCUGUUUGCCGUUCUUCUUGAACUUCCCCUUCUUCUUCCCUUUACCCUUUUUCUUGAAACUGGUGGUCUUAUUGACCAUCAACACUUGAUGCUCCUUUUUGAUUUCUACCUCCGUAGCUUUUAGCAUUGCGAAGAGCUCAGGAAUAGUCUUGUCCAUCCCUUGCAUAUUAUAGUUCAUCACAAAGCUCUUGUAGCUUGGUGGCAGUGAUUGAAGAAUCCUAUCAAUGACACUAUCAUCAGGAAGAUUAACUCCCAGUUGAAUCAAGUGAUUAUUGUACCCAGACAUUUUGAGUAUAUAUUCACUGACAGAACUAUUCUCUUCCAUCUUGCAGCUAUAGAACUUAUUGGAGACUUCAUAUCUCUCAUUCCGGGCAUUUGCUUGAAAUGUUAACUUCAACUCCUGGAACAUCUCAUAUGCUCCAUGACGUUCAAAACAUCGUUGAAGUCCCGGUUCUAAGCCGUAAAGCAUGGCACAUUGAACUAUCGAGUAGUCAUAAGCUUUGCUCUGCCAGACGUUCCUAACGUCGUCAGUUGCAUCUGCAGCAGGCCUAGGACCCAGCGGUGCUUCCAGGACGUAAUUAUUCUGUGCAGUAAUGAGGAUAAUCCUCAAGUUACGGACCCAGUCCGUGUAAUUGCUACCAUCAUCUUUCAACUUAGCUUUCUCAAGGAACGCAUUAAAAUUCAACGGAACAACAGCACAAGCCAUCUAUCUACAACAAACAUAGACAAGCAAAAUACUAUCAGGUACUAAGUUCAUGAUAAAUUUAAGUUCAAUUAAUCAUAUUACUUAAGAACUCCCACUUAGAUAGACAUCCCUCUAAUCAUCUAAGUGAUCACGUGAUCCAAAUCAACUAAACCAUGUCCGAUCAUCACGUGAGAUGGAGUAGUUUUCAAUGGUGAACAUCACUAUGUUGAUCAUAUCUACUAUAUGAUUCACGAUCGACCUUUCGGUCUCAGUGUUCCGAGGCCAUAUCUGUAUAUGCUAGGCUCGUCAACUUUAACCUGAGUAUUCCGUGUGUGCAACUGUUUUGCACCCGUUGUGAACGUAGAGCCUAUCACACCCGAUCAUCACGUGGUGUCUCAUCACGAAGAACUUUCGCAACGGUGCAUACUCAGGGAGAACACUUAUACCUUGAAAUUUAGUGAGAGAUCAUCUUAUAAUGCUACCAUCAAUCAAAGCAAAAUAAGAUGCAUAAAGGAUAAAUAUCACAUGCAAUCAAUAUAAGUGAUAUGAUAUGGCCAUCAUCAUCUUGUGCUUGUGAUCACCAUCUCCGAAGCACCGUCAUGAUCACCAUCGUCACCGGCGCGACAGCUUGAUCUCCAUCGUAGCAUCGUUGUGAUUUCGCCACCUAUUGCUUCUACGACUAUCGCUACCUCUUAGUGAUAAAGUAAAGCAAUUACAGGGUGAUUGCAUUGCAUACAAUAAAGCGACAACAAUAUGGCUCCUACCAGUUGCCGAUAACUCGGUUACAAAAUGUGAUCAUCUCAUACAAUAAAAUAUAGCAUCACAUCUUGACCAUAUCACAUCACAACAUGCCCUGGAAAAACAAGUUAGACGUCCUCUACUUUGUUGUUGCAAGUUUUACGUGGCUGCUACGGGCUGAGCAAGAACCGUUCUUACCUACGCAUCAAAACCACAAUGAUAGUUCGUCAAGUUAGUGUUGUUUUAACCUUCUCAAGGACCGGGCGUAGCCACACUCGGUUCAACUAAAGUUGGAGCCGCCAGCCACCUAUGUGCAAAGCACGUCGGUAGAACCAGUCUUGCGUAAGCGUACGCGUAAUGUCAGUCCGGGCCGCUUCAUCCAACAAUACCGCCGAACCAAAGUAUGACAUGCUGGUAAGCAAUAUGACUUGUAUCACCCACAACUCACUUAUGUUCUACUCGUGCAUAUAACAUCUACGCGUAAAACCAGGCUCGGAUGCCACUGUUAGGGAACGUAGUAAUUUCAAAAAAAAAUCCUACGCACACGCAAGAUCAUGGUGAUGCAUAGCAACGAGAGGGAAGAGUUUUGUCCACGUACCCUCGUAGACCGAAAGCGGAAGCAUUAGCACAACGCGGUUGAUGUACUCGUACGUCUUCACGGCCCGACCGAUCAAGCACCGAAAACAUGGCACCUCCGAGUUCCUACACACGUUCAACUCGAUGACGUCCCUCGAACUCUGAUCCAGUCGAGUGUCGAAGGAGAGUUCCGUCAGCACGACGGCGUGGUCAUGAUGAUGAUGAUCUACCGACGCAGGGCUUCGCGUAAGCACCACUAUGAUAUUAUCAAGGUGGAAUAUGGUGGAGGAGGGCACCGCACACGGCUAAUAGAUCUCAAGGAUCAAUUGUUGUUGUGUCUAGAGGUGCCCCCUGCCCCCGUAUAUAAAGGAGCAAGGGGGAGGGGGCGGCGGGCCAGGAGGGGGCGUGCUAGGAGGAGUCCUACUCCCACCGGGAGUAGGACUCCCUCCUUUCCUUGUCCAAGUAGGAGAGGUGGAAGGAAGGGAGAGAGGGGAGGAAGGAAAGGGGGCGCCGCNNNNNNNNNNNNNNNNNNNNNNNNNNNNNNNNNNNNNNNNNNNNNNNNNNNNNNNNNNNNNNNNNNNNNNNNNNNNNNNNNNNNNNNNNNNNNNNNNNNNNNNNNNNNNNNNNNNNNNNNNNNNNNNNNNNNNNNNNNNNNNNNNNNNNNNNNNNNNNNNNNNNNNNNNNNNNNNNNNNNNNNNNNNNNNNNNNNNNNNNNNNNNNNNNNNNNNNNNNNNNNNNNNNNNNNNNNNNNNNNNNNNNNNNNNNNNNNNNNNNNNNNNNNNNNNNNNNNNNNNNNNNNNNNNNNNNNNNNNNNNNNNNNNNNNNNNNNNNNNNNNNNNNNNNNNNNNNNNNNNNNNNNNNNNNNNNNNNNNNNNNNNNNNNNNNNNNNNNNNNNNNNNNNNNNNNNNNNNNNNNNNNNNNNNNGUUCUGGUAACCCCCCGGUAUUCCGAUAUAUAUCUGAUAACCCCCGGAACCAUUCCGGUGUCCGAAUAUAGUCAUCCGAUAUAUCAAUCUUCAUGUCUCGACCAUUUCAAGACUCCUCAUCAUGUCCGUGAUCAUAUUCGGGACUCCGAACUAUCUUCAGUACAUCAAAACACAUGAACUCAUAAUAUAAUUGUCAUCUAACUUUAAGCGUGCGGACCCUAUGGGUUUGAGAACUAUGUAGACAUGACCGGGACAUGUUUCCGGUCAAUAACCAAUAGCGGAACCUGGAUGCUCAUAUUGGCUCCUACAUAUUCGAGGAAGAUCUUUAUCGGUCAAACCGCAUAACAACAUACGUAGUUCCCUUUGUCAUCGGUAUGUUACUUGCCCGAGAUUCGAUCGUCGGUAUCUCAACACCUAGUUCAAUCUCAUUACCAGCAAGUCUCUUUACUCGUUAUGUAAUGCAUCAUUCCGUAACUAACUCAUUAGCUACAUUGCUUGCAAGGCUUAUAGUGAUGUGCAUUACCGAGAGGGCCCAGAGAUACCUCUCCGACAAUCGGAGUGACAAAACCUAAUCUCGAAAUACGCCAACUCAACAUGUACCUUUGGAGAUACCUGUAGAGCUCCUUUAUAAUCACCCAGUUUCGUUGUGACGUUUGGUAGCACACAAAGUGUUCCUCCGGUAAACAGGAGUUGCAUAAUCUCAUAGUUGUAGAAACAUGUAUAAGUCAUUAAGAAAGUAAUAGAAACACACUAAAUGAUCAAGUGCUAAGCUAACGGAAUGGGUCAAGUCAAUCACAUCAUUCUCCUAAUGAUGUGAUCCCGUUAAUCAAAUGACAACUCAUGUCUAUGGUCAGGAAACACAACCAUCUUUGAUCAACAAGCUAGUCAAGUAGAGGCAUACUAGUGACACUAUGUAUGUCUAUGUAUUCACACAUGCAUUAUGUUUCUGGUUAAUACAAUUCUAGCAUGAAUAAUAAACAUUUACACUAGUAGAAAACAUGGCAUUUGUCCCGGUUCGUAAGGGCCUUUUGUCCUGGUUUAAGAACUAGGACUAAAAGGUCGAUACUAAUGCCCUUGGCCUUUAGUCCUGGUUUAAGAACUGGGACUAAAAGGUCGAUACUAAUGCCCUUGGCCUUUAGUCCCGGUUCUUACACGAACCGGGACAGAUGGGCCUCCAUGUGGCCACUGCGGGUAGCCCAGGCAGGGUGGCCUUUGGUCCCGGUUGGUGACAUAAACCGGGACCAAAAGGCAUCCACGCGUCAGCAGCUGGCUGGAGCUGAGUUUUUUUUAAAGUGGCCAGUUUAGGGGUUUUGGGGGUUAAUUUAGGUUGUUAUUAGCUAGCUAAUAGAGAGAAGUGUCCUCUAUUAUAUCUUCGUGCUUGGUUUACCAACGCUACUGCCAAGUUCAUUUCACCCGCUGAUAUAUAAUAACUCUUCAUGAUCGCAUCAUACAUCAUCAUAAGUAAUAACAAGUCCUACUAAUCAUGCAUCAUCAUACAACUUCUACUCGUUAUUAAUAACAAGUCAUACAAUCAUCAUCCUCGAUCAUAGUCAUCGAACCCAACCCUAUAUAAUUGUUCUUAGCACAUGAUCAUCAGUAUCAGGUAGGACCUAAACACCCUUAAGGCAAAAUAGCAUAAAACAAUAUAGACCCUGACUCUCCAUUAUGAAAAAUGGAGAUUAUCCUGUUUCCAAUUCUCACACUUCACUUCUUUUUUCUUCCAAGAACCUCCUUACGACUGUCCAUGCAUUUUUUCCAUUCAUUGAUUUUCAUGUCUCCACUUAUUUUAGAAAUCCGAUAUGGACAGUUGAGAUUCGUAGGACGACCUGGUUGUAUGUUCAAAACAUCAAGGCGACCGUGCGUAUACAUCAGAUGAGGCACACAAUCAUCAGGAUUAUCUGUUGAAAAACAUAGUAAUAACUUCGUAGUUAGCAAUGGUGUACUAGUUUUAGAAGUAUGCAAAAAGAUGCACGGAUGUCGUAAUAGUAAAAAAAAUUAUCAGGGUAUCUCCAUGGUAGUUACCGUAGUUCAACACGUGCACUAGUGGCACGUAUUGACCAUAAUGUUGAGGAGUUCGAUUGUAGAUAUUGUAAUUCUCAAGAUCAGUACAAAAUGCGACCAGAUGAUUUUUCUCCUUAUAAGUUAAUUCGGAGCCAUCGGUGUAGUGGGUUUUGUCUACCAUCUUCCGCACAUUCUUUGAAGAAUGAAAAUAAGCUGUCAAUGGAAAUAAGCUGUCAACUAUUUUGAAAUAAACAAUAUAAAUUACUUAAUAACGACUAUGUUUGAGAAUCUCACAUGGGGGAAGAAUUGGAAGUGUAUCAAUAAGGACCCAAAUGUCCAUAUUGUCUUGCUCGAUUGUAGGAUCACCAAGAUCCAUGGGGACAAGCAUACCCUCAUCAAAACCAUACAUCUUGCAAAGUGCUUCCCAAUUUUUGCAACCAAAAUGGGUUACACUCUUAGAAUUGUACAGAUUUACUUCAAAAUCCACACCAUGAUGGGUCCUUAGGUGAAUUGUUUUGGUUUUCAUACUUUCAUGGUCUUCAAAACCCAUCCUCUCCAAGACAUAGCGUCUUGCAUAGCAUGGGAUAAGCUAGUCGAAUUGGAAAAUAUGAAAAAAUACACAUUAAAAUAGUUGAAGUCGUGCUUAAUUACGAAAAAACUAUUGUCGUCGUUGCGUACUAUUUCAACAUCGAAGGUCUCCUCGAGCUUAAUGCUGAAGCGCCAAUCUUCAUCCAGCUCAAGGAACCUGUCGCACAUACCUCGGUCGUCGUGGCACCAGUCGCACUCCCCCGGGCGGUUUUCGUCGUCCGAGUAUGACAUUUCUGGUCUAUGUUCAUAAUUCAAAUAUUAAACUUGUACAAUUAAAUAUGUGUACUAAAAAACCUAAAUUAGAUCAUUAUUAUUAAUCACGGGUUGACUAUCGGUGAUGGUAGCUCCUCCUUUCAUUCCCGAGUGCAUUAUUACAUCAAAUUGUGUAGCACACGGGAAUGAAGGAGAAGCUACCCCCACGACGGCGUGGAUGAUGGAGGGGGCUCCUAGAUUUCUGCAUAGUGCUCUCCAAUUUUAGCAUUCAAAGUAGGAGUACUUUUCCAAUAUGAGCAUUCAAUAAGCAAAACCAAAUCAUAAAAUAAAGUAGUAUUCAAAUUAGCAUGCAUUCAAUUAUAAGCAAAAGUACAUCAUCUCUUGUGUCCGUACAUCAUCGAAUAUUGCUACCUCUUGAGCACUGCGUUGGUUUUCCCAGAAGAUGAGAGGAUGAUGCAGUAAAGUAGCAUAAGUAUUUCCCUCAGUUUUUGAGAACCAUGGUAUCAAUCCAGUAGGAGACCACGCACAAGUCCCUCGUACCUACACAAAACGAUAGCUACUCGCAACCAACACGAUUAGGGGUUGUCAAUCCCUUCAUGGUCACUUACGAGGGUGAGAUCUGAUAGAGAUGAUAAAUAAUAUUUUUGGUAUUUUUGAUAGAUGGAUGCAAAGUUAAAAGUAAAAGGUAAAGUAAAAACAAAGCAAGUAAAUAAAGCGAUAGAGAUUGAUAUGAUGAGAAUAGACCCGGGGGCCAUAGGUUUCACUAGUGGCUUCUCUCAAGAGCAUAAAUAUUCUACGGUGGGUGAACAAAAUUACUAUCGAGCAAUUGAUAGAAUUGAGCAUAGUUACGAGCAUAUCUGGGCAAUGAUCAUGUAUAUAGGCAUCAUGUCCAAGACAAGUAGAUCAAAGCGAUUCUGCAUCUACUACUAUUACUCCACUCAUCGACCGCUAUCCAGCAUGCAUCUAGAGUAUUAAGUUAAAAACAGAGUAACGCCUUAAGCAAGAUGACAUGAUGUAGAGGGAUAAAUUCAUGCAAUAUGAUAAAAACCCCAUCUCGUUAUCCUCGAUGGCAACAAUACAAUACGUGCCUUGCAACCCUUUCUGUCACUGGGUAAGGACACCGCAAGAUUGAACCCAAAGCUAAGCACUUCUCCCAUUGCAAGAACUACCAAUCUAGUUGGCCAAACCAAACGGAUAAUUCGAAGAGACUUGCAAAGAUAACUCAAUCAUACAUAAAAGAAUUCAGAGAAGAUUCAAAUAUUUUCCAUAGAUAAUCUGGAUCGUAAACCCACAAUUCAUCAGUCUCAACAAACACACCGCAAAAAGAAGAUUACAUCGAAUAGUUCUCCACAAGAGAGGGGGAGAACAUUGUAUUGAGAUCCAAAAAGAGAGAAGAAGCCAUCUAGCUGCUAGCUAUGGACCCGAAGGUCUGAAGUAAACUACUCACACUUCAUCGGAGGGGCUAUGGUGUUGAUGUAGAAGCCCUCCGUGGUAGAUGCCCCCUCCGGCGGAGCUCCGGAACAGGCCCCAAGAUGGGAUCUCGUGGAUACAGAAAGUUACGGCGGUGGAAUUAGGUUUUUGGCUCCGUAUUUGAUCUGUCGGGGGUACGUAGAUAUAUAUAGGAGGAAGGAGGACGUCGGUGGAGCAACAAGGGGCCCACGAGCUAGGGGGCGUGCCCAGGGGUGCCCUCCACCCUCGUGACCGCCUCUUUCGUUCCUUGGAGCAGGGUCCAAGUCUCCCGGAUCACGUUCGGUGAGAAAAUCACGUUCCCGAAGGUUUCAUUCCGCGUGGACUCCGUUUGAUAUUCCGUUUCUUCGAAAUACUGAAAUAGGCAAAAAACAGCAAUUCUGGGCUGGGCCUCCGGUUAAUAGGUUAGUCCCAAAAAUAAUAUAAAAGUGGAAAAUAAAGCCCAAUAUAGUCCAAAACAGUAGAUAAAGUAGCAUGGAGCAAUCAAAAAUUAUAGAUACGUUGGAGACGUAUCAGGCAUCCCCAAGCUUAAUUCCCGCUCGUCCUCGAGUAGGUAAAUGAUAAAAAAGAAUUUUUGAUGCGGAGUGAUACUUUGGCAUAAUUUCAAUGUAAAUCUUCUUAAUUGUGAUAUGAAUAUUCAGAUCCGAAAGAUUCAAGACAAAAGUUCAUAUUGACACAAAAAUAAUAAUACUUCAAGCAUACUAAUCAAAGCAAUCAUGUGUUCUCAAAAUAACAUGGCAAAAGAAAGUUCAUCCCUACAAAAUCAUAUAGUUAGGCUAUGUUUCAUUUUCGUCACACAAAGAUGUUCCCAACUUCUAUACCCCCGAUGACAAGCCAAGCAAUUGUUUCAUACUUAAAUAAUCUCAAACUUUUUCAAUCUUCACGCAAUACAUGAGCGUGAGCCAUGGAUAUAGCACUAUGGGUGGAAUAGAAUAUGAUGAUGGGGAUUGUGUGGAGAAGACAAAAAAAGAAAGUCUCACAUUGGCGAGGAUAAUCAACGGGCUAUGGAGAUGCCCAUCAAUUGAUGUCAACAUGAGGAGUAGGGAUUGCCAUGCAACGAAUGCACUAGAGCUAUGAAUGCUCAACAAAAGAAAACUAGUGGGUGUGCAUCCAACUUGCUUGCAAACGAAGACCUAGGGCAUUUGAGGAAGCCCAUCGUAGGAAUAUACAAGCCAAGUUCUAUAAUGAAAAAUUCCCACUAGUAUAAAAAGACAACUUAUGAGACUCACUACAUGAAGAACAAGGUGAUACUUUGAAGCACAAUAUAUGAGACUCACUACAUGAAGAACAAGGUGCUACUUUGAAGCACAAGUGUGGAAAAAAGAUAGUAGCAUUGCCCUUUUUCUUUUCUUUUUUUUUCUUUUGUUUUUCUUUUUCCCUUUUUUUGGCCCUUUCCUUUUUUUGGCCUUUCUUUUUUUUCUUUUCUUUUUUUCUUUGAGCAAUGCUCUAAUAAUGAUGAUCAUCACACUUCUAUUGAUUACAAGAUAAGGAUUACAACUCGAAACUUAGAACAAGAUAUGACUCUAUAUGAAUGCCUCUGGCGGUGUACCGAGAUGGUGCAAUGAAUCAAGAGUGACAUGUAUGAAAAAUAAUGCAAGGUGGUUUUGCCACAAAUGCGAUGUCAACUACAUGAUCAUGCAAUGGCAAUAUGACAAAAGUAAUGUAUGUCAGGAUGAGGAUGGAAGUUACAUGGCAAUAUAUCUCGGAAUGGCUAUGGAAAUGCCAUAAUAGGUAGGUAUGGUGGCUGUUUUGAGGAAGAUAUAAGGAGGUUUAUGUGUGAUAGAGCGUAUCGUAUCACGGGGUUUGGAUGCACCGGCGAAGUUUGCACCAACUCUCAAGGUGAGAAAGGGCAAUGCACGGUACCGAAGAGGCUAGCAAAGGCGAAAAGGUGAGAGCGCGUAUAAUCCAUGGACUCAACAUUAGUCAAAAGAACUCAUAUACUUAUUGCAAAAAUUUAGAAGUCAACAAAAAUCAAGUACUACGCGCAUGCUCCUAGGGGGAUAGAUUGGUAGGAAAAGACCAUCGCUCGUCCCCGACCGCCACUCAUAAGGAUGCACAAGCCAGGUACACUUCAUGUUUCAAAUUUGUUACACAACUUUAACCAUACGUGCAUGCUACGGGAUUUGCAAACUUCAAGACAAGCAUUUCUCAAAUUCAUAAUCACUCAACUAGCACGACUUUGAUAUUAUCACCUCCAUAUCUCAAAACAAUUAUCAAGCAUCAAACUUAUCUUAGUAUUCAAUUCACUCAAAAGAAAGUUUCACAUAUCUUGAAUACCAAGUAUAUUAACAUUAAGCAAAUUACCAUGCUAUUAACGACUCUAAAAAAUAAUAUAAGUGAAGCAUGAGAGAUCAAUAGUUUUUAAAAAAAAUCCACCACCGUGCUCUAAAAGAUAUAAGUGAAAUACUAGAGCAAAAACUAUCACGCUCAAAAGAUAUAAGUGAAGCACUAUGAGCAAAACUAUCAAGCUCAAAAGAUAUAAGUGAAGCACAUAGAGUAUUCUAACAAAUUCUAAAUCAUGUAUGGCUCUCUCAAAAGGUGUGUACAGCAAGGAUGAUUGUGGUAGACUAACAAGCAAAGACACAAAUGAUAUAAGACACUCCAAGCAAAACACAUAACAGGUGGUGAAUAAAAAUAUAGCUCCAAGUAAAUUACCGAUGGAAGUGGACGAAAGAGGGGAUGCCUUCCGGGGCAUCCCCAAGCUUUGACUUUUUGGUGUACUUGGAUUAUCUUGUGGGUGCCGUGGGCAUCCCCAAGCUUAGGCUCUUGCCACUCCUUGUUCCAUAAUCCAUCAAAAGAAUUCACCCAAAACUUGAAAACUUCACAACACAAAACUCAACAGAAAUCUCGUGAGCUCCGUUAGAGAAAGAAAACAAAAUACUACUUCAAGGUACUGUAAUGAACUCAUUAUUUAUUUAUAUUGGUGUUAAACCUACUGUAUUACAACUUCUCUAUGGAUUAUAAACUAUUUUACUAGCCAUAGAUUCAUCAAAAUAAGCAAACAACACACGUAAAACAGAAUCUGUCAAAAACAGAACAGUUUGUAGCAAUCUGUAACUAAUGCAAACUUAUGGAACUCUAAAAAUUCUACCAAAAUAGGAAGUCCUGGAAAAUUUGUUUAUUGAACAUCGUCAAAAAGAAUCAACGCAAAAGCACGUUCCUGUGAUUUAACAAAAUUAUAUUCGUGCGUGCAAAGUUUCUGUUUUUCAGCAGAAUCAAAUCAACUAUCAUCGUAGGUUAUCCUAUAGGUUCUACUUGGCACAAACACUAAUUAAAAGACAAAACCACAUUUAACCAGAGGCUAGAUGGAUUAUUUAUUCCUAAACAGAAGCAAAAACAAAAAACACAAAAUAAAAUUGGGUUGCCUCCCAACAAGCGCUAUCGUUUAACGCCCCUAGCUAGGCAUAAAAGCAAGGAUAGAUCUAGGUAUUGCCAUCUUUGAUUUUCAAUUUCUUGGCGGAGUCAUGCUCGAAUCUGGGAGGUUCUUUCCGCUUCCCUUCAUACUCGGAAAUUUUUAGGUCUAAAGAAUCCAACCGCUUAUUACAAAGAGUAAUCAACAUAUUCAUGCGGUGAAGAUUUCCGCUAACACUUUUAAGAGGCUCAAGAGACUUUUGUAAAAAAAUUGUUACUUCGCAAAUCUUCUCAAACACUUGGGUUUCUUCCUGGGUAGGAUAAGAUCCUCCCUUUUGGGGUAGUGUUCCCACUAUUCCCUCUAUAAUUUCAUGCGCAAUACUGGGAUCAAUCUCAAUGAAAUUUCCCUUGGCGAUGCAAUUCAAGAGUUGUCUAUGCGUCAUAUUUAACCCAACAUAAAAAUUACGAAGAAGAAAUCUAAAGUUUACCUCUAGGGUGCACUUAUGAUAGGAUUCCAUCAUCCUAUACCAAGCAUCUUUUAAGUUUUCUCCUUGCCUUUGCUUGAAGUGAAGAACUUCAAACUCGGGAGACAUAGGAGCGGAUAAGGAAUUAGACAUUACGACAGGCAAGCAAACUAGCACACGAGCAAACAGAAAGGCAACGGGAAAAAGCAAAACGAGAAAGAGAGGAGGAGAUUGGGAAAGAGAGGGCGAAAAAAACAGCAAGGGUGAAGUGGGGGAGAGGAAAACGAGAGGCAAAUAAUGUAAUGCGAGAGAUAGGGAUUGUGAUGGGUACUUGGUAUGGUUGACUUGCUUGCGUGAGCCUCCCCGGCAACGGCGCCAAAAAUUCUUCUUGCUCCCUCUUGAGCACUGCGUUGGUUUUCCCCGAAGAGGAGAGGAUGAUGCAGUAAAGUAGCAUAAGUAUUUCCCUCAGUUUUUGAGAACCAAGGUAUCAAUCCAGUAGGAGACCACGCACAAGUCCCUCGUACCUACACAAAACGAUAGCUACUCGCAACCAACGCGAUUAGGGGUUGUCAAUCCCUUCACGCUCACUUACGAGGGUGAGAUCUGAUAGAGAUGAUAAAUAAUAUUUUUGGUAUUUUUGAUAGAUGGAUGCAAAGUGAAAAGUAAAAGGUAAAGUAAAAAACAAAGCAAGUAAAUAAAGCGAUAGAGAUUGAUAUGAUGAGAAUAGACCCGGGGGCCAUAGGUUUCACUAGUGGCUUCUCUCAAGAGCAUAAAUAUUCUACGGUCGGUGAACAAAUUACUGUUGAGCAAUUGACAGAAUUGAGCAUAGUUAUGAGCAUAUCUAGGCAAUGAUCAUGUAUAUAGGCAUCACGUCCAAGACAAGUAGAUCGAAACGAUUCUGCAUCUACUACUCUUACUCCACUCAUCGACCGCUAUCUAGCAUGCAUCUAGAGUAUUAAGUUAAAACAAAUUAACGCCUUAAGCAAGAUGACAUGAUGUAGAGGGAUAAAUUCAUGCAAUAUGAUAAAAAAACCAUCUUGUUAUCCUCGAUGGCAACAAUACAAUACGUGCCUUGCAACCCUUUCUGUCACUGGGUAAGCACAUCGCAAGAUCGAACCCAAAGCUAAGCACUUCUCCCAUUGCAAGAACUACCAAUCUAGUUGGCCAAACCAAACGGAUAAUUCGAAGAGACUUGCAAAGAUAAGUCAAUCAUACAUAAAAGAAUUCAGAGAAGAUUCGAAUAUUUUCCAUAGAUAAUCUGGAUCAUAAACCCACAAUUCAUCGGUCUCAACAAACACACCGCAAAAAGAAGAUUACAUCGAAUAGUUCUCCACAAGAGAGGGGGAGAAUAUUGUAUUGAGAUCCAAAAAGAGAGAAGAAGCCAUCUAGCUGCUAGCUAUGGACCCGAAGGUCUGAAGUAAACUACUCACACUUCAUCGGAGGGGCUAUGGUGUUGAUGUAUAAGCCCUCUGUGGUAGAUGCCCCCUCCGGCGGAGCUCCGAAAUAGGCCCCAAGAUGGGAUCUCAUGGAUACAGAAAGUUACGGCGGUGGAAUUAGGUUUUUGGCUCCGUAUUUGAUCUGUCAGGGGUACGUAGGUAUAUAUAGGAGGAAGGAGGACGUCGGUGGAGCGACAGGGGGCCCAUGAGGUAGGGGGCGCGCCCUCCACCCUCGUGACCGCCUCUUUUGUUCGUUGGAGCAGGGUCCAAGUCUCCUAGAUCACGUUCGGUGAGAAAAUCACGUUCCCGAAGGUUUCAUUCCGUUUGGACUCCGUUUGAUAUUCUGUUUCUUCGAAAUACUGAAAUAGGCAAAAAACAACAAUUCUGGGUUGGGCCUCCGGUUAAUAGGUUAGUCCCAAAAAUAAUAUAAAAGUGGAAAAUAAAGCCCAAUAUAGUUCAAAACAGUAGAUAAAGUAGCAUGGAGCAAUCAAAAGUUAUAGAUACGUUGGAGAUGUAUCAAAUAUUAUCACUAAUAAUCCUCGAAUACUAUCAUACAUAUAGCAUUGCUAAUACAGCUAGAACCGUAGCGCCCGACGGGUAUCGUCGCGGGCGGUGGACACCCAAAGAUAAGGAACCAUCACAAGAUCAUAACUCCAGUGAGAUCCCUGAAGAACCUGCCAGGUAUUGUCGAACCUGCCCUCCAACGCAACCAUGUAGAGACGGACGUGCUCGUCCUCCUUGCUGACACAGUGACGUACCACCUCCGCGGUGUCCGGAAGCCUCGGCACCAUCACUGGCCCAUGCGACCGCCACCAAACAAGGAUCGGGUCAACAACGGGUUGGCUCCUCACCAACCUACGCCCCCCCGAAGGUAGCACCUCCCAAUACCAGCCCGGUGGAGCCCAGUCCGGGACAUGGCCCUGAUCAAGCAGGCCUCCACCGUCGAGUCGACGACGAGGAUGCAGGUUAGGCAUCGCCGAUGUUGAUGCGGGAACAACUUCUGUAUAUAGUAAAAUAAAGUAGUUUUAUUAAUUAAAUCAACUAGUUCAACUACUAAGCACUUACUAUAAAUAAAUAAAGUAGUAAUUACUAAAAAUAAACUACUUCUAUAGUAAAAUAAAGUAGUUUAUUAAAUUAACUAGUUCAACUAUAUAUUAAGCACUUACUAUAAAUAAAAUAAAGUAGUACUUACUAAAAAUAAACUAGUUUAACUAGUUCUAUUAUUUUUCUAACUAAUUAUAUUAAACACUUCCUCUUCUUAUUUUCCUUUUUCCUCUCCUGCUUUUUCUUCUAAAUAUCAACAUAUACAUAAAUGACUUUGAUCAUACACAAUUUUCCUAUACAUACACAAUAUGAACAUAUACAUAAAUUGACAAAGAAAAUUCUAUGAACAAAAAAAUCAUUAAAAUUCUAUGAACAAAAUUACAACAGAAAAAAUCAUAAAAANNNNNNNNNNNNNNNNNNNNNNNNNNNNNNNNNNNNNNNNNNNNNNNNNNNNNNNNNNNNNNNNNNNNNNNNNNNNNNNNNNNNNNNNNNNNNNNNNNNNNNNNNNNNNNNNNNNNNNNNNNNNNNNNNNNNNNNNNNNNNNNNNNNNNNNNNNNNNNNNNNNNNNNNNNNNNNNNNNNNNNNNNNNNNNNNNNNNNNNNNNNNNNNNNNNNNNNNNNNNNNNNNNNNNNNNNNNNNNNNNNNNNNNNNNNNNNNNNNNNNNNNNNNNNNNNNNNNNNNNNNNNNNNNNNNNNNNNNNNNNNNNNNNNNNNNNNNNNNNNNNNNNNNNNNNNNNNNNNNNNNNNNNNNNNNNNNNNNNNNNNNNNNNNNNNNNNNNNNNNNNNNNNNNNNNNNNNNNNNNNNNNNNNNNNNNNNNNNNNNNNNNNNNNNNNNNNNNNNNNNNNNNNNNNNNNNNNNNNNNNNGGCACGGGACAGCGUCGGGGCGGCACGGGACGGCGCCGGGCGACGACGGCGACGGCGAGGCAGAGAGGGCAGUCUGGCGGCAUCGGGGCGGGGAAGAACACGAACUAAAUGAAAUUUUGACAAGUGCCAGUUAUAUAGACGAUGCAUUGGUCCCGGUUCGUGAGAGAAACCGGGACGAAUGCAACCUUUAGUCCCGGUUGGUGGCACCAAUCAGGACCAAAGGCCUCUUUUCAGCAGCCCAAAGGGCGGGAAGCAGAGGCCUUUGGUCCCGGUUGAUGGCACCAACCGGGACUAAAGGGGGGCAUUGGUACCGGUUUGUGCCACCAACUGGGACUAAAGCCACCCUUUAGUCCCGGUUGAUGCCACCAACCGGGACCAAAGGCCUUGCACAACGCGGUGCGGUGGGAACUUUAGUCCCACCUCGCUAGCUGAGAGAGCUCAACACCUAUUUAUAAGCUGCGUUCCGGCUCAGGUGCUGAGCUCCUCUCAAAUAUACAUGCAUUAGUUGCCUACCCUUGUCACUGUCAUGUUGGGCCUAUUGGGCAUGCGGGCCUGCAUCCUGGCCCAUGUCCAGAUGGGUUUCUAGUCGUAUGCUGGCCGUGUGGCCCAUUAGGCGGCUUUUUUAUUUUUUUUUCCAGUAUUUUUUUUGUUUUUUGAAUUAUUUAUUUUCUUUUGAUUUUUGCUUUAUUUUUUUAUUCUUUUUGCUUUUAACUAAGAAUAAUUAUAAUCUUUCUGUUACGCCAUUAGUUUUCAAAUUUGAAUAGUUUAAAUUUUAAUUCUUUGAAAUUUGUGUGAAUCACUAGUUUGUGAAUAACUUCACUAUAAAAAUAUAUUUUGAGUGAUUCUUUUUCCUGCUAUUUAAUAUUAUUGUGUUUUAUCAAUAUAUUCAAAAACAGAUUUUGUUAUUUUAGUUUCUAUCAAAAAAAAUCUUGAAAUUGAAAAGCAUUUCAAAUGAACUCUGAAAAGGUUGAAAGUUGGCAUGGUAUCAUCAUUUCACCCACAUAGCAUGUGCUAAAAUGUUGAGAGGGUUAUGAGAAAAACUGGAUACACUUCGUGUACAAAAUGGACAAUCUCUUUCAAAGUAUCAGGUUUUCAUACGGAAACUCAUCUGUUACACAGGGAUUUCAUUUUUUUAAACUUAUUUGAACUCCUAACUUUUUGUGUGUUCAAAAUGCACCAUUCAAAGCCACAUCAUUAAUUUUCAACCUUUCUAACUUCAUUUGUUAUUUUUCAUGCAUUUACUUAUUAUUUUGAGCUAUAAGACCUGAAAUUGAAAAGCAUUUUAAAUAAACUCUGAAAAGGUUGGAAGUUGGCAUGCACCAUUUCAUCCACAUAGCAUGUGCAAGAAAGUUGAGUGGGUUACAGCAAAAACUGGAUGCACUUCAUGUACAAAACGGACAAUCUCAUUCAAAGUAUCAGGAUUUUAUACGGAAACUUUUCUGUUACAAUAGGCAUUUCAAAUGAACUAUGAAAAGGUUGAAAGUUGGCAUGGUAUCAUCAUAAUAGUUGUGGACAAAUUCUUCACUUUUUCUUCGCUUGUGUCCUUUCCUUAUUGUGCCGUAACCAUGGAUAAUCUUCAUCAUUUAUCAGGAUGCUUGGGUCAGCCUUGACUUUGAAGGGAGGAAUUUCAUGAAACUUUUCAUAAUCUUCGGACAUAUCUAUCUUGCCCUCCACUCCCACGAUGUCCCUUUUUCCUGAAAGAACUAUGUGGCGCUUUGGCUCAUCGUAUGAUGUAUUCACUUCCUUAUUUUUUUUCUUUUUCUUGGUUUGGAAGACAUGUCCUUCACAUAGAUAACCUGUGCCACAUCAUUGGCUAGGACGAACGGUUCGUCAGUGUACCCAAGAUUGUUCAGAUCCACUGUUGUCAUUCCGUACUGUGGGUCUACCUAUACCCCUCCUCCUGACAGAUUGGCCCAUUUCCAUUUAAACAAAGGGACCUUAAAAUCUACUCCGUAGUCAAGUUCCCAUAUGUCCACUAUGUAACCAUAAUAUGUGUCCUUUCCCCUCUCGGUGGUUGCAUCAAAGUGGACACCGCUGUUUUGGUUGGUGCUCUUUUGAUCUUGGGCGAUCGUGUAAAAUUUAUUCCCAUUUAUCUCGUAUCCUUUCCAAAUCAUUACAGUCGAAGAUGGUCCCCUGGACAAUGAGUACAACUCCUCACAAACAGUGUUUUCACCUCUGAGACGUGUUUCCAACCAACUGCUGAAAGUCCUGAUGUGUUCACAUGUAAUCCAGUCGUCGCACUGCUCCGGGUGUUUGGAGAGCAGACUAUUCUUGUGUUCAUCGACAUAAGGGGUCACCAAGGUAGAGUUCUGUAGAACUGUGUAGUGUGCUUGAGACCAAGAAUAUCCGUCCCUGCAUAUUAUUGUCUCCCCUCCAAGCGUGCCUUUUCCAGUUAGUCUCCCCUCAUACCGCGAUUUAGGGAGACCUAUCUUCUUAAGGCCAGGAAUGACGUCAACACAAAACCCAAUGACAUCCUCUGUUUGAUGGCCCAUGGAGAUGCUUCCUUCUGGCCUAGCGUGGUUAUGGACAUAUGUCUUUAGGACUCCCAUGAACCUCUCAAAGGGGUACAUAUUGUGUAGAAAUACGGGGCCCAGAAUGACAAUCUCGUCAACUAGAUGAACAAGGACGUGCGUCAUGAUAUUGAAGAAGGAUGGUCGGAACACCAGCUCGAAAUUGACAAGACAUUCCACCACAUCAGUCCUUAGCCUUGGUAUGAUUUCUGGAUCGAUCACCUUCUGAGAGAUUGCAUUGAGGAAUGCACAUAGCUUCACAAUGGCUAAUCGGACAUUUUCCGGUAGAAGCCCCCUCAAUGCAACCGGAAGGAGUUGCAUCAUAAUCACGUGGCAGUCAUGAGACUUUAGGUUCUGAAACUUUUUUCUGCCAUAUUUAUUAUUCCCUUUAUAUUCGACGAGAAACCAGUCGGGACCUUCAUACUAAGCGGGCAUUCAAAGAAGAUUUCCUUCUCUUCUUUGGUAAGAGCGUAGCUGGCAAGACCUUCAUACUGCUUUGGAGGUAUGCCGUCUUUUUCGUGCAAAGUUUGCAGGUCCUCCCGUGCCUCAGCUGUAUCUUUUCUCUUCCCAUACACGCCUGAUACGUCUCCAACGUAUCUAUAAUUUUUGAUUGUUCCAUGCUAUUAUAUUACCCCUUUUGGAUGUUUAUGGGCUUUAUUUUACAUAUUUAUAUCAUUUUUGGGACUAACCUACUAACCGGAGGCCCAACCCAUAUUGUUGUUUUUUGCCUAUUUCAGUAUUUCAAAGAAAAGGAAUAUCAAACGGAGUCCAAAUGGAAUGAAACCUUCGGGAGCGUGAUUUUUGGAACAAAUCUGAUCCGGAGAGCUUGGAGUGCAAGUCAAGAAGCUCCCGAGGGCCCCACGAGAUAGGGGGCCGUGCCCCCACUGUAGGGUGCGCCCCCCUGUCUCGUGGGCCCCUCGGGCAUCCACCGACGUACUUCUUCCUCCUAUAUAUACCUACGGACCCCGAAAACAUCCAGGAGCACCACAAAACACAAUUUCCACCGCCGUAACCUUCUGUAUCCGCGAGAUCCCAUCUUGGAGUCUUCGCCGGCACUAUGCCGGAGGGGGAAUCGACCACGGAGGGCUUCUACAUCAACACCAUAGCCCCUCCGAUGAGUUGUGAGUAGUUUACCACAGACCUACAGGACCAUAGUUAUUAGCUAGAUGGCUUCUUCUCUCUUUUUGGAUCUCAAUACAAUGUUCUCCCCCUCUCUUGUGGAGAUCUAUUCAAUGUAAUCUCUUUUUGCGGUGUGUUUGUCGAGAUCCGAUGAAUUGUGGGUUUAUGAUCAAGUUUAUCUAUGAAUAAUAUUUGAAUCUUCUCUGAAUUCUUUUAUGUAUGAUUGAGUUAUCUUUGCAAGUCUCUUCGAAUUAAUUUCAGUUUGGUUUGGCCUACUAGAUUGAUCUUUCUUGCCAUGGGAGAAGUGCUUAGCUUUGGGUUCAAUCUUGCGGUGUUCCUACCGAGUGACAGAAAGGGUUGCAAGACAUGUAUUGUAUUGUUGCCAUCGAGGAUAACAAGAUGGGGUUUAUAUCAUAGUGCAUGUGUUUAUCCCUCUACAUCAUGUCAUCUUGCUUAAGGCUUUACUCUGUUCUUAUGAACUUAAUACUCUAGAUGCAGGCAGGAGUCGGUCGAUGUGUGGAGUAAUAGUAGUAGAUGCAGGCAGGAGUCGGUCUACUUGUUAUGGACGUGAUGCCUAUAGACAUGAUCAUGCCUAGAUAAUCUCAUAACUAUACGCUUUUCUAUCAAUUGCUCGACAGUAAUUUGUUCACCCACCGUAAUACUUAUGCUAUCUUGAGAGAAGCCUCUAAUGAAACCUAUGGCCCCGGGUCUAUCUCUUAUCAUAUUUGCUUUCAAUAUAUCUUUAUUUGCAUCUUUAAUUUUUUGCAUCUAUAUUACAAAAUACCAAAAAUAUAUUAUUGUCUCUCUAUCAGAUCUCACUUUCGUAAGUGGCCGUGAAGGGAUUGACAAGCCCUUUAUUGCGUUGGAUACGAGUUCUCAGUUUGUUUGUGUAGGUGCCUGGGACUUUUGAGGAGCCUCCUACUGGAUUGAUACCUUGGUUCUCAAAACUAAGGGAAAUACUUACACUACACUUGCUGCAUCACCCUCUCCUCUUCGGGGAAAACCAACGCUAGCUCAAGACGUAGCAACGCCCAAGAAGCCUAGAAGGUUCACACAAAGGUUCUUCGUCACGUGCAUCACGUCGAUCAAAGAGCGGACCUCUAGGUCUUUCCAGUAGGGUAGGUCCCAAAAUAUAGAUUUCUUCUUCCACGUGGGUGCAUGUCCCUCAGCGUCACUCGAAACAGCUAGUCCGCCGGGACCCCUUCCAAAGAUUACGUGUAAAUCAUUGACCAUAGCAAGUACGUGAUCACCGGUAUGCAUGGCGGGCUUCUUCCGGUGAUCUGCCUCAUCUUUGAAAUGCUUGCCUUUCUUUCGACAUUGAUGGUUGGUCGGAAGAAAUCGAUGAUGACCCAGGUACACAUUCUUCCUGCAGCUUCCCAUGUAUAUACUUUCGGUGUUAGCUAAAUAGUGUGUGCAUGCGUGGUAUCCCUUGUUUGUAUUUCCUCAAAGGUUACUGAGAACGGGUCAAUCGUUGAUGGUUACAAACAGCAACGCGUGCAUGUUAAAUUCCUCCUGUCUGUGCUCAUCCCACGCACGUACACCAUUUCCAUUCCACAGUUGUAAAAGUUCUUCAACUAAUGGCCUUAGGUACACAUCAAUAUCGUUGCUGGGUUGCUUAGGCCCUUGGAUGAGAACUGGCAUCAUUAUGAACUUCCGCUUCAUGCACAUCCAAAGAGGAAGGUUAUACAUACAUAGAGUCACGGGCCAGGUGUUGUGAUUGCUGCUCUGCUCCCCGAAAGGAUUAAUGCCAUCCACGCUUAAACCAAACCAUACGUUCCUUGGGUCACAUGCAAACUCAGCCCAGUACUCUCUCUUGAUUUUUCUCCACUGCGACCCGUCAGAGGGUGCUCUCAACUUCCCGUCUUUCUUACCGUCCUCACUGUGCCAUCACAUCAACUUGGCAUGCUCUUUGUUUCUAAACAGUCGUUUCAACCGUGGUAUUAUAGGAGCAUACCACAUCACCUUCGCAGGAACUCUCUUCCUGCGGGGCUCGCGGUCAACAUCACUAGGGUCAUCUCGUCUGAUCUUAUACCACAAUGCACCGCAUACCGGGCAUGCGUUCAAAUCCUCGUACGCACCGCGGUAGAGGAUGCAGUCAUUAGGGCAUGCAUGUAUCUUCCGCACCUCCAAUCCUAGAGGGCAUACGACCUCCUUUGUUGCGUACGUACUGUCGGGCAAUUCAUUAUCCUUUGGAAGUUUCUUCUUCAAUAUUUUCAGUAGCUUCUCAAAUCCUUUGUCAGGCACAGCAUUCUCUGUCUUCCACUGCAACAAUUCCAGUAUGGUACCCAGCUUUGUGUUGCCAUCUUCGCAAUUGGUGUACAACCCUUUUUUGUGAUCCUCUAACAUGCGAUCAAACUUCAGCUUCUCCUUUUGACUUUCGCAUUGCGUCCUUGCAUCGACAAUGACCCGGCGAAGAUCAUCAUCGGGCACAUCAUCUGGUUCCUCUUGAUCUUCAGCAGCUUCCCCCGUUGCAGCAUCAUCGGGCACAUCGUCUGGUUCCUCUUGAUCUUCAGCAGCUCCCCCCGUUGCAGCAUCACCGUAUUCAGGGGGCACCUAGUUGUCAUCGUCCUCUUCUUCUUCGCCGUCUUCCAUCAUAACCCCUAUUUCUCCGUGCCUCGUCCAAACAUUAUAGUGUGGCAUGAAACCCUUGUAAAGCAGGUGGGUGUGAAGGAUUUUCCGGUCAGAGUAAGACUUCGUAUUCCCACAUUUAGUGCAUGGACAAUACAUAAAACCAUUCUGCUUGUUUGCCUCAGCCACUUCGACAAAAUUAUGCACGCCCUUAAUGUACUCGAAGGUGUGUCUAUCACCAUACAUCCAUUGCCGGUUCAUCUGCGUGCAUUAUAUAUAAUUAUGUGUGUCAAAAGUAAGAAAAUCAGACAAAUAUCUAUCUAAAGGAAGAAAAUCGGACAAGUAUCAGAAAAAAGAUAAGAACAAGAGGCUCGGUGGUGCCAGCGACGAGAUCGGCGCGGGCGAUCAACGAUGGUGAAAAUGGGGACGGGGCGUGACGGACUGCUAAAUCUAGUCAAUUCUCGGAAAAAAAUGGAGCUCCGAGGACGAGCUUCGAGAAGAGAAAGCUUAACUAGUGUGGCUCGAGCAUUUCAUUGAACACCUCAUGUGCAUAGGAGGUGAACUAGAGCACCCAAAUGCCCUCUCCCCACCGGAUUGAAAAAAUAGAGCAUUGUGGAGUGCUCUGCCGCGGCGAUGGGUAUAUAUAGGCAAAUUAUUUGUCCCGGUUCGUGGCAUGAACCGGGACUAAAUCCCCCCCUUCUACACCGGUUCAAGGCAUGAACCGGUACCAAUGGAUGUGGGCCAGUAGCAAGGUCCAUUCGUCCCGGUUCGUGCCUAGAACCGGGACAAAUGGGUCCAGACGAACCGGGACCAUUGCCCACGAGGCCCCGGCCGGCCCCCUGGGCUCAUGAACCGGGUCUAAUACCCCCCAUGGGUCCCGGUUCUUGAAGAACCGCGACUAAUGGGCUGGCCAGGCCCGAACAAUAGCCCUGUUUUCUACUAGUGUUAUCAUGAUAUAAGGAAAUAAAUAAUAACUUUAUUAUUGCCUCUAGGGCAUAUUUCCUUUAGUAUAUGCAACCUGUUUUUUGUAAAUAUAAUUUUUGCAAAGAAGGCAAAAAAUCAUGAUUUUUUUGGCCACAAACAUGAACAAGUGUUAUACUCAUGUAAAAAAAUCGCCAAGGAGUGACUUUGAUGGUAUUAUGGCCGGAAAAAGUAGUAAGCACUACUAUUCGCACUUUUUGUCCUCGAAUUUUUGUUUGUCUUGCCCAAAAGUCCACAAUAUAUGUUUUCAUUGGCGGACUUUUUCCAGGUUGUCUAAUUCACAUCUAGAUGUUUUCUAAAAAUGUCACAUUUUAGCUCCCACAAAUAAAGUAGCAACAAGGAACUAAAUAAAGCUGGGACAAAAGAAAAAUAGACCACAAACAUAAUGGACACCAGGUUAGAUGUGACAUAACUAUGUCACAUCUAGAUGUGUCCUAGACAGACCCAACUUUUUUACACGAGUACAACAAAAGGUCGAGUUUGUUUCCUAAAUUUGUAAGAUUUUUUGGACCGUUUCCGCAAUAUCUAGUUUUUUUUGGCAUAUCGAGUGCAUAUGCACUGAGAGCCAAGGCUUAUUUCCCCUUUUUGCAUGCUAUCAAAUCCAUGAAGCCUUUCCAGUUGUGGUCUACUUCUUUUGUUGCCUCCAAGUAUAUUCAGAAACAAAAAACAAAUUGGUUUCUCUCUACAUUCUUAUUUGGGCGAACCUGCCUGAUAUAUGCUUUCUUCGAGAAUGCUUUUGCAACAUUUUUCAUGGGGUGUGGCUAGGUCUAAGUUGACUGAGACUUAUCCCUUUUUUGCGGCAGAAUGACUGAGAUCCAAAUCUCAGUCAAGUGGCAUAAUAUGCAAGAAAAAAAAUAAAAGAAAAAAAAGAAAACUUCGUACAGAUCUCAAUGUAAGAUAUCGCGAAUAUAGCAUCGACUGAGACAUAAUUAAAUCGCAGUCGACUGAGAUUUCACAAGUCUGUUUUUUAUGAUGUGAAUCCUUGUCAUUCAAGGUUGACGUUGUUUCCACCCGAUAUAACUUAGGGUUGUAUGUGAUCCUCCCCCCUUCCGCGUCACCCCCGUGAGUGGCCGGGGGAAACCCUAGCGACGGGCUCAGGCCCUCCUCUCCCCUCCUCCCCUCGUUGUUGCCUCGGCAUGCUGGUUGGGGUUUGCCCGGCAAUGUCGAUAGCAACGUGGUGUUCCCUCUUCCCCUGCUUGGUGUAGGUUGGCAAGGGUCGACGGAGUCAAGUUGCGGCACGAUGCAUGCAUAGGACUGGGCCGCACAUCAGAAAUAGCUGGCCGCGGGUUGCUGGCGGUGGUGCGGAGGCUCGUGGGAGGCUGGGGUGUGUGACGUGCCUACGGCGGCAACAUGACUGGGAGUGGCUCACCAACCCCGACAGGAAGAGUAGAAGUCACCUCCUUCCACUCCUAGCCCGACAUCAACCACCGAGUCAGGGUCCAUGCUUCCAUGGUAGGAAGCGUCAACCCCUGUGUCCCCAACCCGUCUAGGUGGACCGGGCGGACAUGACCCUAUGGAUGCCAAUGUUCGCCACCCAACAAGCCCCGACUAUAACCCACUAUCCUUGGCCCACGCAAGCUCGCAGAACACCUCAUCUGUGGCCAUAGGUGCCAAUCCGCUGGACGGCGCACCGCUACGACCGCAGCACCGGUGCGAGGCCACUGCACCCGGGAAAGACCUCCACCUCGCCGCCAUGAGUCGUGCCCCAUGCCUCCACCCCAUGGGCCUUAACCACCACCCUUGCCGCCUGCGAACGACUAGGCAACAGAUCUAGUGGAUUUGGCCGGAGCCUGGAAAACACGCCACCAUGAGGGGGACCACAACAGACUAUGGCCGCUGAAACUAGCCACAACCAGCGGUCGUCCAAUCCCCGCCAAUGCUGCGAACCAUGCCGCCCGCGCUCAUGAGGCGCCAGAUCGGAGCCACGGUUGACGGUGUCUUGAGACAUGGAUGCCGGUGUGCAGGCCCAGAUGGCAGUUUGAAUGGUUUUGGCUCUCCGGCAGGCAUCAUGGCGGCGGCGGUGGCUAUCUCAGUGAAACUGUCACACUUUCUAGCUACCGGGCCAUCUCAGGAUUCCAAAAUAAGACUCAUUGAUACUACGGCCCAGAACUAACCGAUGGCAAUUAAGGCUCGGUGGUUUUCCUUUUCCCCCACGAGAGACGAGAGAGACCACGACGGUGGUGGAAGGGUUGCUUUCUUUUCGUAGCGGCCGCGUCUACACCACGUAGUCCUACCAUCGUCGGUUGAGAAUCGUCGAAGAAAAGAACUCCAUGCUGGGUUACUAUUCUUUCGUAGCGGGCGCGUUUCUGGUUCGCUAUAAAUAUAGGCCGGUGAGAGGACACGAUUAUCAGAUCGAACAAGCAAGGGAGCAGUUGAUCAAUCGGCUAAGAAAGAUGCAGAUCUUCGUUAAGACCUUGACCGGGAAGACGAUCACGCUCGAGGUGGAGAGCAGCGACACCAUCGACAAUGUCAAGGCCAAAAUCCAGGACAAGGAAGGUAUGUACCACCAUCGAUCAAUCUCAUCACCGGUCGCCGGCCUUCAGUGUUCACAAUCUCAUCGCCGGUGGCCGGCCACUAGCAUCUCUCGACCAUGCUGAACCUAUUGCUGCUUAUCGAUAUAUUGCAGGCAUCCCUCCGGAUCAGCAGCGCUUGAUCUUCGCGGGGAAGCAGCUGGAGGACGGGCGCACCCUGGCCGACUACAACAUCCAGAAGGAGUCGACGCUGCACCUGGUGCUCCGCCUGCGGGGCGGCAGCCGCGGCCAGUACAUCAUCAUGGACCCCAGCCUCCUGCAGCUCGCCCUCAAGUACAAGGAGAAGAAGAUGAUCUGCCGCAAGUGCUACGCGCGCUUGCCCCGCGGCACCACCAACUGCCGCAAGAAGAAGUGCGGACACAGCAACGAGAUCAGGGCCAAGAAAAGGUUCCUCGACAAGCAUAUCAUGUGAAGAAGAAGAAGAAGAAGCACAAGGCCUAUAUAUCCACCGCCCUCCAAUAUGACGUGUUAUAUAGUAGUAGCAGUAGUAGUAGUGUAGUAUUUUCUAUGGCAACAUAGUCUUUUAAGUCUUACUAGGUUUUAAGCCAUGCAAACUACUCAAAGCAAAGCAACGUCAACAAGUAGGAGUAGUAUAUUUAGUCCGCAUGGAUUGGAUGUGUAAUGAUGAUAAUUUAUUAAAUGGCCGGGUUGACUGCAGUUCUGUGCACAGAUUUUGUUUGUCUGUUUUCAUAAUUAUUUUCUGAACGCACAACGACAACGUCAACAAUGACGCAAAGGAACAAAUCCUAUAAGCACACACACCUUCUUGUGCUUGAAAGUAUUGUCCAUGGGCAGUCCAAUGUCAAAAAAACAAACCAAACUUUACUCAAAGCAAAGCAUCGUCUAUCGGUGAUGUUUUGCAGAUCAUGGGAGCAUGCAUGCUGGAUCGGUUUAACACCUGAACGGCGUAACUCCCGCUGGGGCGGCUCCGGAGGUGCCCUAGACGUUGCCGCGGCGGCGAGGCAACCUUUCCCAGCUUCAUUGUUUGCUUUGUGUUGUCUCAGUGGUCAUCUUAGCAAGAAGCGCUCGUAAACUUUCUGGUUUCAUCUUACUUGUGCUCGCGCUGCUGUCCGAGCGGUGCUUGCACUGGUUGUUGUUUUUCUCGAAAAUCUGCCGCUAGGGAUCUCGAUUUCAUUAAAAAAAGAACGGAAAUGUUAACGCCCACACGUGUGGGCGUUUGCACAUCGCCCACGCGCCUCCAUCACCACUCAUUUUGCCACGUAUGAAUAGAUGACAUCAGCAUAAUUUAUUUAUUUUUGGUUCUCGGCUUAAAAAUGUUGUAUCUCCUAAAUAAAAAAGUAAACUAAAAAUCCGUUUUUACCAUUAAAUCCGUCUCGACGAGAUCUUCAAAACUAGACCCGAUGUUGAUAUGUUUCGACGAUUUUUUUUUUGCCAGAAGUUGCCACGAUGUUUACACUGCAAUUGCCAUAGGGCUUAAACUAAAGUUGUCAUGUGGCAAUUUUAGUUUGUAGAUCAUGGCAAUUUUAGUAUUUUGAUGAUGGCAACUCCAGUACUUUGACCAAGAAAAUUAUUUUUUGUAUGAACCAUGACAAUUUUACGUGCAUGUAUCAUGGCAAUUUUAGUUUAUGGUUCAUAUCAAGUCUAAUUUCUUAAUUUCCCGUUUUAUAAAUGUCAAAAUUUACUUUUAAAUGUAGAAGAAAAUAGCUGAAACAUAUCAUGGCAACUUCAGUGUAAAUAUCAUGGCAAUUCAUAUGCAAUAGACAUGGCAACUUUUAAUCCAAAAAAUUUUCAUCAAAACAUAUCAACAUGGGAUCUAGUUUCGAAGAUCUCAUCACGAGGGAUUUAAUGAUGAAAACGGAUUUUCAAUCGGAUUUUUCGUUUAAGAGAUAAAACAUUUUAAAAACUAAAAAUCCAAAAAGAUUCCUGCAUGCAUGCAUGCGAUGACGUGGCAAUCUGUUUACAUUAGAGACGUGUGGUGCGUCUUCUUUCCUGCCACACGUGUGGCAGUUAGCGCGACCCAAAAAAGAAAAGGGUUGCCCGGUUUACUACGGAAAACCGGGCUAAAACCAUUACAACAGCCCACACAAAGCAACCCGGCCGACCUGGCCACCCACACGGAGAUACACAAACGUCGUAGAGAAGAACCAUAAAGUUGAGGUCGUCACCAAGCGUCAUCGUCAUCGCUCCUCCACAAGCCAGCGACUCCGACUUCACCAUGGAAUUCCGCCAACAAAGCCCUCGUCGCCACAAACAUAGGAACCCAUGCCGACUGAGAAGAUCACCAAAAAACAGGAGAAAUGGGCAGAGUUGGCAACAACCACUAGUGCAGAACCGGGCAAUAGCACCGGUUCGUAAGGCCCUUUAGUGCCGGUUCCAUAACCAGCACUAAAGUGUGGGCACUAAAGGCCCCCCCCCCUUUAGUACCGGUUCAGCACGAACCGGUGCUAAAGGGAAACCACGUGGCACGAGCCAGCUCCAGGGGCCUGGAGCCCUUUAGUACCGGUUGGUAAGACCAACCGGUACUAUAAGGUUUGGGGUUUUUUUAGUUUUAUGAUUUCUUUUUCAUUUAAUUUUGUGUUUCGAUUUUAAUUCUUUUUCGUUUGCUGGUAUUUUACGAUACUACACAUUGUACACGUUAUGCAUAUAUAUAUAUAUAUAUAUAUAUAUAUAUAUAUAUAUAUAUAUAUAUAGAAUUUCUAGUAGAAUCAAUCAUGCAUAUAUAUAUCAUCAAUUAAUGUCUCACAAACCAUCAUUUUAAUUAAUUCACACAUACACACAUGUAUAGCUAUAUAUGAUUUCUCCUACAUAUGCAUGUUGCCUUUGGAGCCAGUGGCAUUAGCCUAAUUGGUGCCUUCGGAGCACGAUGACAAUUGGAAGUGGUUUUCAUGAGGGCGGUAGCGGGUAAUAGUAUUCUCCCUUCGGAUUUAUGACCUGGUCAAGCAAAAAUCCCGCUAUUUCCUCUUGAAGUGCUUCUACGCGCUCCGUUUCUAGGAGCUUCUCCCGCACCUCUCUGAACUGUUAAGAAGAAGAUCAAUAUGCAUGUGUAUUAGUUGUGUGACUAGAUAUCGAUAAUGGUGUAAAAAUUGUGAAUAGUGUUUUGACAAGCGUACCCAUUCCUGUCUUUGAGAUCUGCUCCUUUCGGACGCCAUCAUGCGAAUGUUCUCGCAAACGCAGAAUGCACACAGAUCAGUCCCCUGCGCCUGCUUCAGGGCCUUUACGAGAAUGGAAUUUGAUCAGAUAAUAAUUAAUCAAGCAUGAUAAUUAAAGAGAUGGCAGCUAGCUAGCUAGCUAGUACUACUUAAUUACUUACCUUGGGUCUUCCCCAUUUAAGCUUUUCUUUCCAUUCGCCUUCCAUGACGCUGAUGAACCUUGCCCAAGCCCUGCCCGCCGACAAAGAAAAUGAAUAAAGGGGUUAUUAAAUAGUUCAUAUCAUGAAAUGACGAACUAAAUAGGCCGAGAUAUAUAGUUAAUAAUGAUUGAAAUUACCUGUUGACUAUCCCCAAACAAGAUGUUAUAGUCAGUUUUUUCUUUGAGUAGUGAGUCCAGUAUUUCAACUGUUCCGGCGUCAACUUUAAUGAUACACAAGACCCAGUGAAAUCUGCAUGCACACACGUUUGCAUGUCUUAAUUAAGCGGGCAUAUGUAAGCAAAAACAUGUAGCUAGCUAGUAGGCAAAAAUAGAGAAUUUGUAGUACAAGACAGUGUGACUCACUGGAAGUUGUAAGGAAGUAGUAUAUCUUGAUUGUAUUUGAGGCACUUCAAGAACUCUAGCAUGCUGUCCUCUACGGCCUUUUGAUGGCGUUCAUCUAUUUUCCAUGUGUAUUCAUUAACGGUGUUUGGGUCAAUGAACCCAAUGCCAUAGCGUCCACCUUUUCUCAUUUCAUACAUCUUCAUCCUGCAUAUAAUACCACAGAAAAGAAUAUAGUAAGGAUAAUUACAGGUAAUGAUUGAUUAAAAGGAUCACUACAGCUAGCUUGAGACUUAAAUUACAGAAAGAAAUCACUUACAGACAGUAGCAACUGACGAUAGAUUUAUCGAGUGCGUCUUGAUUGUAUAACUGGAACAGUUCAAAAUACUCAACGGACACAGCUUUCUCAUGGUAGUAAUGCUCCUUCUUGACAUUCACCAUGAGGGACAAUCGAUCGGAAAUCUUAGUAAUGUUCAUGUACCAUUGAUGCAAUUCAUACAUUCUCGUUGGGAGGUUCUUGACCUUGUCUGGCUCGACCAAAGGUUGGCCCCGGACAUAUUUCCGUUUUAUUUCAUCCUCUCUAAGCAUAGGCAUGGGUUCGAUCUCGAGGAGUUGUCCAACAGUGAUUUUGAGAACUUCAGCCUGCAUUAUAUGCUCCUCCGUUAUUACCACAUUGCCCACCUCAGGAACGUAAACUGUUUGCUCACAAUAAUAUUGGGCGCGCAUACUGUCACGUGUUGUUGGCACAACAAGCGAGGGGAUCAAUUGCGCCGCCUGUUCUCCCAGCUGGGGAAUGGUUUUCCCGCAUUUUUUGACAGAUGCUUCUUGUUUGCUCGAUCCCGAGCUCGCUUCCUUAUGUAGACGUGCUCGAUAAAUAAUAUUUUUGGUAGUUUUGAUAGAUGGAUGCAAAGUGAAAAGUAAAAGGUAAAGUAAAAACAAAGCAAGUAAAUAAAGCAAUAGAGAUUGAUAUGAUGAGAAUAGACCCGGGGGCCAUAGGUUUCACUAGUGGCUUCUCUCAAGAGCAUAAAUAUUCUACGGUGGGUGAACAAAUUACUGUUGAGCAAUUGACAGAAUUGAGCAUAGUUAUGAGCAUAUCUAGGCAAUGAUCAUGUAUAUAGGCAUCACGUCCAAGACAAGUAGAUCGAAACUAUUCUGCAUCUACUACUAUUACUCCACUCAUCGACCGCUAUCCAGCAAGCAUCUAGAGUAUUAAGUUAAAACAAAUUAACGCCUUAAGCAAGAUGACAUGAUGUAGAGGGAUAAAUUCAUGCAAUAUGAUAAAAAAACCCAUCUUGUUAUCCUCGAUGGAAACAAUACAAUACGUGCCUUGCAACCCUUUCUGUCACUGGGUAAGCACACCGCAAGAUCGAACCCAAAGCUAAGCACUUCUCCCAUUGCAAGAACUACCAAUCUAGUUGGCCAAACCAAACAGAUAAUUCGAAGAGACUUGCAAAGAUAACUCAAUCAUACAUAAAAGAAUUCAGAGAAGAUUCAAAUAUUUUCCAUAGAUAAUCUGGAUCAUAAACCCACAAUUCAUCGGUCUCAACAAACACACCGCAAAAAGAAGAUUACAUCGAAUAAUUCUCCACAAGAGAGGGGGAGAAUAUUGUAUUGAGAUCCAAAAAGAGAGAAGAAGCCAUCUAGCUGCUAGCUAUGGACCCGAAGGUCUGCAGUAAACUACUCACACUUCAUCGGAGGGGCUAUGGUGUUGAUGUAUAAGCCCUCCGUGGUAGAUGCCCCCUCCGGCGGAGCUCCGAAAUAGGCCCCAAGAUGGGAUCUCAUGGAUACAGAAAGUUACGGCGGUGGAAUUAGGUUUUUGGCUCCGUAUUUGAUCUGUCAGGGGUACGUAGGUAUAUAUAGGAGGAAGGAGGACGUCGGUGGAGCGACAGGGGCCCACGAGGUAGGGGGGCGCGCCCUCCACCCUCGUGACCGCCUCUUUUGUUCGUUGGAGCAGGGUCCAAGUCUCCUAGAUCACGUUCGGUGAGAAAAUCACGUUCCCGAAGGUUUCAUUCCGUUUGGACUCCGUUUGAUAUUCUGUUUCUUCGAAAUACUGAAAUAGGCAAAAAACAACAAUUCUGGGCUGGGCCUCCGGUUAAUAGGUUAAUCCCAAAAAUAAUAUAAAAGUGGAAAAUAAAGCCCAAUAUAGUCCAAAACAGUAGAUAAAGUAGCAUGGAGCAAUCAAAAGUUAUAGAUACGUUGGAGAUGUAUCAAAUAUUAUCACUAAUAAUCCUCGAAUACUAUCAUACAUAUAGCAUUGCUAAUACAGCUAGAACCGUAGCGCCCGACGGGUAUCGUCGCGGGCGGUGGACACCCAAAGAUAAGGAACCAUCAGAAGAUCAUAACUCCAGUGAGAUCCCUGAAGAACCUGCCGGGUAUUGUCGAACUUGCCCUCCAACGCAACCAUGUAGAGACGGACGUGCUCGUCCUCCUUGCUGACACGGUGACGUACCACCUCCGCGGUGUCCGGAAGCCUCGGCACCAUCACUGGCCCACGCGACCGCCACCAAACAAGGAUCGUGUCAACAAUGGGUUGGCUCCUCACCAACCUACGCCCCCCGGAAGGUAGCACCUCCCAAUACUAGCCCGAUGGAGCCCAGUCCCGGACAUGGCCCUGAUCAAGCAGGCCUCCACCGUCGAGUCGACUACGAGGAUGCAGGAUAGGCAUCGCCGAUGUUGAUGCGGGAACAACUUCUGUAUAUAGUAAAAUAAAGUAGUUUUAUUAAUUAAAUCAACUAAUUCAACUACUAAGCACUUACUAUAAAUAAAUAAAGUAGUAAUUACUAAAAAUAAACUACUUCUAUAGUAAAAUAAAGUAGUUUAUUAAAUUAACUAGUUCAACUAUAUAUUAAGCACUUACUAUAAAUAAAAUAAAGUAGUACUUACUAAAAAUAAACUAGUUUAACUAGUUCUAUUAUUUUUCUAACUAAUUAUAUUAAACACUUCCUCUUCUUAUUUUCCUUUUUCCUCUCCUGCUUUUUCUUCUAAAUAUCAACAUAUACAUAAAUGACUUUGAUCAUACACAAUUUUCCUAUACAUCCACAAUAUGAACAUAUACAUAAAUUGACAAAGAAAAUUCUAUGAACAAAAAAAUCAUUAAAAUUCUAUGAACAAAAUUACAACAGAAAAAAUCAUAAAAAUUCUAUGAACAGAAAAAACUCAUAAAAAAUUGACAUAUUCGAUCUUUGCAUAUAUAUGAACAUACAAACAUGCAUAUUCAACAAUAAUAUCUCCAAAAAAAUCUAUUAACAAAAAAAAAUCUAACACAAUAUGAACAAAUUACCAAAUAUGAAAAAAAAUCUAACAAAAAACUCUAUCAACAAAAUCUAACUCAAUUAACUACACAUCUAAAUUACUACAUAUCUACAUUAACUACACAUCUAAUUAAAUUAGCAAAAUUCAUAUAAUUAGCUCACGGGAUGGCGACGGUGUGAGGGGCGCGGUGAGGGUGAGGGGCAGGGGACGGCGACGGCGACGAUGCGUGAGGGGCGGCACGGCGACGGACGAUGGUGAGGGGCGACGUGGCGACGGGCGACGAGCGAGGCAGGGCCGGCGGCGUCGUGGGGCGGCGACGGUGUCGGGGCGGCACGGGACAGCGUCGGGGCGGCACGGGACGGCGCCGGGCGACGACGGCGACGGCGAGGCAGAGAGGGCAGUCUGGCGGCAUCGGGGCGGGGAAGAACACGAACUGAAUGGAAGUUUGACAAGUGCCAGUUAUAUAGACGACGCAUUGGUCCCGGUUCAUGAGAGAAACCGGGACGAAUGCAACCUUUAGUGCCGGUUGGUGGCACCAAUCAGGACCAAAGGCCUCUUUUCAGUAGCCCAAAGGGCGGGAAGCAGAGGCCUUUGGUCCCGGUUGAUGGCACCAACCAGGACUAAAGGGGGGCAUUGGUACCGGUUUGUGCCACCAACUGGGACUAAAGCCACCCUUUAGUCCCGGUUGAUGCCACCAACCGGGACCAAAGGCCUUGCACAACGCGGUGCGGUGGGAACUUUAGUCCCACCUCGCUAGCUGAGAGAGCUCAACACCUAUUUAUAAGCUGCGUUCCGGCUCAGGUGCUGAGCUCCUCUCAAAUAUACAUGCAUUAGUUGCCUACCCUUGUCACUGUCGUGUUGGGCCUAUUGGGCAUGCGGGCCUGCAUCCUGGCCCAUGUCCAGAUGGGUUUCUAGUCGUAUGCUGGCCGUGUGGCCCAUUAGGCGGCUUUUUUUAUUAUUUUUUCCAGUAUUUUUUUUGUUUUUUGAAUUAUUUAUUUUCUUUUGAUUUUUGCUUUAUUUUUUUAUUCUUUUUGCUUUUAACUCAGAAUAAUUAUAAUCUUUCUGUUACGCCAUUAGUUUUCAAAUUUGAAUAGUUUAAAUUUUAAUUCUUUGAAAUUUGUGUGAAUCACUAGUUUGUGAAUAACUUCACUAUAAAAAUAUAUUUUGAGUGAUUCUUUUUCCUGCUAUUUAAUAUUAUUGUGUUUUAUCAAUAUAUUCAAAAACAGAUUUUGUUAUUUUAGUUUCUAUCAAAAAAAAUCUUGAAAUUGAAAAGCAUUUCAAAUAAACUCUGAAAAGGUUGAAAGUUGGCAUGGUAUCAUCAUUUCACCCACAUAGCAUGUGCUAAAAAGUUGAGAGGGUUAUGAGAAAAAUUGGUUACACUUCGUGUACAAAAUGGACAAUCUCUUUCAAAGUAUCAGGUUUUCUACGGAAACUCAUCUGUUACACAGGGAUUUCAUUUUUUUAAACUUAUUUGAACUCCUGACUUUUUGUGUGUUCAAAAUGCACCAUUCAAAGCCACAUCAUUAAUUUUCAACCCUUUCUAACUUCAUUUGUUAUUUUUCAUGCAUUUACUUAUUAUUUUGAGCUAUAAGACCUGAAAUUGAAAAGCAUUUUAAAUAAACUCUGAAAAGGUUGGAAGUUGGCAUGCAUCAUUUCAUCCACAUAGCAUGUGCAAGAAAGUUGAGUGGGUUACGGCAAAAACUGGAUGCACUUCAUGUACAAAACGGACAAUCUCUUUCAAAGUAUCAGGAUUUCAUACGGAAACUUUUCUGUUACAAUAGGCAUUUCAAAUGAACUAUGAAAAGGUUGAAAGUUGGCAUGGUAUCAUCAUAAUAGUUGUGGACAAAUUCUUCACUUUUUCUUCGCUUGUGUCCUUUCCUUAUUGUGCCGUAACCAUGGAUAAUCUUCAUCAUUUAUCAGGAUGCUUGGGUCAGCCUUGACUUUGAAGGGAGGAAUUUCAUGAAACUUUUCAUAAUCUUCGGACAUAUCUGUCUUGCCCUCCACUCCCACGAUGUCCCUUUUUCCUGAAAGAACUAUGUGGCGCUUUGGCUCAUCGUAUGAUGUAUUCACUUCCUUAUUUUUUUCUUUUUCUUGGUUUGGAAGACAUGUCCUUCACAUAGAUAACCUGUGCCACAUCAUUGGCUAGGACGAACGGUUCGUCAGUGUACCCAAGAUUGUUCAGAUCCACUGUUGUCAUUUCGUACUGUGGAUCUACCUAUACCCCGCCUCCUGACAGAUUGGCCCAUUUGCAUUUAAACAAAGAGACCUUAAAAUCUACUCCGUAGUCAAGUUCCCAUGUGUCCACUAUGUAACCAUAAUAUGUGUCCUUUCCCCUCUCGGUGGUUGCAUCAAAGUGGACACCGCUGUUUUGGUUGGUGCUCUUUUGAUCUUGGGCGAUCGUGUAAAAUGUAUUCCCAUUUAUCUCGUAUCCUUUCCAAAUCAUUACAGUCGAAGAUGGUCCCCUGGACAAUGAGUACAACUCCUCACAAACAGUGUUUUCACCUCUAAGACGUGUUUCCAACCAACUGCUGAAAGUCCUGAUGUGUUCACAUGUAAUCCAGUCGUCGCACUGCUCCGGGUGUUUGGAGAGCAGACUAUUCUUGUGUUCAUCGACAUAAGGGGUCACCAAGGUAGAGUUCUGUAGAACUGUGUAGUGUGCUUGAGACCAAGAAUAUCCGUCCCUGCAUAUUAUUGUCUCCCCUCCAAGCGUGCCUUUUCCAGUUAGUCUCCCCUCAUACCGCGAUUUAGAGAGACCUGUCUUCUUAAGGCCAGGAAUGAAGUCAACACAAAACCCAAUGACAUCCUCUGUUUGAUGGCCCAUGGAGAUGCUUCCUUCUGGCCUAGCGUGGUUAUGGACAUAUUUCUUUAGGACUCCCAUGAACCUCUCAAAGGGGUACAUAUUGUGUAGAAAUACGGGGCCCAGAAUGACAAUCUCGUCAACUAGAUGAACAAGGACGUGCGUCAUGAUAUUGAAGAAGGAUGGUCGGAACACCAGCUCGAAACUGACAAGACAUUCCACCACAUCAGUCCUUAGCCUUGGUAUGAUUUCUGGAUCGAUCACCUUCUGAGAGAUUGCAUUGAGGAAUGCACAUAGCUUCACAAUGGCUAAUCGGACGUUUUCCGGUAGAAGCCCCCUCAAUGCAACUGAAAGGAGUUGCAUCAUAAUCACGUGGCAGUCAUGAGACUUUAGGUUCUGAAACUUUUUUCUGCCAUAUUUAUUAUUUCCUUUAUAUUCGACGAGAAGCCAGUCGGGACCUUCAUACUAAGCGGGCAUUCAAAGAAGAUUUCCUUCUCUUCUUUGGUAAGAGCGUAGCUGGCAAGACCUUCAUACUGCUUUGGAGGUAUGCCAUCUUUUUCGUGCAAAGGUUGGAGGUCCUCCCGUGCCUCAGCUGUAUCUUUUCUCUUCCCAUACACGCCUGAUACGUCUCCAACGUAUCUAUAAUUUUUGAUUGUUCCAUGCUAUUAUAUUACCCCUUUUGGAUGUUUAUGGGCUUUAUUUUACAUAUUUAUAUCAUUUUUGGGACUAACCUACUAACCGGAGGCCCAGCCCAUAUUGUUGUUUUUUGCCUAUUUCAGUAUUUCAAAGAAAAGGAAUAUCAAACGGAGUCCAAAUGGAAUGAAACCUUCGGGAGCGUGAUUUACGGAACAAAUCUGAUCCGGAGAGCUUGGAGUGCAAGUCAAGAAGCUCCCGAGGGCCCCAUGAGAUAGGGGGCCGUGCCCCCACUGUAGGGUGCGCCCCCCUGUCUCGUGGGCCCCUCGGGCAUCCACCGACGUACUUCUUCCUCCUAUAUAUACCUAUGGACCCCGAAAACAUCCAGGAGCACCACAAAACACAAUUUCCACCGCCGUAACCUUCUGUAUCCGCGAGAUCCCAUCUUGGAGUCUUCGACGACACUAUGCCGGAGGGGGAAUUGACCAUGGAGGGCUUCUACAUCAACACCAUAGCCCCUCCGAUGAGUUGUGAGUAGUUUACCACAGACCUACGGGACCAUAGUUAUUAGCUAGAUGGCUUCUUCUCUCUUUUUGGAUCUCAAUACAAUGUUCUCCCCCUCUCUUGUGGAGAUCUAUUCGAUGUAAUCUCUUUUUGCGGUGUGUUUGUCGAGAUCUGAUGAAUUGUGGGUUUAUGAUCAAGUUUAUCUAUGAAUAAUAUUUGAAUCUUCUCUGAAUUCUUUUAUGUAUGAUUGAGUUAUCUUUGCAAGUCUCUUCGAAUUAAUUUCAGUUUGGUUUGGCCUACUAGAUUGAUCUUUCUUGCCAUGGGAGAAGUGCUUAGCUUUGGGUUCAAUCUUGCGGUGUUCUUACCGAGUGACAGAAAGGGUUGCAAGACACGUAUUGUAUUGUUGCCAUCGAGGAUAACAAGAUGGGGUUUAUAUCAUAGUGCAUGUGUUUAUCCCUCUACAUCAUGUCAUCUUGCUUAAGGCGUUACUCUGUUCUUAUGAACUUAAUACUCUAGAUGCAGGCAGGAGUCGGUCGAUGUGUGGAGUAAUAGUAGUAGAUGCAGGCAGGAGUCGGUCUACUUGUUAUGGACGUGAUGCCUAUAGACAUGAUCAUGCCUAGAUAAUCUCAUAACUAUACGCUUUUCUAUCAAUUGCUCGACAGUAAUUUGUUCACCCACCGUAAUAUUUAUGCUAUCUUGAGAGAAGCCUCUAGUGAAACCUAUGGCCCCGGGUCUAUCUCUUAUCAUAUUUGCUUUCAAUCUAUCUUUAUUUGCAUCUUUAAUUUUUUGCAUCUAUAUUACAAAAUACCAAAAAUAUAUUAUUGUCUCUCUAUUAGAUCUCACUUUCGUAAGUGGCCGUGAAGGGAUUGACAAGCCCUUUAUUGCGUUGGUUACGAGUUCUCAGUUUGUUUGUGUAGGUGCGUGGGACUUUUGAGGAGCCUCCUACUGGAUUGAUACCUUGGUUCUCAAAACUAAGGGAAAUACUUACACUACACUUGCUGCAUCACCCUCUCCUCUUCGGGGAAAACCAACGCUAGCUCAAGACGUAGCAACGCCCAAGAAGCCUAGAAGGUUCACACAAAGGUUCUUCGUCACGUGCAUCACGUCGAUCAAAGAGCGGACCUCUAGGUCUUUCCAGUAGGGUAGGUCCCAAAAUAUAGAUUUCUUCUUCCACGUGGGUGCAUGUCCCUCAGCUUCACUCGGAACAGCUAGUCCCCCGGGACCCUUUCCAAAGAUUACGUGUAAAUCAUUGACCAUAGCAAGUACGUGAUCACCGGUACGCAUGGCGGGCUUCUUCCGGUGAUAUGCCUCAUCUUUGAAAUGCUUGCCUUUCUUUUGACAUUGAUGGUUGGUCGGAAGAAAUCGAUGAUGACCCAGGUACACAUUCUUUCUGCAGCUUCCCAGGUAUAUACUUUCGGUGUUAGCUAAAUAGUGUGUGCAUGCAUGGUAUCCCUUGUUUGUAUGUCCUCAAAGGUUACUGAGAGCGGGUCAAUCGUUGAUGGUUACAAACAGCAACGCGUGCAUGUUAAAUUCCUCCUGUCUGUGCUCAUCCCACGCACGUACACCAUUUCCAUUCCACAGUUGUAAAAGUUCUUCAACUAAUGGCCUUAGGUACACGUCAAUGUCGUUGCUGGGUUGCUUAGGGCCUUGGAUGAGAACUGGCAUCAUUAUGAACUUCCGCUUCAUGCACAUCCAAAGAGGAAGGUUAUACAUACAUAGAGUCACGGGCCAGGUGCUGUGAUUGCUGCUCUGCUCCUCGAAAGGAUUAAUGCCAUCCACGCUUAAACCAAACCAUACGUUCCUUGGGUCACAUGCAAACUCAGCCCAGUACUCUCUCUUGAUUUUUCUCCACUGCGACCCGUCAGCGGGUGCUCUCAACUUCCCGUCUUUCUUACCGUCCUCACUGUGCCAUCACAUCAACUUGGCAUGCUCUUUGUUUCUAAACAGUCGUUUCAACCGUGGUAUUAUAGGAGCAUACCACAUCACCUUCGCAGGAACUCUCUUCCUGCGGGGCUCGCGGUCAACAUCAUUAGGGUCAUCUCGUCUGAUCUUAUACCACAAUGCACCGCAUACCGGGCAUCCGUUCAAAUCCUCAUACGCACCGCGGUAGAGGAUGCAGUCAUUAGGGCAUGCAUGUAUCUUCCGCACCUCCAAUCCUAGAGGGCAUACGACCUCCUUUGUUGCGUACGUACUGUCGGGCAAUUCAUUAUCCUUUGGAAGCUUCUUCUUCAAUAUUUUCAGUAGCUUCUCAAAUCCUUUGUCAGGCACAGCAUUCUCUGCCUUCCACUGCAACAAUUCCAGUAUGGUACCCAGCUUUGUGUUGCCAUCUUCGCAAUUGGUGUACAACCCUUUUUUGUGAUCCUCUAACAUGCGAUCAAACUUCAGCUUCUCCUUUUGACUUUCGCAUUGCGUCCUUGCAUCGACAAUGACCCGGCGAAGAUCAUCAUCGGGCACAUCGUUUGGUUCCUCUUGAUCUUCAGCAGCUUCCCCCGUUGCAGCAUCAUCGGGCACAUCGUCUGGUUCCUCUUGAUCUUCAGCAGCUCCCCCCGUUGCAGCAUCACCGUAUUCAGGGGGCACCUAGUUGUCAUCGUCCUCUUCUUCUUCGCCGUCUUCCAUCAUAACCCCUAUUUCUCCGUGCCUCGUCCAAACAUUAUAGUGUGGCAUGAAACCCUUGUAAAGCAGGUGGGUGUGAAGGAUUUUUCGGUCAGAGUAAGACUUCGUAUUCCCACAUUUAGUGCAUGGACAAUACAUAAAACCAUUCUGCUUGUUUGCCUCAGCCACUUCGACAAAAUUAUGCACGCCCUUAAUGUACUCGGAGGUGUGUCUAUCACCAUACAUCCAUUGUUGGUUCAUCUGCGUGCAUUAUAUAUAAUUAUGUGUGUCAAAAGUAAGAAAAUCAGAGAAAUAUCUAUCUAAAGGAAGAAAAUCAGACAAGUAUCAGAAAGAAGAUAAGAACAAGAGGCUCGGUGGUGCCAGCGACGAGAUCGGCGCGGGCGAUCAACGAUGGUGAAAAUGGGGACGGGGCGUGACGGACUGCUAAAUCUAGUCAAUUCUCGGAAAAAAUUGAGCUCCGAGGACGAGCUUCGAGAAGAGAAAGCUUAACUAGUGUGGCUCAAGCAUUUCAUUGAACACCUCAUGUGCAUAGGAGGUGAACUAGAGCACCCAAAUGCCCUCUCCCCACCGGAUUGAAAAAAUAGAGCAUUGUGGAGUGCUCUGCCGCGGCGAUGGGUAUAUAUAGGCAAAUUAUUUGUCCCGGUUCGUGGCAUGAACCGGGACUAAAUCCCCCCUUCUACACCGGUUCAAGGCAUGAACCGGUACCAAUGGAUGUGGGCCAGUAGCAAGGUCCAUUCGUCCCGGUUCGUGCCUAGAACCGGGACAAAUGGGUCCAGAUGAACCGGGACCAUUGCCCACGAGGCCCCGGCCGGCCCCCUGGGCUCAUGAACCGGGUCUAAUACCCCCCAUGGGUCCCGGUUCUUGAAGAACCGGGACUAAUGGGCUGGCCAGGCCCGAACGAUAGCCCUGUUUUCUACUAGUGUUAUCAUGAUAUAAGGAAAUAAAUAAUAACUUUAUUAUUGCCUCUAGGGCAUAUUUCCUUUAGUAUAUGCAACCUGUUUUUUGUAAAUAUAAUUUUUGCAAAGAAGGCAAAAAAUCAUGAUUUUUUUGGCCACAAACAUGAACAAGUGUUAUACUCAUGUAAAAAAAUCGCCAAGGAGUGACUUUGAUGGUAUUAUGGCCGGAAAAAGUAGUAAGCACUACUAUUCGCACUUUUUGUCCUCGAAUUUUUGUUUGUCUUGCCCAAAAGUCCACAAUAUAUGUUUUCAUUGGCGGACUUUUUCCAGGUUGUCUAAUUCACAUCUAGAUGUUUUCUAAAAAUGUCACAUCUUAGCUUCCACAAAUAAAGUAGCAACAAGGAACUAAAUAAAGCUGGGACAAAAGAAAAAUAGACCACAAACAUAAUGGACACCAGGUUAGAUGUGACAUAACUAUGUCACAUCUAGAUGUGUCCUAAACAGACCCAACUUUUUUACACGAGUACAACAAAAGGUCGAGUUUGUUUCCUAAAUUUGUAUGAUUUUUUGGACCGUUUCCGCAAUAUCUAGUUUUUUUUGGCAUAUCGAGUGCAUAUGCACUGAGAGCCAAGGCUUAUUUCCCCUUUUUGCAUGCUAUCAAAUCCAUGAAGCCUUUCCAGUUGUGGUCUACUUCUUUUGUUGCCUCCAAGUAUACAGAAACAAAAAACAAAUUGGUUUCUCUCUACAUUCUUAUUUGGGCGAACCUGCCUGAUAUAUGCUUUCUUCGAGAAUGCUUUUGCAACAUUUUUCAUGGGGUGUGGCUAGGUCUAAGUUGACUGAGACUUAUCCCUUUUUUGCGGCAGAAUGACUGAGAUCCAAAUCUCAGUCAAGUGGCAUAAUAUGCAAGAAAGAAAAUAAAAGAAAAAAAAGAAAACUUCGUACAGAUCUCAAUGUAAGAUAUUGCGAAUAUAGCAUCGACUGAGACAUAAUCAAAUCGCAGUCGACUGAGAUUUCACAAGUCUGUUUUUUAUGAUGUGAAUCCUUGUCAUUCAAGGUUGACGUUGUUUCCACCCGAUAUAACUUAGGGUUGUAUGUGAUCCUCCCCCCUUCCGCGUCACUCCCGUGAGUGGCCGGGGGAAACCCUAGCGACGGGCUCAGGCCCUCCUCUCCCCUCCUCCCCUCGUUGUUGCCUCGGCAUGCUGGUUGGGGUUUGCCCGGCAAUGUCGAUAGCAACGUGGUGUUCCCUCUUCCCCUGCUUGGUGUAGGUUGGCAAGGGUCGACGGAGUCAAGUUGCGGCACGAUGCAUGCAUAGGACUGGGCCGCACAUCAGAAAUAGCUGGCCGCGGGUUGCUGACGGUGGUGCGAAGGCUCGUGGGAGGCUGGGGUGUGUGACGUGCCUACGGCGGCAACAUGACUGGGAGUGGCUCACCAACCCCGACAGGAAGAGUAGAAGUCACCUCCUUCCACUCCUAGCCCGACAUCAACCACCGAGUCAGGGUCCAUGCUUCCAUGGUAGGAAGCGUCAACCCCUGUGUCCCCAACCCGUCUAGGUGGACCGGGCGGACAUGACCCUAUGGACGCCAAUGUUCGCCACCCAACAAGCCCCGACUAUAACCCACUAUCCUUGGCCCGUGCAAGCUCGCAGAACACCUCAUCUGUGGCCAUAGGUGCCAAUCCGCCGGACGGCGCACCACUACGACCGCAGCACCGGGGCGAGGCCACUGCACCCGGGAAAGACCUCCACCUCGCCGCCAUGAGUCGUGCCCCAUGCCUCCACCCCAUGGGCCUUAACCACCACCCUUGCCGCCUGCGAACGACUAGGCAACAGAUCUAGUGGAUUUGGCCGGAGCCUGGAAAACACGCCACCAUGAGGGGGACCACAACAGACUAUGGCCGCCGAAACUAGCCACAACCAGCGGUCGUCCAAUCCCCGCCAAUGCUGCGAACCAUGCCGCCCGCGCUCAUGAGGCGCCAGAUCGGAGCCACGGUUGACGGUGUCUUGAGACAUGGAUGCCGGUGUGCAGGCCCAGAUGGCAGUUUGAAUGGUUUUGGCUCUCCGGCAGGCAUCAUGGCGGCGGCGGUGGCUAUCUCAGUGAAACUGUCACACUUUCUAGCUACCGGGCCAUCUCAGGAUUCCAAAAUAAGACUCAUUGAUACUACGGCCCAGAACUAACCGAUGGCAAUUAAGGCUCGGUGGUUUUCCUUUUCCCCCACGAGAGACGAGAGAGACCACGACGGUGGUGGAAGGGUUGCUUUCUUUUCGUAGCGGCCGCGUCUACACCACGUAGUCCUACCAUCGUCGGUUGAGAAUCGUCGAAGAAAAGAACUCCAUGCUGGGUUACUAUUCUUUCGUAGCGGGCGCGUUUCUGGUUCGCUAUAAAUAUAGGCCGGUGAGAGGACACGAUUAUCAGAUCGAACAAGCAAGGGAGCAGUUGAUCAAUCGGCUAAGAAAGAUGCAGAUCUUCGUUAAGACCCUGACCGGGAAGACGAUCACGCUCGAGGUGGAGAGCAGCGACACCAUCGACAAUGUCAAGGCCAAAAUCCAGGACAAGGAAGGUAUGUACCACCAUCGAUCAAUCUCAUCACCGGUCGCCGGCCUUCAGUGUUCACAAUCUCAUCGCCGGUGGCCGGCCACUAGCAUCUCUCGACCAUGCUGAACCUAUUGCUGCUUAUCGAUAUAUUGCAGGCAUCCCUCCGGAUCAGCAGCGCUUGAUCUUCGCGGGGAAGCAGCUGGAGGACGGGCGCACCCUGGCCGACUACAACAUCCAGAAGGAGUCGACGCUGCACCUGGUGCUCCGCCUGCGGGGCGGCAGCCGCGGCCAGUACAUCAUCAUGGACCCCAGCCUCCUGCAGCUCGCCCUCAAGUACAAGGAGAAGAAGAUGAUCUGCCGCAAGUGCUACGCGCGCUUGCCCCGCGGCACCACCAACUGCCGCAAGAAGAAGUGCGGACACAGCAACGAGAUCAGGGCCAAGAAAAGGUUCCUCGACAAGCAUAUCAUGUGAAGAAGAAGAAGAAGAAGCACAAGGCCUAUAUAUCCACCGCCCUCCAAUAUGACGUGUUAUAUAGUAGUAGCAGUAGUAGUAGUGUAAUAUUUUCUAUGGCAACACAGUCUUUUAAGUCUUACUAGGUUUUAAGCCAUGCAAACUACUCAAAGCAAAGCAACGUCAACAAGUAGGAGUAGUAUAUUUAGUCCGCAUGGAUUGGAUGUCUAAUGAUGAUAAUUUAUUAAAUGGCCGGGUUGACUGCAGUUCUGUGCACAGAUUUUGUUUGUCUGUUUUCAUAAUUAUUUUCUGAACGCACAACGACAACGUCAACAAUGACGCAAAGGAACAAAUCCUAUAUAAGCACACACACCUUCUUGUGCUUGAAAGUAUUGUCCAUGGGAAGUCCAAUGUCAAAAAAACAAACCAAACUUUACUCAAAGCAAAGCAUCGUGUAUCGGUGAUGUUUGCCCUAGACGUUGCCGCGGCGGCGAGGCAACCUUUCCCAGCUUCAUUGUUUGCUUUGUGUUGUCUCAGUGGUCAUCUUAGCAGGAAGCGCUCGUAAACUUUCUGGUUUCAUCUUACUUGUGCUCGCGCUGCUGUCCCAGCGGUGCUUGCACUGGUUGUUGUUUUUUUCGAAAAUCUGCCCCUAGGGAUCUCGAUUUCAUUAAAAAAAGAAGAGGGUUGCCCGGUUUACUAACGAAAAACCGGGCUAAAACCGUUACAACAGCCCACACAGGGCAACCCGGCCGACCUGGCCACCCACACGGAGAUACACAAACGCCGCAGAGAAGAACCAUAAAGUCGAGGUCGUCACCAAGCGUCAUCGUCAUCACUCCUCCACGAGCCAGCGACAACAACUUCACCAUGGAAUUCCGCCAACAAAGCCCUCGUCGCUACAAACACAGGAACCCAUGCCGACUGAGAAGACCACCAAAAAACAGGAGAAAUGGGCAGAGUUGGCACCAACCAACACCUCCUCGAAGACCACCAGCCACUUGUCAUCGUCGCCACCUAGCACUCUAGGGCAGCUCCGAAUCCACGAUGGCAUGGCGAGACGUAGAAGAGACCCGUCGAGCAUGUCGGGGAAGAACCGACAACCGAAGCCCUGCCGCGACCCUGCACCGUUGGCCAUCAUCAUCGUUGUCAAACUAGACGCCACACCACCUCAUUGCCGGCUGGGCACCAGCCAACCGCAACAUCGUGAGCGUCUAGCACAUGGAGAGCACGAACGAGAUACAAAGGUCUUCCAGAAAAGGCCCCAAAGAGGGAAGCGGCAGUGUCGACGCCGUCGCCCGACCCGACCGGGCGGUAGGCUUUCACUCGAAGAACUGAAUCCGAGAGUGUGCAGGGGGUGAACUCCACGACGACGCCUCCAAGAAGGUGCACGACGCCCGCGGCGGCGGCCGCCGCCGACCGACAAGCUUUCGCCUGGAGCGCCGCCCAACACCACACCCCCACGCACCAUGCAUCUGCUAGCCAGCACACCUCCCGCGAAGCCACUACACCGACUGCCCGCGAGAGCCACCACAAUCUCUUUCUCACCGCCAACCACCACCGACAGCCUAGAUCUAGCCGCCCGACCAGAAACAGUUGGCCGUGUUCUGCAUGGUGUAUGGUGCUGCAUCUUCCUCCCUGACUGCCCUCAUCUCGGUCCUCGACGGCAAGACGGCGUCCACGACAAUCAUCUCCGAGGAGCUUCGCCACCUGUUCAAGCCGGAUUGGGACUGGGAGGUCGAUCCUAUAUCCGAUCGGGAGUUCACCGCCGUAUUCCCGGAUCCUGUCAGCCUCCGCUACGGCACCCACAUCGCGGAGUUGACCUUGGCGCUCCAUCAGCUCAAGGUUCACAUAUCGGUUCCCUCGGUGGAUCCUCUCGCCGUGGCCUCCCUAUCCACUGUGUGGGUUCAGAUUCGUGGGCUACCCCCCAUUGCUCAUGUGGAUGGUGCUAUCUGGGGCAUGUCCCGGCUCCUGGGAAAGAUUGUGUCGGUGGACGCUCUCUUGCUACUUAAGGGGCCGGCCGUUCAUGUCGAGCUCAAGACCCCGGAUCCCUCCAAGCUUCAGAUGACUUUGCGGAUGUUCUUCAACGAUGUGGGCUACGACCUCCAUAUUUCAGUCAAAGAUGAGCUCUCCACUUCUCCCGCUGGCCAUGAGGAUGGGUCGGACCCCGAGGUCGACCCGGAUCUUGAGGGGGAUGGUGGCCCCACUACUGGUCACGACCGGAACCGCCGUCCACGUGGUCGCUCCCCUAGCUCUGUCCGCUCGGACGACGACUCCGGGGACGACCAUGGGCCCUCGCCCCGAACCGGCGCGGCUGCUCCCCCUCCCUGCUCCCCCUCCCUGCUCCAAGCCUCUCGCCCCGGACUCCCGUGCGUUACUUCGGGAGCUGAGGAGGAGGACCUGGAGGCGAUCUCCGCUAUGCUUGACGAGGCGGCGAGCCUUCCUCCUGGCGCCGUCAUCUCGAUCGUCAUGGAGGCGCAGGUCUCCUCCUCAGACGGCAGCAUCAGCGACACGAGCAGUGUGGGCAUGGAGGUCAUCCCCGCGAAUCUCAUGCCGCAAUCCUUCUAAGAACUGUGUGGUGAAAAAAUAUGGGAUCGAAAGAAGGAUUGUGCGCUAGCAACUGAUGCAUAACCUCUUCGAAUUGUAACAUGUAAUUAUGGACAGUGCUAGUCUGACGGAGAGUGCGAAACUGACGAAGAUGAGUCUGAUAUUGUUCUCGACCAAACUUCCCACACAAGGCCGCGCACAACUCAUCCCACGACAUGGACUCGCUCUGAGCCUCGUGUAGUUGUAGCCAGCGUGCCGCGUUGCCUGUGAAGUGCAGGGUAGCUACCCUGACCCAUAACUCAGACCGAACUCCAUACACGGAGAAAUAUUUUUCACAACGCAUUUUCCAGAAUUGUGGAUUGUCGCCGUCAAAUGACGGGAAAUCCAAUUUUGGCAGUGACAAACUAUGGGAAUUGAUGUGUUGUGUGCGCGGAUCGAAUGCUACCAGAUGCGGUGAUGGGGGAUCGGUCAAGGAUGUACCCUUGACCGGAGGAGGCACAUGGGUGGUGACCACGCCAUAUGCCGGCCCUCCGGUGUUGUCGAUCUCGUCGUGGCCUCUCAGCCCGUGGUGUUCGGGAGCGUCGUGGUUCGAACUCGACGCCGGCCGCACCACCGCGUCGCCCUCCGGGAUCGGAUCCGGAGGCGCCGCCAGCACGGGGUGGAGAGCGAUGCGCCCCACCUGCGCACGCGGGUCGUCCACCUGCCUCUGGAUGUGGGUGACGGCGGGGCGCCACAGCUCCAGAGAAGUCUGGAUCGCAUCUGGCCUUGCCUCGUUGGCGAUGCGCCCGUCGUUGACGGCCUUGGCAAGAGCUGCGAUCUGCUCCUCCAUCUUCGCCGCCAGUCUUGCUUGCUUCGUUUGAUAGCGGGGCUUGGGAUAGGCGGUCUCCCAGUAGGAAGAUCGCUGGACCUCUGAUACCAGAUGUAACGUGCCUGGUUGCGGUGGAUCUAGAAGAGAAGGAGGAGGAACGGAAGCAGGUAGAAGGAGGAAGAAAGGGGGAUCGAUCAGGUAGGAGGAGUCCAGGAGAUCAGCUCCGGUUCAAGUCAUGUUACAUUGCAUAAAGCCCACACACACACCACUCGCUAGUCUAUAAAGGCCGUCAAGCCGCGUUGGCCGUCCUGGACCAAUCAUCCUCUUGCGUCGCGUCACCACCUGCUGAGCUGGCUUCUUCACGGGUCAUCCUGGCUGACCGUGGGGUCAGCUUGCUCCUGGGGCCCGUUGGUCAGGAGUUGUGGUGGUGCAGUCCUAACAGUAUGUACCGUACCACCAUCGAUCAAUCUCAUCGCCGGUUGCCGGUCUUAGUGUUCGCAGCAGCGAUCAAUCUCAUCGCAUGUGCCCAGCCUUCAAUGUUGCUUCUGCUUUAUCAAUGUUUUUUGCAGGCAUCCCUCCGGAUCAGCAGCGCUUGAUCUUCGCGGGGAAGCAGCUGGAGGACGGGCGCACUGUGGCCAACUACAACAUCCAGAAGGAGUCGACGCUGCACCUGGUGCUCCGCCUGCGGGGCGGCAGCCGCGGCCAGUACAUCAUCAUGGACCCCAGCCUCCUGCAGCUCGCCCUCAAGUACAAGGAGAAGAAGAUGAUCUGACGCAAGUGCUACGCGCACCUCCCCCGCGGCACCACCAACUGUCGCAAGAAGAAGUGCGGCCACAGCAACGAGAUCAGGGCCAAGAAGAGGUUCCACAACAAGCACACCUUCUGAUGAAGAAGAAGAAGAAGAAGAAGAAGAAGAAAAAGAAGAAGAAGAAGAAGAAGAAGAAGAAGAAGGCCUAUCCGCCGUCGUCCAAUUUUGAAGCUCUUUCAUUCAAUUGCUAUAUUCAAUUUUGGAAUUGGUUGAAGAUUUUGGCCGGGCCAACGAUUUUUCAAAUCUAUCAGCAGCAACCGGCCUAUAAAGACGUAUCAAUCUCACGGUCCCCUCCCACCAUCUAGAAAAGAAGCGUCGUCAUCUAUAUUGUAGCACCAAUAUAGUACUUCCUUUGUUUCUAAAUAUAGGUCUUUUUAGAGAUUUUACUAGAGACUACAUAUAGAUGUAUAUAGACAUGUUAUACAUAUUUUAGAGUGUAGAUUCAUUCACUUUGCUCCGUAUGUAGUCUAUAUUGGAUCUCUAAAAGGAAUUAUAUUUAGGAACGGAGGGAGUAUAUGCAACCUCCGACACAAAAAAUUCCCCACAAUAUAGGUUGGUUAGCGGAUAACAUAGAAUCACACAUGAAAAGCCCACCAAAUCAACACAUUAUAAAUAAAAAUAAAAUACACUCUAUCAUCUCCCCCACCCGCCAAACUAAAUAUUCCAUCAGUUUCAAAAUAUAAGGGUUAUUAAUUUUUUAGAAGUCAAAUUGCUUUAACUUUGACCAAGCUCAAAACAAAAAUAUUGACACUGAAAAUAUUAAAGAAAAAAGUAUGGAAAUUCUUCUCAUGACGAAUUAAAAAAACAUAUGACAGUAUGGAUUUGAUAUAUUUCUCUACAAAUUUGAUCAGAAGGUUUGUCUUUUCAAAAAAAGUAAUACACCUUAUUUUUUGAAACAAAGUGAUUUCUUUCUUUUAUAAACCCAACAUCAUCAAUGGCGCAGGAAAGCGUGCCCAAACCUUCUAGUAUCUACAAUUUGCCAUAGAUGUAAAAGGCAAAUUUGGCAUCGUACAGAAAAAUAAGAAUUUGCCAUAACAUGUUAAAUAAACUUGUCAUAGUCUAUAUAAUAGAUUUUUCAUGACUUAUGCAAUAAAUAGUAAUUAAUUUAAAACAGUAACCCGAGCCUAGUUCCAGCCCUCUCACGCACUCAAUGAUUUCGGCCAUCCGAUUUUACGUCAUGGUCGUUUCUAGCCAUUAGAUUUAUUCAUUAUUCAAUGUUUUUUUUGAGGGAUUGUUUUUUGGUUAAAUGGGCCAGCUGUCAAAGAAAAUAUUGAUGCGCUAUUCAGUGUUUUUUUCAUUAAACUUUUUGAGGGAUUGUUUUUCUGUUAAAUGGGCGCCUGCGGCAGCUCUGGCUCGUUGUGACUCGGUAUAGGAGGAGAGGUCAUCGAUCUCCGCCCAUAGCGGCUGGAUGAAGCGCCGGUUGGCCUCACAUAGGCAUCAUCCUGGAUGGACUCGAGGAUGACGGUCUACUCCGCCAUCUUCUCCGCUUGGGCGACUCCAAACUCUGUCAUGGCAUCCUCCAUACUACCUGUAGCCAGCUCCGCCGCCUCCUCCUCCUUCAGAUCCGCCUCCUCCAUGGGAUGGGGGUCCUGCUCUACUUCCAGCAGCUACUCCCCUUCCUCCUCCUUCUCCUGUUGCUGCUCCAGCUCCGGUGAAUCCGGAGGCAGGUCGGUAGUGCAACGAGUAGCACGCAUGGCCUAAAUCGCCUCCAACAGCUGCAACCAAAGCUCCGGUGUCAACAUGCCUAGGUGGUGAUCCUCUUCCCGGCCAUGCUAGCGGCUACGACAAGCUAGCAGAUGGGAGGGAGAGGGGAGGAAUGGGGAUGGGCUAGGGUUGGGCUGCCACUGUCCAGCUUAAAUGGCCGGACGUGCUCCCUUGGGGUGGCACCACACAACACGGAGCCCGGGAGGUGCCCGUCGGACAAACGGUCUCUCAGUGUACGCGCAUGGGCCCUUUAGUCAGUCCUACAUGUCGCAUGUGUUCAGGCCUGUCCGGGCAUCCCCAUAUUCUCCCUACAUAUGGGCCGGAUAUAUAUUGGGAGUACCGGCUAGUCCUGGCGUUUGUGUCGGAUUUGCGAAGUCCGGUUGGGUGCCGUUUUGUGUCUGGGCAGUGACCCGACAGCACGCCUGGCCGUUUGGGUGGGUAUGGGGGUCCAGUUGUAGAUGCUCUUAUCGCAUUGUGGCAAACCACGAAAAGUGUGGUCAAUAAACUGAUUACCACACCUUAGGAAAUGCUUGGCAAACAAACUGAAUUAAUGACAUGACAGGUAUAGGGCUGCUUUGGAAAGUGUGGCAUGCCACAAGUUCGGCAAGGACCCAACUAAACCUUGGCAUCCUCUGGUCCGGGCUUGGCUUUGCAAAGCCCGAUCCCAAAAUCUCAAGCCCAAGCUCGGCCCGACUCAAAACACAUGAACAACCCAAUCUCGAAGAUUCUGAUGUAUCUGCAGAAAGUCCAUCAGCUGAGCCGCAUCUUGAUCUUCCGCAACUUGUUCUCAGCGAGGACAGAAGAGAGGAUUGCUCUGCCGGAGCUCCCGGCACAAAGGGCUAGGAAUGGUUGUGGAGCGCGCACGACGUCGGAGCUGCGAGCCUGACGGCGCGAAGGAGGAAGAAGAGAGUGAAGGAAAUAUGCCCUAGAGGCAAUAAUAAAGUUAUUAUAUAUUUCUUUAUUUCAUGAUAAAUGUUUAUUAUUCAUGCUAGAAUUGUAUUAACCGGAAACAUAAUACAUGUGUGAAUACAUAGACAAACAUAGUGUCACUAGUAUGCCUCUACUUGACUAGCUCGUGAAUCAAAGAUGGUUAAGUUUCCUAGCCAUGGACAAAAGAGUUGUCAUUUGAUUAACGGGAUCACAUCAUUAGGAGAAUGAUGUGAUUGACUUGACCCAUUCCGUUAGCUUAGCACAUGAUCGUUUAGUAUGUUGCUAUUGCUUUCUUCAUGACUUAUACAUGUUCAUGUGACUAUGAGAUUAUGCAACUCCCAUUUACCAGAGGAACACUUUGUGUGCUACCAAACGUCACAACGUAACUGGGUGAUUAUAAAGGUGCUCUACAGGUGUCUCCGAAGGUACAUGUUGGGUUGGCGUAUUUCGAUAUUAGGUUUUGUCACUCCGAUUGUCGGAGAGGUAUCUCUGGGCCCUCUUGGUAAUACACAUCACUUAAGACUUGCAAGCAUUGCAACUAAUGAGUUAGUUGUGGGAUGAUGUAUUACGGAACAAGUAAAGAGACUUGUCGGUAACGAGAUUGAACUAGGUAUUGGAUACCGACGAUCGAAUCUCGGGCAAGUAACAUACCGAUGACAAAGGGAACAACGUAUGUUGUUAUGCGGUUUAACCGAUAAAGAUCUUCAUAGAAUAUGUAGGCACCAAUAUUAGCAUCCAGGUUCCGCUAUUGGUUAUUGACCAGAAACAGUUCUAGGUCAUGUCUACAUAGUUCUCGAACCCGUAGGGUCCGCACGCUUAAGGUUUCGAUGACAGUUAUAUUAUGAGUUUAUGAGUUUUGAUGUACCGAAUGAGUUCGGAGUCCCGGAUGAGAUCGGAAACAUGACGAAGAGUCUCGAAAUGGUCGAGACGUAAAGAUCGAUAUAUUGGACGACUAUAUUCGGAGUUCGGAAAGGUUCCGAGUGAUUCGGGUAUUUUUCGGAGUACCGGAGAGUUAUGGGAAUUCGCCGGGAGAAGUAUUGGGCCUUAUUGGGCCAUACGGGAAAGAGAGAGGGGCUGCCUAGGGCAAGCUGCCCCCCCCAAGGCCUAGUCCGAAUUGGACUAGGGGGAGGGGCCGCACCCCCUCCUUCCUUCCCUUCCCUCUUCCCCUUCCUUGUCUCCUACUCCUACUACUUGGAAGGACUCCUAGUUGGACUAGGAAAGGGGCAAUCCUACUCCCGGUGAGAGUAGGACUCCCCUAGGGCACGCCAUAGAGAGGGCCGGCCCUCCCCUCCUCCACUCCUUUAUAUACGGGGGCAGGGGGCACCCCAUAGACACACAAGUUGAUCUACGGAUCGUUCCUUAGCCGUGUGCGGUGGCCCCCUCCACCAUAUUCCACCUCGGUCAUAUCGUCGCGGAGUUUAGGCGAAGCCCUGCGCCGGUAGAACAUCAUCAUCGUCACCACGCCGUCGUGCUGACGGAACUCAUCCCCGACGCUUUGCUGGAUUGGAGCCCGGGGAACGUCAUCGAGCUGAACGUGUGCUGAACACGGAGGUGCCGUACGUUCGGUGCUUGGAUCGGUCGGAUCGUGAAGACGUACGACUACAUCAACCGCGUUGUCAUAACGCUUCCGCUUACGGUCUACGAGGGUACGUGGACAACACUCUCCCCUCUCGUUGCUGUGCCAUCACCAUGAUCUUGCGUGUGCGUAGGUAAAUUUUUGAAAUUACUACGUUCCCCAACAGUGGCAUCCGAGCCUAGGUUUUAUGCGUUGAUGUUAUAUGCAUGAGUAGAACACAAGUGAGUUGUGGGCGAUACAAGUCAUACUGCUUACCAGCAUGUCAUACUUUGGUUCAACGGUAUUGUUGGAUGAAGCGGCCCAGAUCGACAUUACGCGUACGCUUACGCGAGACUGGUUCCACCGACGUGCUUUGCACACAGGUGGCUGGCGGGUGUCAGUUUCUCCAACUUUAGUUGAACCGAGUGUGGCUACGCCCGGUCCUUGCGAAGGUUAAAACAGAACUAACUUGACGAACUAUCGUUGUGGUUUUGAUGCGUAGGUAAGAACGGUUCUUGCUAAGCCCAUAGCAGCCACGUAAAACUUGCAACAACAAAGUAGAGGACGUCUAACUUGUUUUUGCAGGGCAUGUUGUGAUGUGAUAUGGUCAAGACGUGAUGCUAUAUUUAUUGUAUGAGAUGAUCAUGUUUUGUAACCGAAGUUCUCGGCAACUGGCAGGAGCCAUAUGGUUGUCGCUUUAUUGUAUGAAAUGCAAACGCCCUGUAAUUGCUUUACUUUAUCACUAAGCGGUAGCGAUAGUCAUAGCAGCAAUAGAUGGCGUAAACGACAACGAUGCUACGAUGAAGAUCAAGGUGUCGCGCCGGUGACGGUGGUGAUCACGACGGUGCUUCGGAGAUGGAGAUCACAAGCACAAGAUGAUGAUGGCCAUAUCAUAUCACUUAUAUUGAUUGCAUGUGAUGUUUAUCCUUUAUGCAUCUUAUCUUGCUUUGGUUGACGGUAGCAUUUUCAGAUGAUCUCUCACUAAUUAUCAAGAAGUGUUCUCCCUGAGUAUGCACCGUUGCCAAAGUUCGUCGUGCCCAGACACCACGUGAUGAUCGGGUGUGAUAAGCUCUACGUCCAUCUACAAUGGGUGCAAGCCAGUUUUGCACACGCGGAAUACUCAGGUUAAACUUGACGAGCCUAGCAUAUGCAGUUAUGGCCUCGGAGCAUGGAGACCGAAAGGUCGAGCGCGAAUCAUAUAGUAGAUAUGAUCAACAUAGUGAUGUUCACCAUUGAAAACUACUCCAUCUCACGUGAUGAUCGGUUAUGGUUUAGUUGAUUUGGAUCACGUGAUCAUUUAGAUGACUAGAGAGAUGUCUGUCUAAGUGGGAGUUCUUAAGUAAUAUGAUUAAUUGAACUUAAAUUUAUCAUGAACUUAGUCCUGGUAGUAUUUUGCAAAUUAUGUUGUAAGAUCAAUAGCUUGCGUUGUUGCUUUCAUAUGUUUAUUUUGAUAUGUUCCUAGAGAAAAUUGUGUUGAAAAAUGUUAGUAGCAAUGAUGCGGAUUGGAUCCGUGAUCUGAGGUUUAUCCUCAUUGUUGCACAGAAGAAUUAUGUCCUUAAUGCAUCGCUAGGUGACAGACCGAUUGCAGGAGCAGAUGCAGACGUUAUGAACGUUUGGCUGGCUCAAUAUGAUGACUACUUGACAGUUUAGUGCACCAUGCUUAACGGCUUAGAAUCGGGACUUCAAAGACGUUUUUGAACGUCAUGGACCAUAUGAGAUGUUCCAGGAGUUGAAGUUGAUAUUUCAAGCAAAUACCCGAGUUGAGAGAUAUGAAGUCUCCAACAAGUUCUAUGGCUAAAAGAUGGAGGAGAAUCGCUCAACUAGUGAGCAUGUGCUCAGAUUGUCUGGGUACUACAAUCGCUUGAAUCAAGUGGGAGUUAAUCUUCCAGAUAAGAUAGUGAUUGAUAGAAUUCUCUAGUCACCACCACCAAGUUAGUAGAACUUCGUGAUGAACUAUAAUGCAAGGGAUGACGAAAACGAUUCCCGAGCUCUUCGUGAUGCUGAAAUCGACGAAGGUAGAAAUCAAGAAAGAGCGUCAAGUGUUGAUGAUUGACAAGACCACUAGUUUCAAGAAAAGGGCAAAGGGAAAGAAAGGGAACUUCAAGCAGAAUGGCAAGCAAGUUGUCACUCCCGCGAAGAAGCCCAAAGCUGGACCAAAGCCUGAAACUGAGUGAUUAUACUGCAAAGGAAAUGGUCACUAGAAGCGGAAAUGCCUUGAAUAUUUGGUGGAUAAGAAGGAUGGCAAAGUGAACAAGGGUAUAUUUGAUAUACAAGUUAUUGAUGUGUACCUUACUAGUGUUUAUAGUAACCCCUGAGUAUUUGAUACUUGUUCGGUUGCUAAAGAUUAGUAACUCGAAACAGGAGUUACAUAAUAAACAGAGACUAGUUGAGGGUGAAGUGACGAUGUGUAUUGGAAGUGGUUCCAAGAUUGAUAUGAUCAUCAUCGCACACUCCCUAUACCUUCGGGAUUAGUGUUAAACCUAAAUAAAUGUUAUUUGGCAUUUGCGUUGAACAUGAAUAUGAUUUGAUCAUGUUUAUUGCGAUAUGGUUAUUCAUUUAAAGUCAAAGAAUAAUUCUGUUUACAUGAAUAAAACCUUCAAUGGUCAUACACCCAAUGAAAAUAGUUUGUUGGAUCUCGAUCGUAAUGAUACACAUAUUCAUAAUAUUGAUGCCAAAAUAUGCAAAGUUAAUAAUGAUAGUGCAACUUGUUUGUGGCACUGCCGUUUGGGUCAUAUCUGUGUAAAGCGCAUGAAGAAACUCCAUAAAGAUGGAUUUUCGGAAUCACUUGGUUAUGAAUCAUUUGAUGCUUGCGAACCGUGCCUUUUGGGCAAGAUGACUAAAACUCCAUUCUCCGGAACAAUGGAACAAGCUACUGACUUAUUGUAAAUAAUACAUACCGAUGUAUGUGAUCCAAUGAGUGUUGAUGCUCGUGGCAAGUAUCGUUAUUUUCUGCCCUUCACAAAAUGAUUUGAGCAGAUAUGGGUAUAUCUACUUGAUGAAAUAUAAGUCUAAAAUAAUUGAAGGGUUCAAAGAAUUUCAGAGUGAAGUGGAAAAAUCAUCAUAACAAGAAAAUAAAGUUUCUACGAUCUGAUCGCGGAGACGAAUAUUUGAGUUACGAGUUUGGUCUUCAAUUAAAACAAUGUGGAAUAGUUUCACAGCUCACGCCACCUGGAAUACCACAACGUUAUGGUGUGUCCGAACGUCAUAACUGUACUUUAUUGGAUAUAGUGCAAUCUAUGAUGUCUCUUAUCGGUUUACCACUAUCGUUUUGGGGUUAUGCAUUAGAGACAGCUGCAUUCACGUUUAAUAGGGCACCAUCUAAAUCCGUUCAGACGACACCGUAUGAACUAUGGUUUAGCAGUAAACCUAAGUUGUCGUUUCUUAAAGUUUGGAGUUGUGGUGCUUAUAUGAAAAAGUUUUAACCUGAUAAGCUCGAACUCAAAUCGGAGAAGUGCGUCUUCAUAGAAUACCCAAAGGAAAUUGUUGGGUACUCCUUCUAUCACAAAUCCAAAGGCAAAACAUUCAUUGCUAAGAAUGGAUCCUUUCUAGAGAAGGAGUUUCUCUCGAAAGAAGUGAGUGGGAGGAAAGUAGAACUUGAUGAGGUAAUUGUACCUGCUCCCUUAUUUGAAAGUAGUUCAUCACAGAAAUCUGUUCCUGUGACUACUACACCAAUUAGUGAGGAAGUUAAUGAUGAUGAUCAUGAAACUUCAGAUUAAGUUACUACAGAACCUCGUAGGUCUUCCAGAGUAAGAUCCGCACCAGAGUGGUACGGUAAUCCUGUUCUGGAAAUUAUGUUACUAGACCAUGACGAACCUACGAACUAUGAAGAAGCGAUGGUGAGCCCAGAUUCCGCAAAAUGGCUUGAGGCCAUGAGAUCUGAGAUAAGAUCCAUGUAUGAAAACAAAGUAUGGACUUUGAUUGACUUGCCCAAUGAUCGGCGAGACAUUGAGAUUAAAUGGAUCUUCAAGAGGAAGACGGACGCUGAUAGUGUUACUAUCUACAAAGCUAGAAUUGUCCCAAAAGUUUUUCGACAAGUUCAAGGUGUUGACUACGAUGAGAGUUUUUCACUCGUAUCUAUGCUUAAGUCUGUCUGAAUCAUGUUAGCAAUUGCCACAUUUUAUGAAAUCUGGCAAAUGGAUGUCAAAACUGCAUUCCUUAAUGGAUUUUUUAAAGAAGAGUUGUACAUGAUGCAACCAGAAGGUUUUGUCCAUCCGAAAGGUGCUAACAAAAUGUGCAAGCUCCAGCGAUCCAUCAAUGGACUGGUGCAAGCAUCUCGGAGUUGGAAUAUACGCUUUGAUAAGUUGAUCAAAGCAUAUAGUUUUAAUACAGACUUGCAGUGAAGCAUGUAUUUACAAGAAAGUGAGUGGGAGCACUACAACAUUUCUGAUAAGUAUAUGUGAAUGACAUAUUGUUGAUCGGAAAUAAUGUAGAAUUUUUCUGGAAAGCAUAAAGGAGUGUUUGAAAGGAGUUUUUCAAAGAAAGACCUUGGUGAAGCUGCUUACAUAUUGAGCAUCAAGAUCUAUAGAGAUAGAUCAAGACGCUUGAUAAGAUUUUUCAAUGAGUACAUACCUUGACAAGAUUUUGAAGUAGUUCAAAAUGGAACAGUCAAAGAAAGAGUUCUUGCCUGUGUUGCAAGGUGUGAAGUUUAAUAAGACUGAAAACCCGACCAUGGCAGAAAAUAGAAAAGAAUGAACAGUCAUUCCCUAUGCCUCAGUCAUAGGUUCUAUAAAGUAUGCUAUGUUGUGUACUAGACCUAUUGUAUACCUUGCUCUGAGUUUGUCAAAGGAAUACAAUUUUGAUCUAAAAGUAGAUCACUAGAACAGCGGUCAAAAAAUAUCCUUAGUGGGGACUAAGGAGAUGUUUCUUGAUUAUGGAGGUGAUAAAAGAGCCAGUCGUAAAAAGUUACAACGAUGCAAGCUUUUACACCAAUCCAGAUGACUCUAAGUCUCAAUCUGGAUACAUAUUGAAAGUGGGAGCAAUUAGCUAGAGUAGCUCCGUGCAGAGCAUUGUGGACAUAAAAUAUUUGCAAAAUACAUACGGCUCUGAAUGUGACAGACCCGUUGACUAAACUUCUCUCAUGAGCAAAACAUGAUCAUACCUUAGUACUCUUUGGGUGUUAAUCACAUAGCCAUGUGAACUAGAUUAUUGACUCUAGUAAACCCUUUGGGCAUUGAUCACAUGACGAUGUGAACUAUGGGUAUUAAUUACAUACAGAUGUGAAUAUUGGUGUUAAAUCACAUGGUGAUGUGAACUAGAUUAUUGACUCUAGUGCAAGUGGGAGACUGAAGGAAAUAUGCCCUAGAGGCAAUAAUAAAGUUAUUAUUUAUUUCCUUAUUUCAUGACAAAUGUUUAUUAUUCAUGCUAGAAUUGUAUUAACCGGAAACAUAAUACAUGUGUGAAUACAUAGACAAACAUAGUGUCACUAGUAUGCCUCUACUUGACUAGCUCGUGAAUCAAAGAUGGUUAAGUUUCCUAGCCAUGGACAAAAGAGUUGUCAUUUGAUUAACGGGAUCACAUCAUUAGGAGAAUGAUGUGAUUGACUUGACCCAUUUCAUUAGCUUAGCACACGGUCGUUUAGUAUGUUGCUAUUGCUUUCUUCAUGACUUAUACAUGUUCCUGUGACUAUGAGAUUAUGCAACUCCCGUUUACCAGAGGAACACUUUAUGUGCUACCAAACGUCACAACAUAACUGGGUAUUAUAAAGGUUCUCUAAAGGUGUCUCUGAAGGUACAUGUUGGGUUGGCGUAUUUCGAUAUUAGGUUUUGUCACUCCGAUUGUCGGAGAGGUAUCUCUAGGCCCUCUCGGUAAUACACAUCACUUAAACCUUGCAAGCAUUACAAUUAAUGAGUUAGUUGUGGGAUGAUCUAUUACGGAACGAGUAAAGAGACUUGCCGGUAACAAGAUUGAACUAGGUAUUGGAUACCGACGAUCGAAUCUCGGGCAAGUAACAUGCCGAUGACAAAGGGAACAACGUAUGUUGUUAUGUGGUUUGACCGAUAAAGAUCUUCGUAGAAUAUGUAGGAGCCAAUAUGAACAUCCAGGUUCCACUAUUGGUUAUUGACCAGAAACAGUUCUAGGUCAUGUCUACAUAGUUCUCGAACCCGUAGGGUCCGCACGCUUAAGGUUUCGAUGACAGUUAUAUUAUGAGUUUAUGAGUUUUGAUGUACCGAAGGAGUUCGGAUUCCCGGAUGAGAUCGGGAACAUGACGAGGAGUCUCGAAAUGGUCGAGACGUAAAGAUCAAUAUAUUGGACGACUACAUUCGGAGUUCGGAAAGGUUCCGAGUGAUUCGGGUAUUUUUCGGAGUACUAGAGAGUUACGGGAAUUCGCCGGGAGAAGUAUUGGGCCUUAUUGGGCCAUACGGGAAAGAGAGAGGGGCUUCCUAGGGCAAGCUGCGCCCCCCCCCCCCAAGGCCUAGUCCGAAUUGGACUAGGCGGAGGGGCCGCACCCCCUCCUUCCUUCCCUUCCCUCUUCCCCUUCCUUGUCUCCUACUCCUACUACUUGGAAGGACUCCUAGUUGGACUAGGAAAGGGGGAAUCCUACUCCCGGUGGGAGUAGGACUCCCCUAGGGCACGCCAUAGAGAGGGCCGGCCCUCCCCUCCUCCACUCCUUUAUAUACGGGGGCAGGGGGCACCCCAUAGACACACAAGUUGAUCUACCGAUCGUUCCUUAGCCGUGCGCGGUGCCCUCCUCCACCAUAUUCCACCUCGGUCAUAUCGUCGCAGAGUUUAGGCGAAGCCCUGCGCCGGUAGAACAUCAUCAUCGUCACCACGCCGUCGUGCUGACGGAACUUAUCCCCGAUGCUUUGCUGGAUUGGAUCCCGGGGAACGUCAUCGAGCUGAAUGUGUGCUGAACACGGAGGUGUCGUACGUUCGGUGCUUGGAUCGGUCGGAUCGUGAAGACCACUAGUGCAAAACCGGGCAAUAGCACCGGUUCGUAAGGCCCUUUAGUGCCGGUUCCAUAACCGGCAAAAAAGUGUGGGCACUAAAGCCCCCCCCCCUUUAGUACCGGUUCAGCACGAACCGGUGCUAAAGAGAAACCACGUGGCACGAGCCAGCUCCAGGGGCCUGGAGCCCUUUAGUACCGGUUGGUAAGACCAACCGGUACUAUAAGGUUUGGGGUUUUUUUAGUUUUAUGAUUUCUUUUUCAUUUAAUUUUGUGUUUCCAUUUUAAUUCUUUUUCGUUUGCUGGUAUUUUACGAUACUACACAUUGUACACGUUAUGCAUAUAUAUAUAUAUAUAUAUAUAUAUAUAUAUAUAUAUAUAUAGAAUUUCUAGUAGAACCAAUCAUGCAUAUAUAUAUCAUCAAUGUCUCACAAACCAUCAUAUUAAUUAAUUCACACAUACACACAUGUAUAGCUAUAUAAAAUUUCUCCUACAUAUGCAUGUUGCCUUCGGAGCCAGUGGCAUUAGCCUAAUUGGUGCCUUCGGAGCACGAUAAAAAUUGGAAGUGGUUUUCAGAGGGCGGUAGCGGGUAAUAGUAUUCUCCCUUCGGAUUUAUGACCUGGUCGAGCAAAAAUCCCGCUAUUUCCUCUUGAAGUGCUUCUACGCGCUCCGUUUCUAGGAGCUUCACCCGCACCUCUCUGAACUGUUAAGAAGGAGAUCAAUAUGCAUGUGUAUUAGUUGUGUGACUAGAUAUCGAUAAUGGUGUAAAAAUUGUGGAUAGUGUUUUGACAAGCGUACUCAUUCCUGUCUUUGAGAUCUGCUCCUUUCGGACGCCAUCAUGCGAAUGUUCUCGCAAACGCAGAAUGCACACAGAUCAGUCCCCUGCGCCUGCUUCAGGGCCUUUACGAGAAUGGAAUUUGAUCAGAUAAUAAUUAAUCAAGCAUGAUAAUUAAAGAGAUGGCAGCUAGCUAGCUAGCUAGUACUACUUAAUUACUUACCUUGGGUCUUCCCCAUUUAAGCUUUUCUUUCCAUUCGCCUUCCAUGACGCUGAUGAACCUUGCCCAAGCCCUGCCCGCCGACAAAGAAAAUGAAUAAAGGGGUUAUUAAAUAGUUCAUAUCAUGAAAUGACGAACUAAAUAGGCCGAGAUAUAUAGUUAAUAAUGAUUGAAAUUACCUGUUGACUAUCCCCAAACAAGAUGUUAUAGUCAGUUUUUUCUUUGAGUAGUGAGUCCAGUAUUUCAACUGUUCCGGCGUCAACUUUAAUGAUACACAAGACCCAGUGAAAUCUGCAUGCACACACGUUUGCAUGUCUUAAUUAAGCGGGCAUAUGUAAGCAAAAACAUGUAGCUAGCUAGUAGGCAAAAACAGAGAAUUUGUAGUACAAGACAGUGUGACUCACUGGAAGUUGUAAGGAAGUAGUAUAUCUUGAUUGUAUUUGAGGCGCUUCAAGAACUCUAGCAUGCUGUCCUCUACGGCCUUUUGAUGACGUUCAUCUAUUUUCCAUGUGUAUUCAUUAACGGUGUUUGGGUCAAUGAACCCAAUGCCAUAGCGUCCACCUUUUCUCAUUUCAUACAUCUUCAUCCUGCAUAUAAUACCACAGAAAAGAAUAUAGUGAGGAUAAUUACAGGUAAUGAUUGAUUAAAAGGAUCACUACAGCUAGCUUGAGACUUAAAUUACAGAAAGAAAUCACUUACAGACAAUAGCAACUGACGAUAGAUUUGUCGAGUGUGUCUUGAUUGUAUAACUGAAACAAUUCAGAAUACUCAACGGACACAGCUUUCUCAUGGUAGUAAUGCCCCUCCUUGACAUUCACCAUGAGGGACAAUCGAUCGGAAAUCUUGGUAAUGUUCAUGUACCAUUGAUGCAAUUCAUACAUUCUCGUUGGGAGGUUCUUGACCUUGUCUGGCUCGACCAAAGGUUGGCCCCGAACAUAUUUCCAUUUUAUUUCAUCCUCUCUAAGCACAGGCAUGGGCUCGAUCUCGAGGAGUUGUCCAACAGUGAUUUUGAGAACUUCAGCCUGCAUUAUAUGGUCCUCCGUUAUUACCACAUUACCCACCUCAGGAAUGUAAACUGUUUGCCCACAAUAAUAUUGGGUACGCGUACUGUCACCUGUUGUUGGCACAACAAGCGAGGGGAUCGAUUGCGCCGCCUGUUAUCCCAGCUGGGGAAUGGUUUUACCGCAUUUUUUGACAGCUGCUUCUUGUUUGCUCGAUCCCGAGCUCGCCUCCUUACGUAGACGUGCUCGAUUUAACUUCCUGAUGUGGCGCUCAUAGUCUGUGUCAACAGGCUUGGGAGCUGGUGGUUGAGCCAUACGAAUGAAGUGGUCAAUCGUUUCCUCAGGCACUUUCUCCCUUGGCGGCGUUGGCGGUUUCGGUGCAAAAUGGGCUUCCACCUCGGACUUCGAUAUGGCUGCGAUUUCCUCCUCGGACCUGUCAUAAGCCCUCUGCGAAAGAGGCGUGAGGCUUGGACCGUAUCUAUAUCGCUUGCCUCCGCCUGUACUUCUUGUACUACCUCGACUCGUACCGCUACGCACCAUAGCUGCGGGGUGUCUCUUCUGCGAUUGCUGAGGCGGCGGAGACGGCUGACGGGGCUGAGUUGGACGAGGAGGAGUGGCCGCCUGAAGUUGUGCCGGACUUGGAGGAGGAGUGGCCUGAGGUUGUGCCGGACUUGGAGGAGGAGUGGACGUCUGACGCUGUGGCGGACUUGGAGGAGGAGGAGUGGCCUGACACUUUGCCGGACUUGGAGGAGGAGUGGCCUGACACUUUGCCGGACUUGGUGGACUUGUAGGAGCGGGAGACUGCUGACUCGGUGGCGGACUUCGACGAGGAGUCGGCUGACGCGGUGUCGGUGGCCUUCAAAAGAUGAUGCAAUCCUUUGUUCCAUAGGAUGAUAUGAUGGUUGGCGUCUCCGAGAAAGCGCUCGUCGUCACCUCCAGGAAUGUCAAGCUCUAGCUCCGAAUAUGGGUCCACCACCUCAUCAACCAAGACACGAGCAUAGCCCGCUGGAAUCAGGUUGCAAUGGAAGGUUGCCUCGGGGGGAUUUGUAAAAGCAACAGCGUCCGCCACCUUCAUGGAUAUGUUCUUCAUUUUGACGUGUAGCUCGCAGCUAGUGUUCUCCGUGAUGUCAUCCACGGGGUAUCUACCCAGCAUUGCGUCGUCCGGGGCGGAACCGCUGCUUCUCGGCAUGGAUGGGGCGGUGCUAUCCAAUGCUGGAUCAUUCGCUAGCUGCUGCAGCUGCUGAGACCCCCCUUUGCUGGGUAAGUGAGUCGAUCUGCUCCUGCUGCCGCUAGAAUUUGACUACCAAUUCCGCUUGACUUUCUUCUAGGCCUUGAAGGUGUUCAUAGUCCCGCUUCCUCUGCUCCUCCUCCAUCUUCCUCUUCUUCUCCUCCGCAAUCUUCUUUCUCGCACGGGUUCUGUAGUCGUUGUUCCAGUCUGAAAACCCCUCAUACCACGGAAUAUCGCCCUUGCCUCGUGUUCUUCCCGGGUGUUCAGGAUUUCCCAGGGCACGCGUAAGCUCGUCAUUCUCUCUGUUGGGCUGGAACACCCCCGAUCGUGCCUCUUCUAUUGCAACAAGUAUCGCAUCGUCGGCUUCCUUUCAGACUUGCCCUCGUUGAAACAUUGCCUGUCUUCGGGUCCAACUCCCCCCCAUGCGCAUAGAACCAAGUCCUGACCCUGGGGGGCCAGCUCUUAGUAACCGGAGUGGCACCUGCAUCCUCCAUCUCUUUCUCAGACUUAUCCCACUUAGGCAUUGCCACCGCAUAGCCACCUGGCCCCAACUUAUGGAACUUAUCCUUUUUCGGCAUUCUUCUUGUUUAUUCUCGACCGUUCCUUAGCUAAUUCCGAAUCCUUGAAUUUCACGAAAUCGUCCCAAUGAGCACGUUGGUUCUCUAGUGUUCCCUCGAAUACUGGAGUCUUCCUUCCUCCCUUGACGUACUUGUCCCAUUCACGAUUCUUGUGGUUCUUGAAUGCAACCGCCAUCUUCCUAAGAGCAGCGUCCUUGACUUUCUGCACAUCUGCUUCUGUGAAAUGAUCUGGUAGGGUGAAAUGUUCCAUGAGAGUAUCCCAAAGCAGAUCUUUUUGAUUCUUGUCGACAAAAGUAACAUCUGGACAUGGAGCAGCGUUCUCUUUGCCUUUUUGUCUUUUGUCUUUUGCUGGCUCUCUCCAUUCUUGAAGGGAGAUCGGGAGUUGGUCCUUCACAAGAACUUCGCACUAACGAACGAACUUGUCCGCAAUCUUCUUAGGCGCUAAUGGUUCGCCAUUAGGUCUGACUGCCUCGAUAUUGUACUUUACGCCCUCCUUCAACUUUUUGUUCGGGCCUCGUUUCGUCCUUUUGCCUGAAGAUUUGCUCGAUCCGGAUGGCUGAAAGAACAAAGAUCGAUUCGUUAAUAUAUCUUCAAGUCAUUUAAAACAUGUGAUGAUCACCAGAUACCUGCUUAUAUAAAUAUAUAUACCUCGCCGGUCUUUGUUGUUUCAGGAUCAACAUGUUCUUCGUCAUCGUCAUAAUCGUAGUUCAUGACUUCAUCAAUUCGGUCGUCGCGAUCGAAUAUCAUAUCACCCUCUCCGGUGUUGUUUAGAAACUCGGAGCCGUCAUAAUCUUCUUCAUUCUGAUCAUCAUCUGGCCCGCGUAUCAUAUCGAACAUGGUCUAUUCUCCCUCUCUGUCGGUAUUGUCUGCCAUAGCUUUUAUUUAACUAAUUCAAAAGAAAUACAAAACAAUUUAGUAUUCAAAUUACAUCGUCUCGAAUAAUAGAUAUAAUCUCGAAUACUUCGUCUAGAAUAAUAGAUAUAAUCUCGAAUACAUCGUCUCGAAUAAUAUAUAAUAUUGAAUAGUACAUCACUGGCUAGCUAAUUAAAGAUCGAAUACUACAGAAGAAUCUAGGACACUUGUGGUUCCUGCGGCGCGGGCGGUGGACACCCAAAGAGAAGGAACCCUCACAGGAUCAUAGCUGAAGUGAGAUCCCCGAUGAUACUGCCAGGUAUUGGAGAACGUGCCGCCCUCUAACGCAACCAUGUAGCGAUGGACGUGCUCGUCCUCCUCCCUGACACGGCGACGUACCACCUCCGGCGGGGCCGGGUCCCUCCGCACCGAAACUGGCCCACGCGAACGCCACCAAAUGAGAUCAGGGUCGACGACGGGACCCGGGGCCGGGUUCCUCAUCAAGCGGCGCGCCCCUCCAGGCAGCACCUCCCAGUGCCAGCCCGGCGGAGCCCAGUCCCGGACAUGGGUCGGCUGGACGUCGUCGCGGACGGGUCAACGGCGAGGAUGCGGGUCGGGCAUCGUCGAGAACAAAUACUAGCUAUAUGCCCGCAAAAAGUAAUAUUUUUUUAAUGAUUGGAUUUUGAUAACUAAAAUUUCUAACAUUUCUACUAUUUCAAAAAUAUAUAUACUAUUUCAUACUAAUUAAGCAUCUAACACUAAAAACAGAAAACACAACUUCUAUACAUCCAUUAAAAAACUGAAANNNNNNNNNNNNNNNNNNNNNNNNNNNNNNNNNNNNNNNNNNNNNNNNNNNNNNNNNNNNNNNNNNNNNNNNNNNNNNNNNNNNNNNNNNNNNNNNNNNNNNNNNNNNNNNNNNNNNNNNNNNNNNNNNNNNNNNNNNNNNNNNNNNNNNNNNNNNNNNNNNNNNNNNNNNNNNNNNNNNNNNNNNNNNNNNNNNNNNNNNNNNNNNNNNNNNNNNNNNNNNNNNNNNNNNNNNNNNNNNNNNNNNNNNNNNNNNNNNNNNNNNNNNNNNNNNNNNNNNNNNNNNNNNNNNNNNNNNNNNNNNNNNNNNNNNNNNNNNNNNNNNNNNNNNNNNNNNNNNNNNNNNNNNNNNNNNNNNNNNNNNNNNNNNNNNNNNNNNNNNNNNNNNNNNNNNNNNNNNNNNNNNNNNNNNNNNNNNNNNNNNNNNNNNNNNNNNNNNNNNNNNNNNNNNNNNNNNNNNNNNNNNNNNNNNNNNNNNNNNNNNNNNNNNNNNNNNNNNNNNNNNNNNNNNNNNNNNNNNNNNNNNNNNNNNNNNNNNNNNNNNNNNNNNNNNNNNNNNNNNNNNNNNNNNNNNNNNNNNNNNNNNNNNNNNNNNNNNNNNNNNNNNNNNNNNNNNNNNNNNNNNNNNNNNNNNNNNNNNNNNNNNNNNNNNNNNNNNNNNNNNNNNNNNNNNNNNNNNNNNNNNNNNNNNNNNNNNNNNNNNNNNNNNNNNNNNNNNNNNNNNNNNNNNNNNNNNNNNNNNNNNNNNNNNNNNNNNNNNNNNNNNNNNNNNNNNNNNNNNNNNNNNNNNNNNNNNNNNNNNNNNNNNNNNNNNNNNNNNNNNNNNNNNNNNNNNNNNNNNNNNNNNNNNNNNNNNNNNNNNNNNNNNNNNNNNNNNNNNNNNNNNNNNNNNNNNNNNNNNNNNNNNNNNNNNNNNNNNNNNNNNNNNNNNNNNNNNNNNNNNNNNNNNNNNNNNNNNNNNNNNNNNNNNNNNNNNNNNNNNNNNNNNNNNNNNNNNNNNNNNNNNNNNNNNNNNNNNNNNNNNNNNNNNNNNNNNNNNNNNNNNNNNNNNNNNNNNNNNNNNNNNNNNNNNNNNNNNNNNNNNNNNNNNNNNNNNNNNNNNNNNNGAGGGGCGGGGACGGCUGGGGUCGGCGACGAGGGGCGGGGGCGGCGACGUCGACGGGGACGGUGUCGAUCGGGGCAGGGCGGCGCGGCGGAGAGGGAGAGGAAACAGAGGGAAACUGAAAUUUUUUAAGUGUUGUAUAUAUAGGAUGGACCUUUAGUACAGGUUGGAGCCACCAACCGGUACUAAAGGUCUGUUUUGGCCAGGCCAAGCGGCGGGAAGCGACCCCCUUUAGUAUCGGGUCGUGGCACAAACCGGUACUAAAGGGGGUGCGCUGGCGCAGGUGCGGUGCGGCAAGUUUAGUCCCACCUCGCUAGCCGAGGGGCGACCGCACUGGUUUAUAAACCCCCGUGCGGUCGCUCUCUCGAGCUCCUCUCCUAAGCAGGCUUACUGGGCCUACGUGUUCUUUGCAGCCCUGUGAGCCCACUAGGCAUUUGCGGGCCUGCAUCCUGGCCCAACGACAGGUUGGGUUUCUAGUCGUAUGCAGGCCGCUCUGGCCUAGUAGGCGGGCUUUAUUUUAUUUUAUUUUUUGCUUUAUUUAUUUUUGUGUUGUUUUUUUUGUGUAUUUAGAGUUUCUUUGUGAACAUUUUUGUUUUAGGUACAAAAAAUUACAAACUUUCUGUUAGGGCUUUUUUUAUUAUUUUUUUUUGCUUUAUUUAUUUUUGUGUUGUUUUUNNNNNNNNNNNNNNNNNNNNNNNNNNNNNNNNNNNNNNNNNNNNNNNNNNNNNNNNNNNNNNNNNNNNNNNNNNNNNNNNNNNNNNUACAAACUUUCUGUUAGGGCUUUUUUUUGCUUUAUUUAUUUUUGAGUUGUUUUUUUGUGUAUUUAGAGUUUCUUUGUGAACAUUUUUGUUUUAGGUACAAAAAAUUACAAACUUUCUGUUAGGGCUUUUUUAUUAUUAUUUUUUUGCUUUAUUUAUUUUUGUGUUGUUGUUUUUGGUGUAUUUAGAGUUUCUUUGUGAACAUUUUUGUUUUAGGUACAAAAAAUUUGAAUAGUUUAAAUUUUGAAUUAUUUGAAAUUAGUGUGAAUCACUAGUUUGUGAAUAACUUCACUUUAAAAAUCAGUAAAGGCAUGAAAGAAUUUGUUUGCACAUAAAAUUUCUUCGCGUUUCAAAUGCCAAAACACAUAACUACCCUAACUAUAACAGAGAUUCCCCUCUCGGUGCGAAACACAGAAGAAAGUGAUGAUAGUGAAGCCGAUCACAUCCCAGAUCUUUGGGUGUGAAACUUUUUCUUCACGUGUGUCCUUUUGCGCCGUAACCAUGGAAAAUCUUCAUCAUUAAACAGGAUGCUCGGGUCAAUAUUCACUGUGAAUGGAGCAAUUUCAUCAAACUUUUCAUAAUCUUCUGACUUGGCUGUCUUGUCAUCCACUCCCACGAUGUUUCUCUUCCCAGAAAGAACUAUGUGCCGCUUUGGCUCAUCGUACGAUGCAUUCGCUUCCUUAUCUUUUCUUUUUCUUGGCUUGGUAGACAUGUCCUUCACAUAGAAAACCUGUGCCACAUCAUUGGCUAGGACGAAUGGUUCGUCUGCAUACGCAAGAUUGUUGAGAUCCACUGUUGUCAUUCCGUACUGCGGGUCUUCCGUUACCCCGCCUCGUGUCAUAUUGACCCAUUUGCACCGAAACAAAGGGACCUUUAAACCACAUCGAUAGUCAAGUUCCCAUAUGUCCUGUAUAUAACCAUAAUAUGUUUCCUUUCCCGUCUUGGUUUCUGCAUCAAAGCGGAAACCACUGUUUUGGUUGGUGCUCUUCUUAUCUUGGGCGAUCGUGUAAAAUGUAUUACCAUUUAUCUCGUACCCUUUGAAAGUCAUUAUAUUCGAAGAUGGUAACUAGGACAGCAAGUACAGGUCAUCUUCAAUAGAGGUGUCAUGCAUGGUACGUGUCUACAACCAGCUAGCGAAACUCCUAGUUUGUUCACGUGUAAUCCAGUCAUCAGACCGCUCCGGGUGUUUGGAGCGUAGCAAAUUCUUGUGUUCAUCCAUAUACGGAGCCACCAAGGCGGAAUUCUGUAGAACUGUGUAGUGUGCUUCAGUGAGAGAAUGUCCGUCCAUACAUAUUAUUUGUUCCCCUCCUAGCGUGCCUUUUCCAUCCAGUCUGCCCUUAUGCCGCGAUUCAGGAACACCAAUCGGCUUAAGGUCAGGAAUAAAGUCAAUACAAAACUCAAUGACCUCCUCAUUUUGAUUGCCCUUGGAGAUGCUUCCUUCUGGCCUAGCACGGUUAUGAACAUAUUUCUUUAAGACUCCCAUGAACCUCUCAAAGGGGAACAUAUUGUGUAGAAAUACAGGACCCAAAACGUUAAUCUCUUCGCAUAGGUGAACUAGGACGUGCGUCAUGAUGUUGAAGAAGGAUGGUGGGAACACCAACUCGAAACUGACAAGACAUUGCACCAAAUCAUUUUGUAACCUUGGUAUGAUUUCUGGAUCGAUUACCUUCUGAGAGAUUGCAUUGAGAAAUGCAUAUAGCUUCACAAUGGCUAAUCGAACGUUUUCCGGUAGAAGCCCCCUCAAUGCAACCGGAAGCAGUUGCGUCAUAAUCACGUGGCAGUCAUGAGACUUUAGGUUCUGGAAACUUUUUCUCUGCCAUGUUUAUUAUUCCCUUUAUAUUCGACGAGAAGCCAGACGGUACCUUAAUACUGAGCAGGCAUUCAAAGAAGAUUUCCUUCUCUUCUUUGGUAAGAGCGUAGCUUGCAUGACCCUGAUGUAUGCCGUCUUCUCCGUGCAUACGUUGCUGGUCCUCCCGUGCCUCAGGUGUAUCUUUUGUCUUCCCAUACACGCCCAAGAAGCCAAGCAGGGUCACGCAAAGAUUCUUCGUCACGUGCAUCACGUCGAUUGCGGAGCGGACCUCUAGGUCUUUCCAAUAUGGCAGGUCCCAAAAUAUAGAUUUAUUCUUCCACAUGGGUGCGCGUCCGUCAGCGUCCUUUGGAACAGGUUGUCCGCCAGGACCCUUUCCAAAUAUCACCUUCAAAUCCUUGACCAUAUCAUGUACAUCAGCACCAGUACGGUGGCGAGGCUUCGUCCGGUGAUCCGCCUCACCUUUGAAAUGCUUGCCUUUCUUUCUUACGGGAUGCCUGCUCGGAAGAAAUCGACGAUGUCCCAGGUACACAUUCUUCUUACAACUAUUCAAAUAUAUACUGUCGGUAUCAUCCAAACAGUGCGUGCAUCCGUGGUAUCCCUUGUUUGUCUGUCCUGAAAGGUUACUGAGAGCAGGCCAAUCAUUGAUGGUCACUAACAGCAAUGCCUUUAGGUCAAAUUCUUCCUGUUUGUGCUCAUCCCAUGCACGUACACCUGUUCCAUUCCAGAGUUGUAAGAGUUCUUCAACUAAUGGCCUUAGGUACACAUCAAUGUCGUUGCCAGGUUGUUUAGGGCCUUGGAUGAGCACUGGCAUCAUAAUGAACUUCCGCUUCAUGCACAACCAUGGAGGAAGGUUAUACAAACAUAGAGUCACAGGCCAGGUGCUAUGGUUGCUGCUCUGCUCCCCAAAAGGAUUAAUGCCAUCUGCGCUUAGACCAAACCAUACGCUCCUUGCGUCAUCUGCAAACUCCUUCCCGUACUUUCUUUCGAUUUUUCUCCACUGCGACCCGUCAGCGGGUACUCUCAACUUUCCGUCUUUCUUACGGUCUUCUCUGUGCCAUCACAUCGCCUUGGCAUGCUCUUUGUUUUGGAACAAACGUUUCAACCGUGGUAUUAUAGGAGAAUACCACAUCACCUUGGCAGGAAUCUUCUUCCUGGGGCGCUCGCCCUCGACAUCACCAUGCUCAUCGCGGUUGAUCUUAUAGCGCAAUGCACCACAUACCGGGCAAGCGUUCAAAUCCUCGUACUCACCGCGGUAGAGGAUGCAAUCAUUAGGGCAUGCAUGUAUCUUCUGCACCUCUAACCCUAGAGGGCAGACAGCCUUCUUUGCUUCGUACGUACUCUCGGGCAAUUUGUUGUCCUUUGGAAGCAUAUCCUUUAUCAUUACCAGCAACUUUCCAAAUCCCUUGUCAGAUACACCAUUCUCUGCCUUCCAUUGUAGCAAUUCCAGUGUGGUGCCCAGCUUUUUCUUGUCACCUAUGCAAUUCGGGUACAACAAUUUUUUGUGAUCCUCUAACAUGCGCUGCAACUUCUUCUUCUCCAAAUCACUUGCGCAGUUUCUCUUUGCAUCGGCAAUGGCCCGACCUAGAUCAUCAUUGGGCUCAUAUGAUGCCUCUUCUUCAGCUUCUUCCCGCAUUGCCGGCUCAGCUUCUUCCCACAUUACCGGCUCAGCUUCUUCCCUCAUUGUUGUAUCAUUGUAUUCAGGGAACCCAUGGCCAGGAUAGUUGUCGUCGUCCUCUUCUUCUUCAUUGUCUUCCAUCAUAACCCCUCUUUCUCCGUGCUUGGUCCAAACAUUAUAGUGGGGCAUGAAACCGGACUCAAACAGGUGGACGUGAAUGAUUCUUGACGUAGAGUAAUUGCGAUCAUUCUUACAGCCAGCACAUGGACAAGGCAUAAAACCAUCCGCCCGCUUGUUUGCCUUAUUCGCAAGCAGAAAAGUAUGCACGCUCUCAACGAACUGGGGAGAGCAUCAGUCAUCGUACAUCCAUUGCCGGCUCAUCUUCAUUACACAACACCGAAUAGACCAAAUUAAUACAAGUUCAUACAUAAAGUUCAUACAACACUUAAAUGCAACAAACAAAUAACUCUCUAGCUAAAGCAUUUAAAUGCAACAACAAAUGCGAUCAAGAUCGCAACUGAGGUAACAAUUGAUCCAACAGCAUAAUGAUACCAAGCCUCACUAUCAAUGGCAUAUUUUCUAAUCUUUCUAAUCUUCAAGCGCAUUUUCUCCAUCUUGAUCUUGUGAUCAUCGACGACAUCGGCAACAUGCAACUCCAAUUCCAUCUUCUCCCCCUCAAUUCAUUUCAAUUUUUCUUUCAAGUACUCGUUUUCUCUUUCAACUAAAUUUAACCUCUCGACAAUAGGGUCGGUUGGAAUUUCCGGUUCACAUACCUCCUAGAUAAAAAUAUCUAUGUCAACUUGAUGGGCAUAAUUUGUCAUAAACACGAAAUGCAACAAAUAGUUUUAAAAGAGAAUAUACCACAUCCGAAUCAUAACAAGGACGAGGGCCGACGGGGACGGAUAUCAAAACCAUGGCACUAUGUAUAACAAACAACGUACGGGUAAGAUAAUUAUUAUACGAGUAACUAUGUAUCCAAAUCACACAAACAUCAAUUUUUUAUAUAAAAUUUCAUGAACAAGAGGCUCACCACAAGGUGGUGCCGGCGACGGGACGGUGCGGGCGAUCGACGGUGGUUACGACGGAGAUUUAGAAGGCACUAAGUAAACCACACCUACAUAUGCAAACUAAGUGUUAUUUUAACCUCAAAUUGUAUAUAAAUCAAAUACUAGCACAUAUAUAUAUUUCCUCUCAAAUUACUAAACUCACAAAUUAAUAACUAUAUAAAGCAUUGCAAGAGCUAAUCUAGCAAUGAGAGAUGAAAGGACAAAGUUGCUAACCUUUGUGAUCAUUUGAAUGGAUGGGGGCCUUCAAAUCUUGACAAAUUUUGGGCAAAAUGUGUGAUGAGCUCGAGAGGAAGAGGGGAAGAACAGAGAGGAGAGGGGAAAGGGGAAGAACAGAGCGAGCUCGGGUGGACGAAGGGUUUAUGUAGGACGACCUUUAGUACCGGUUCGUGCCAAGAACCGGUACUAAAGGUGCUGGAGGGGGCCCAGACUGACAACAUCCUGCCACCACUCUCAUUAGUACAGGUUCGUGGCACGAACCGGUGCUAAAGGUUAGCCACGAACCGGUACUAAUAAGAGCGGCCCGGCUAGCCGUUGGAACCGGCACUAAUGUAUACAUUUGUGCCGGCUCAAAUACAAACCGGCACUAAUGUGCUUCACGUUUGACCCUUUUUCUACUAGUGGACGUACGACUACAUCAACCACGUUUUCAUAACGCUUCCGCUUACGGUCUACGAGGGUACGUGGACAACACUCUCCCCUCUCGUUGCUAUGCCAUCACCAUGAUCUUGCGUGUGCGUAGGUAAAUUUUUGAAAUUACUACGUUCCCCAACAGAGAGAAGAGAGCAAACGGAUCCGGCGGCUGGGGGAGGAGGGGUGGAUUUGGUGUAAUUGAGGGUGGGUCAGGCUGUCAGGUCCGACGUGGCGGGCGUGCCCGGGCGCGCUCAAACGCCCUCAUAUCUGGCCCAUAUUUGGGCUGGAUAUAAGGGGUGCCGGUCAGCCCGGGCGUUUGAAGGCCGUUUGAGAGGGGUCAGAAAAUCGUAACCGACAGUGGCCUGGUGGCCCCGCCCAAGCGACGGGGCGUAGAUGCUCUAAUCCAUUGAUGGUUUAACUUUUUUUUGAGCCGUAAACCAACACUUUAUUCAAGACGGGGUUCGGUUUACAGGAAUUAUAAACGGGUCAUGGGGAAAGCCCAGCCACACAUGGCGACCCAUUGCUAACGAUGAAGAAAACUUGGCCAAACUAUGGGCUUCAAAAUUCAAAACACGACUUUUAAAAGUAAAAACACAGCUAUCAAAAUCCCUAGCUGAAGCUUCAAUCUCCUUGAUGAUCACGCUAUAUAGGCCAGCCGACCCCUUAUGAAUCUCUUCCACCACUGUUUUGCAGUCGCAUGCAAUAACGAUUCUUCUUAGAGAGAGAUCUUGCGCCAGUGCCAUAGCUUCUGUGCAUGCAAGCGCUUCUAGAGUCGCCGGGUCAUGAAUGUCACUAAAUACCAUCGCGGAAGAGCCCAGGUAUGUGCCAUCCUGAUCCCGGCAUAAAGCUGCCGAUGAACCUCCAUUCCCUACCCUCGCCAGACCCCCAUCCACGUGUAUUUUUGCCAUGCCCGGGCCUGGUGCUCUCCAUUCAUAUCUAGCUUCUGUUCUCCUUGGCACUACGUUCUAUUGGCCAGGUUGUUGCAUGUUUACUUCAUUGAUUACUUCAAGUUCCGCAAUAAAAUUGUUAAUGAAGGAGUUAGUGGCAUGAGGGCUCUGAAGAAUUCCUUCAUGUAUUGCUUUGCGGCGUGCCGACCAAAUCACCAACAAAGUCACCACGAUUCUGAUCAAGAGUGCAUGCGGCAUAAGUUUGAUCAGUGAAAAGAUCCAUCUCUUGGCGUCCCCCUCUGAUGUAGCAUGUAGUAUAGAUGAAAUAUCAUCUUCUGUGAGAGCCCACACGCAUCGGGCCAUAGUACACUCCAGAAGGGAAUGGCGCCAUGAAUCAUGCGCUCCACAUAUCUGGCAUCGAUCCACGGUCGCCAUCUUCCUGUGUAGCCUCACAUCUUCUGUUGGAAUUGAGUGCUUUGCUAGUCUCCAAAGGAAAUUCCUAAUUUUCCCUGGUACUUUCACUGACCACAAUGAUUUCCAAGAUCUCGCUUUUGCUUCAUAGUUUGAGUUUCCUGCCCUACCUUCCAGCCAAUCUUCUCUUCUUCUCUUAGUAUCAGCUAGCAUGCAAUAAGCAGACCGUACCGAAAAAACGCCACUCUUCUCAUGAUUCCAGGCCCAAAAAUCUGCCAUUCUCCUUGUGCUCAGGGGGAUCCCUACGAUUAUGUUUGAAUCAGCAGCAAUAAAAAUCUGUUCUACGAGUUCCUUUCUCCAAGAAGCAUUAGUUUCAUCUAUCAGAUCACUUACAAGCUGCGGUGGGUUAGCAGAAAGGCAAGCUAUCGGCCUCAUAGUCCCGUUUCUAGGGAUCCAAUUAUCUUGCCAUAUCCGCGUAGUGAUUCCAUCGCCAACUCUCCUUAUUAGACCCUGGAGUAACACGUCUCGGCCUUCCAAAACUGCCCUCCACACCUGCGAGGGAUGACCCCCAAGCUCAGCCGAGAGUAUGUUAGAGUCAGGGAAGUAUAUGGCUUUUAACAUACGAGCACAUAGCGAAUCAGGUUGCUGCAACAUGCGCCAUGUCUGGCGAGCUAGGAGAGCAAGGUUAAAAAGCUCAAAAUCCCGAAAUGCAAGACCUCCCAUGAACUUUGGUUGUGUCAUAGUAUGCCAUGAUACCCAGUUGGGUUUUCUCUUCCCCUCCUUACUCCCCCACCAAAAUUGACAGAUUAAUUUGUUCAGGUGCUCACAUAAGCCUCUAGGAAGUUUAAAACGGGACAUGGAAUAGACCGGUACUGCCUGUGCAAUUGACUUCACUAGAACCUCCUUUCCCGCUGAAGAAAUAGUUUUCUCAAUCCAACCUUUCACUUUACUCCACAAUCUGUCCUUUAAAUAUUUGAAAGCCCCAUACUUAGAUGCUCCUACAUCAGUGGGCAUCCCAAGAUAUUUAUCCUUUAAAAUUUCAUUUGGCACGUUCAGAAUUGUCUUAACCACUUCCUUCACACUAACUAGGCAGCCCUUGCUAAAGAAUACAGUAGAUUUCAUUGGAUUAAUCCUCUGACCUGAUGAUUGACAAUAAGUUUCCAACAGGUUUGAUACCUCCGUCGCCCCUCCACCAUUUGCUUUGAAAAACAGCAGGCUAUCAUCUGCAAACAAAAGGUGAUUAACUGGUGGUGCCGAAGGGGCCACCUGUAUCCCACCCAUCUGAGAUGACUGAUUCACAUUCUUCAAGAGGCACGAAAGGCCCUCUGCUGCUAACAAAAACAGGUAAGGGGAGAUUGGAUCUCCCUGCCGAAUACCUCUGCUCGGUUUGAAUUCUUCCAACUUCUUGCCAUUUAGCAAAACCGAAAAGGAUACUGAGCUUCUAAGAUGCAUGACAAUGUUUACCCAUCUCUCCGAGAAGCCCAGCUUUAACAUGAUCGCUCGCAACUACUCCCAUUCAACUCUAUCGUAAGCCUUCAUCAUGUCCAACUUGAGUGCACAAUGUCGGUGUUUGACAGCUCGAUUGCGCUUCAUAAAAUGCAAGCACUCAUAGGCAGCAAUAAUGUUGUCAGUAAUCAUACGCCCCGGUACAAAAGCUGACUGUUCUGCAGAAAUAAUCUCUGGAAGCACCUCUUUUAAGCGAUUAGCAAUGACCUUUGAUGCUAUCUUAUAUAGGACAUUACACAAACUAAUUGGCCGGAACUGUGAGAGAAGAGUCGGAUCUUUUUCCUUUGGAAUAAGCACCAAAAGGGUUUGAUUGAUACCUUCCGCACUCUCCUGUCCCUCCACAAUCUUCAGAACAGCAGCCGUCACCUCCGCUCCGCAAAUGGCCCAAUGUUUCUGAAAAAAAUGGGCCGGAAAACCAUCCAGGCCCGGAGCUUUUGUCGGGUACAUCUGAAACAACGCCUUCUUCACUUCUUUUUCAGUAUAUACAGCAUCAAGUUGAGCUCUCAUAUCAGCCGUUACUUUUGCUGGGACAGUGUCCAGUACUUCAUGCAUAUUAAUUUUGCUGGACCAAAUCCCACGGCCCAAGCAGCCCAACCAGUUGUCCUAUCAUUCCUUUUUUUUAGAAUGCCUAUCCUUUCCCUGUUGAUAUCUUCUGCCCGUGAUCGAUUGCAAUUCCCAGAUCAGAUCCAAACCCUGAGCGAGCCGCCAGCGUGCUCUGUAUAUCGAUCGUGAUGAGCGAGCAUGACGACGAGACCACACGCCGCCAGCGUCGCCGCACCAUGCCGGCGGUGGGGCCUGCCUUCCCGCUCCACGGCGACGACGUCCUCGGGGAGAUCUUCCUCCGCCUCGGCCCUCUCAAACCCUCGCUCCUGCGCGCGUCUCACGUGUGCAAGCAGUGGCGAAGCGUCGUCUCCGACCCCGGUUUCCUCCGCCGGUUCCGCGCACGCCACCGGAAACCUUCGCUCCUCGGCGUCUUCACGCAGCAGCACGGAAAAGCCCUCUUCCGCUCGGUUCUCGACCCUCCUGUUAUUCCUUCAGAGCGCUUCUCCUUGCGAGGCUACGGCUCGUGGGAUCUGCUUGGGUGCCGCCAUGGACGCGUCCUCGUCAUGAACCACACUGAGGGCAAGGCCAUUGUGUACGACCCCGUUACUGGCGACCAGCACCGGAUAGCAGUUCCUCGGGAGUUCCGUCAGCAGCACUGCUAGGCGGACGACUAAUUUAAACGACCAGUGCACGACGAUGAAUCCCAGCCACCGAAACUCGUCCACAGCCCACACUCUGUUCGCUGGAUUUAUUGUCGUUCAUGGAUCGGCCACAUGAUGUCGUGUGUGGAGCAAUUCCGUUCCGUCAGAAUGCAGUGGUUGCUAAUAUCAAUGGCGCGGUGCUUUGCACGGGCACGGCCGACAACAAGGGCCACAUACAUGGUGCGUGCCGCUCAAGCCCCUUUAAAAUCGUUUUGGUACGCGCCUAUACGGCCUACUCGGCCAAGAGGAAUCUUACUUAUCGUAUGGCCCACGCAUGUGUUUACUCGUCAAAGACUCGAACCUGGGGCAAAAACGUCUCAGCGGUGCUACCAUGUGACAGUUACAUUUCUGGUCACCAUAGCGUCUUUGCUGGUAAUGCACUUUACUGGUAUCUUCCUGGCAAUAUACUAAAGUUUGAUAUGGGCAUGGAGAGCCUACAUGUGAUUAAGAAACUUCCUGUUGCAAACGAUUGCUACGAUACAAGCCAUAUUAUCCGCUCAAAAGAUGGCGGUGUUGGCAUUGCUUUAUUGUCAUACCCUACCUUUCAAGUGUGGGACAUGAAGAAUUUCAAGAAAAAAAAUAGAUGUCAUGGUGGAACUAGAUGGCUGCCGCAGAAGUCUAUUAGUCUCGAGCUAGGAUAUGGGAGUGGUAUUAUAAGGACGAAACAAGCUAUAUUGGGGUUUGACGAGGACGAGAAUGCAAUCUUCUUUCGAGUGGGCAGCAAUAUCUUCAUCGUCCAUCUUGUAUCAAUGAAGUCCAAGAAACUUUGGAGAAGCUAUACUACAUGCAAAUAUCAUCCUUACACGUGUUACUAUACCGCAGGUAAUUGCUCAUCUUUAAAUUGUUGGAGUUAUUAAGAUCUGAAUAUUUUUUCCUAGAUCGUUGCUGCGGGAUACCUAUUUUGUUCUUUGAAGUGUUCACCAGAAGCUUAAAUUUAGUUAUCCAUUUACCUUUAUACCUGGGCGUAGGAAUAUCAUACCCACAUCAUUUUAAAAGUCUUACAUUAUUAGCUGUUAGAAUACGAAACUAUAUUUAGUAUUGUUUAAGCCAUCAACAUGCAUUAUCAAUACAUUCUAUAUUAACCAUUUAUGAAAAUCCCUUUACCUAUUUAAGGUAGAGAAGUCACAGGUAAUUUUCAUGGAAAAUCUUAUACCAUAAUAUUUUAGAAUUCCGGGAUGUAAAGGGAACAUAAUUACUUCAUUUUACAUGCAUCAUUUAUCAUAGCAAGAGUUUUCAUUAGACAUUAUUAUAGCAUAAAAGCAUCAUUAGAUGUGAAAAACUUACUCGAACUUGCCUCUAGCUUCAUGAUGUUUUACGAUAAGGUAACAGUAUUCUUCUUCAUGUAGACAUCACCGAGCUGAAAUUUGUGGAGAGUAAGAGUAACAGUAAGAUUGCAGACCUCUGAGCGUUUAGUUGAAUUACAGACAGAAUUAGCAUUCAAGUAGUUGACUUUCCCAUUCCUACUUAUGCUCUCUAUCAAUUGUUCACUGCUUAAAAAAAAUUGAUCACUGCUUGCAGCCCUCGAAACUUCUGCUGAUAAUGCAAGUGCGACACACGGUGGAGACCAAAAAAAUACUGCUCAAGGAGGAAGCGUGCAGAUUUAGGCAACGUUCAGCUCCUCUCCGCUCCCUCCACUCCGCUCCGAAGCGGACCAGGAUCUAGCUCAUUUUCACGGAGAGGCUAAAAUUAAGCUCCACAACUCCGCGGAGUUAGAGCGGAGAGGAGGGAUUCCGAACAAGGCCUUAAUAAAGCGGGUGGCACUGCCUGUGUGUAUAUACAUUGAACUUGAGUAUUUCAUUAAGACAAACAGAUAAGCCAUCUAUUUAUAAAAGAAAGGUUGAUUACUCUAAAGGCUGAUUCAAUCAUUAAUGCCAGAAUGACUAUGAAACAGCAACCUUUUCGAUGGUUAUCAAGUUCUGGUUUUCCCAACUGUAGUGACUGAACAUAUUGGACAUCGUACCAGAAAAAAUGGGUAAAGUUAUUGUUGCACGAAAGGGGGAAAAGCGCAGCGAGACCAAGUGAAGUAAUAGAGUAGCUAGGUCAAUGUCAAAGCGCGGCGAUAGCGAGCUCGGGCACGCGCGCUCCCGCUAGGUGGACCAAUAGAGCGAUACCGCGUGGGUGGGCCUCUGGAGCGGACCGUACACACUAAUGUAGGGUACUGUCGAUACAUACGGCCAGCUCGCGUACGGCGUGCGGUAACGGACGGAGGUUGAAACCGUACCAUCGGUACAUUUGAUGGAUCGCGGUACAUCACUUACCCAACCAUCACCCACCCCUGCCACGUGGGCAACAUGUGAGGCGUUCAGCACGCAGGUGUUUUAAAAAUCAAGAAACAGCGACUACUACCGUCAUUGACUAUUCAUGAUUAGCUCGAAACCAAAAUUUCAUUAGCACUAGGCAUCCACUGAACCAAACAUACAUCCAAAAGCUCCACGAGUCUCAGAGUUCUUCUCCCACGUCGAUGCUAACACUAAUUAACCCCUGACAUAGAUCAUCUACUACAUGCUUCUUAGAUUCAUCCAAUUAAUCAAACGCACGCAUCACGGUGGAAGACACUACCAGUACAAGGAUGGCGAGGCAGAUGGCCAUAUUCCCAACAGACACCACCAGAUUGAUAGAUGCAGCAUCGAGAGUGAAGGAUGCCUGACGCCGACCAACAUCCCCCGCGCGGAGCUGAGAUCCAACAACGCCACUAGCCGCGGACAGCAUCUGCGAUCCAUCCGGUGCCCCGUUCUGCUGCCCCACCGUGCCGUCCGCCGGCUGCAUCUGACCACCUUGAUUUGCUGCAGCUACCUCGUUCUCUCCUGGAUUGAUUUGCGCCAACGGAGGUGCCGCCGGUCCAAGCUCAGCCACCUCUACCCGGCUGCCAUAGAUGGACAAAUCUAAUGAGACAUGAACACCGGAAAGGAUCCAGAACUCAUAAAAGCAAGAUCCACUUACAUUGUGAUUGCGGCACUUGUAAAACCUCUCAUCCUAGAACUGACCGCGCCUAGCAACGAACGUCACCACCCGCCUUCCACAAUCCGGGCAAGGAACUAAAGGCAGUGCGACCGGAUCUGCAGCUUGGUUGGCGUUCGCCAUGAGCUCUGUCUAUGGUUCUUCCUCUCGAUUUUGGGGGAACAAAUGAGCAGAUGGGGACGGGGCUGGUGGGUCGGUCGCGUAAUAAAUGGCCUCGCUGGCCCGCACUGCAGCCCGUUAGAGCCCAACUACCGUCUACGUCACCUCCGUUAUGCACGUAGACCUCCCCGUAUUCCGUACGUGUACAAGCGAAAACAAUAUAAUAAAACGUACGACCCGUAUCCCCAUAACCGGUUCAUGGCUGGCGAUUCCAGGAGCGCGCGCUCGUCCACUCCUUGCAAUUUUCGGGUCAAUGUUCUUCUAUAGUUGUGUCAGACCAUGAGGUUAGUGAACAUACAUAUAAUGAGAGAAUAAAUGGCAAGGCUAACAAUUCGCAGACACAGUUUAGGGCAUUUUAUACAAGUCUUUUCCUAAGUAACUAAAGGAUGAAAUGUCACUAGUACAGGACUCUCUCAUUAGCAGGGAUCCGAUAUGCCUUCAAGCGUCGUCCAGGUGAACCAUUACCUUUAUUACGGAUGUCUAAUGAUGAUAAUUUAGCCGGGUUGACUACAGUUCUAUGCACAGAUUUUGUUUGUCUGUUUUCAUUAGCCGGCAUAAUUAUUUUCUGAACGCCAUGACAACAACACCUAAUCUCUUGAACAACAGCAACAAUGACGCAAAGGAACAAAUCCUAAAAGCACACACACCUUCUUGUGCUUGAAAGUUUUGUCCAUGGGCAGUCCAAUGGCAAAAAACAAAUCAAACUUUAAUCUGGAAGCAAAGCACCGUGUAUGGGUGAUGUUUUGCUGAUCAUGGGAGCUUGCUGGAUCGGUUUAACACCUGAACGUAACUCCUGCUGGGGUGGCUCCGGAAGUGCCCUAGGCAACCUUUCCAGCUUCAUUAUUUGCUUUGUGCUUGUAAACUUUCUGGUUUCACCUUAUUUAUGGUGCUUGCUGCUGUCCCAGCGGUGCUUGCACCCGUUGGUCGUGUUCUACAGGGUGCAAAUACGAAAGAGCAGAGUGCGUGUCAAGAUCGAAAUUGCAUAGGAGCACUCGGCGACGACGCUCACUGCAAUCCCUCCCAUCCACUUGCAUCGGCAGUGUGAGCAUUUUGCAUUUUCUUGCAAAAAAUAAAUUAAACAAAUAUCUGCAUUUGCCAUGUGACUAAGAAGAUACAAGUACAACAUUGCCAGGAUUUAGAGGAUCAAAAAGGCCUAAAUAAGUGAUGAGAAUUUUUUUUUUAAAAUCAACAAUUGCCAUAUAUGGGAAGAAAAUAGAUAUCUACAAUUUGCCGUUGACUUUUUUUAGCAGAACAAUUUUCCGUGGGUUUGGGGCAUCGGCUGGUGGUGGCUUGGCCUAUGGCUCGCGCUCGGGGUGCACCAGAUUUGGGCCCGGGGCGGGUCAAGGCUGUCGCUCUAGGUAGGAGUGAAUGGCGUGGUCUAGGCGGUGAGGUUCCUCUCCUCGCGUGCGCAGUGGUCGAUGGUGGAGGUUGCGGCAGCCCACCCUAUGCACAAGCUGAAGCUGAUGGCCACCGGCACAGGCGAAGUUCAAAUGCAACGUCUGCAAGGAGGUAGGUGCCGGCCGGGAGCUUCGUGAGGGGGCGUCUCAACGAUGCAACAGCUGCCGGGAAAGAAGCGGACCUGGUUCUACCUACAUGACCGUGUGCCUGCACGUCGCCUGUAUCAAAAAGUUUGCUCGUCGGGAUUGUGGCGCCGGCGCCGGCUCGAGUACUGAUGUACCGCACAAAGAUGGACGAGAGUGAAUUAGAGCGCAUCAUUCUCAGGCUAGUUAUUUUUUUCUUGCAGGUAAUUCUCGGGCUAGUUUUUUUUUUUGCGGGAUAAACUUUCGAUUUAUUCAUCUUCAAUCAUGGUAGUAUAACGAACACUAAAAGUAAUAAAAAUUAAAUCCAGAUCCGUAGACCACCUAGCGAUGACUACAAGCACUGAAGCGAGCCGAAGGCGCGCCGCUGUCAUCGCCCCUCCCUCGACGGAGCCGGACAAACCUUGUUGUAGUUGACAGUGGGGAAGUCGUGGUGCUAAAGCCCCGUAGAACCAACGCAUCAGAACAGCAACCGCCGCCGAUGAAGAGUGUAGAUAAGAAGGAUCUAACCUGAAGACACACAAACAAAGACGAACGACGAACAGAUUCGAGCAAAUCCACCAGAGACAGAUCCAUCGGAGACACCUUCACAUGCCCACCGACGAUGCUAGAAGCAUCACCGGAACGGGGACUAGGCGGGGAGACCUUUAUUCCAUCUUCAGGGAGUCGCUACCGUCUCGCCUUCCUGAGUAGGACACAAACCCUAACAAUCCUCAAAAAAAUCUAAAAACUGAGCUCUCCCACCGGCAAGGGCUGGGAUCCACUCCGUUCCCAUGGCCCCCAAGGCCACGGUAGACGGGGCGGACCGACACUGGCGCCGACGGGAGGCAGAGAAACCCAAGUUUUUUUAGGCGGCGGCUGGCUGGGCGUCUCGCCCCGUGUUUUACUUUCUCGGGCUAGUUGUUGGUGGUAAAUGCUGCAAAGCCUUUAAUUUUCUCCAAAAGAAAUUUUGGAGGUUAAUUAAACAAUUUCCUAAUGAGGCUACUGCCUAAACCGCGUGUUUUCUUAUGAUUGUUCCACAGAUCAUAGAUUUCCUUCUUCCAUAUCAAAAAAGACAUUGUCAAGUACGUACAAAUAAAUAUACGUCGAGAAGUGUAUGCUAAGGUUCCAAUGGAUGCGUAAUACUGAUAUAUAUAUAUAUUGACUGGUCGCUGCUACGUGGAGAUUCUUGGGCCUGCAUAAGCAACAAAAUUUGAAGAGCUACUGCUGGUGCUGAAUAAGGUAACCUAGAAAAGAAAUUUAAAAAGCGGGGAUAGCUCAGUUGGGAGAGCGUCAGACUGAAGAUCUGAAGGUCGCGUGUUCGAUCCACGCUCACCGCAAUCAUUUUUUUUUUUGCCUCCCUUAUCUUGUCAUUAUUUUUUGAGGCAUUAUCUAGAGGGUCAGUAUUCUUUCCAGUAGUGACACGCCUCCUCUGCCAUACUCUGCGUACUAAUCUUGCUUAUGUAUUCCCUCCGUUUCAAUUUACUCGUUAUGGUUUUAGUACAAAUUUGAACUAAAACCACUACGAGUAAAUCGAAACGGAGAGAGUAUUUGUUAAUGUGUCUAUGCAGUGCCUCACUAUUCCUUCCGUUUUUAAAUAUUUGUUUUUUUAGAGAUUUCAAAUGGACUACCCCAUAUGGAUGUAUAUAGACAUUUUAGAGUGUAGAUUCACUCAUUUUGCUCUGUAUGUAGACAUUUUGCUCUGUAUUCUUUCCAGUAGUGACACGCCUCCUCUGCCAUACUCUGCGUACUAAUCUUGCUUAUGUAUUCCCUCCGUUCCAAUUUACUCGUUAUGGUUUUAGUACAAAUUUGAACUAAAACCACUACGAGUAAAUCGAAACGGAGGGAGUAUUUGUUAAUGUGUCUAUGCAGUGCAAUGAUCACUAUUCCUUCCAUUUUUAAAUAUUUGUUUUUUUAGAGAUUUCAAAUGGACUACCCCAUAUGGAUGUAUAUAGACAUUUUAGAGUGUAGAUUCACUCAUUUUGCUCUGUAUGUAGUCAUUUGUUGAAAUCUCUAGAAAGACAAAUGUUUAGAAACGGAGAGAGUAGUUGUUAAAAAAAUAUCAACCACCUUAAGGGGCAUAUUACAUUCUUUAGAUUAAACAUUCUUUUGCUUGUUGUAUACUGGUGCUAUGUAUCUAUAGCUAACUCCUCUCAAGCACAAUCAAUUAUUCAUUAAGACAAUCGUCUCAGGAUGAUACUCUAAUUUUGCCUCAAAAUGUAGCUCAGCGCAUGAACAACAGUACAAGACAUGGUUUUGUUUCAGCCUGAUUAUUCUAACUAAUCAUUUCAGUUCAGAUGCAACAGAAAGAGAAUUAAGAGGGACAGAGAAAAUAAGUGUAAAAAGGAGGUAGCAGACCUUGAGUGCACCCUUCUUGGUUGGAAGCCACAGCAUGCAGUUUUUUUUUUCAUGGUAAUACGUGUCUCAUUCAUAUCAUAAAGAACAAAGUACAAGUCAUGUAAGAACCAACAUGACAAAACUGAAAAGAUAGCAGAACAUCUCUGAGCUUGACACUAACGCCCGUCACCUGCCUCCGGCACCACCACAGCAGCCACCGAAGAAAAGAAUGACGGAUCACCUCCUCACCCGAGCUCGACACGACUCCAUCGCUGAUAUGCAGCUUUGCGGACCUCCAAGGUGGCUCACCAAAAGUGAAGCCAUUGCCGUUGAAUGAAUCAGACCGGGGCAACACCCCGGACACGCCAUCGAACUCCAGAUCUGGCACCCCACCACGACUAAGACGCUAAAGGAGGAAACCAUACCUGCCAUCCACGAACCACGAACCCAGCACACGUUCCGUCUUCCAGAUGUCGUCGAUGCAGACCACAAUCUGCAUCCGCUCCUUGACUACCUCCCAAGCUCCACGCCGACGCUGGAGCAAACGUCGUCGCAACGACGGAGCCCGAGGACACAGGUCCACCACGAGGAUACCGCUGCCGCCACGCCAUCCUUGCUAGAACAGACUGAUUUCCAGAUCCAUCCCCAACCAUAGGACCGAUGACCUCGUCAGGAAAGGAUCCGAAGAAUAUUUAUUCAGCAUCGUCAUCGUCACCGUCGUCGAAGCAAAGGCGAUGGACAACCUAAAACCUAGACUACAGAUGAGUAAAAACGAGCCACAGCGUGCAAUUCACCACCGCCUUAUGACCCGGCAGGGUGGUCACGGGAUUCAGGACCAGACAGUGCAACAUCUAGCUGUGCAGGGUUCUUAAUGUGAAGUGACAUAGCAAAAAUACUUCAGAUUCACAGCAUAAGGGAAACAUAACUAAUUCUUUGCUCCAACUCCCAGAAAAAACACAUAAUGAAAACUAUCUGUUGAAAGUGGAUAGGAAAAUGAACAGGCACAAGAUAUACUUUCAUUGGAACGACUAGCUAAUAAGAGCCAAGACAAUGGACAAGUGCAUUGUUGGUUGGGUAUUGAAUGGCAACCUAUGUCCUUCACGAGCAAGCGCAUCCUCAUAAGUCACAUGCAUAAGAAUUCUCAGAUGUAGCAGGGAAAAUUUGUGUGGGUGCUCACUGCAAACAGAAGAUUCUCAACUGUCUUCCCACAUCCGGUUAUACCAGCCUGUUGAUAUGCAAAUCUAUAGUGAAAAUGACAAAAUGUGGUAGGCCUUAAAUAGAUAAAUGGCACUGAUUCGGUCAGGCAAACCAACGCACGUGCAUGUUUAUGAAAAAUUACCUAUGAAACCAUCUGUUGAGCAGUCCUACUCAAGAUCCAGUUAUUAGUUCAUCCUUUUACAUCACCCUCACACAUGACAGUGUUGGAAAUAUUAGCACUUUUCCCAUUAGACUAAUCCACGAGUAAACAGUAAGCAUGGCAAAUGCGGUAUGCAUCUCAUACCAAUUCCUAAGCAUACUAGCACGUACAGAACAUAGAAGCAAACCAUCUAUGAGCAGCACAUAUACGGCUAGCACAAGCACGAGUAAGUGAGGGAUGAACAGAUCAUACCCUCCGAUUGGCCAGGCCAACGCGGCGGCGGCAGCAGCAGCCUCGGCUUCGUCCGUGGCCUUCUUCUUGGCGGCAGCGUCGUCGGCCAUGGUGUUGAUGCAGGGGAAGUAGUGGAAGCCGAGGCUGAUGGAGCUGGGGACGGAUCGGGAGCAGUCGCGCCGAGACGCUCCCCAAAAACCUUAUUGCCGUUCUCCCGGGCAGGAUCUUGAACGACGGGGUUCCGGAGGCACCUGCUCUCCCGACCAACCGUGCACGCGGUCGUCAGGAUGGGAUCAUCGGAAGCAGCACAGAGCAAGGACCAGUAGACGACGGCUAGGUAACGCGAGGGGGAGUGAGUGAACCGAACUAGGUCACUCCACUGGGCAGAGCCUUCUUAUAUAGGCCGUCUGGCAGGAAGUCAUGGGCCUGGGCGGAGGCCCACGACCGAGUCGACGCACUCCCCGGCAAGGGAGCAUCCCGGCAAGCGUCGCACUCCCGACAAGGGAGUCAGCAAAUCCUGGCAACGCAAGUGAGCCCAUAGUCCAACGUCUCGGACAGUGGUCCACCUUGAUUAAUUAAUUCGUUCCUGAGCGGCAAAAAUAAGCUCCUGCUCGGCUCAUUCCCGCAACCCGCAACCCGCAACCCGUGGCGCGCGCGCGCAUCAUGACGAGGCGUGGCGUGGCGAGGCGGGCGGCGGAGGAGGAGGAGCGCGCUUGUACCACUCCUCUUCCCAAGCUCCCAUUGGCAAGUGGUAGAGCAGCCCUUAUAAAGGGGUCUCAACUCUCCUCAACUAGCAAGGUGGGACUAAACUUCCCACCACCUGCCAUCUCAUACAUGGGCCUCAAGAUUAACUAGGGAUUUAUGUCUUAUAUGGGCCUACGCCCAUCUAUAAUCCAUCAAUCCCCCACCAGAUCUCGAGGCACAUAAGUUUGUCAACUGUUCCAAACAAUGUUUGAUAUAUCAGAAAUUUCAGUGGAGACUGUUAAGUUGAACUUCCACCUAGAUCAACAUGAUUAGACUUCUUCACAGCUGAACAAUGGACUAAGCCUUGAAUUGUCAGUUUGGCGUGCAGAAGUUUCGCCUAUUGUCCGCUGAUACGUGGUUGCCGAAGGCUAAACCCCACGGGUGGAGCUCAUUAGUCAUACUUCAUACCUUCUUAUGAGCUUCCUAGAGAUCACCCAAUCUCAUAGACUGUGACCAGCAGUCGGGCUCACAUAGGUGUGUUCCUCCAAAGAAUGCUAUGUAGGUUAGCAUCUUGCUUACACAAACUUUGGAACACAUUAAGACAAAAGUCAGCCUGCCUUACAGAAUUGAGAGUAUUAUUGCAUCUCCAACGGAGUGGGAUAAUUAAAGAUACUCUCCUCAGUUGACCGCUGGAUUGUUUUCCCAGGUCCUAAUUCACGGGACCUUCGAUCACAUAGGUUGAGUUACCCCCAUGGCAACUUAUGUGGGUCUCAUACCCAUCUCCCUCGAUGCAUUUUCUAUCACAACCCGUGAUAGCCCUUUCGUAAAAGGGUCUGCCAUAUUCUUAGCCGUCUGGAUAUAAUCCAACGCUAUCACUUCAGAGUUUCUUGAUUUUCUGACAAAUUUCAAUCUUCGUCUUAUGUGCUUUGUGGAUUUCAUGUUCUCCUUUGAACUCUUAGCCUUGGCAAUCACCGUUUGAUUGUCGUAGUUCAUAAGGACAUUCGGCACUGGUUUAUCAACCAUUGGCAAAUCCAUCAAAAGCUCUCGAAGCCAUUCUGCUUCGACGCAAGAUGUGUCUAAUGCUGUGAGUUCUGCUUCCAUAGUCGAUCUGGUUAAGAUCGUUUGCUUGCAAGACUUCCAGGAGACAGCACCACCACCAAGUGUGAAUACAUGUCCACUUGUGGCUUUCAUCUCAUCAGCAUCAGAUAUCCAAUUCGAAUCACUAUAUCCCUCAAGUACCGUCGGGUACCCAGAAUAGUGAAUCCCAUAGUCUGCAUUACCUUGCAAGUAACGCAUCACUCGCUCAACAGCAUGCCAAUGCACAUCUCCCAGAUUGGAAACAAACCGGCUCAGUUUGCACACAGCAAAUGAGAUGUCAGGAUGAGUAGCACAUGCUAGGUACAUCAGUGAACCAACCACUUGAGAAUAUCUCAAUUGAUCUAGAGUCGUGCCUUCGAACUUUCGAAUCCGCACGCUAGGAUCAUAUGGUGUUGCAGAAGGUUUGCAAUCCGAAUAUCCAAAACGGCUUAAGAUCUUCUCACAUAGUGGGAUUGCAAAAGUGUAAUCCCACCCUCAGAAUUUCUUAGUAGCUUGAUGUUCAAGAUAACAUCAACCACUCCCAGGUCUUUCAUUUCAAAGUUAUGAGAUAGAAAAGCCUUGACCUCCUCAAUGACUUUGAGGUGAGUCUCAAAUAUCAGUAUGUCAUCGACAUACAGACAGAGUAUAACUCCUUCGCCCCCACCAUAGCGAUAGUAUACACAUUUGUCAGCUUCGUUGACAACAAAGCCAACAGAUGUCAGAGUAGUGUUGAACUUCUCAUGCCAUUUCUUAGGCGCUUGUUUCAGGCCAUACAAAGAUUUCACUAUCUUGCACACCUUUCUUUCCUGACCAUUUACUACAAAGCCAUCUGGCUAUUGCACAUAAAUUUCCUCGUCGAGCUCUCCGUUAAGGAAAGCCAUCUUAACGUCCAUCUGGUGAACGAGAAGACCAUGCGAGGCAGCCAAAGCGAGUAACACUCGAAUGGUUGUCAGUCUAGCCACAUGUGAAUAAGUGUCGAAGAAAUCCUCUUCUUCUUUCUGGGUAUAACCAUUGGCCACAAGCCUACCCUUGUACUUCUCAACAGUACCAUUGGGCCUAAGCUUCUUCUUGAACACCCACUUACAUCCCAAUGGUUUACAACCAUAAGGACGAUCAGUGAUCUUCCAUGUCCCGUUAGCCAAGAUGGAAUGCAUCUCGCUACGGACCACAUCCUUCCAGUAGUCAGCAUCCGGAGAUGCAUAAGCUUCUGAAAUGGAACUGGGAGUGUCAUCAUCCACGAGGUACACGAGGAAAUCAUCACCAAAAGACUUUGCAGUCCUUUGUCUCUUGCUCCUAACAGGAGCUUCCUCAUCAUCCUCCGUGGAACUCUCAUCACUUUUACGUUCAUAAUAUUCCAUCAGAAUGGCAGGUUCAGGAGUCCCAUCAGAUUCCAGUCUAGAAGUGCUUUGCAUAUCUCUCAUGGGGAAAAUAUCAUCAAAGAAUGUAGCAUCCCUAGACUCCAUGAUUGUACCGACCUUCACGUCGUGUACAUCAGAUUUCACCACUAGAAAUCUAUAGCCAACUCUAUGCUUGGCAUAGCCAAGAAAAACGCAAUCCACAGUCUUUGGUCCCGACUUGCGCUUUUUGGUUAUCGACACGUUGACUUUCGCCAAACAGCCCCAAGUGCGUAAGUAAGAGAGUGUAGUUCUUUUCUUUUCCCAUUGCUCAUAGGGAGUAGUUUCAUUAUCCUUUGUGGGAACUUUAUUCAGGACAUGACAUGAUGUCAAUACAGCCUCCCCCCACCAUGCCUUGGAUAAACCCGAUGUAUCUAACAUGGCGUUAACCAAAUCAGUUAGAGUACGGUUUUUCCGUUCGGCAACCCCGUUUGACUAGGGUGAGUAGGGAGGCGUCCUCUCAUGAAUAAUACCAUGUUCCGCACAGAAUAAAUCAAACUCAUUAGAAAAGUACUCUCCACCACGAUCAGACCGGACCCGUUUUAUUUUCUUCUCAAGUUGCACAUCGCUUGCUGCCUAGGGCCCCUCUCUUUGUUGUAGAUUUCAUCGUUACAGAGUCUGUUAGGCUUUUCUAUGCAAGAAUUAUUAACUUUACUACAACCGUUGUGAGUGAUGGAGUUGAGUUUGCCAUCAACAUUACUACUUGCUUCUUUUACAACUUUGGAGCCGGUACGAAAAACAGUCCUAUAGUGUUUUCCUGAAGAAUGAUCUUUGCUUAAUAUUGUUAAGCUUUAUGCACUAGCCAACGCAACUGUCAAACAUGAUAUGCAAGGCAUUGCUGUUCCGGUCCCACCUGAGUCGAACUAGGUUAGUUAGAGAUAGAGUUAGGCAAUAUUCUUGUAACCUCUUUCAUCUCUAUCUUCUCUCUUUAACUUGGUCCUCAAGAUGUAAUCGCAACAGCAUGUAUGCUUAUCUCAGGGAUACUCCCCUGCCUAUAUAACACGAAACCGUCGCCUCCAACGAGCUACGACGUUCAUCGCUACUUUACAUGGUAUACAGAGCCUCCUCUAUCCACUACAUCAAGAAAACAACCCAUCCCCUUCGCCAGCCAUGUCGUCCUCCUCAAGCAUCGGCCAGUCCUCCCUUCCUGGGCAGGUCACAUAGAAGCUCACCCGCACCAACUACGUGUUGUGGCGUGCGCGGGUGACACCGCAGCUGAGGGGAGCUGGUUUUUCGGCUACGUCGACCAGAUCAUGCCGGAGCCCGCCAAGUUCCUCACCACGAAGGACAAGGACGGGAAAGAUGAACAGACGCCGAAUCCUCUUCACGCGAUCUGGUUCAAGGAAGGACAGGAGGUACUUGGUUACUUGCUAAACAAUCUCACCAAGGAAGUCCUCGUGCAGGUCACAUCCAUAGCUACGCCGCAUGAACUCUGGGCUGCCCUUGCGCAUAUGUUCUCGUCGCAGUCCAGAGCCCGCAUCAACAACAUCCGCGCCACACUCUCCACGGUGCAGAAGGGCACGCAAACGGUGGCGGCGUACUUUGCUCACAUGCGAUCUCUCGCAGAUGAGCUUGCGGCCGCGGGAAAGCCGAUCGACGACAAUGAACUAGCUUCCUACAUCACUGCCGGCCUCGACAUGGAGUACCAGCCUCUCAUCUCCGCCAACGAUGCCCGCACCACGCCCAUCAGCCUCGACGAUCUCUUCGCUCAGAUGAGCAGCUUUGACCAGCGCCUUGCCCUCUACAAUGGGGCAGGUUCUGGUGGAGGCUUCAAGUCUUCUGCCAAUGCGGCUGUCCGUGGCCGUGGAGGUGGUGGCUCUCGCUACCGUGGGCGCAACAAGGGCAAGCCAUCGGGCGGAGGCAAUAGCAGCGGCGGCAACUCCUUCAACAACGGCGGCGGAGGCGGGCGGCCCUUCUACAACAGCAUCAGGGGUCGCUGCAACUCCUCUGGCAAGCCUCGCGCGGGCUCCGACGUCACGCGCUGCCAAAUUUGUGGCAAGCCAGGCCACACAGCAAAGGAUUGCUGGUACCGUUUUGAGGAAGAUGAGGAAUCUUCCCAAGAUGAGAAAGUUGCAGCAGCAGCAGACGGCUCCUACGGAGUCGAUACCAAUUGGUAUGCGGAUAGCGGCGCGACAAACCACAUUACAGGCGAGCUGGAGAAGGUGACCGUGCGUGAGAAGUACCGUGGACAGGACCAAGUUCACGUUGCAAAUGGAGAAGGUAUGAGAAUUAGUCAUAUUGGUAAUUCAAUAUUUAAAACUCCCCAUAGAAAAAUCCAUCUCAGAAGAAUCUUGCAUAUCCCUAGUGCCUCGAAAAAUCUCCUUUCCGUCCAUCGCAUUGCCCUUGAUAACAAUGUCUUCCUUGAAUUUCACCCGUUUUUCUUUUUGAUCAAGGAUCAGGUCAUGAAGAAAAUCCUAUAUCGAGGUAGAUGCGUUCGAGGACUUUAUUCGUUGAUUCCGGAGCUUAGGAGACUGAAUAAACAAGCCUAUGGUGUCACCAAAGUCUCGUCAACAUGGUGGCAUGAUAGAUUAGGGCAUGCUUCUUUUUCUUUGAUCAAUCAAGUGCUUAGGAAAAAUAAACUCCCAUUUGUUGGUGAGCGUAGUAGUGAAACAAUUUGUGAUUCAUGUCAACGUGCUAAAAGUCAUCAAUUGCCUUACCCUGUGUCUACGAGUGUUUCUACCAAACCUCUCCAACUUAUUUUUUCUGAUGUUUGGGGGCCUGCCCCUACCUCUGUUGGAAGACACUCUUAUUAUGUUAGCUUUAUCGAUGACUAUAGCAAAUACACAUGGAUCUAUCUUCUUAAGAAACGAUCCGAUGUGUUUCAAGUGUUUCACAACUUUCAAGCACUUGUAGAAAGAAAAUUUGAUUGCAAAAUUCUAGCUCUCCAAUCUGAUUGGGGAGGAGAAUACAGAAAUCUAAACUCAUUCUUCCAACAAAUUGGCAUAUCUCACCAUGUGUCUUGUCCUCAUGCUCAUCAGCAGAAUGGUUCUGCUGAGCGUAAGCAUAGGCACAUAGUUGAAGUGGGUCUUGCCUUGCUUGCUGCUGCAUCCAUGCCACUAAAGUUCUGGAAUGAAGCGUUUCUUACCGCCGUUCAUCUUAUUAACAUAUUGCCUAAUCGGGUCAUCAACAAUGAAACUCGGUAGAACGCUUGCUUCACACCAAACCUGACUAUACUUCCCUAAGAGUAUUCGGGUGUGCUUGUUGGCCUAAUCUUCGCCCAUACAACAAUCGCAAGCUCAUGUUUAGAUCAAAACAAUGUGUUUUUCUGGGUUACAGUCCACAACACAAAGGUGUAAAAUGCCUGGAUGUGUCCACCGGACGUGUAUACAUCUCCCGUGACAUUGUGUUUGAUGAAACUGUUUUUCCCUUUGCACAUCUACAUCCAAAUGCCGGUGCGCUUCUUCAAAAAGAGAUCCUUCUUUUACCAUCUCACCUCACCGGCGUUGCCCAUGGGGACGAAUUAAAUACUGAUGAUCCAUUAUUGACUAAUCCUCUUACUAAUGGUGCACAUGAGUAUUGUGAUGAUACAGAAAAAAACGGUGCAGAAAACGCUGAAGAAAUUGAUCAAAUUCAGCAUUUUAUGUGUCCUGGACGUAGCAGCAGCAGUACAGAGGCGAAUCAGCCUCGGGAUCGCGGCGUGGCAGCCUCAGGAUCCGCUCCCUACGGGUCUGUCCUGCAAUCUCCCGCGGGAUCCGCGCCAGGUGCAGCAGCGCGAUCCGCUCCGGGACUUGCGCCGCGUCACGACACCAACAGCGGCUUGGUGGAUGGCGGCUCGGUGCGCUCCUCCGCUCCGCACAAAUCGUCGCCUGCCGCAUGGCCUGGGCGAUUCGGCACCGACCCACGCUGCUACGUGCGGCGUGCAUCAAGACACGGCACGGAAACCCGUCCGGAUCCGGCUGGGGCCGCGCCAUCAUCUGCUCAUCAUGAGCCUGCGGCGGAUGGUGGGGCUGGUGCGGGAUCCUCUGCGGGUUCCCUCACGCUCAUCGCCUGCUACAACUACCGCUGCAGCCACAGAAGGUCACACCGUGUCGCACCAGCCCGACAGCUCGCCAUCGGGAUCCACGACCGAUCCUGCUGGGAGAUCUCCUGUGCAGCUAGCGGGAUCUUCUGCGCCAAAUUCUUCACCGCUACGGACAAGGCUUCAAAGGGGAGUAACUCAACCCAAAAAUUAUAAAAGCAUAGUAAAAUUUGGUCUUGCUUGUACCGCAGAUGAACCAGCUACUAUUGUUGAAGCCUUGAGUGAUGCACGGUGGAAGAAGGCUAUGCAAGAGGAGUACAUGGCGCUUCAGAAAAAUAAAACUUGGCAUCUCGUUCCUGCUUGUCAAGGUAAAAACGUUAUUGAUUGCAAGUGGGUCUACAGAAUUAAGAGAAAAUCUGAUGGAACCAUAGAUCGCUAUAAAGCUAGACUCGUUGCAAAGGGCUUCAAGCAACGGUAUGGCAUAGACUAUGAAGACACCUUCAGUCCUGUUGUGAAGGCUGCUACUAUUUGUCUUGUCUUGUCUAUUGCUGUAUCUAGGGGAUGGAGUCUACGUCAACUUGAUGUACAAAAUGCGUUUCUUCAUGGCAUUCUGGAAGAGGAAGUGUUCAUGCGACAACCUCCUGGGUUUGAGGAUAAAAACAAACCCCUCCAUGUGUGCAAGCUUGAUAAGGCUUUGUAUGGACUCAAGCAAGCUCCUAGGGCAUGGUAUUCCAGAUUGAGCUCAAAACUUCAAACACUUGGGUUUACUCCUUCUAGAUCUGACACCUCAUUGUUCAUCUAUAAUAAGUCAAAUACCUCCAUAUUUGUUCUAAUAUAUGUUGAUGAUAUUAUCGUCACAAGUUCAUCAAAUGAGGCUGUUACCGGACUGCUGAAGGAUUUAAACUCUGAGUUUGCUCUUAAGGAUCUAGGAGACUUGCAUUAUUUUCUUGGGAUUGAAGUUAAGAAGAAUGGAGAUAGUCUUCACUUAUCUCAAGAGAAGUAUGCAACUGAUCUUGUAGCCAGAGCAAGAUUGCGAGGUUGUAAGCCAGCUCCAACACCUUUAUCCAGUACAGAAAAGUUAUCAUUGUCAGAAGGAGAUCUCUUGAAUCAAGAGGAUAGCACCAGGUACAAAAGUAUGGUUGGUGCGCUAUAGUACUUAACUCUGACUAGACCUGAUAUCUCUUUUGCUGUCAAUAAAGUAUGUCAAUUUCUUCAUGCACCCACUACAGUACAUUUGACAGCUGCAAAACGCAUACUUAGAUAUGUUAAAGAUACCUUGAGCCUUGGGUUAACUUUCAGCAAGUCAUCAUCAACUCUUGUCAGUGCAUUCUGUGAUUCUGACUGGGCAGGUUGUCUGGAUGAUAGGCGCUCAACAGGUGGUUUUGCAGUCUUCUUUGGUCCUAACCUAAUCUCUUGGUGUGCAAAGAAAUAAGCUACUGUAUCCAGGUCUAGUACAGAAGCAGAAUACAAAGCGCUAGCUAAUGCCACGGCAGAAAUCAUUUGGGUUCAGUCCUUGUUGAGAGAGCUUGACAUACGUUGCAAGCAAGCUCCGUGUUUAUGGUGUGACAAUCUUGGUGCCACAUAUCUUUCCGCUAAUCCUAUCUUUCAUGCAAGACCAAACACAUCGAGAUUGAUUUCCACUUUGUCAGAGAAAGAGUUGCUGCCAAGAAGUUGGACAUUCAGUUUAUUCACUCUCAAGAUCAAGUUGCAGAUGGUUUUACCAAAGCCUUACCUACAAGAAGUUUCGAAGAGUUCAAACGUAAUCUCAACUUGACCAAGUUGUGAUUAUGGGAGGGUGUCAAACAUGAUAUGCAAGGCGUUGCUGUUCCGGUCCCACCUGAGCCGAACUAGGUUAGUUAGAGAUAGAGUUAGGCAAUAUUCUUGUAACCUCUUUCAUCUCUAUCUUCUCUCUUUAACUUGGUCCUCAAGAUGUAAUCGCAACAGCAUGUAUGCUUAUCUCAGGGAUACGCCCCUGCCUAUAUAACACGAAACCGUCGCCUCCAACGAGGUACAGCGUUCAUCGCUACUUUACAGCAACCAAAAGUCCGAACUAAUGGAAAAGGCUAGUCAAUCCACAUAUACACUUCGACAAAUAUGACAUCUUCAUUUCCUAAUCUUGAGUCCUGAUGUCCAAUUUGAACAUUAGUACACACUUCUUUGAAUUGAGACUAACAACAUGUUCGUAGACAGACAAGGCAUCAAUCCUAGAAAAGCUUCUUCUGUAUCCAGAUGCAUGAGCCUCUAUCUUUCGAACCUCAUCAAAUGAGAAAAGCUGAAAGAAUAACACUUCAGUCCAUCACUAAAAUGACAAGUAGUUCCAGCAUAUGCACACCCAAAACACGUAUAAAGACAUUGUGAUUCACCUUAAUAGGGCGGUAGACUUCAUAUGAUGCUCCAGGGUAACAGAUCAUCUUCAGAGCUGUUGCAAAAUGGAUUAAAACCCAACUCUUAGUGUCAAUUUCAGAUGUAAUCAUGAAGUCCUUUAGAAGAAGGCGGAAGAACUUCAAAUACUCCUUUUCACAUAAUUCGGUAUCAUGCAAGAGAUAAGCUGACUGCUUAAGAGACGUGUCAUCAACCUGAAAGGAGCAUUUCUUCAUCACUGAAAGAAAGAUGAAGGCCAAAAAUUCUAAUGCAGAGGUCGGUUGUGUGCUCAAAGAAAGAUGAAUAAAACAAAUUGAGGUUCUCAGAUGUUAAUUUCUAAUAGAGGCCGGUUGUGUGCUCAAAGAAAGAUGAAUAAAACAAAUUGAGGUUCUGAGAUGUUAAUUUCUAAUACAGAGGCCGUUGUGUGCUCAUUGUGUUUGUAUCCCCUUGAUGCUCCAUUUUAGCUAAUAAAAUCCACCCUUUAUUAAAAAAAAUUCCAAUACGGUGUGUCUAUGAAAAACUUUCCAAUCAUUGGAAAUAAAGCAUUAUAAGCGUACAAUCAAUCUGAAAGGGCUAAUACUGCAUAAGAAGAGGCGAUUUAUUCAAGCUAGUGCUGGUGGCUGAAAAGAAAAAACAAGAAGAAAGUACUAGCAUUGACCACGGAGAAAUAAAGCAGAUAAUGAAGGACAAGCUGUAAGCUCACCAUCUUAAGGUUGACAUCAAAACCAUGUUCAUGUAAGAAUAAUUCCAAAUCUUUGGUCGGAUCUGUUUGUUGUUGAGGCAAUAAAGCGGGCUUGUUCAUACUGCAAAUUAUCACCUCGCAAUCCGGAACAUCAACGUGAAGACAAGUUAUUCCCUAAAAAGCAAAUGGUGAUCAAUACUGUUCACCCAGAUAGAAGCAACAACAAGCUUACAAAGUUAACACUUACCAAUUUCAUCUCAAUUAUCCGUUUAUAUUCAGAACUUCCCACAACUAGUUUCCUCCCAGAACCACACAGCUUCCUGAGCCUCUUGACCAGGCGACCAUCGAUAACCUCAGUAGAAGGGUUGAUGGGGAUGGGCAUCUGCUCCUUCUUUAUGAACACUAUCAGACGCUGGAAAAUAAACACAGACAGGAUCUAAAAAGCUUAUCAAAUAUAAUGCAAGUGCUUAAAUCAUGAAAUGAGGCAGGUUAAUUUAGUAGCCCUUGCAUCAAUCAUAAAGUAUAGUGUUGCUUAAGUCUUUGUUUGUACAAUUCUCUCAGUGGUGCUCCCAAAACAUUCAUACGUAAAGCUAGAUGUUAGUAUUUUGGAAACAAUCCAUAGUGUCAUUCUUGGUAGGAGUACCAUGCCAGGACUCAUUCAUCCCUAGCUAAUAAGAUGUAACCACUUCAUACAAAUUUAUGCCUAGCAGUGCCCACUUAGGUUCCAACCAGCACUAAUUGAUAUUUUAAGGAUCUAUUAGCAGAUGUCUGGCUAUAAAGACACUGCACCAUGGCACCAAAAUAGAACAUGGUAAUCAGGAAAGACUCCAACCCAGAAAAAUAUUAUGAUCGACCAGCUUGAUUUGAUUUGAAUUGAACGAAUCAGUUCAAUACAAAUAACAACAACUGAGUAGUAAUGACUUAAUGUUAAUAUUCACCCACUCGUUACAGCAAGAAUUGACAAUAAAGACUGGUCAAACAUUACUCUUUUCUAGUUGGCAACAAGAAGCGUAAGGAAAUAUAACAAAACUAGUAAGAAAGAAAAUAGGAGGGCUACUAACAAGCUGUGGCAAGCAUGCCCAGAAGUCCUGUGGAAAAAACAGACAGAUAUCAAUCAGAUGAUCUUGAUCUCUUCUUUGAUGACAUUAUGACAAAGAAAAACUAAGUAGCGUCCGCAACGAAAAAACAAGUACCUCCACUGAAUCGUUGAGGUAACUCCCAUCAAAACAGAAAAUUGCGAUCCCAGACGGUGCUUGGUAUAACAGCAUAGCCAAUGCAUCAUUAACCUUAACUGACUGCAUGGGAUUCUUCAGACUGCGAAUUAUCACCUCACAAUCCGGAACCUUAACAUACAAACAGUUUAUUGCCUGAAAAAGCAAAUGGUGAUCAAUGAUACUGUUCACCAGACAGAACCAACAAGAAAACUCACAGAGUUUUACUAACCAGUUUCUUUCGAAUUAUUCUUUCAUAUUCAGAACUUCCCACAAGUAAUUUCUUCUCAGAACCACACAGCUCGGUGAGCCUCGUGCCCAGGCAACCGUCAAUAGCCUCAUUAACAAGGUCAAUGGGGGUGGGGACCUUCUCAUACUUUAUGGAUAGUUUCAGACUCUGGAAAUAAACAUAGCAGGGAUCUAAAAAGCUUGUCGAAUAUAAUGCAACGUCUAAAUCAUGAAAGGAAGCAAGAGGUAGCUUAGUAGCCCUGCAUAAUUCAUAUAGUACAGUGUUGUUUAAGUCUUUGUGUGUACAAUUGUCUCGGUGGUGCUCCCAAAACGUUCAUACGAAAGUACUCCCUCCGUCCCAAAAUAAGUGUCUCAACUUUGUACUAACUUUAAUACAAAUUUGUACUAAGGUUGAGACAGAUAUUUCGGGACAGAGGGAGUAGUAUUUUAGGAACAAUCCAUAGUGUCAUUCCAGGUAGGAGUACCAUGCCAGGGGUCAUUCACCCCUAGCUAGGAAUAUGUAACCACUUCUUAGAUAUUUGUGAGUAGCAGUACCCACCUAGGUUUCAGCCAGCGUUAAUUGAUCUCUGAAAGAUCUAUUAGCAGAUGUUUGGCCAUUGAAGACAGUGCACCACCAAAAUAGAACAUGGCAGUGAGGAAAGACUCCAGCCCAGAUAAAAAAAUGGUCGACCAGCUUGAUUCAAUUUGAAAUCAGUUCAAGAACAAAUAACAACUACCGAGAAAUGAGUUAACGUUCACUAUAUUCCAACCACUUGUUGCAACAAAGUUGACAAUAAAGACUGGUGAAACGUCUAAGUGAAUUUUGUAAGGCAUUGCUACUUUUUUUUUCGAACCGGGCUUUUCCCCUUUCCAUUACUUUCAUAACGGAAAUACAGUGUCUCAGGAACUGAAACCAGCAAGACUAGAAAGAAAGAGCAAAAGCGAGUUCGGGGCAACAUCAGGAAACCCACUAUCUGCGCCUGUCAACAGGAACAACAGAUCAUGGGGCGAAAACCUGAUGUCACCCAAAACCGCGCUAACACACCUACGGAAAGUAUCACAAGUCUUACAGAUAACACCAUCAGACGCCAGGCCACAACCGCCAUAACAUCAAAGAUCCAAAAGAACUACCAUAACCCUCCUACCAAGGUAAAAAUGGCACCACCCAGGUCACCCAGCCUGGCUCCCAGGAUGCAUCAACGUCUCUCCUUCUGCAGAACAAACACGCCAGCAGCUUACUCAACAGGGAGCAGUAGCGCCUUCUUCCUUAGUUCUCAUCACGCCCAUCUUUAGUUGGACCUGGUGGACCGCAAAGCAGCAUCAUCUGCGAAGUGUUCUCUCUCAGCAUCUCCGCUCCUUUCUUCACCAUCUCUCCCAUCUCUGCUUUCUGGAGACCUGCCCAGUUUACCAAAAAAGCACAAGCUGUGAAAACAAUCUCAAAUGGAGAGUUAAUCCAUUUGAGCUCAAAAGUGGCUCGGUUCCUGGCCAACCAAAUAGCCCAACAUAUAGCAGCCAAGCCAAUAGUGUAAACUUUGUCCAACCCAGGUAAGAAACUGUAUAUCCACGUAUAAUAUUGCUAAAUAGAAUUGGGACAACAAUUAGUUCCAAGCAAGGAACCUACGUUUCUCCACACCACCCUGGAAACAGGGCAUAAAAAGAAUAAGUGCUCAGCUGUUUCUAAUUGAUUACAGAACGAACACCAAGGGGCCCCCGGCCAUAAUCUUUUUUUCAUAUUGUCCCUGGUUAGGAUGGCAUUCUGCGCCAUCUGCCAUAAGAAGAUUUGAAUUUUAAGAGGGAGCUUUGCAUUCCAAAUCCAUUUAAAGUUAGAUCCUGCUAUAUCUUUUUCCAACCAAGUAUACAUGGAUUUAGUGGUAUAACUGCCCGAACUUUCCCAUUUCCAAUAAAUCUCAUCUGGCCCAUCACUAAGUUUAAGAUUUAACACUUCAUUGUUCAUUGCCUCCCAUUGUUUUAACAUCUCAGGGGACAUCCUCCUCCUAAAAGAGGAGAUCUGGUCCAGACAUUUAAAUUGGUCAACAUUACAAUUCUGUUCAUUGCAAGUUUCAAAGAGCAGUGGGAAUCUGUCUUUAAAAGGAAUUUUACCCUCCAGGCUAUCCUGCCAGAGCCUAGCCACAUCUCCCCUAUUCAACUUAAUACCUCUUCCCACCAUAUAUAGGCCUUUCCCUUUCAAAAGCGAUUUCCAGCAAGGUGAGUCACUGGCUUUGUGUUUUACCAUGGCAACCGAAGUUUUCUUAAGGUAUUUAGCCUUAACUAUAUCUUGCCAUAGUCCAUUAUUUUUCUCAAGCUUCCACCACCAUUUCACUAAAAGACUAAUAUUCUGUUUCCUCAAGUCUUUAACACCCAAACCCCCUUUCUUUUUGGAUCGACAUAUACGGCUCCAUUUGACCAUAUGGUAUCCUCUCUUUUUCUUAUUGUCAUGCCAGAAAAACUUCCGCCUGGGUUUGUCCCAUUUUUCCAAGGUAGUCUUGUUCAGAAGAAGAAGGGCAGCCUUGGCGUAGUGGUAAAGCUGCUGCCUUGUGACCAUGAGGUCAUGGGUUCAAGUCCUGGAAACAGCCUCUUACAGAAAUGUAGGGAAAGGCUGCGUACUAUAGACCCAAAGUGGUCGGACCCUUCCCUGGACCCUGCGCAAGCGGGAGCUACAUGCACCAGGUUGCCCUUUAGUCUUGUUCAGAAGAAACAUAGACAUGUACUCCCUCCGUUCCUAAAUACUUGUCUUUCUAGAGAUUUCAACAAGUGACUACAUACGGCGCAAAAUGAGUGAAUCUACACUUUAAAAUAUGUCUACAUACAUCCGUAUGUUGAGCCCAUUUGAAAUGCCUAGAAAGACAAGUAUUUGGGAACGGAGGGAGUAGAAAGUAGGAGUGUGAGAUAGUACAGAAUUCACUUUGAUCAGCCUCCCCCCCAUGGAUAGGAUUUCACUAAUCCAGUUUUCGCAGUUACUGCAUUUCAAGCCAGCGUAACUCACAGGCAUGCCUAGGUAUUUAAUAGGAAAAUUACCUAUCUGGCAGUUAAACAUUUCAGCAUAGUUUUGCAUAGUAGUAUCAUCAGCACAAAUCAAAAAGAUUUCACUUUUCAUAAAAUUGAGUUUUAAUCCAGACAUGACUUCAAAGAAAUAUAACAGCAGCUUAAUAUUGAGAGCGUUUCUAGGAUUAUCUUCGAAACAUAGGAUCGUGUCAUCCGCAUAUUGCAAGAUAGCCACCCCAUUGGGUACCAAAUCAGAUGUUAAUCCUUUGAACAGGCCAUUUUGCUAAGCCUUUACCACCAUUUUUGUUAAGCAGUCAGCGGCUAAGUUAAAGAGAAAAGGUGAGAAGGGGUCACCCUGGCGCACCCCUUUCGAGCUUUGAAAAUAGGGUCCAAUUUCGUCAUUCAAUUUCACACUUACUGUACCUCCUACCAGGAUCUUCCUAACCCAUUCAAUCCAUUGUGGAUGGAACUCCCUCAUCUUAUGACAGUUUAACAAGAAAUCCCAGUUAACUUUGUCAUAGGCUUUUUCGAAGUCUAGUUUCAACACUAUCCCUGACUUUUUCUUACUGUAAGUAUGAUGGAGAAUCUCAUGUAAAGACAUGAUUCCAUCCAUUAUGUCUCUUUUUUUGAUAAAAGAAUUUUGAUGCCUACUAAAUAGGAUAUCCACAAAAGGCUCCAGUCUAAUCGUAAGCACCUUAGUGAUGAGUUUAUAAAUGCAUCUCAGCAAGCAUAUGGGUCGAAACUGCUGAAUUUUAUUCGCUCCUACCACUUUGGGUAGUAAAGUAAUUAUCCCAUAGUUCAAACGUUGUACAUCUAGUUUGUUGUCAUGAAACCACUCAAACAAGAGUAGCACUUCAUUUUUUACUAUGUCCCAACAAUGUUGAAAGAAUUCAAUGGGCAUAUUGUCUGGACCUGGUGCUUUAUUUUUCUUCAUAAAGAAAAGAGCAUUUUUUAUUUCUGUUUCAGAGAAAGGUCUAGUAAGAAUAAAGUUGUCAAUAUUUGGCAGUUUUUCAUUUGGUUCCCACAUAUUUUCCUUAAGUUUGCAUAGAUUUCCAGCCGCAGGCCCAAAAAGUUCUUUAUAAAACUCAGUUGCAUGUUUCAGCAAGUUUCUAGUUCCCUCAAUUAUCUCAUCUCCACAGCUAAGUGAGAAAAUAGUAUUUCUCCUUCUUCUCCCAUUUACAAUUCUAUGAAAGUAUUCAGUAUUUCUAUCCCCUUUCAACAGCCAAUUUUCAUGAGAUUUUUGCAUCCAUGCAAUCUCUUCUUCCACCAAUAGAUCAUAAAGUUUUGCCAAAAUAUCCACUUUCUUGCAGUAUAAUUCGGGAGAAAGCACAUCAGUUUCUUCUAAUUUUUCUAGAUGUUCAAGUUCCUCUCUAAGGUCUCUCCUUCUCUUUUUAGAUUUCCCAAACAAGUUGGAUCCCCACCCUUUGAAGAAUUUUUUGAAUCUCUUCAUUUUGAUGUUUAACACAUCAAUGGGAUCAACUGCAUUUACAGGUUUCAUCCAUACCUUAGCAACUAAGGGAAUAAACUCAGGGUUUCUGAGCCAAUUAAGAUCAAAUCUGAAUUCUCUUUUAUGACUUGUGUUAGGAGUGCAGUCUUCUGUAUUCAGGAUCAAAGGACUAUGAUCUGAAAUCUCUUUGGUCAGUUUCCUGACAAAAGUCAAAGGGAAUUGCCUUUCCCAAGAACUGGACAUAAGUAUAAGGUCCAACUUUUCAAGGGUAGGGUUCUGUUGAUUAUUAGACCAAGUGUAUAUACCUCCAUUCAUGUCAAUUUCCCUGAGACAGAAUGUGUUAAUGAUGGAAUUAAAGAGAUCAGUAGCAUGACUCAUCCUGGUCUUCUUAUUUUUUCCCUUAGCAUAUCUAAGCAUAUCUAAGGGCGAGUUAUAUUGCCACACAUGUCAAAUAACUCAGUCAAAAAUUCCAUCUUAUACUCUUCAUGAGCAGAUCCAUAUACUACCAGUAUACAAUACAACAUUUUUUUUCCUCUUAUACCAUAAUUCCAGUUUCAUGAUAUAUUUGCCUGUCUCAUAUGAUCUCACCUCAAAGGUAUCCUCCUUAGUACCACACAGAAUUCCUCCAGACUUGCCUAGUGAAGGGAUCCAUCUCCAAUCAAAAUACUGUCCAGGAUCAAUUUUCCUCAAGAAUUUAGAGGAAAAAUCCUUUUUCAUUGUUUCCUGAAUGCCAAUAAAAUCUAGGCAGUAGUCUCUAAUUAGGUCAGAUAAGCAAGUUGCCAUACCUCUCUUUCCCACUCCCCUACAAUUCCAGAAGAGGCUAAUCAUUUUUUCUUGCAUUUGGGGGACUGUCCUUUGUUGCUAGGUUUACCAGGGAGCAUGGUCGAACCAGCAUCAAAGGACAUUUUGUUUUUUUUGACUUCUAGUCACAGGUUUAGAUAUUACCACAUUCACCUUCUUCUUAUCCCUUCUUCUAGAUCUAACAACAGUAAACUCCUCUUCAUCCACCUCCCCAUCUCUAACCCAGUUUGUAUUAAGGGGGCAUUUGUCCCCAGUUUGUAUUAAGGCAUUGCUACUCUGUUCUAGUUUGCAACAAAGUAAGGAAAUAUGACAAAAAUAAUGGGAGGGUUACUAACAAGCGGUGGCAAGCAUGCCCAGAAGUCCUGCAGAUAAAAUAGAGAGAAACAGAUUAGUAGAUGGUAUUGAAUUUUUCAUUGAUGACAGAGAUAAAAACUAAGGAGUGUGAGCAACUAUAAAUAAAACAGUACCUUGACUGGAUCGUUGAGGUAGCCCCCAUCAAAAGAGAAAACUGUGAUGCCAGAGGGUGCUUGGUACAGCAGCAUAGCCGAUGCAUCAUUCAUCUUUCUUUCUGUCAUUAGGGAUGAUGCAUCACUAAUCUUAAUGUCUCCUGCCGAGAAACGAAACAAACGUAAUCAGAUGGGAUUACAUGAACUCCCACACAGCCCCUCAAUCUAUCACGAAUAAGCCUCUUUCUAGGCGAAAAGAUCGUCUCCUAUCAUUCAUACGACGGAAUGAAUCACCAAACAAAAUCAGUGUGAUUUAGCUGCUUACUUGUGACAAUUUCUGGUUGAUGUGUUGACGAAUCUGGCAGGGGUGAGGGGGCGGCGUCGAGGCUCUCUAGGGUUUCAUUUCUUACUGUAUUUCUUAUCUCAUGGCUCCAGAUUUCUGAGAGAGAGAAGGGUGACUCACCUGCGUUGAAGGGCGUCGCCGAGGCCAAAUGCCGGCGGCGGUGUCGUCGUCGCUCGUGCGAGAGACAUGGGCCGUGCUUCUAAGGCGGCCUCCGGGCACAGAUUCUGGAAAACCCUAUUUGCCGCUCCUUGCGGCAAAAUGUCGGGAGAACGCAUAGGGGAUCGAGCGGUCGUUCCAGGUGGGCCGGCCCGUUAAGUGUUUUCAGUAUUGCCGCUUUUAGGAAACUUCUAGGAUGUUCCAGCCGAUUCUUUUUUAUUUUAGGAACCUUCCAGCAGGUUCCUGAACCGGUUUUUUUUCAUUUUCCGUUUCUUUUUCGUUUUUCCGUUUUUCUUUGUUGUUUUUCUUCUUCUUUUUGUUUUUAGUUAUUUCUGUUUCUUUUUUUAUUUCUUCAUUUUUUUCUGUUUGUUAUCUUUCUUUGGUUUGUUAUUUUAUUUUCUCCUUUUUUUCAAAACAAAUUCAAAAUAUUCAAAUUUUGUUUGUGUUUCCAUAAAAUGUUCAGUUUUGGAAAAAUGGUUCUCAAAAUUCAAAAUUGUUCUUGUCACAUAAAAAAGUUCAAAACUUUUGAAAUUCAGAUAAUGUACCGGAUUUCAAUUUUUUGUUCACAUUUUCAAAAUAUGUUCACCCUUCCAAAUGUAUUCGGGAUUUUUCAAAAAAAAGUUCUCUGUUUCAAAAUUUAUUCUCAAUAUUCAAAACAUGUUCGUGCUUUUAAAAACUGUUCGGGCUUCCAAAUUUGUUCCCCGUUUCAAAAUUUGUUCUCAAUAUUCAAAAAAAGUUCAUGCUUUUAAAAAUUGUUCGUGCUUCAAAAUUUGUUCUCUGUUUCAAAAUUUGUUCUCAAGAUUCAAAAAAAUGUUCGUGCUUCCAAAUUUUUUUUCUGUAUCAAAAAAUUCCGUAAAUUUAAAAAAUGUUCGGGGAUUUUUAUAAAACUUCUCGUUUUCCAAAUUUGUUCGUAAUUUCAAAAACUAUUUGACUUUUCAGAAUAUGUUCUCUGUUUGUUUUUCCUUUUGGUUUUUCUUUCCUUUUUUUGUUGUCAUUUUUCAUGUUUCUUUUGUUUGAAAUUUUCAAAUAUUUGUUCUCAAUAUUAAAAAAAUGUUCUCAUAUUCAAAAUUUAGAAAAAUGUUCUGGAAUUUUAAAAUUUCCAGUAUUUGAAAAAAUGUUAUAUUUUUUAAAAUAUAUUCACGAUUUCAAAAAUAUAUUUUAUGGAUUUCAAAUGAAUAUUUCAUUUUCGUCUUUAAAAAAAUGCACUAGCUACAUUACUACUACAAUACCUAUAGCUAGUCCUGGCCAUGGGCCGCCCGGCCCGGACAACCCGGCCUGACCCGGCCCGACGCUGCUCCCGGGCCGGGCCUGGGCCUAGGUUUUGAGCCCAAAGACUAGGUCGGGCCGGGCCUGGGCCCGCUGUUUAUGCCAUUUACUAAAGAGGCCCGGCCCGAGGCCCGAGGCCCGACGUGUUUUUUGCUGUGAUGGGCCGGGCUCGGGACUGAAAACUAGGCCCGACGGCCGGGCCGGGCCGGGCUCGGGCCUGAGUUUUCUACCUCGGGCUUGGUCAGGCCCGGCCCGAAGCCUGGCCCGGCCCGGAGGAUGGCCAGGUCUACCUACAGCAUGUCUGUCACCAAAGUUCGAUUGGUUUGUUGGCUAGCGUUGCGCCCACUAUAGCGGGAGAUCCAGCUUUCGGUUCCUGGUAAGCGCGUGUGUUUUUCCAUUUUUGUAUUUUCAAUUACGCGAUACACUUCACCGACUGGGCCGGCCCAGGUCAGACUCCUUCUGUGCGUUUGCUCGACUCCUUGCCGCAGCGAGCGGCAGCUAGGAGCUCCCACGGCCGGCACGCGAACGGAAAGGGUGCACCUAUAUCUGCCAAAUUCGGAAAACCCUAUUGAACGCUCGCUGCGGUAAAGUAUCGGACGAUCGCACAGAGCAGUCCAGCGACAAAACAUGGGCCGGCCCACUUCCAAAUGCACACAGUCCGUCCAAACGGUUUUGGAAACCUUCUAGAAGGGUUCCUAAACCGGGUUUUUUUGUUAUUUUGAUUCUUUUCUGGUUUUUCUGGCUUUCUAUUAUUUUUUUCUUUUCCCAUUUUUCUUUUUUCUUUUUUCUGCUCCUGUUUCUUUUUAUUUUUCUCUUUCUUAUUUUCAGGUUUAUUUUCCUUUUUCAAAAAGUGUCCAGAAUUUUCAAAAUUGAUUACAUUUUUCAAAUUUUUGUUACAAACAUAUGAAAAUGUUUCCUCUUUUCAAAUUUUGUUUCAAAUGCACAAAAUUCGAAAAAGAUGAGAAUCUCAAUAAUUGUUUGCAUUUUCAAAAUUUGUUCAGAAAUUUCAAAAAAUGUUCUAAGUUGCAAAUUUUGUUUUUUUUUCAAAAAUUGUUCGGAAUCUUACUUUUGUUCUGAAACUUUUUUUGGAAUGUUUCUUUUUGUUCUCAUUUUUUUUCAAAUUUUGUUCAUGUUGUUCGUGUUUUCAAAAUUUUGGAGUUCAAAAAUUGUUCGGAAUGUUAAUUUUUGUUCUCAUUGUUGUUCGCGUUUUAAAAAUUGUUCGGAAUCUUUUUUUUUUCUUAAAAUUUGUUCAGAAUGUUAAUUUUUGUUCUCAUUUUUUCAACUUUUGUUCAUGUUGUUCAUGUUUUCAAAAGUUUAGAGUUCAAAAUUUGUUUGGAAUGUUAAUUUUUGUUCUCAUUUUUACAAAUUUUAUUCAUUUUUACUGAAAAUGUUCCUGUUUUUCAAAUUUUGUUCAUAAAUUUCAAAAAUUGUUCGCUCAUUUAAUAAAAUGUUCAAUAAUUCACAAAAUGCUCAACUUUUUAAAUUAUGUUGCCACACCAAAAAUUGUUUUUUUCAGGAAAAAAUUCACAUUUUCUAAAAAACAAUAUGGAAAUUUAAAAAAUGUUCACAUGUUUAAAUUUUGUUAUAAAUAAAAAAUGUACGGGAAUUACCACAGUGGCUAUGGCUAGCGUCCGUGGCAUGAGGAGAAGAGUUCGAUUUGUUUCCCACAAAUUUCAUUUAUAUGGAAUUUGGUGAACUUGUUUUAUUUUCACGGCUGCCUAUAGUUCUUUAAGUUUCGCGUUGCAAUUCUUACAUUGUAGAGCGCGUGUUGCAGUGGCUUGUGCAUCACGGGCAUCUAUAGAAGGUCGUGAGUUUGAUUUCUACGUAGCGCGUCUCUUUUUUGCUAUUUUUCAUUCCGCAAGGGCAGCGAAUGGCGGGCCCAGGUGACCCGUCUCCUGUGCAAACCUGCAGCAUUUUGCCACAGUAAGCGGCACAUAGGAGGUCUCGCAAAAUCCUAUACGGCACCCUCAGCGCCCGAUAUAGGGUUAACUAGCACAAAUGCCUGUAUGUUGCAACAGGAGAAACAAACUCACGCACAGACCUAGCGAGUCAUCUUCGUUGCCAUUUCUCCCAUGUCAUCAUGACGGUGGUCACUUGCCCACCUAUUACAACAAAUAUCAUCAAUCCCAAGGCGGCGAGUUUGGUCAUCACACUCUACCAUGCCGAUUUUAGAAACCUCUCCCUACACUGGCUUGUAGUUCCUUGUGCGUCACAUACAUCUUCAAGUGCUUCAACACAAAUGUCUUAAACAAAUCAGCCGAUGCAUAUCCUUCUUAGCGCACACAAUAAUAAUUAUUAAUGCAAAUUAAGUUAAGUCAGGAGGACAACAAUUACUUGAGUCAACACAAACUGCAUACACUUCACUGUCAACACCGUCCUACUUCUUCAUCUCUAGCAUGAACUUGGGUAUGUUUCCAGCAGCGAACUAUGCGUGCUCUUUAGCCAUGGCUAUCUAAUCAUAGUUUAAAAAACAAACGAGCGACUCACCGGUUGUACCGCCGGCUCAUCGGUUCAUUCAUGACAAAAAAAGAAUAUUUAAGUUAUUCAAAAUUAACCUUAGAUCAAAUGAGUACACAUAAUAUUGGAUGUAAUCCAUUAAAAAAUCACAAAAUGUUUAUGGCCUAGUUGGUUAUUGGUCCUUUAGAGUCCAUGGGCUCAAGGACAACGGUUUGAUCACAAUUUAAUGCACCAUUUUACAAAUAUUUUCUUGAAUUUUUAUGAAGUCUUAAAAAAUAUGCAAAACGUUGGUUCCCAUUGGCUACAAAUCAAUAAUUGUUAACUUAACAUUCACACUGCCCAAAAUAAUUCGUGCUUCAUAUUUCUUCUUUUAAAUUCCUUCCUUUUCUUCCUAAUAACAGAGGUCCGCUUCCAGCAAUCCUUCCUUAAUUGUGCAACUGUUAACCGUUAAUUAUGGGUGCAUUAGCAGCCCACAAAUACCGUAUCCUUUAAAGGACACACAAAUCCAGCCCCAUCAUGAUCCCUCCCUUUAAUCAAGGGGACUCCUCGCCGGCAAUUAAUGCCCAAGGAUAUUUCUCUUUAUUUGCAUGGCAGCCACACAAUCUCAGGGCCAAUUCCUUUCAGUGUCUUCCAAGCAAUUAGAGAACAUAUAUCGGGGUGAUUCAAUAUAAACCCUUCAAGUGGAAUUAAUCACAAAUAGAAGUUAGUUGAGUUGGUUACCGCGGGUUCUUUUGAUAUGAGAGGUGUUGUGUUUGAUUCUCCACUGUGUAAUCUAUAUAUUUACUUGAUAAUAUUACGAAGCCCACUCAUUUUUUACUUGAUUUUCAGGAGCCCACUCGCAGCCCAGUGGAUGCCCGUAUUUGUUUUUUGCUUGGAUGGGCUUCGAUCGCAUACACUGGCCCAGCCAAGUGAUCGUUCAACCCAGAAACAAAAAUGUGAGCAAGCUUGCGCAGCGUCAAAAAAUAGUACCACCUUGGAUAAUAAAAAUCUUCGAGGCGGGACGAAACCAAAAAAUAGUACCACCGGAUAAUAAAAAUCUUCGAGGCGGGACGAAACCAAAAAAAAAUCACCUAAACGGGACGAAACAAAGCGAAACCAAACCAAGAAUACCCAUUCCCUUUAAUAGUAGGUAUAGAUAUAGAUGGUAUGGGGCGCACAACCCCUGUCCAUGCUGGGCCGGCCCAACAGUUUCUGUUUUAAAGAAGCAAAAAAGAACGAGUGCAAGUACCAUUAUUCGAACUGGCGACCGCCUACUUUAAACUUUGCUUCCUUGAAAUAUCGGCCACAUAUGCUUAACGUGUUUAGUUAUAGGCCUUUCCUUCUUUUCUUCUUACUUUUUUGUUGUAAUAGUUUUGUUAUUUUUUCUAUUUUUAUUCAUUUCCAUGUUUGCCUUUUUUCCUAAACUUUUUUAUAAUACAACAAUUUUUUGUUUCAGAUUCGUGAACUCUUUUCUAGUUUGAUGAUUUUUUUAAAAAAAAUCAACAAACUUUUUUUUCAAAUUCGAUGAACUUUUCAAAUUCAAUGAACUUCUUUACAAGUUUGAUGAACUUUUUCUCAAAUUUGAUGAACUUUUUUCGAAUUUGGUGAACUUUUUUCAAAUUUGAUGAACUUUUUUUAAAUUUGAUGAACUUUUUUUAAGUUUGAUGAACUUUUUUUCAAGUUAGAUGAACUUUUUUACAAGCCCGAUGAACUUUUUUCAAAUUUGAUGAACUUUUUUCAAAAUCAAUGAACUUUUUUCAUACACUAUGAUAUUUUUUUUCAAAUUUACGAACUUUUUUGAAAUGACUAGCAAAGGAGCGAACAGCGAUCAGCGAUUUAACAAGCAGCUACCGAGCGAGUUUGCGGAAGCUCCUAUUUGCCGCUCGAUGCGGCAAAUAAGUUCUGUUUCGCACAGGAGGGUGUCCAACUGGGCCGGCCCAUGAAUGUAACAACCGACAGUAUGCUGUAGCUAUAAAAAAUGCAAACGUCACGGGAAUUCGAAACCAAGAACUCUCGCUAAACCUGACGUGGUUCUACCAGUUGAACUAGCAUUCUUUACUCAUUAUACAGCAGUGCCAAGCUUAAAGAACCAACUGCAACGCAGAUCCACAUAAUAUCUUGAAUUUCAAAAGCAUUUUCUAUUGAAAAAACCGAAGGGAUCUGUGAACACAAACAAAUUGCUAAGUUGCAAAUAAAAUACUAAAACUGAAAUAUAUUUUCAAAUAUGGAACAUUUUUUGAAAUUCCAAGAGAAAAUUUGAAAACAUGAACAUAUUUUGAAAAAUGUGAAACCAAGAACAUUUUUUGAAAUUGGUGAACAAAAAAUUGGAAUUGAACAAUUUCGACACUCCUGAAAAAUGAAAACUUGUACAUUUUUGAAAUUUGUGAACAAUUUUUGAAAACAGGAAUAUGUUUUCAACUGCCCGAACAUUUUUUGAAAAUUAUGAACAAAUAAUUGAAACUGAAAAAUUUCGAAACUCCUGAAAAAAUGAAAAUGGGAACAUGUUAUGAACCACCCGAACAUUUUUUGCAAUUUAUGAACAUAAAUUUCAAACUCAAAAAUUAGCCUGUGCACAUUUUUCGAAAUUUCUGAACAUUUUAUUUAAAAUGGGAACUUGUUUUGAACCACCUGAACAUUUUUUUGAAAUUUGUGAACAAAAAUUUGAAACUAAAUAAUUUUGAAACUCCUGAGAAAAUGAGAACAUGCACAUUUUUCGAAAUUUGCAAACAAUUUAUUUAAAGCAGGAACAUUUUUUGAAACUAGAACAGUAUUUUAAAAAUGGAACAUUUCCUGAAUUUAUGACCAAAACUUGAACUCGUGAAAGGUUUUAAAAAUUUGAACAUUUUUCAAAAAUAUGAAAAAGUGAUGAAAGAAAAAAGAAACUCGAAAUAAGAAAGAGAAACAAAAAAAGAAACAGAAAAAAGUAAAUACAAAGAAGAAAAAGAAACAGAAUAAUGAUAAAAAGAAAAAGGAAAAAAUAAAAAAGAAAAACAGAAAUUAAAAGGUAAACCGGUAAAAGAAAAUAAACCGGUUCAAGGAACCUUCUGGAAGAUUCCCAAAACCGGACGAUAGUACAGGAACUGCGUAUGCAUAAUGGGCUGGCCCAUCGUGUCGCUCGGUCGAUUCGCCUGCGCGAAGCGCCGGCAGUUUGACGCAGCGCGUGUCUAAUAUGAUGCAGCGCGUGUCUAAUAGGGUAUUCCGGCGGGGAUUUCCUAUAUGACGCGUUCUGCGUCAAAAUGCUGCCCUUUCGCACAGGCAUGUUAUCGCGGUGCGCCGAUUGGGCCGGCCCAUUGUAGUGCAUGGAAAAUAAUGCAAAAAUUUAUGUGGCGCGAUGGACGGGAAUCGAACAGAAGACUGCGGACUUGUGUGCGCACGCUUCAAGCCACCACGACGAAAGGGCUUACUUGACAAACAUACAGCGGAAAACUAACUAGUACAAAGUUGAGUCAUCUAUUUUGAAACAGAGGGAGUAUAAGAUUUAACACAGUUUGAAAAAAAUCCUUUACAAUUUUCCAAAUUUUAGUUAAAUUUUGAGCGUACGAUUUGUUUUUACAAGAGCAAACAAUUUUAUGAUAUCACGAACAUAUUUUGAAUUUAUGAAAUGUAUUUCGAACACAUGAGCAUUUUCAGAAUAUGUGAACAAUUUUCUAAAGCAAGAACAUUUUCAAAAAUUUGAGAACAAAUUUUGAAACGGAGAACAAUUUCGAAAGUCCUAAAAAAAUAUGGAACACAAACAUUUUUUGAAAACAUGAACAUUCUUAGAAUUUGUGAACAAUUUUCUAAAGAAAGAACAUUUUUAAAAAUUUGAGAACAAAUUUUGAAACGGAGAACAAUUUCGAAAAUCCUGAACAAAAAUGGAAGCACAAAUAUUUCAGAAUUGGUGAAUAAUUUUCUAAAGCAAGAACAUUUUUUAAAAUUUGAGAACAAAUUUUGAAACGGAGAAACAUUUCAAAAAUUCUAAAUAUGGAAGCACAACCAUUUUUUGAAUACAGGAACAUAAAUUUGAAAUCCAGAAACUUUUUUGAAAUCUUUGAACAAAUUUUGCAAAGCACGAAGUUUUUUUAGAGACAACGCAAUCUUUUAUUUGAAAAUAUUCUAGCAUUUGUUGGAAAGGCAAACAAAUUUCAAAUAUUUUGAAAUUUUUUUAUUUUGCAUUUUUUAACAUUUUUUUCCAAAAAUGCUAACAUUUAUAAAAUUUUGAGAGUAAUUAAACUUUGAAUAUUUUUUGGAAAUGUGAACAAAUUUUAAACAUUUUUACUAAAAAAGAAGGACAAAAGGAAAAACAAAUGGAGAAAGAAAUAAAGAAAAAACAAAUAAAAUAAAAUAAAACAAGGAAAAAAGAAAACAAAAAAAAAGAACAAGGAAAAAACCCACGUCAGGAACCUUCUAGUAGAUUCCCAAAACCAGAGAAAACCGGCUGGUAACCUCUAGAAGGUUCCCAAAACCGGGGACGCUGAAAGCUUAAACAGGCUGGCCCAGUCGAGCGAUCGCUGGGUCUCCCCCUGGCGAAACCUCGACAGUAUAACGCAACGUGCGUCCAAUAGGAAAUUCCAUAUAGGCACGCCCUUUCUAUUCGCGCCGGCAAGAAUCUGUGCCCGGAGGCCGCCUUAGAGCAUCUCCAGCCGCGCCCCCCACAUGCCCUCCCCAGGAGCUAAGAAAAUCUUUUGAGAACUAAGGAAAUCUUUACUAUUGUUCUCAAGAUCAGAGGGAAUCUUAUUAUAAUUUCCAUAAGAAUUGUUGUAGAAAUUACCAUAAUUAUUAGAGGAAUUACUAGGAAACGGCCUAGGAUUGAAAUUCUCUCUAUAUGCGUUAUUACCAAAAUUGUGCGUACCAACAAAAUUCACAUCCAUAGAUUCAUUAUUAUUUGCAAUCAAAGAAGACAAAGGCAUAUCAUUAGGAUCAAUAGGAGCACUCUUACUAUCAACCAAUUUUAUAUGUCCAUCCAUCUUUCCACUCAAAACAUUGAUUUCUUCAAUUGCAUGCACUUUUUUACUAGUGGAAGAUCUUUCGGUAUGCCAUUCAGAGUAAUUUGACAUAUUAUUAUCUAGGAGUUUAGUAGCUUCUCCUAAUGUGAUUUCCAUAAAAGUACCACCUGCUGCGGAAUCCAAAAAAUUUCUAGAUGCAAAAUUCAGUCCCGCAUAAAAUGUUUGUAUAAUCAUCCAUAAACUCAAACCAUGCGUGGGGCAAUUUCUUAUCAUCGAUUUCAUCAUCUCCCAAGAUUGUGCAACAUGUUCAUGAUAAACUUGCUUAAAAUUCAUUAUAUCAUUCCUAAGGGAGAUGAUCUUAGCGGGAGGAAAAUACUUGGAAAUAAAAGGCAUAUUUACACUUAUUCCAUGAAUCAAUACUAUUUUUAGGCAAAACUGAAAACUAAGUUUUAGCAUGAUCUCGUAGUGAGAAUGGAAAUAGCUUCAAUUUAACAAUAUCAUUAUCCACAUCUCUUUUCUUUUGCAUAUCACACAACUCAACGAAAGUAUUUAGAUGGGAUGUGACAUCUUCACUAGGAAGGCCAGAGAAUUGAUCUUUCAUAACAAGAUUCAAAAAAGCGGCAUUAAUUUCAUAAGAUUCCGCACUAGUGACAGGGGUGAUCAGAGUACUAAUAAAAUCAUUAUUAUUAGUGUUGGAAAAAUCACACAGAUUAGUAUUCCCUUGAGUCAUCGUGGUUAAUCAAGCAAUCUAGCACACAAACAAACAAAAAGCAAACGAAAAGACGAAGUCAUGAAGGGUGAAUAAAAAAGGCAAAUAUUUUUGUCUUUUUUAAAAAUCAUUUUAGAAGUGGGGGAGAGGAAAACGAGAGGCUAAUGGCGAAUAAUAUAAUGCAAGAGAUGAUAGUUUAUGAUGGGUACUUGGUAGGCUUGAUGUAGAACCUCCCCGCCAAUGGUGCCAGAAAUUCUUCCUGCUACUUGUUGAGCUUGCGUUGAUUUUUCCCUUGAAAAGGAAAGGGUGAUGCAGCAAAGUAGAGAUAAGUAUUUCCCUCAGUAAAGAACCAAGGUAUCAAUCCAGUAGGAGGAACAAACAAUUCUCCAAUCUAUGCACCUGCACAAACUAAGAAACACUUGCACACAACGCAAAAGGGGUUGCCAAUCCCUUCCCGGUCACGAACAAGAGUGAGAUCUAAAAGAGAAAGGUAUAGAAGAUAAAUAAAAGAGCAAACUAAAGUAAAUAUAAAUAAAUUGCAACAAGGUUAUUUUGAGUUUUUUUGGUUUAUAGAUAUGAAAAUAUAUGAUGGAAAAUAGACUUGGGGCCAUAGGUUUCACUAGAGGCUUCUCUCUUGAAAGAAAAUACACGGUGGGUAAACAAAUUACCGUCGAACAAUUGAUAGAAAAGCGAAUAAUUAUGACGAUAGCUAAGGCAAUGAUCAUGAAUAUAGGCAUCAUGUCUGUGACAAGUAGACCGACUCCUGCCUGCCUCUACUACUAUUACUCCACAUAUCGACCGUUAUCCAGCAUGCAUCUAGAGUAUUAACCUCAAGAGAACAGAGUAACACAUUAAGUAAGAUGACAUGAUGUAGAGGGAUAAACUCAAGCAAUAUGAUGAAAACCCCAUCCUUUUAUCCUUGAUGGCAACAAUACAAUACGUGCCUCUCUAGCCCUACUAUGUCACUGGGUGAGGGCACCGCAAGAUUGAACCCAAAACUAAGCACCUCUCCCAUUGCAAGAAAAAACAAUCUAGUUAGCCAAACCAAACCGAUAAUUCAAAGAUAAACACAAAGAUAUCAAAUCAUGCAUAUAAAAAUUCAGAGAAGAUUCAAAUAAUAUUUAUAGAUAAUCUGAUCAUAAAUCCACAAUUCAUCAUAUCUCGAAAAACACACCGCAAAAGAAUAUUACAUCGGAUAGAACUCUAAGAACAUCGAGGAGAACAUUGUAGUGAAGAUCAAAGAGAGAGAAGAAUCCAUCUAGCUACUGGCUAUGGACCCGUAGGGUCUGUGCUAAACUACUCACGCAUCAUCGGAGGGGCAAUAGGGUUGAUGUAGAUGCCCUGCUUGAUCAAAUCCCCCUCUGGCAGAUCAUCGGAAAAGGCCCCAAGAUGGGAUCUCACGGGAGCAGAGGCUUGCGGUGGUGGAAAAGUAUUUUCGUGGAUGCCUCUGAUGGUUUGGAAAUAUAUAGGCCAAAGAUUAGUGUUAGGAGACCUUCAGGGGGCAGAAGCCCAGGGGCGCGCCCCUACGGCUUGUCGUUGCCUCGUGGGUCUUCUAACUUCAUCUCCAAGUCUUGUGGGUGUCUUCUGGUCCAAGAAAGAUCAUCACAAAAGUUUUACUCCGUUUGGGCUCCGUUUGAUAUUACUUUUCUGUAAAACUCAAAACAAGGAAAAAAUAUAAACUAGCACUGGGCUCUAGGUUAAUAAGUCAGUCCCAUAAAUAAUAUAAAAUAGCAUAUUAAUGCAUAUAAAACAUCCAAAACAAAUAAUAUAAUAUCAUGGAACAAUAAAAAAUUAUAGAUACGUUGGAGACGUAUCAGGGGCGCCCCCUGGCUUGUGCCCCCCCCCCCCGGGGAGUCCACCGACCUCCCUCUCAGCUCUAUAAAUUCAAAAAUAUUCCCAAACAACCAGAAGCGUCCACCAAAAUACUUUUCCGCCGAUGUAACCUUCUGUUCCCGUGAGAUCCCAUCUUGGGGCAUUUUUCGACAUCCUGUCGAAGGGGGAUUCGAUCAUGGAGGGUAUCUACAUCAACUCUAUUGCCCUUCCGAUGAAGCGUGAGCAGUUUACCACAGACCUACGGGUCCAUAGCUAGUAGCUAGAUGACUUCUUCUCUCUCUCUUUGAUCUUCAAUACAAUGUUCUCCUCGAUGUUCUUGGAGUUCUAUCCGAUGUAAUCUUCUUUUGAGGUGUGUUUGUCAAGAUCCGAUGAAUUGUGGAUUUAUGAUCAGAUUAUCUAUGAAUAUUAUUUUAAUCUUCUCUGAAUCCUAUAUGCAUGGUUUGAUAUCUUUGCAUUUCUCUUCGAAUUAUCGGUUUGGUUUGGCCAACUAGAUUGGUUCUUCUUGCAAUGCAAUGGGAGAGGUGCUUAGUUUUGGGUUCAAUCUUGCGGUGUCCUCGCCAAGUGACAAAGUAGGGGUAGCGAGGCACGUAUUUGUAUUGUUGCCAUCAAGGGUAAAAAGAUGGGGUUUUCAUCAUAUUGCUUGAGUUUAUCCCUGUACAUCAUGUCAUCUUACUUAAGGCGUUACUCCCUUCUUAUGAACUUAAUACUCUAGAUGCAUGCUGGAUAGCGGUCAAUGUGUGGGGUAAUAGUAGUAGAUGCAGACAGGAAUCGGUCUACUUGACACGGACGUGAUGCCUAUAUUCAUAAUCAUUGCCUUGGAUAUCGUCAUAACUUUGCGCUUUUCUAUCAAUUGCUCGGCAGUAAUUUGUUCACCAUCGUAUUAUUUUCUUUCAAGAGAGAAGCCUCUAGUGAAACCUAUGGCCCCCUGGUCUAUUUUCUAGCAUAUAUUUUCAGAUUAAUAAACCAAAAAACCCAAAAAUACCUUAUUGCAAUUUAUUUCUUUUUUACUUUUUUUACAUUUUAGUAAUCUUUUAUAUCUAUCUCUAUCAGAUCUCACCUUUGCAAGUGACCGUAAAGGGAUUAACAUCCCCUUUAUCGCGUUGGGUGCAAGUGUUAGAUUGUUUGUGCAAGUGCAUAGAUUGGAGACUUGCGUGUACCUCCUACAGGAUUGAUACCUUGGUUCUCAAACAGAGUGAAAUACUUAUCUCUACUUUGCUGCAUUACCCUUUCCUCCUCAAAGGAAAAUCAACCCAAGCUCAAGAAGUAGCAUGGCCCACCCAAAACCCCUCCUCCAUCCUGCGCGCGCUUCCUCCUGGCGCCAGCUACCCGCAUUCACUCCGCUAUAGAGUACGCCUCUCCAUAUUGAAGACGGCCUAGGGCAGACACGACCUCUCACUGCCUCCGCCAUUGAAGCGGUGCGCUGGCUGAGGGCUGGUUGAGGGCGCCGCCCGCUGCACGCCCAGCUGAACACGCCUCCUCGCCGCACUCAAACGCCUACAUUAAAGACGGUGCAAGCCGAGGAACCUACUCCGGCCACACGUUCCUUCACAAGUGGUCCGACAUUAAAUGCAACAUCGAGCAAGGUCCUCCCAUCUGCCCUUAAAUGCGACCAAGAGUUUUUUGUAGGGGGUGUCUGCACUUGCUAGUAGGUCAGUUUUGGUUGGCAAUGGUUUACGUAGAAGGGCUAAGAUGGAGAAUUAUCCUACUACCAGUUUUAGAAAGUGUUGAUCCGUGCUUCUCCGGAUUCAUUGGAAAGUAUACUGGACAACUAUUUUAUAUCGACUCCGGUGGAAUUGAAGGACACGGCUCUAACGCAUUUUUGUGCUGAGAUAUAUCAGUGGGAUGUGACUUACCUUGAUUGCAAGUGCAUGCAUUGGAAUUAUUGCACAUGCUUUGAAAUGUAGCUCCAAAGAAGAUGUUUCAGCUUGGCUUCAACCUCGAAGUGAUUGCAAUACACCCACAUGCCAUUAUAAUAUUCUUUAUAGCUCAUUGGAAGAAUGAACUGGUUGCAUACGAUCUGGAUCAUCAUGAAAGCGCAAUUGUGUAUCACAUUGAGCCUAACAAUAGGAAGUUUAGGACUUUUUUCUCUUAUGUGCCAUUGUCGUCCCGCCUACCACUGGAUGGAGGAAUAUGGCUAGCAACUCCAAAUUGAUGAAUAUUGCUGAUUAAAAAGUGGGUGGUCAACAAUGAGGUGCUCCUUUGCGUUCUCAAGAGUAAUCUUCAUAGAGAUUCAAGUACAAAUAUUAUUGUUUUGGGUUGAAAAAUGCCAACUUCAGUUUUUAGUUCAGUUGGAAAAUGCCAACAAGUAGAGUUGCAUGGGAUACCUUAGUGUUUCUAUUUAGACAUGUACCUGAUAUCUCUAUUAAAUCUUAUGUUCUGAUAUGAAAAGGCACAGUCUCAUAUGUGCACAUUCAAUCUGCAUUGGUCAGUUCUAUCUUGUUGUCUGCACUCCUAAGAUUUACUUGGUGUUUUUUUGCGUGGUUGAUGUUAGAUUCAUAGAAGUUUGCAUAUGUGUGAAGAAUGUAUUGUGAUCAUGUGAUAACCCACAAGUAUAGGGGAUCACAACAGUUAUUGAGGGUAGAGUAUUCAACCCAAAUUUAUUGAUUCGACAUAAUAGAAGCCAAAGAAUAUUCACGAGUAUUAAUAGUUGAGUUGUCAAUUCAACAACACCUGAAAGACUUAAUAUAUGUAGCAAAGUUUUUAGUAGCAAAGUAGUAUGGAAGUAAUGGUAACAGUGGUAACAAUAGCAAUAGCAAUUUUGCAAUGAUUGUAACAGCAGCACGUCAAAAGUAACUUAGCAAAAAUCAAUAUGUGAAAAGCUCGUAGGCAUUGGAUCAAUGAUGGAUAAUUAUGUCAGAUGCCAUUCAUCAUGAAACAUUUAUAACCUAUAGCGACACAGAACUAGCUCCAAUUCAUCAAUUUAAUGUAGGCAUGUAUUACGUAUAUAGUCAUACGUGCUUAUGGAAAAGAACUUGCAUGCCAUCUUUUGUCCUACCCUCCCGUGGCACCAGGGUCCAUAAGGAAACUAAGGGAUAUUAACGCAUCCUUUUAAUAGAGAACCGAAACAAAGCAUUAGCACUUUUUAUAUAAAACAUAAUAGGUUCAGAUCUGAAAUCAUGGCACUCAGGCCCUAGUGACAAGCAUUAAGCAUAGCAAAGUCAUAGCAACAUCAAUCUCAGAACAUAGUCGAUACUAGGGAUCAUGCCCUAACAAAACUAACUCGAUUACAUGAUAAAUCUCAUCCAACCCAUCACUGUCCAGCAAGCCUACGAAGGGAUUACUCACUCCCGGCGGUGAGCAUAAUGAAAUUGGUGAUGGAGGAAGGUUGAUGAUGACGACGACGUCAAUUUCCCCUCUCCGGAGCCCAAAACAGACUCUAGAUCAGCCCUCCUGAUGAAGAACAGGAGGUGGGGGCGGCUCUGUAUCAUGAAACACGAUGAAUCCUUCUCCCUGAUUUUUUUCUUCGUGAAUUUGAAUGUAUGGAGUUGGAGUUAGGGUUUUAGACGGUCCAGGGGGCCCACAAACCUCCAGGGAGCGCCUAGGGGGUAGUCUUGCCCCAGGGCUUGUGGCUCCUGGGUGGCCCCCCUCUGGUAUAUUUUUCGUCCAGUAUUUUUUAUAUAUUCCACAAAAAUACUCCAUAAAUUUUCAGGUCAAUCCGAGAACUUUGAUUUCUGCACAAAAAUAACACCAAGGCAAUUCUGCUGAAAACAACAUUAGUCCGGGUUAGUUCCAUUCAAAUCAUGCAAAUUAGAGUCCAAAACAAGGGCAAAAGAGUUUGAAAAAGUAUAUACGAUGGAGACGUAUCAUCAUGGUAUCUCAAAAGUCUAAGAAAUGUCAAUGUUGAUAAUUCAUAUCCUAGAUGGUUUAUAUUCUGUAUCACAAAAAUGAUCAUAGUCUCCUAAUGGAACUUGGAAUUGUUUCUUGCUCCUUUUUUCUUAUUCUAAUGGCUCUAAAUUAAAACAAUGGCCCAAGUAUCUAGUUUCGUUUUUCCUGUCCUCUUUAGAACUUUCAAUUUAGUUGGUGUGUGAUAAAGUGGUGGAGUGGGCCAGUCCCCUGCCCACAAUUAUGUUUCUAAUCUAUGAGAGGCACUAAUAUCUUCCUCUUGUUCCAUUUCCAAUAGUUUGGGAUAAAAGCAUGUCCCUGAUUUGAAACUUUUUACUCAUUACCAACCAACGAAAUUGAAAACAUUAGCCUUCAUGUGUGGGAUCUUUGUCUCUCUCCAAACCUGAUUGCUUUCUCUAGCAAGUGUGUAAGAUUCUGUGUGGAAAAUCAAAGGUCCUAGUCCUGAUUUCAUGGGCUAAUUAGAGUAGUUGCCUUGCCCACCAGUAUCCAUAGAUGGUGUAAUUUGCAGUAUGCUGAUCACUCCAAGGGCAUAGUUAGCAGAAUAAUGAUAGACUUAUUUUCCAGUAGAUAAGCAUGUCAGGGAUAGUAUGAAACUUUUUUAGCUUGGUGCUUGUUAAGUUUAGCACUUAGCACAUGCAUUUUAGCUAGUGUUAAUGUAACUGUGUUGAUGUUUAGGCUAUUACUUUAUAGACCUUUUUUGUUCUAAACUAUUUCCUUUCAUACUCAUCACUACUUAUUUCUUGGCUUCCUGCCUUAAUUAAUUAAGGCUAGACUACUUAUGUUGCAUCGAUUGGUUAUAUACAACUUUCCGUAAAUAACUUCUAUUGUCAAUAUGUGUAUUCUAAUGAAUAACGUGAAGCAUAUCGCCUGCUAAAACCUUUCUUACCCAUUGAACUAUUCAACUCCCUCUUACUAGUAAUUACCUACACUUAUAUCCCCUCCUUGGACAGAAUUUUGCUAGCUUUGCAACCAAUUCCUUGUAAAUAAUGGAUAUUAGUUUUCAUGUGAAGUUCUUAAAAGUCUUCUGUUUGAGUCAAUUAUUGAUACAUCCAUUUUGCAUCAUGUUUUCCUACUGUUAUUUAUAAUAUUUUUAUGCAUAAUAAUGCUUUUUGGAGUAAUUCUAAUAUCUUUUCUCUCAUAAUAUGCAAGGUUCACACAAAAAGGGAGAAUACUGGCAGCUGGAAUUCUGGGCCUGAGAAAGCUACGUCAGGCCACCUAUUUUGCACAACUCCAAAUGAGCUAAAACUUCACAGGGAUUUUUUAUGGAAUAAAUAGGAAUUAUUGGAGCAAAUAACCACCAGAGGGGGCCCACCAAGUGGGCACAACCCACCCUGGGCGUGUUAGGGAGCCCAGACGUGCCCUGGUGAGUUGUUCCCUCCUUGUCCUACCUCCAGUGCCCAUCUUCUGGUAUAUAAGUCAUUUUGACCUAGAAAAAAAUAGAAGAGGACUCGGGACAAAGCGCCGCCGUCUCAAGGCAAAACUUGGGCAGGAGCACUUUUGCCCUCCGGCAGAGCGAUUCCGCCAGGGGAACUUCCCUCCCGGAGGGGGAAAUCAUCGUCAUCAUCAUCAGCAACAACUCUCCCAUCUUGGGGAGGGAAAUCUCCAUCAACAUCUUCAACAAUGCCAUAUCCUCUCAAACCCUAGUUCAUCUCUUGUGUUCAAUCUUUGUACCGGAACCUUAGAUUGGUGCUUGUGGGUGACUAGUAGUGUUGAUUACAUCUUGUAGUUGAUUAUUGUAUGAAUUAUUUGGUGGAAGAUUAUACGUUCAGAUCCAUUAUGCUAUUUAAUACCCCUCUGAUCGUGAGCAUGAUUAUCAUUUGUGAGUACUUACUUUGGUUCUUGAGGUCACGGGAGAAAUCUUGUUGCAAGUAAUCAUGUGAACUUGAUAUGUGUUUGAUAUUUUGAUGGUAUAUAUGUUGUGAUUCCCUUAGUGGUGUCAUGUGAACACCGACUACAUGACACUUCACCAUACUUGGGACUAAGGGAAUGCAUUGUGGAGUAGUUAUUAGAUGAUGGGUUGCGAUAGUGACAGAAGCUUAAACCCUAGUUUAUGCGCUACUUCGUAAAGGGCUGAUAUGGAUCCAAAAGUUUAAUGCUAUGGUUAGGUUUAUUCUUAAUACUUUUCUCGUAGUUGCGAAUGGUUGCGAGGAGGUUAAUAAUAAGUAGGAGGUUUGUUCAAGUAAGAGUAGCACCUCAGCACCGGUCCCUCGACAUAUCAAAUUAUCAAAGUAGCGAACACGAACCAAACCAACAUGAUGAAAGUGACUAGAUGAAAUUCCCGUGUACCCUCAAGAACACUUUGCUUAUCAUAAGAGACUGUUUUGGCAUGUCCUUUGCCUCAAAAGGAUUGGGAUACCUUGCUGCACUUUUGUUACCGAUACUAUUACUUGCUCGUUACAAAUUAUCUUGCUAUCAAACUACUCGUUACUUAUAAUUUCAGUGCUUACAGAGAAUACGUUGCUGAAAACUACUUGUCAUUUCCUUCUGCUCCUCAUUGGGUUCGACACUCUUACUUAUCGAAAGGACUACUAUUGAUCCCUUAUACUUGUGGGUCAUCAAUUAUUCAGUAACGUAUAUAUACUAAUUUCUAGAGAAUCAUUACCCAUUCUUUUGAAGUCAUCUUUGCCUUACUAUGAGAAGGCAAGAAUCCAUCUUCUUUAAGUUGGGUUGUUACUCUAUUUUGAAGACUCAAAUAAGUAGUUCUUUAGUUACACAUUUGAUGUUAGGGUGUGCAUCUGCAGACCACAUUGGUUGGCAGUCCAAAACUAUGGGGUUAGUUUGCUUACAAUACUUACUGAUCUUUAGCUUUCUUUGUUGUCCCUUUCUCGCAUUUUUCAAUAUAGUUUGAAUGUUUAGUUUUCUUAGCACAUUUUCUAUGCAGUGUCAUGAUUUCAGAUCGAUCUAAGAAUCGAUUAUGCUUGGAAGACAGAUUCAUCAGAGGUUGCUUGAUCUCAUACUAAUCUGCUACCCCUUCCGAGCACAGUUUAGCAUCGAUCAGUUCACUUCCAUCAGCAUGUUACAUUAGCAUAAUGACUUUUUUGUGAUCGAUGGCUAGGUGCACAUAGACCGGGAUGGCCAAGACACAAUGGGUAAACUCAAAGGUGGUAUAAUGUUGGAGAAAUUUGGGGACAAAAAUAGCGGAUAAGUGGGGGUUCUGAGUGAGUCUCAGGCCGCUGGUGAAGGAAAUAUGCCCUAGAGGCAAUAAUAAAGUUAUUAUUUAUUUCCUUAUAUCAUGAUAAAUGUUUAUUAUUCAUGUUACAAUUGUAUUAACCGGAAACAUAAUACAUGUGUGAAUACAUAGACAAACAGAGUGUCACUAGUAUGCCUCUACUUGACUAGCUCGUGAAUCAAAGAUGGUUAAGUUUCCUAACCAUAGACAUGAGUUGUCAUUUGAUUAACGGGAUCACAUCAUUAGGAGAAUGAUGUGAUUGACUUGACCCAUUCCGUUAGCUUAGAACUUGAUCAUUUAGUAUGUUGCUAUUGCUUUCUUCAUGACUUAUACAUGUUCCUAUGACUAUGAGAUUAUGUAAAUCCCGUUUACCGGAGGAACACUUUGUGUGCUACCAAACGUCACAACGUAACUGGGUGAUUAUAAAGGUGCUCUACAGGUGUCUCCGAAGGUACUUGUUGAGUUGACGUAUUUCGAGAUUAGGAUUUGUCACUCCGAUUGUCGGAGAGGUAUCUCUAGGCCCUCUCGAUAAUGCACAUCACUAUAAGCCUUGCAAGCAAUGUGACUAAUGAGUUAGUUGCGAGAUGAUGUAUUACAUAACGAGUAAAGAGACUUGCCGGUAACGAGAUUGAACUAGGUAUUGAGAUACCGACGAUCAAAUCUCGGGCAAGUAACAUACCGAUGACAAAGGGAACAACGUAUGUUGUUAUGCGGUUUGAUCGAUAAAGAUCUUUGUAGAAUAUGUGGGAGCCAAUAUGAGCAUCCAGGUUCCGCUAUUGGUUAUUGACCGGAGACCUGUCUCGGUCAUGUCUAUAUAGUUCUCGAACCCAUAGGGUCCGCACGCUUAAAGUUCAAUGACGGUUAUAUUAUGAGUUUAUGUGUUUUGAUGUACCGAAGGGGUUUGGAGUCCCGGAUGAGAUCGGGGACAUGACGAAGAGUCUCGAAAUGGUAUAGACGUAAAGAUUGAUAUAUUGGACGACUAUAUUCGGACAUCAUAAAGGUUCCGAGUGAUUCGGGUAUUUUUCGGAGUAUCGAAGAGUUACGGGAAUUCAUAUUGGGCCUUAAUGGGCCAUACGGGAAAGGAGAGAAAGGCCCCAAAGGGUGGCCGCACCCCUCCCCGUGGACUAGUCCGAAUUGGACUAGGGAGGGGGGGCGCCCCCUUCCUUCCUUCUCCUUCUCCCUUCCCUUCUCCUACUCCCACAAGGAAAGGAGGAGUCCUACUCCCUGUGGGAGUAGGACUCCCCACUUGGCGCGCCCUCCUCCUAGGCCGGCCGCCUCCCCCCUUGCUCCUUUAUAUACGGGGGCAGGGGGCACCCUAGAGACACAACAAUUGAUCAUUGAUCUAUUAGCCAUGUGUGAUGCCCCCCUCCACCAUAAUCCACCUCGAUAAUAUUAUAGCAGUGCUUAGGCGAAGCCCUGCAUCGGUAGAACAUCAUCAUCGUCACCACGCCGUCGUGUUGACGGAACUCUCCCUCGACACUCGGCUGGAUCGGAGUUCGAGGGACGUCAUCGAGCUGAACGUGUGCAAGAACUCGGAGGUGCCGUGCUUUCGGUGCUUGAUUGGUCGGGCCGUGAAGACGUACGACUACAUCAAACGCGUUGUGCUAACGCUUCCGCUUACGGUCUACGAGGGUACGUGGACAUACUCUUCCCUCUUGUUGCUAUGCAUCACCAUGAUCUUGCGUGUGCGUAGGAAUUUUUUUGAAAUUACUACGUUACCCAACAGUGGCAUCCGAGCCUAGAUUUUAUGCGUUGAUGUUAUAUGCACGAGUAGAACAUAAGUAAGUUGUGGGCGAUACAAGUCAUACUGCUACCAGCAUGUCAUACUUUGGUUCAGCGGUAUUGUUGGAUGAAGCGGCCCGGACCGACAUUACGUGUACGCUUACGUGAGACUGGUUCUACCGACGUGCUUUGCACACAGGUGGCUGGCAGGUGUCAGUUUCUCCAACUUUAGUUGAACCGAGUGUGGCUAUGCCCGGUCCUUGAGAAGGUUAAAACAUCACUAACUUGACGAACUAUCGUUGUGGUUUUGAUGCGUAGGUAAGAAUGGUUCUUGCUCAGCCCGUAGCAGCCACGUAAAACUUGCAACAACAAAGUAGAGGACGUCUAACUUGUUUUUGCAGGGCAUGUUGUGAUGUGAUAUGGUCAAGACGUGAUGAGAUAUAAGUUGUUGUAUGAGAAGAUCAUGUUUUGUUGAAGUUAUCGACAACUGGCAGUAGCCCUAUGGUUGUCUCUUUAUUGCAUAAGAUGCAAGCGCCAAAUAAUUGCUUUACUUUAUUGCUAUGCGAUAGCAAUAGUUGCAAGAGCAAUAGUUGGCGAGACGACCAUGUGACGACACAUUGAUAUAUAUCAAGAUGAUGGAGAUCAUGGUGUCAUGCCAGUGACAAUGGAGAUCAUGACGAUGCUUUGGAGAUAGAGAUCAAAGGCACAAGAUGAUGAUGGCCAUAUCAUGUCACAUAUUUUUGAUUGCAUAUGAUGCUUAUCUUUUAUACAUCUUAUUUUGUUUUGAUUGACGGUAGCAUUAUAAUAUGAUCUCUCACUAAAUUUCAAGAUAAAAGUGUUCUCUCUGAGUAUGCACCAUUGCCAAAGUUUGUCGUGCCCAGACAUCACGUGAUGAUCGGGUGUGAUAAGCUCUACGUCCAUCUACAACGGGUGCAAGCCAGUUUUGCACACACAGAAUACUCAGGUUAAACUUGACGAGCCUAGCAUAUGCAGAUAUGGCCUCGGAACACUGAGACCGAAAGGUCGAGCAUGAAUCAUAUAGUAGAUAUGAUCAACAUAGUGAUGUUCACCAUUGAAAACUACUCCAUUUCACGUGGUGAUCGGUUAUGGUUUAGUUGAUUUGGAUCACGUGAUCACUUAAGAUGAUUAGAGGGAUGUCUAUCUAAGUGGGAGUUCUUAAGUAAUAUGAUUAAUUGAACUUAAAUUUAUCAUGAACUUAUCCUGGUAGUAUUUUGCAAAUUAUGUUGUAGAUCAAUAGCUCAAGUUGUUGCUUUCAUAUGUUUAUUUUUAUAUGUGUUCCUAGAGAAAACUAAGUUGAAAGAUGUUAGUAGCAAUGAUGCGGACUUGGUCCGUGAUAUGAGGUUUAUCCUCAUUGCUGCAUAGAAGAAUUAUGUCCUUGAUGCACCGCUAGGUGACAGACCUAUUGCAGGAGCAGAUGCAGAUUUUAUGAACGUUUGGCUAGCUAAAUAUGAUGACUACUUGAUAGUUUUGUGCACCAUGCUUUAUAGAUUAGAACCGGGACUAAAAAAACGUUUUUGAAACGUCACGGAACAUAUGAGAUGUUCCAUGAGAUGAAAUUGAUAUUUCAGACUCAUGCCCGUGUCAAGAGGUAUGAGACCUCUGACAAAUACUUCGCCUAAAAGAUGGAGGAGAAUUGCUCAACUAGUGAGCAUGUGCUCAGAUUGUCUGGGUACUACAAUCGCUUGAAUUAAGUGGGAGUUAAUCUUCUAGAUAAGAUAGUGAUUGACAGAGUUCUCUAGUCACCAUCACCAAGUUAGUAGAACUUCGUGAUGAACUAUAGUAUGCAAAGGAUGACAAAAACGAUUCCUGAGCUCUUCGCGAUGUUGAAAUCAACGAAGGUAGAAAUCAAGAAAGAGCAUCAAGUGUUGAUGAUUGACAAUACCACUAGUUUCAAGUAAAGGACAAAGGGAAAGAAAGGGAACUUCAAGAAGAAUGACAAGCAAGUUGUCACUCCCGCGAAGAAGCCUAAAGCUAGACCAAAGCCUGAAACUAAGUGCUUACACUGCAAAGGAAAUGGUCAUUGGAAACGGAAAUGCCCUGAAUAUUUGGUGGAUAAGAAGGAUGGCAAAGUGAACAAGGGUAUAUUUGAUAUACAGGUUAUUGAUGUGUGCCUUACUAGUGUUUAUAGUAGCCCUUGAGUGUUUGAUACUUGUUCAGUUGCUAAUAUUAGUAACUCAAAACAGGAGUUACAUAAUAAACAGAGACUAGUUGAGGGGAAGUGACGAUGAGUGUUGGAAGUAGUUCCAAGAUUGAUAUGAUCAUCAUCACACACUCCCUAUACUUUUGGGAUUAGUGUUAAACCUAAAUAAAUGUUAUUUGGCAUUUGCAUUGAGCAUGAAUAUGAUUUGAUCAUGUUUAUUGAAAUACAGUUAUUCAUUUAAAGUCAGAGAAUAAUUGUUGUUCUAUUUACAUGAAUAAAACCUUCAAUGGUCAUACACCCAAUGAAAAUAGUUUGUUGGAUCUCGAUCGUGGUGAUACACAUAUUCAUAAUAUUGAUGCCAAAAGAUGCAAAGUUGAUAAUGAUAGUGCAAUAUAUUUAUGGCACUGCCGUUUGGGUCAUACCGGUGUAAAGCACAUGAAGAAACUCCAUAAAGAUGGAUUUUUGGAAUCACUUGGUUAUGAAUCAUUUGAUGCUUGUGAACCAUGCCUUUUGGGCAAGAUGACUAAAACUUCGUUCUCCAGAACAAUGGAACGAGCUAGUGACUUGUUGGAAAUAAUACAUACUGAUGUAUGCGGUCCAAUGAGUAUUGAUGCUCGUGGCAUGUAUCAUUAUUUUCUGACCUUCACAAAUGAUUUGAGCAGAUAUGAGUAUAUCUACUUAAUGAAACACAAGUCUGAAACAUUUUAAAAGUUCAAAGAAUUUUAGAGUGAAGUGGAGAAUCAUCGUAACAAGAAAAUAAAGUUUCUACAAUCUGAUCGUGGAGGAGAAUAUUUGAGUUACGAGUUUGGCCUUCAUAUAAAACAAUGUGGAAUAGUUUCACAGUUCACACCACCUGGAACACCACAACGUUAUGGUGUGUCCGAACGUCUUAACCGCACUUUAUUGGAUAUUGUGCGACCUAUGAUGUCUCUUAUCGGUUUACCACUAUCGUUUUGGGGUUAUGCAUUAGAGACAGUUGCAUUCACUUUAAAUAGGGCACCAUCGAAACCGUUGAGACGACGGCUUAUGAACAGUGGUUUGGCAAGAAACCAAAGUUGUCAUUUCUUAAAGUUUGGGGCUGCGAUGCUUAUGUGAAAAAGUUUCAACAUGAUAAGCUCGAACCUAAAUCAGAGAAGUGCGUCUUCAUAUAAUACCCAAAGGAAACUGUUGGGUACACCUUCUAUCAUAGAUCCGAAGGCAAGAUAUUCGUUGCUAAGAUGGAUCCUUUCUAGAGAAGGAGUUUCUCUCGAAAGAAGUGAGUGGGAGGAAAGUAGAACUUGAUGAGGUAAUUGUACCUUCUCCCUUAUUGGAAAGUAGUUCAUCACAGAAGAUAGUUCCAGUGAUUCCUACACCAAUUAGUGAGGAAGUUAAUGAUGAUGAUCAUGAAACUUCAGAUCAAGUUGCUACCUGAACCUCGUAGGUCUUCCAGAAUAAGAUCCGCACUAGAGUGGUACGGUAAUUCUAUUAUGGAAGUCAUGUUACUAGACCAUGAUGAACCUACGAACUAUGAGGAAGCGAUGAUGAGCCUAGAUUCCGCGAAAUGGCUUGAGGCCAUGAAAUCUAAGAUGGGAUCCAUGUAUGAGAACAAAAUGCGGACUUUGGUUGUCUUGCCCGAUGAUCGGCAAGUCAUAGAAAAUAAAUGGAUCUUCAAGAGGAAGACGGACGCUGAUAGUAGUGUUACUAUCUACAAAGCUCGACUUGUCGCAAAAAGUUCUUAGACAAGUUCAAGGUGUUGAAUACGAUGAGAUUUUCUCACUCGCAACAAUGCUUAAGUCUGUCCGAAUCAUGUUAGCAAAUUGCCACAUUUUAUGAAAUCUGGCAAAUGGAUGUCAAAACUACAUUCCUUAAUGGAUUUCUUAAAGAAGAGUUGUAUAUGAUGCAACCAGAAGAUUUUGUCGAUCCUAAAGGUGCUAACAAAAUGUGCAAGCUCCAGCGAUCCAUCUAUGAACUGGUGCAAGCAUCUCGGAGUUGGAAUAUACGCUUUGAUAAUUUGAUCAAAGCAUAUAGUUUUAUACGGACUAGCAGUGAAGCCUGUAUUUACAAUAAAGUGAGUGGGAGCACUACAAUCUUUCUGAUAAGUAUAUGUGAGUGACAUAUUGUUGAUCAGAAAUGAUGUAGAAUUUUUUGGAAAGCAUAAAGAAGUGUUUGAAAGGAGUUCUUUAAAAGAAAGACCUCAGUAAAUCUACUUACAUAUUAAGCAUCAAGAUCUAUUGAGAUAGAUCAAGACGCUUGAUAAGAUUUUCAAUGAGUACAUACCUUGUAAAGAUUUUGAAGUAGUUCAAAAUGGAACAGUCAAAGAAAGAGUUCUUGCCUGUGUUGCAAAGGUAUGAAAUUGAGUAAGACUCAAAUCCUGACCACGGCAGAAAAUAGAAAGAGAAUGAAAGUCAUUCCCUAUGCAUCAGUCAUAGGUUCUAUAAAAGUAUGCCAUGCUAUGGACCAGACCUAUUGUAUACUCUGCCCUGGUUUGGCAAGGGAGUACAAUAGUGAUCUAGGAGUAGAUCACUGGAUAUUGGUCAAAAUUAUCCUUAGUGAAAUAAGGAUAUGUUUCUCGAUUAUGGAGGUGAAAAAAGGUUUGUCGUAAAGGGUUACGUCGAUACAUGUUUUGGCACUGAUCUAGAUGACUCUAAGUCUUAAUCUGGAUACAUAUUGAAAGUGGGAGCAAUUAGCUAGAGUAGCUCCAUGCAGAGCAUUGUAGACAUAGAAUAUUUGCAAAAUACAUACGGCUCUGAAUGUGACAGACCCAUUGACUAAACUUCUCUCACAAGCAAAACAUGAUCAUACCUAGUACUCUUUGGGUGUUAAUCACAUAGCGAAGUGAACUAGAUUAUUGACUCUAGUAAGCCCUUUGGGUGUUGAUCACAUGACGAUGUGAACUAUGGGUAUUAAUCACAUACAGAUGUGAAUAUUGGUGUUAAAUCACAUGGCGAUGUGAACUAGAUUAUUGACUCUAGUGCAAGUGGGAGACUGAAGGAAAUAUGCCCUAGAGGCAAUAAUAAAGUUAUUAUUUAUUUCCUUAUAUCAUGAUAAAUGUUUAUUAUUCAUGCUAGAAUUGUAUUAACCGGAAAAAUAAUAUAGGUAUGAAUACAUAGACAAACAGAGUGUCACUAGUAUGCCUCUACUUGACUAGCUCGUGAAUCAAAGAUGGUUAAGUUUCCUAAUCAUAGACAUGAGUUGUCAUUUGAUUAACGGGAUCACUUCAUUAGGAGAAUGAUGUGAUUGACUUGACCCAUUCCGUUAGCUUAGCACUUGAUCGUUUAGUAUGUUGCUAUUGCUUUCUUCAUGACUUAUACAUGUUCCUAUGACUAUGAGAUUAUGUAACUCCCAUUUACCGGAGGAACACUUUGUGUGCUACCAAACGUCACAACAUAACUGGGUGAUUAUAAAGGUGCUCUACAGGUGUCUCCGAAGGUACUUGUUGAGUUGAUGUAUUUUGAGAUUAGGAUUUGUCACUCCGAUUGUCGGAGAGGUAUCUCUGGGCCCUCACGGUAAUGCACAUCACUACAAGCCUUGCAAGCGAUGUGACUAAUGAGUUAGUUGUGAGAUGAUGUAUUACAUAACAAGUAAAGAGACUUUUCGGUAACGAGAUUGAACUAGGUAUUGAGAUACCGACGAUCGAAUCUCGGGCAAGUAACAUACCGAUGACAAAGGGAACAACCUAUGUUGUUAUGCGGUUUGACCGAUAAAGAUCUUCGUAGAAUAUGUGGGAGCCAAUAUGAGCAUCCAGGUUCCGCUAUUGGUUAUUGACCGGAGACGUGUCUCGGUCAUGUCUACAUAGUUCUCGAACUCGUAGGGUCCACACGCUUAAAGUUCGAUGACGGUUAUAUUAUGAGAUUAUGUGUUUUGAUGUACCAAAGGAGUUCGGAGUCCCGGAUGAGAUCAGGGACAUGACGAGGAGUCUCUAAAUGGUCGAGACGUAAAGAUCGAUAUAUUGGACGACUAUAUUCGGACAUCGUAAAGGUUCCGAGUGAUUCGGGUAUUUUUCGGAGUACCGGAGAGUUACAGGAAUUCGUAUUGGGCCUUAAUGGGCCAUACAGGAAAGGAGAGAAAGGCCCCAAAGGGUGGCCGCACCCCUCCCCAUGGACUAGUCCGAAUUGGACUAGGGAGGGGGGGCGCCCCCUUCCUUACUUCUCCUCCUCCCUUCCCUUCUCCUACUCCCACAAGGAAAGGAGGAGUCCUACUCUCGGUGGGAGUAGGACUUCCCCCUUGGCGCGCCCUCCUCCUAGGCCGGCCGCCUCCCCCCUUGCCCCUUUAUAUACGGGGGCAGGGGGGCACCCUAGAGACACAACAAAUGAUCAUUGAUCUAUUAGCCGUGUGCGGUGCCCCCCUCCACCAUAAUCCACCUCGAUAAUAUCGUAGCGGUGCUUAGGCGAAGCCCUGCAUCGGUAGAACAUCAUCAUCGUCACCACGCCGUCGUGCUGACGGAACCCUCCCUCGACACUCGGCUGGAUCGGAGUUCGAGGGACGUCAUCGAGCUGAACGUGUGCACGAACUCGGAGGUGUCGUGCUUUCGGUGCUUGAUCGGUCGGGCCAUGAAGACGUACGACUACAUCAACUGCGUUGUGCUAACGCUUCCGCUUACGGUCUACGAGCGUACGUGGACAUACUCUUCCCUCCACUACAAGAAAUAUGUCAACUUGUGACCUUGACUAUUGGUCACUGACAGGUCAUUGUUUUUCAUUUGCGACCUUUUUUUGACCAAAAACAGAAGGUCAAAAGCUGGGGGUCGUAAACUGACUAUAGCGACCUUCUCUGUGAGAAGGUCGUGGACGUUUACGACCAAAAUAUUCCUACUGUGGCGUUUUGGUCACUAGUAACCUCCCCAGGCCACGUAGGCAUCCAGCGUGGCAAGCUGAUGUGGCACAAGAUUCAGCCCGGUCCAAUUCGGUUUUCUACAUGGGCCUAGCCCAACAAUUCGGCCUUUUUAUAUAUUUUUUCUUAAUUAAUUUUGGUCAACUACAUGGGCCAGGCCCAACAUUUAAGCCAUUUUAUUUUUGGGCCGUAGCCUUUUUAGUCCAUUGAUUUUUCUAGUUUCAACCAUUAUACAUUGGGGUACCACUAGUAAGCCAGCCCCACAUGUCAUGCUUAUCUCAAAAUAUGUCCCACAUGUCAGAAAUUUCGAAAUUUGUCAAACAACCAUUAUAACUUGGACCCUCUUGUCAGGUUUCCAUUUCACGGGUAUUCAAAUCACAUACACAAUCAUUGUUUUGAACAGACUAGAGAGCAAAUGAAAUUCGUCCAAAACAAGACUACAUUAGUCUAUUACAAUUCAGUAUACUACAACCCAGAUAUGCGUACAAUUACAACACAUAAUAUGCUCCUCUUUGUUGAUAUGAUUCACAGCUUCGACCUUGGAUUCACACUUCACCUGUGCAAAGAAUAAGAAUGAAAAUAUAAGAAUAAGAAUGUGCUCAUGGAGUGAUCCAAUAACUUAUAAGCAAGAAUUGACAUCAAAUGCCAUGUAGAUAAAUAGUAUGACUAACACUAACCAGUAUGUGUUCAUGGAGUGACAAAUGUUCUCACUAGCUAGGAUUUUUUUGGUAUAUAGUAUACUGACAUGUGCAACUCUAACUAAAUUGAUCAUAGAAAUGAAAAGAACUGUAAGCAUGUUUUUUGGGUAUAUAGUACACUGACAUGUUCAUUCAGAAUCCAGACAACAUCAGAUACACAACAGCAGAUACACAGCAGAUACACAUUCAGAAUCUAGUCAAAUUUUAAGCAACAGCAGAACAGAUCUAACAAACCAGACCAUAAUCAGCAUGCAUCAGGAUUUAUGGUUCUAGCAAAAAAGUGGCUGACUAACAAACUAGAUAUGCUUCUGCAGACUAACAAAAUGGCAGUAAACAUACUAAUCAGAUUGAUUCGUUCAAUUAGGGCUUGUUAUAGAUUAUGCCCAUCUAAUUUAUUCCCAUCUAAUUUAUACAAAAUGGCAGCAACAUACUAAUCAGAUUUAUACUAACAAACUAGAUAUAUUCCCAUCUAAUUUAUUCCAAUGGAUUAUGCCAUGUUAGUACUGAACCUACAACAUUCUAAUUACCUGCAACAAAUCAGUAGCAUACAUGACAUCAAAGGGAUGCAAACUAGAUAAUUUAGUAGUCUUUUACAGCACAGAAUAGUAGGCAUUCUAACUUGCAGCAGAAAAUCAGUAGCUAGAUGACCACCAACAACACAAAUCAGCUCAAACACUCGGUCCUCGACGUGGCGUACAGCAAAUAAUCAGCCAUGGAACCGAGGCCAAACUCUAGCAUCACAGAAAGCAGAGGGGAACAAAGGGGUGGAGGGGCUCACCAUGGGGGUGCUGCUGCUACUCAUCCAUGGUCGGUCAUCCUACAUCCAUCCGGCGACAACUGCUCAUUCAUGGCAGCAAACCACAUCACAUCUCAGUCAAAGGAAUGGAGGGUAAGGGAAGAAGAAGAAACUGAAGGUAAGAAGACCUGGAUGGCGUCGGAGCUGUGGUGGAGGGGCGUCCUCCAUGGGCGCCACCUCUGCGUCCACCACCGGGAACAUCUCGUUCAGGUCCUUGGCCCAUAGCGCCUGCACGCACCAGAUUAGAUCACAACGCGGCGUCAAAGCUAGAGAUCGGUGCAACUUCAAUUCAAAACUGGAUAUCAAAGAACAAUGUAAAGAACAAUGAGAAAGCAGUAAAGUCAUUUGGUAACUAGCUGUCUGAACUGUGGAGCAUAAAUGUCCUGAAUACCACUGAAGCCUUGAGAGAUUCUUUACAUGCUGUUUAACAAUAAGGAUCCAAUUACAUGCUGCUUUAGCUACAAAUGAUGAAACGAUCAUGUAGAUAAUUAACACACUACCAGUUACAUUUGGUCCAUAGAAUUUUCGAGUUGAUUGGCAUGAUGAAAACGGAAGCAGAUUAUUACCAGGUUUAGACAACUGAGCAGACUAAUGAAAAUAACUAGUAGUAAUAUGCACCUAAGUUAACACACCUAACUAAUUAAGAAUCCAGGAACAUUGACCACUUGGGUUAUAACUAAGAGCAAGCAAGCAGUACUAUCUGUGCAUAAAAAUCAAAACAAGCAAGCAGAACUCUCUGCAGUUAGAAAUCAAACCAGUCAUACGUGCAUACAUAUGCAACACAGAACUGUAGUACUUGUCUAUGGCUAGGUCGCACAAGAACAAAAUAGAUUAGUGUUGUAGUAGCUUGGUUCCAGCAACUAGAUUAGUUAGCUACGGCGCAAAAUAUUACAUAUGCGGGCACAUGUAUCACUGCGCCCAAUGACCGUGUCACAAGAAGAGGAGAAUAUACGGGGCAACCAAAUCCACAGAUAUCUAUUUCGAAAGCGCGAGGCCGCAGAUCUGAGAUUGGGAUGCGAGGGGCACAUCGAUCCUGCCGUGAGUCUGGGAGGAUUCGAGAGGAUCUACACGAGAAAAAGAGGCAGGUACCUCGUGGGGCUGGAGGACGUAGGGGAGGAAGGCAUCGAGCGGGCUGUGGGCGUAGGGCAGGCCGAGCGCGCCCCGCCAGCGCGGCAGAGCCUUGCGUAGGCCUUGGGGUAGCCCAGCGCGUCAUCCACCACCCUCUCCUCCUCCAUGAACGCCGUCAUCGAUCCACAUCAGACGCGCCAGCCCCUCCGCAUCUGAGAGGGAGAGGGAACACGGUGAGGCAGAUAGGGAGAGAUGCGACGUGGAGGAGUAGAGGGGGUCACCUGAGUCACCGGAUCACCGGAACAACGCCGGAGCCACGCCGGCGACGCGGUGGCUCAAACCCUAGAGGACGGUUAGGUUCACGAGUGGCCGCAGGAGGACGCUCCCGUCGGAUCCCGUCGACGCCGUUGCCGUCCUGGUUGCCGGAGUGCCGUGGCCAGCAUGGGGCAAAGCCACCACUAACCCUAGAUCUGCUGUAGGACAGGAGCGGGUGGCGUACGGGAGGGUGGCAGGGGCUAGGGGAGGGGGGAGGAGGGGGCGACGGCAAGGGCUAGCGGAGAAGGGGGUCGACGAGGUGUGAGAGGCGGCGGCGUCGUUCUCGUGAGGGAAGGGGAUCGAGGGGAGCCGGCGGCAUUCUCGGGAGGGAAGGGGAUCGAAGGAGGAGACAGAGUGUGUGGGAGGGAAGGGGAUCGAGGGAGGUAGGAUAGCUGGAGAGGUGAGGAGACGUUGGAUCAGGACGGCGUGGACGGCUCAGAUCGCCUACAGGAGGGUGAUCCGGGAGAGACGUCCUGAUUGGUUGGGGACAUGUAUCAUUUAAAAUAGUCUCUAAGUGCUAAAAACAAAGGGGUUUAUGAAGUAACUACCAAUAAUAUUUUGCAAAAUCGCACAACAAAAAUUUUCACUCAGGGGUUAUACCACAUUUUAUGGAUGAUAACCAACUUGUAUGAAUUUUCGACCUUUCUAGCUUUUUUUAUCCAUUUAAACCAACUUGUACCAAAUUAGGAUGAAUCGGGUCAAAUUCGAACUACAUCUACUUCAUAGUUUGCUAAUUAUUUUUUCCAAAAAUAAUUUUUAGGUACACAUGUAUAUAUUUCAUUAGAGAAAUACUAUGAGUUUUGUAAGAUUCCACCCGUAGGUACGAACGAUGAUGCCCGCGGUUUUGACCGUGUUUUGAAAUUGGCAUAAAGAAUUCAAAAAAAUCAAAAAAAAGGAAAGCCUUUGCAUUGUGUCCAGGAAAAAUAACAAACUCGCAAUACUGUAAAUACCUUAAAAAGUCUUCUUAGAAAUAAGAUACCAUAUGUGAAGUUGCAUGGCUUUCAAGCCAAAUGACCAAUAAUUUGGCCACAUUCAUGGCAUAGUAUGAUCUCAUAUUGUGCACAAGGGUGCAUCUUGGAAUUCCAAACAAUGUUGCCUAAGGGAGUUUUCACUUUCAUUGCACAAAAAAGCUAUUUUCCAUUUUCCGAGUGCCCCAAAUGAGGUUUUUUUGUGAAGGACCUACCAAAUAAUUAUUGCAAAAUUGGACCAAAUCAUUUUUAUAAAAUACUAGGCCAUAUUUAAUGCAUAAUUGACCAAAUGGUUGGGUGUAAAAAGUUUUUAUCCACCUCUGGUGAAAAAGACAAAUUUCCGCCGAUUCAGCUGGAAGCGGGUCAAAUUUGAACUGCAGCUGCCUCAUAGUUUGCUCUUUAUUUUUUCCAAAAAUCAUUUAUAGGUACAUAAGUAUCUAUUUAAUCAGAGAAAUAUCAAAACUUUUCCAAGAUUCAACCACUAGCUAGGAACGGUCAUUCCCGCCGUUUUGACCGCAUUUUGAAACGGGCAUAAAAAAUUCAAAAAAAAUCAAAAAAUUGGAAAACCUUCGCAUUGUGUCAUUAUAUGUGGCCAAGUUCACAGAAAAAAUAACAAACUUGUAAUACGGAAAUUAUUUUAAAAAAGUGUUCUUAGAAAUGAGCUAUCACGUAUGGAGAUCAAUGGCUUUCAAGCCAAAUGAUCAAUCUUAUGGCCACAUUCAUGGCAUAGUUUGUUCAAAUGAUCUCAUAUUGUGCACAAGGGUGCAUAUUGGAAUGGCAAAAAAUGUUGCCUAAGGAAGUUUUCAUUUUCUUUGGACGAAAAAACCAUUUUUCAUUUUUUGAGUGCCCAAAAGGAGGUUUUUUUGUGAAGGACCUCCCAAAUAAUUGUUGCAGAAUUGGACCAAAUCAUUUUUAUAAAAUACUAGGACAUAUUUAAUGCACAAUUGACCAAAUGGUUGGGUGCGAAAAGUUUUGAUCCACCUCUCAUGAAAAAGACCAAUUUCCUCCAAUUCAGUUGGAAGCGGGUCAAAUUUGAACUGCAGCUGCCUCAUAGUUUGCUAUUUAUUUUUUCCAAAAAUCAUUUCUAGGUACAUAAGUAUCUAUUUAAUCAGAGAAACACCAAAAAUAUUCCAAGAUUCAACCACUAGCUAGGAACGGUCAUUUCCGCCGUUUUGAUCGCAUUUUGAAACGGGCAUAAAAAAUUCAAAAGAAAUCAAAAAAUUGGGGAACCAUCGCACUGUGUCAUUAUAUGUGGCCAAGUUCCCAGGAAAAAUAACAAACUUGUAAUACGACAGUUAUUUUAAAAAAGUGUUCUCAGAAAUGAGCUAUCAUCUCUGAAGAUUCAUGGCUUUCAAGCCAAAUGAUCAAUCUUAUGGCCACAUUCGUGGCAUAGUUUGUUCAAAUGAUCUCAUAUUGUGCACAAGGGUGCAUAUUGGAAUGGCAAACAAUGUUGCCUAAGGAAGUUUUCAUUUUCUUUGGACGAAAAAACCAUUUUUCAUUUUCCGAGUGCCCUAAAGGAGGUUUUUUUGUGAAGGACCUCCCAAAUAAUUGUUGUAAAAUUGGACCAAAUCAAUUUUCUAAAAUACUAGGACAUAUUUAAUGCACAAUUGACAAAAUGGUAGGGUGCAAAAAGUUUUGAUCCACCUCUCGUGAAAAAGACAAAUUUCCGCCGAUUCAAUUGGAAGCGGGUCAAAUUUGAACUGCAGCUGCCUCAUAGUUUGCUAUUUAUUUUUUCCAAAAAUCAUUUCUAGUUACAUAAGUACCUAUUUAAUCAUAAAUACAUGGUUUGGUGGCGAUACGUCGAGGUUUGGGCGGUGGCCGAGGGCCCCAACUCUAGAGCGCGUAAACUCGCAUGCCCGCCGCGUGAUCACAGCGUGACCGUGGCGUUGCCAUGUGUUCUGGGCAGCCUAGGCAUAUCUAGUGGGUUGGGCACUCCCCAGGUAGGUGCUAGGAAGAAAAUUACAACAUAAGAUUCUCACGAGGAGACCGAUCGAUGCUCAAACAUGAAUUAGCAGCUAAGUGUUUGAUUAGCGGUACGGGAAAUGUACAUGGCUAAUGGGCGUGAGUUUUGGCUGAGGAUGAUCAGUUACUAAGAAGACCGUCUUCACAAAUUUUCAGCUCAAAAGGAGGGGCCUAGGUGGUACUUUCUUUGCAAACUACCACACUGGACAUAAAUAUGAAUGUUGAAGCUCGGCUCAAAAUAAUGAAUGGAUUGAGCUGGCAUUUGGUGGAGGAUGGUUAUUUGGGCAUAGGAAAGCACUGUAGAAAAUGGAUACUAUUUGGACAUGCCAAAGUGGUACUUCCUUCACAAACUGUUGUUCUGAACAGAAUAGGAAAAUGAAUAUUUUUGAAUUAUUUUUGAACUAGGCAAGGAAGGUUUUUACAUAUUUGAUGAAGAUAUGACCCAAAGAAUUUAUGAAUUUUUUUGGGAAUUUUGGGAAUGACAGAAAUAUAGGUUGCUUCACAACCUAGGGCAAAAACUGCCACAUGGACAUGACACAUAGGCAAAACUGAUGAGGUGGCGCCUAGUCAUAGCAACCCACCACAAUUUACAAGGCUAUGACCAUCUAUAUUGGUCGUUAACAACUAGAAAUAAGGCAGCGGACUAGCGCUGUUUGCUUUAUGACCUUUUCGUGUAAGGAAAUUACGACCUUUCUGACCAAAAUGGUUGCAAUGGUUUAGGGUUUCGAGCCCCCCGAACAGCUUUUGACCAAUUGGUCUGAAAUGGUCAUAGAUCUAUGACCAAUUCUUCUAGGGUCACUGACAGAAGGUCACUAGUUGACAUAUUUCUUGUAGUGCUCUCGUUGCUAUGCAUCACCAUGAUCUUGCGUGUGCGUAGGAUUUUUUUUGAAAUUACUUUGUUCCCCAACAGCUGGCUGCAGAUGGCUGUCACCCCGCAGGAGCUGAGACGCAGGAAAUUCUGGCUGGACAACACCAUGCCGGUGUUUUUGUAUAUCCCAGAGUGGGGGCAAGAGGAAAGUUGCAGGCCUUCCUUGUGGUUACAUCGCAUAUUCUCAAUUGGAGAGAAAUAUUUGAUGGUUCCUUGAUAUGCGCCUCAUAUUUAGAAAUUGUGACAACUUGAUAAACACAUGUUGGUGACCAUGCUGAAUAGCGGCCAUCCACGACAUCCUUUGUGGCGAACAAUGCAGCACAAGGCACAAGUCAGGUUUGGAGAUCCCACAUGCCUACCAGACGCAGAUUAUUCGCGACAACAGAUAGGCUUCAGCACUGUGGGAUUUCAGCGACCAACUGUUGGAGACGAUGCCACAUUUGCUUCUUGGAUGUGUCGUUGCACGAGAGGUCUCCAUUCCAUCCUCCAUGAAUGGCAGUGAUACAUCUCCAUCAUAUCUACUUUUCCAAACACUUUUACCCUGCCCUUGUUUUGGACUCUAACUUGCAUGAUUUGAAUGGAACUAACCCGGACUGAUGUUGUUUUCAGUAGAAUUGCCAUGGUGUUAUUUCUGUGCAGAAAUAAAAGUUCUCGGAAUGACCUGAAAAUUCACAGAGAAUAUUUUUGGAAUUAAUAAAAAUACUAGCAAAAGAAUCAAGGCCAGGUGGCCCACACCCUGUCCACGAGGGUGGGGGCGUGCCUACCCCCUGGGCGCGCCCCCUACCUCGUGGCCCCCCUGGUGCUCCACUGACCUCAACUCCAACUCCAUAUAUUCACGUUCGGGGAGAACAAAAUCAGAGAGAAGGAUUCAUCACGUUUUACAAUACGGAGCCACCGCCAAGCCCUAAUCUCUCUCGGGAGGGCUGAUCUGGAGUCCGAUCGGGGCUCUGGAGAGGGGAAUCCGUCGUCGUUGUCAUCAUCAACCAUCCUCCAUCACCAAUUUCAUGAUGCUCACCGUUGUGCGUGAGUAAUUCCAUCGUAGGCUUGCUGGACGGUGAUGGGUUGGAUGAGAUUUACCAUGUAAUCGAGUUAGUUUUGUUAGGUUCUGAUCCCUAGUAUCCACUAUGUUCUGAGAUUGAUGUUGCUAUGACUUUGCUAUGCUUAAUGCUUGUCACUAGGGCCCGAGUGCCAUGAUUUUAGAUCUGAACCUAUUAUGUUUUCAUGAAUAUAUGUGAGUUCUUGAUCCUAUAUUGCAAGUCUAUAGUAACCUACUAUGUGUUAUGAUCCGGCAACCCCGAAGUGACAAUAAUCGGGACCACUCCCGGUGAUGACCGUAGUUUGAUGAGUUCAUGUAUUCACUAAGUGUUAAUGCUUUGGUCCGGUACUCUAUUAAAAGGAGGCCUUAAUAUCCCUUAGUUCCAAUAGGACCCCGCUGCCACGGGAGGGUAGGACAAAAGAUGACAUGCAAGUUCUUUUCCAUAAGCAUGUAUGACUAUAUUCGGGAUACAUGCCUACAUUACAUUGAUGAAUUGGAGCUAGUUCUAUGUCACCCUAUGUUAUAACUAUUGCAUGAGGAAUCACAUCCGACAUAAUUAUCCAUCACUGAUCCAAUGCCUACGAGCUUUUCACAUAUUGAUCUUUGCUUAGUUGGCAGCAUCUGGAGUGGACACCUGACCACAACGAGCAAUUUAUUCGCAUGGCAGACAACGCUCAGUGUGAUGGAUUGACACAAGAUACAUGUGGACAACCAUCAUGUUGGUGUCGGGGUGCAUCUGUCUGGUAGCACCGUGAAUAAUGUUAUCGUCAAUUACGUGGAGGUUUCAGGAGCCAUUGCUGUAUAUGCCUAGAAAUAAGAGAAUCUUGACAUUUUGUGUUCAGGAACUGAGUUUAGCUUUAACGGAUUAUUGUGUAACUGUGCCACUAUUCAAUUCUUGCUAUAGCAUGUUGUCUAGGAGCAUAGUCUGCGCCAGAAGAUUUGAAAAAUGGCAUAGAAGUUCUUACUGAACAGAGAUAUAUUGUUCUUGGAAGGAAAGCAUAUAUAUUCAAUAAGUUAGUACCAUCGGUUGCCCCAACACGUGUGCAUCUAUAACACCAACAGCUGCUCAUCUGUUGUCAUGCCAUCUCGCAGCGACUACAUGCAUCAUAGUAGUUCUGACAGAAGAAGCAAUACAUUUUUAUCAACAUGAAAUUUGUUUGGUGAAAUCCAUGAGAACUUCAUCAGUAACAAAUUGAUUGGUACCCCACAUAACACAAGCAGGCGUGUUCCUUUCCAAAAAACUUCAAAAUGGACAUCACUUUUUAAUGAGUUCUUUCCAGAGUAAAGUAAGGUAAGGUCUUUGGUCACCAUUCACCUACCAUUUUAGUUAGUUCUACAUGUACAACUGAUUCAGCAACUCGAAUUUGAAAGGAAUUCUUUAAAAGGAAAUCAGUUAAGCAACUCGAAUGAAUCCAUCAUGCAUUGGUCUGAAAUCCAAGGAAAUAUGAGCAAAACCUCCCAAAUCUAAUCGAAGCACCGAACAUCUUUCAGAAGGAAAUUAACUCUUUCAGAACCUUUCAAAAGAUGGCAUAUCAAGGAUCAAAAUCGACCACAUAGAUUGAUGACCAAGACUUCAUCCAUUAGUCUGGAUGCCUCAUAUGUUGAUAAUUCCAACCAUGGAACCACAGGUGUGGUGAUCCGUGAUAGCCCAUGUACUCUUCUUCAUACACGGGCCCUCUGGUAUGAUUUGCUGCUAGUCCAAUGGCGACGGAAGUUGUAGUGAUUUGCAAUGGAGUGCACAUGCCUCUUGAGAGGGGUUAUGUAGAGUAAUGAUUUAGAGUGAUGCACAAGCUAUCAUCAAGCUAUGGGAGUCAUGCGGCUUCGAUCAUGGAGAGAUUGUUGGAGCCUUGCGGAUUGAAGAACUGAUUGUGCAUUUUGAGAGUUCUGUGCUCAGCUUUGUUGGACAAGAUGCUAGUAUGGCAGCCCAUUUAUGUGCUAAACUGGUGACCAAGUUUAGGAAGAGAUGUUUAUGGCUUAAUUUUACCCCUCUACUCCUAGUGAACACAUUGCAUUGUGAGUGUAUGCUUGAUUAAGUAAGCAAUAAAGCUCUUUCACUCACAAAAAAGUAGAAAUUGCAAUGCGGCCAUCCCAGCAUAUCAAAACAUUUCUGAUUGUGGCGAUGACCUUUUUUUCCAUAUGAUCCUAUAAAAUGGAUCGGGUUCCAUUCUCAAGGGAUAACGAAACUACAAAUGCACAAAAAACAUCCUGGUGCAAGAACAUAGCCUAAAACUGGUUUCAACUGCUAACAACAAAAGCUAAUGGAUCCAAAUCUACUGCAAGUUGACUUGGGGUUCACAAUCAUCCCAAGUAAAAUGUCUUUGAUCACUAGCAUAAUCAUUCAGAAAACUCCAUUGCAUCGCUCUUCGUCCAGUCUUUCUCCUUUGGUUCACCUUCACCAACUUCUUGUUCCUCAGUUUCUCCAGCGUUACUUGCCUCGAUCCUCAACACAAGAUUUCUUGGCUCCGCGUGCCCAACAACAUGAUGUGCCAAUGCUUCUCACUGCAAAGAAACAACACCUAGUUCCUGAAUCGCACACUCUUCAUUAUUUUGUAGAGCUGCCCAAUAAAGCAUAAACAAGCAUGCAUAAUAGACGAAUUCAGCAAGAGAUCUAGUAUUUUUUUCUCAAAACAAGAUCUAUUACAUAACUUGGAUGGGAAUGUAGUGGCUUAUCAUGAAGGUGAUGCACUCAUGGACUUGUAGUAGAGCUGGUAGCUGCCACAACAGCUUCCCUAUAUGUGGGUGGCUUUGAGGCAGGCGUCACAGAGGGGCAUCUCUCCUCCAUAUCCUAUUGGGUCACAUCUGUGGAGUCCCUCAGCAUCUACCAUGACUUUGCUAUCGGGUCCCAUGGCUAUGGCUACUUCAAAUUCCACCCACAGAAGGAUGAUGAGAUCUGAUCUAUUAGAUCCCAAAAUACCUAAAUCAUUAUAUCUCCAUGAGCAUGCAUGCUAAAGGUAGCAGAUCAAACCCAAACGAACAAGUAAAAAAGGCCAAGACACUCACCGUCCUCUUGGGGUAAAAAUCGAUGUAGUUGUAGCCACAAGACCUAUAAGCAACUUCAUGGCAGAUGCGCAAGGAAGCCACGGGCGCGACCUGGUCAUAGAUCUAGAAGAGUUGCCCCUCCGUAACACCUGCCUUGAGGUCAUCAUUGAGGCCAGGAAUGGUUGGUUUGUCAUUGCUGACGAUGGUCGCCAACCCAAUGGACCUAGGAGGUGGCGGCGUCAUCGGAUUCAGGGCGGAACGCUUGCCAUUGGCGGUGGAUGUUCACUAACCAGACGAGUGAAAACUACUAUACUAUGGGUAACCGGCUUGUCUAGUUGUAUCGAUUGUAUAUUGAGUCCUCUCUUAUCGGCACCGAGUCCUCCUGUCUGGUGGAUGCUCUCUCCGGUAUGCUUUUGUAUAGGUGCUAAUUAAUGACAUUUAUUUGCUACCUUUUAGAUAGGCUUCGGGUGUAACUGUUAGAGGAGACGAGUAUUUUUUGUGUAUCUGCAUGCUGGAGAGUUGCGGUAAUUGGGUCCACAUGCCAGUCUAUAUGCGCGUGAUGGGCUGCUGUAUGUAGGUAGAUAUGGACUACAAAGUUCUUCUAUCUAUUUAGAAGAUAUCACUACUGAUUAAUGUUUGAGAUAGAGUAGAUAUCACCACAAAUUAAUGUUUGAUAUAGAUUAGAUCAACUUUUACCACAUCGUGGUCAAUGAUCAUUGACUCGUGAGGGGUCCCUCACCGCCUUUCUUGGUCAAGGCAUCUCCAACACCGCCCCUCAAGCCUCCUGCAUCCGUCCAGACAGUGAAAGCUAUCCAACGUGCUCCUGUAUUGGUACGAGGUGCGGUCCAGAUGUAUACUUUCUCCCGCAAAUGGGAGACAAACGUGGGGAGUGGGAGGGGGCUUGCGGGAGUCCGCACCGCUCCCAUGCCCGCUUCUGACCUCCCUAGCCCACCCAAAACCCCUUUCGCAUCCUGCCGCUUCUUGCCCGGCGCCAACUGCCCGCAUUCAUGCCGUUGUAGAGCGCGCUGCUCCACAUAUUGAAGUUGCGCAGUGCCCGAUGGCGCUGGCCGCUGCCCGCUCAACUGAACACGGCUCCAUUAAACCCGUGUGAAAGCCAAGGAGCCUACUCCGGCCACACAUUUGUUCACGAGUGGGCCAGUAUUAAACACAAUGUUGGACAAGCUCCUCCCAUCUGCCCUCUAUUUAAACAAGGCCAGACGCUGGGCAAGAAUCGCACCACUCCACCACUCCCCAUCUCAUCCUUCCACAAUUUUCUUCGCCCUCUCAAUGGCAUCCGAUGAGCAGGAAGAGCAUUUCCCUGGCAUAAAAGCCAGCUAGGUGUCACACUAAGCCCGCCGAAUAUGAGUGAGGCAGCUCGCUGCUCCACCUCCCUCGCCUGGCCCGACGGAGCUAGUUGCCACCCCAAGCCGGCGCGUGGUACACCACCUCGCCACUCCAAGCCAGCUCACAAGGGAGCGGUCAUUUGCUCUAGGAUGACAUGACGGCACAGGCAUCGUAGCAGCCGUGCCGAUGCCGCGUCAUACUGCGUCUCUCAUGCCUACGAUCGCGCCAUCCGCCGACAAUGCGUGAGUAGCCGCGCCCUACCGGCAGAGAAAGAAGCCGGCAGCACAAAGAUCGACGAGUCGGUGGAUGACGCGUCCGCGUCCGCCGUCAACAUCAAGGGAAAGUAGAACACAGAGGCCGCCGCCACUUGGGUCCCAGGAAGGCCACCACUUGCGCGUCAACGGCUUGUAUAGUCGGUGACCUGUCCGGUUCUUCUUUAUCUCAGACCAUCAUCAGCCCCGCCUAGGCUCCACGAAAGAGGAGCUCCCCUUUCCCUCCAGCUGAAGCACCCUCUUUUCCACUGCGAUGAGCGGCGCAACCAGACAUAGGGAAGAUAUGGGGGAAGAAUAUACCCUCGGGGCUCUCGGCAGUCCGGGAAGUGGGUUGCCGACAUGGGGAAGACAAAGGGAUCCGCCGCAUCCGGCCAUAGACUAGUGUAGUGUUUCCGUGUCAUAGGAGUGGAGCUCCGUGCGACUGUAUGUGCACAUAGUUUUAUCUUUUUAGUUAAAAACAUGUCCAAAAUGUAAUUGUUUUGUCCGGUUUGUAUGAAAUCCAUCAUGUUUAUACGAAAUCCACCCAUGUUUGCAUGAAUUUCAUCUGGUUUGUUGAAAAAAUGUUUGCAAUAUAUGCGGCUACGGUUGGAUGGCGGCCUCUCACAUCCAUGCCCGUGGAUGGAUGCGGAAGGAAAUUUGUUGGUUGCCGUUGGAGAUGCCCUCAAGCCAAUGUUUGGGCGGGUGUAAGGUGUCCCGUCAUGGGUACAUACAAAGUAUUGUAGGAUUUCUGGUCAAUAGAACGGGAAAGUCUCCGGGUGUGGAAACAUCCUCAUAAUCUUUACUACUCCAUCAUGAUUUUUAAGUCUCACGCAUAUUUCAGUAUAAACAUUGAAAAUUAAUUUAUUCAACGAAAUAUUAGUUAUAUGUCACAAAAACAAAAUAUUAGAUUCACAUUUUAAACAAGUUUUCAAUGGUAUACUUUUUGUGACAUAUAACUCAUAUUUUAUUGAUAAAUCAACGUACAUUUUUUAUUGAAAUGCCUGAGACUUAUGAACCAUGAUAGAGGUCAGACACCACGAACGACGGAAUUUAUCCCCAUGGUAUCUCUGACAAAAUGGUUACUCUAAUGUCACUUAUCAAUAUGUGUAUUCUAAUGAAUAAUGUGAAGCAUAUCGCCUUCUAAAACCUUGCUUACCCAUUGAAAUGUUCUACUCCCUCUUGCUAGUAAUUACCUACACUUAUAUCCCCACUCCUUGGACAGAAUUUUGCUAGGUCUGCAACCAAUUCCUUGUAAAUAAUGGCUUUUAGUUUUCAUGUGAAGUUCUUAAAAGUCUUCUGUUUGAGUCAAUUAUUGAUAUGUCAAUUUUGUAGAAUGUUUUCCUACUAUUAUUUAUAAUGUUUUUACGCAUAAUAAUGCUUUUUGGAGUAAUUCUAAUGUCUUUUCUCUCAUAAUAUGUAAGGUUCACACAAAGGGGGAGAAUACCGGCAGCUAGAAUUCUGGGCUUGAAAAAGCUACGUUAUGCCAACUAUUCUGCACAACUCCAAAUGAGUUGAAACUUCAUGGGGAUUUUUUAUAGAAUAGAUAAGAAUUAUUGGAGCAAAUAACCACCAAAGGGGGCCCACCAGGUGGGCACAACCCACCUGGGCACGCCAGGGAGCCCAGGCGCGCCCUGGUGAGUUGUGCCCUCCUCGUCCCACCUCGAGUGCCCAUCUUCUGGUAUAUAAGUCAUUUUGACCUAGAAAAAAAUUAGGAGAGGACUUUUGGACAAAGCUCUGAUGUCUCGAGGCGGAACUUGGGUAGGAGCACUUUUGCCCUCCGGUAGAGCGAUUCCACCGGGGGAACUUCCCUCUCGGAGGGGGAAAUGAUCGUCAUCAUCAUCACCAACAACUCUCCCAUCUUGGGGAGGGGAAUAUCCAUCAAGAUCUUCAACAGCACCAUCUCCUCUCAAAUACUAGUUCAUCUCUUGUGUUCAAACUUUCUACCGGAACCUUAGAUUGGUGCUUGUGGGUGACUAGUAGUGUUGAUUACACCUUGUAGUUGAUUACUAUAUGAUUUAUUUGGUGGAAGAUUAUAUGUUCAGAUCCAUUAUGCUAUUUAAUACCCCUCUGAUCAUGAGCAUUAUUAUCAUUUGUGAUUAGUUACUUUGGUUCUUGAGGUCAUGGGAGAAAUCUUGUUGCAAGUAAUCAUGUGAACUUGAUAUGUGUUUGAUAUUUUGAUCGUAUGUAUGUUGUGAUUCCCUCAGUCGUGUCAUGUGAACAUCGACUACAUGACACUUCACCAUACUUGGGCCUAAGGGAAUGCAUUGUGGAUUAGUUAUUAGAUGAUGGGUUGCGAGAGUGACAGAAGCUUAAACCCUAGUUUAUGCGCUACUUCGCAAGGGAUUGAUUUGGAUCCAAAAGUUUAAUGCUAUGGUUAGAUUUAUUCUUAAUACUUUUCUCGUAGUUGCGGAUGCUUGCGAGGAGGUUAAUAAUAAGUAGGGGGUUUGUUCAAGUAAGAAUAGCACCUAACCACCGGUCCAUCCACAUAUCAAAUUAUCAAAGUACCGAACAUGAAUCAAACCAACAUGAUGAAAGUGACUAGAUGAAAUUCCCGUGUACCCUCAAGAACACAUUGCUUACCAUAAGAGACUGUUUUGGCAUGUCCUUUGCCUCAAAAGGAUUGGGCUACCUUGCUGCACUUUUGUUACCGAUACCGUUACUUUCUUGUUACAAAUUAUCUUGCUAUCAAUCUACUCGUUACUUAUAAUUUCAAUGCUUGCAGAGAAUACCUUGCUGAAAACUACUUGUCAUUUCCUUCUGCUCCUUGUUGGGUUUGACACUCUUACUUAUCAAAAGGACUAUGAUUGAUCCCCUAUACUUGUGGGUCAUCAAUUAUUCAGUAACGUAUAUAUACUAAUUUUUAGAGAAUCAUUACCCGUUCUUUUGUAGUCAUCUCUGCCUUACUAUGAGACGGCAAGAAGCCAUCUUCUUAAUGUUGGGUCAUUACUCUAUUUUGUAGACUCAAAUAAGCAGUGCUUCAGUUGCACAUUUGAUGUUAGGGUGUGCAUCUGCAGACCACAUUGGUUGGUAGUACAAAACUAUGGGGUUAGUUUGCUUACUAUACUUACUGAUCUUUAGCUUUCUCUGUUGUCCCCUUCUCUCAUUUUUUCUGCACAGUUUGAAUGUUUAGUUUGCUUAGCACAUUUUCUGUGCAGUGCCAUGAUUUCAGAUUGAUCUAAGCAUAGAUUAUGCUUGGAAGACAGAUUCAUCAGAGAUUGCCUGAUCUCAUCCUAAUCUGCUACCCCUUCUAAGCACAGCUAUUGUUCGAAUGCCAAUUCUUCAAGACAAGGCAAAUGCAUUGGCCAAGCAUCGAUCAGUGCACUUCCAUCAACAUGUUACAUUAGCACGAUGACCAUUUUGUGAUUGAUGGCUGGGUGCCCAUAGACCGGGAUGGCCAAUACACAAUGGGUAAACUCAAAGGUGGUAUGAUAUUGGAGAAAUUUGGGGGACAGAAACAACGGAUAAGUGGGGGUUCUGAGUGAGUCUCUGGCCGUUGGCCGCAGAUGGCUGCCACCCUGCAGGAGCUAAGAAGCAGGAAAUUCUGGCUAGACAACACUAUGCUAGUGUUUUUGUAUAUCCCGGAGUGGGGGCUAGAGGAAAGUUGCGGGCCCUCCUUGUGGUUACAUCGCAUAUUCGCAAUUGCAGAGAAAUAUUUGAUGGCUCCUUGAUAUGCACCUCAUAUUUGGAAACCGUGACAACUUCAGAAACACCUAUGGUGACCGUGCUAAAUAGCGGUCAUCCACGACAUCCUUUGUGGCGAACAAUGCAACACAUGGCACAAGUCAGGUUUGGAGAUCCCACACGCCUACCAGCCGCAGAUUAUUCGCAACAACAGAUAGGCUUCAACACUAUGGGAUUUCAGCGACCAACUGCCGGAGACGAUGCCACAUUUGCUUCUUGGAUAUGUUGUUGCACGAGAGGUCUCACAUUCCAUCCUCCAUGAAUGGCAGCAUCUGGAGUAGACAUCUGCCCACUACGAGCAGUUGAUUCGCAUGGCAAACAACACGCUCAAUGUGAUGGAGGGACACAAGAUACAUGUGGACAGCCAUCAUGUUGGUGUCAGGGUGCAUCUGUCUGGCAUCACCGUGAAUGAUGUGAUCGUCAAUGACAUGGAGGUUUCAGGAGCCAUUUUUCUCUAUGCCUAGAAAUAAGAGAAUCUUGACAUUAUGUGUUCAAGAACUGAGUUUAGCUUUAACGGAUUAUUGUGUAACUGUGCCACUAUUCAAUUCUCGCUAUAGCAUGUUGUCUAGGAGCAUAGUCUACACCAGAAGAUUUGACAAAUGGCAUAGAAGUUCUUAUUGAACAUAGAUAUAUUGUUCUUGGAAGGAACGCAUAUAUAUUCAAUAAGUUAGUAGCAUCGGUUGCCCCAGCACGUGUGCAUCUGUAGCACCAACAGCUGCUCAUUUGUUGUCAUGUCAUCUCGCAGCGACUACAUGCAUCUGUAGUAGUUCUCACAGAAGAAGCAAUACAUUUUUAUCAACAUGAAAUUUGUUUGGUAAAAUCCAUGAGAACUUCAUCAGUAACCAAUUGAUUGGUACCCCACAUAAGACAAGCAGGCGUGUUCCUUUCAAAAAAACUUCAAAAUGGACAUCAUUUUUCAUGAGUUCUUUCAGGAGUAAAGUAAGGUAAGGUCUUUGGUCACCAUUCACCUACCAUUUUAGUUAGUUCUACAUGUACAACUGAUUCAGCAACUCGAAUUUGAAAGGAAUUCUUUAAAAGGAAAUCAGUUAAGCAACUCGAAUGAAUCCAUCAUGCAUUGGUCUGAAAUCCAAGGAAAUAUGAGCAAAACCCCCCAAAUCUAAUUGAAGCACCGAACAUCUUUCAGAAGGAGAUUAACUCUUUCAGAACCUUUCAAAAGAUGGCAUAUCAAGGAUCAAAAUCGACCACAUAGAUUGAUGACCAAGACUUCAUCCAUUAGUUUGGAUGCCUCAUAUGAUGAUAAUUCCAACCAUGGAACCACAGGUGUGGUGAUCCGUGAUAGCCCAUGCAUUCUUAUUCAUACACAGGCCCUCUGGUAUGAUUUUGCUGCUAGUCCAAUGACGAAAGAAGCUGUAGUGAUAUGCAAUGGAGCGCACAUGCCCCUUGAGAGGGGGUUAUGUAGAGUAAUGAUUUAGAGUGAUGCACAAGCUAUCAUCAAGCUAUGGGAGUCAUGCGGCUUCGAUCAUGGAGAGAUUGCUGGAGCCUUGUGGAUUGAAGAACUGAGUGUGCAUUUUGAGAGUUCUAUGCUCAGCUUUGUUGGACAAGAUGCUAGUAUGGCAGCUCAUUUAUGUGCUAAACUGGUGACCAAGUUUAGGAAGAGAUGUUUAUGGCUUAAUUUUACCCCUCUACUCCUAGUGAACACAUUCCAUUGUGAGUGUAUGCUUGAUUAAGUAAGCAAUAAAGCUCUUUCACUCACAAAAAAGUAGAAAUUGCAACGCGGCCAUCCUAGCAUAUCAAAACAUUUCUAAUUGUGGCGAUGACCUUUUUUCCAUAUGAUCCUAGAAAAUGGAUUGGGUUCCACUAUCAAGGGAUAACGAAACUACAAAUGCACAAAAAACAUCCUGGUCCAAGAACAUAGCCUAAAACUGGUUUCAACUGCUAACAAUAAAAGCUAAUGGAUCCAAAUCUACUGCAAGUUGACUUGGGGUUCACAAUCAUCCCAAGUAAAAUGUUUUCGAUCACUAGCAUGAUCAUUCAGAAAACUCCAUUGCAUCAUUCUUCGUCCAGUCUUUCUCCAUUGGUUCACCUGCACCCACUUCUUAUUCCUCAGUUUCUCCA